AGACAAAUCGAGUCCCUUAUUUUAUUAUUCAUAUCCAUAAAAAGUAACCACUAUGCUAGUCCCCCGAACUUAGCAUAAGACGGUAAUUUAAAAAAAGAAAAAAAAAAGAACGUUUCUAGACACCAAAACGAAAGCAAAACAAACACAAAGCGAGACAUACAAACAAAUUUUAUGCUACUGCAUUCAAGCAGAAGCCAUCAACUGUUCACGACGAAGUUUGAGAGCAACCAAUAGUUCAUCCCGAUUAGGAAGAUUUUCUUCAAUCACAGGGACUUGCUUGAAAGUUUCAAUCCAGGCAUGCAAGUGAGGGAAUUUGUGUGAUUCAAAUAGUUUAGCGCCCACUAUAUCUUCAAUGACUUGCAACCAAUAAACAAUUGAACCAAACGCUAGGUCCACUAAGCCAAUAUUGUCUCCAUUGAAAAAUUUCUUCUCUCCCAAGCCAUGCUCUUCAACUGUUUGUAGCAUUUCCAAGGCUUCCUUCAUUGUGUUUUGUAGUUCUUGUCCAGUGCUACGAAACAUUUUCCAAACAGCAACACCCUGCCACAAAUAUUUUACAUCUGAUUUUAUCACCGACAUGAUUAAUUAAUAAUAUGUAUAUAAAAGUAAAAAAUCGUUGGACGAUAUGUACACGUGUCACAAUAUCCUUUAAUUAGAGGUUUAAUAAGUUAAUUAAGAGAGUUCAACCACUGAGUUGUAAAAUCCUUUAAUUCACUUUCUCUCAAUGCUUCAAAAAUCAUCAAAAUUCCCCGUGAAGUUAAAAACGGUUGUGUUAACUUUAACUUAUUACAUCUUUUCAUAUUGAAGGAUAAAACAGUGAAGACACCAGAAAUUGAAAGUUUAGAGAACUUUUUACAAAUAAAUAUGAAGGAGACCCCUGGGUGGCUGGGCUCGACUGGCUAUGAAUUCACUUCCGCCAUCACCCGAGUUUGAGUAUAUAUGGAGAGUAAGAGUUAGUGUUUGGUGGGUGGAUUUCGUUAUCCUCGUCACCUCAUCUAGAUCUUAAAGUAAAUAAAUAAAUAAACACAUUUGAAAAGAAUGAACUUAAUCAUAAACGUGUUUGCCAGAGUUGUGAGCGAACCUUGUCUUCGGCGAAUUUAAUCCAGAAUCGAGCAAGAGCUCUAUCAUAAGGAUUAUUUGGCAUCAAGGGAUUCUGUGGCCACGUCUCUUCGAUGUAUUCGAGAAUAACCAUGGACUCACAAACUGGUUUUCCGCCAUGGACAAGCACUGGGAUCUUCUUGUGAACCGGAUUGUGCUUCAAAAGCAAAGCACUUUUGUUUGAGAGAUCUUCUGCAACAAAUUCAUAUGGCACGCCUUUCAAUUUCAGAGCCCAAAUUACCCUGUAAACAAAUGGACUCAGCAGGGUUCCAUGAAGCUUCACUUCAGCCAUGAUAAUUCUAAGAUUGAAUUUGAAUUAUCGGUUUUUGUGAUCGAUGUUGUGUAUGGCUGUUAACUCAUUACAUAUGUUUCUGAAUUUAUAGUGAUUUAUGGUAUGCACUUUCUUGAGCAGAAAGCUUCAAUUUUCCAUUAAUAAAACGAUUAAUGAUGAAUUCAAAGAACUGGUGCGAUGACUUUAAUUAAAUAUUUUUUUACGCUGUGUGCAACCGCAUUUUGAGGUUAAUUUAAAGGAUAUUAUUUUCUCCUGAUCAAAACUUUUAUAUAAAAAAAUAAUUAUGUGAUUGGUAGUUAUUAAGUAAAAAUAAAAUAAAAAAUAAAUUUUGAACGUAAAUAAAUAAAAAUCAUAUAUGUUAUAAAGAUUUUUUAAAACUCAAAUAAGUGCACCCAAUUCCUAAUUUAAAACGCUAGCCAAUGAGAUCAAUAAUUUGGUCAACCAGUCAGAGAUAACCAUACAAUAAUUAAUCAAAAAUUUGCCAUUUGUUUUACAUUUAAGACCUUUGCGUCAUGCAUGAUGAUCAAUUGAUCAUGACAUGGAUCAAUUAGUCAACAAGACAUUUGCCUUUUGUGCAUGUAUCCACAUUGGACACAAAUAUAAUUUGUUAUAAAAAAAUUGGACUAAAUUAUUUUUUAAUAUAUUUUUUUAAAAUAAUACAUCUGAUCCUAGAGGGCCUGUUAUUUAGUUCGUAAAUCUUAUAACAGGACCCAUGAUUUUUUUUUUUUUUAAAAUCUUAUGGGUCCCCUAUUAUUUAAUUUGUGGAAUUGACGGAGGUAACUUACAAUUUCAUUUUUGUAAUUUACAGCUUUCAAUAAAUUCAGAUAAUAUUAGGCGGUAAAAGUCGGCCAAGCUGGAGGAGUAGAUCUAUAAAAUUUGCUAGCACUUUGCACUAUCUGUUUGGUGCCCAGAAACACACAUAUAUAUCAUCCACUUUUUAUUUAACGCUGGGUUUUUUUCGACCCAUAAUAAUUUCUCUUUCCACAUCAACUUUUUAAUAAAAACUUUUAUUGUCAAGAUAAAUUGUUAGUAAUUACUUCACUAAUCCUCCCUUUUUUUUGGGCCAAUUUCUCUUUCGCAACUGACAAAAUUUAAUUCACAUCAUGUGAUAGUAUGAUUGCAAAUAAAUUUGAAGUUAUCUCUCGCAAGUUAUUCAAAAAUACAUUGACAUAUCUUGUGUAUAGAACUAAAGAACAAUAGCAAAACCAAUAUCCUUUAGCCGAUCGCUGCUAUUAGGACGGCAAAAUUAGUAGUAAAUAUGUAAAUUUGUCUAAACCCAUCUACAAAAUUCUGUCCACUGCGAAUAAUUUUGUAGGUUGCGGAUAAGUUUGAUAUUUUAAAUUUAAGUUCGUUGCAGAUUACGGAUGGAUUCAAUAUUGAGAAAAAAAUUGGCGGGUGUCUGCCGCUAGCAUUUUUUUAAUUAUUUAUGUUUUUAAUUUUAAUCACAAAGAUUGUCUUAAAAAAAAUUUAAUCAUAAAAAUAUAAUAGUUAAAGAUAUUACUCUAAUCUUCCAAAUUCCUAAACCUAACCUAACUCAUGACAGUUGCACACCCUACUCCUUCAAGUAUGUAUGUAUGUAAAUGUAUACACACGCCCACACACACAAAAUUAGCUUUUAAUAAGUAGAUUUAGUAUUUUUCAAGUUUAAUAUUAAUGAUAUUUUAAUUUAAUUUAAUUACUUUUGUUUGUUUCGCUUUAAUGACUUGAACUUAGUAAUUGCUGGCUAAGAUUGGAUUUUUAUUUAUCUAAUUAAUGGUCAAUAGUUGUCCAAAAUAUAUUUGUUAAUAUUGUUGACAAUACUUAUAUAUUGACUGAAAGAUAGAGCAAGGCAUUAAUUUUAGUAAUAAUUAUUUGCCUACAACAAAAAUAUUUUGUGUUAGAAUGAUAUAUUUUGUGUAUUUGUUUUAAUAUUGAAACUUUAAUUUCUCUUUUAUAUUGAUAAAAUCUAAAGUUGAGUAGUUUAUGUAGAUUUUUUAGUCUGUUACUAUAAAGUUAUAUUUUGAAUUAUAUAAUUUAAAUUAUUAAAUAUAAUUUUUUAAUAUUUAUAAUUUUAAAUAAAAAAAUUUAUUAAAAAAAAAAACUACUACAUGUUAUGGGUGGAUUUGCUAAUUAUUAAAAAUUAUAGCGAACAAACUAAAGAAAAAAAGAGGCAACCGGUUACGGGCGAAUUUAAUAAUGACAAACCCAUAAUAAGCAAUACCAUUACCAUCGGCAGCUUCUAUAACGCAGGGCCGGCGGCGGUCUUGAAUUGUUAGAAGUUGCAACAUUAAUUAGCAAAAUUUUCUGCGUCAUCCCUGAAGUAUAGCAUAGAAUUAGAUAUAUCCCCUUGUUUUCAAAAUUAGUCUCUUAUUCCCAUAUGUUGUUUACUUAAUUUUUUUUUUCAUUUCAAUUGGAUUUAUAACUUCGUAAUGUUGCGCCUUGUAAAAUGUAUGCUUAAAACGCGUGCUUCUUAUUUUUUAUAUACUGCUAAGAGAAUUUGAGAAUAGAAAUAUAUAAAAUGGUGUCUCAUUUAUUAAUUAUUUAUAUCCUCUAAAUAGCACCUAACAUGCAAGCUCACUUCAAUAGCAAAAUUAAUUAAACAAAAAAAAAAAAAAGCAUUUUUAACACCAGUACAAAAACAUAACGAGUGUAAAGGAAGACUCAUUAACUUAUUUUAUGAUAUUAAAUUCACGCAGAUACCAUCAAUGUUUCUCGACCACGUUUGAAAGAGACCACCAACUCACGCUGAUUUGGAAGAUUUUCUUUAAGUAUAUAAGUGAAAAUUAUUACUCUAGUCUUCAAAAUUCUUAAACCUAAUCUAAGUCAUUACAGCCGCAUGCCUUGCUCCUUUUAUUAUAUGUAUAUAUUUUACGAUGAAUACAAUAACUUUCAAUAAGAAGAAUUUUAUACUUUUCAAGCUUAAUAUUAAUGAUAAUUUAAUUUAUUUUAUUUUAAUUACUUUGAAUUGUUUUUGUUUAAUGACCUGAACAUAUUGGUUGUUUGCUAAAGUUGAAUUUUUAUUUGUCUAAUUAAUUGACGAUAGCAAUUGUAUAAAAUUUACUUAAAAAGAUAAAAUCUUAGUAGAUUACAGAAAGAUUUAGUAAUGACAAACAUGUAGCAGCCAAUACACAUUACCAUCCCCAACUGCUAUAAUGCAGGGCCAUGGGCAGUCUUAAUUGUUAGAAUGUGCAAAAUUAAUUAGUAAAAUGUUCAGCGGUAUCCUUGAAUUUUGGCAUAGAAUUAGAUAUAUCCCCUAGUUUUCAAAAUUAGUUUUUGAUUCCCCUGUUGUUUACUUUAUAUAUAUAUAUAUAUAUAUAUAUAGUAGUUUUAUGGUCAGGGAUUUUAAAGUGCGGGAAAGUCCGGGAAAACUUUAAAACCGCAUGGUUUUCAAGGUUUAAAACUGUAAGUCUUUAAAACCAUGCGGUUUUAAAGGUUUCCUGCACUUUCCCGUACUUUAAAAUUCCGGACUGAAACAUAUUUAUAUAUAUAUAUAUAUAUAUAUAUAUAUAUAUAUAUAUAUAUAUAUAUAUAUAUUUCACUUGGAUAUAUAACUUUGUAAUGUUGCGCCUUAUAAAAUGUAUGCUUAAAAUGCAUGCUUAUUACUUUUUAUAUGCUGUUAAGAGAAAUUGAGAAUAGAAAUAUGUAAAAUGGAGUUUCAUUUAUUAAUUAUUUAUAUCCAUUAAAUAGCACCCAACAUGUAGUUCGUCUCAAUAGUAAAAUUAAUUAAACGAAGCAAAAAGAUUUUUUUUAGCAUCAGUACAAAAAUAAAAAAAAGCACAAAGCGAGAAUCACAAACUUAUUUUAUGAUAUUACAUUCACGCAGAUGUCACCAAUAUUUCCCGACGACGUUUGAAAGCGAUCACCAUCUCAUGCUGAUUUGGAAGAUUUUCUUCAAUUACAGGGACUUUCCUGAAAUUUUCAAACCACUCAUGCAAGCUUGGGAAUUUGUGAGAUUCAAAUAGUUUCACUCCCAUUACAUCUUCAAGGACAUGCAGCCAAUAAGCAAUGGCUUCAAAUGCUAGGUCCGCUAAGCCAAUAUUGUCUCCAUUGAAAAAUUUCUUCUCUCCUAGGCCAUGUUUUUCAACGGUUUGAAGCAUUUCCAAGGCUGCCUUCAUUGCAUUCUCCAGGUCUUGUCCAGUGCUGAAAAACAUUUUCCAAACAGCUACUCCCUGCCACAAGAUUUUAUAUCUAAUUCUUAUCACCACAUGAUUAACAAAAGAAAUUAGAUAAUAUGUACACACGCGUCAAAAUAUCUUUUCAAGGCUAGACGUUUCAAACUGUCAAAGUAUUUAGGAGAGUUUAUCCACUAAUUUUUAGACUAGUUUAGUAUAACUUUUCAAAGCUUAUUUAAAUAGAAUUUUUAUUAGUAAAACUUUAAUUUUUAUAAAAAAAAUUAAUUAUUUAAUUGUUAAUGAAAUUUAAAAAAAAUUUGAAAUUACUUUAACAGAUAAAUUUUUAAAGUUAUGUUACGAAAUAAAUAAAAUAAGAUUAUAAAAUAAAUGAUGAACAUUUUAAACAAUUUAACUUUUAAAAAAAAUUCCUCAAACCUCUAUUUCCAAAAGUUUAAAUUUAAACUUUUACUAGUAUAGGCAAAAGAAUUUAUUUAAUCCCAAAAUGUUCUACUAAAAAUAAAACUAAACAAUAAUAAAAAAUUUAAAAAGAGUUUUUUUUUUAUUAAAUAAACACUUAUGAGUAAUAAAUAAGCCACAUCAAACAAAUACUCAAUGAUAUAAAAGGAAGAAGAUAAAAAAAAAAAUCCUCUUAUUAUUUUAGUAAAUUAUAAUUUUGCUUUCAUGUUUCAAAAGACCUUAAAAUUCUCCCUAUCGCUAAAACAAUUAUAUUUUAAUAUUUUACCCUUGAUGUGGUAAAAUCCACGAUUAAUUAAGAAAAAUUUCUAAAGGUAAAAAAUUUAAAGUAAUUAACCGCAUUUUUUUGAUAACUUUCUCUAAUGUAAAAUAAAAGGCUCAUUGAGCUUAGUCGGCCGUGAAUGCAUUUUGCACAUGCGAGGACAUUAGUUUGAGCAUUAAUAGAAGAUAAAAAUUAAUGUUUAGAGAGUCAUAUUUCUCAUAUACAAUGAAAAAUUAAAGUAUAUAAAGAAAUCCGACAAGAUUAAUUAAAUUUACAAACGUGUUAGCAAGAAAAGUUGUGGUGCGAACCUUGUCUUCGGCAAAUUUAAUCCAAAAACGAGCUUGAGCUCUAUCAUAAGGAUCACUUGGCAUCAAGGAGGGAUUCUGUGGCCACAUCUCUUCAAUGUAUUCGAGAAUAACCAUGGACUCGCAAACUGGUUUUUCGCCAUGAACGAGCACUGGUAUCAUCUUGUGAACUGGAUUAUACUUCAGAAGCGAAGCACUUUUGUUGUAGAGAUCUUCUUCAAUGUAUUCAUACGGGAUGCCUUUCAAUUUCAGAGCCCAUACCACCUUGUUGCUAAAUGGACUCGCCCAUCCCCCGUGGAGCUUCACUUCAGCCAUGUGUCUAAGAUCGAAUUUGAAUAUGUUUGCGGUUGUUUUGCUUAGCUGAUGAGUUAUUGCAUACGUACAUCUGAAUUUAUAAUGAUUAUUCAUUAAUAUUGGAAUAUGGAGUGCGCUUGCUUGAGCAGGGAGCUUCAUAUUUCCAAUUUAUUUAAUAAAACGAUUAAAUUAAGUUGAAUUCAAUGAACUAAUGCUGCGACUUUUUAACAAUUCUGUUAUAUAUUCAACGAGAAGAGGUAUCGUAUUUGACGGGAAUCUCUUGAAACAGUGCUGAAUGAACAAGUAAUCUUAUUUAAUUUGGUCAACUGGUCAGAUAUGGCUUAAUUAUAUAUUUGGCGUUUGUUUUAGGUGCCCAGCUAGCCCUGCUGCUGUGCUUUUGACUUUACCAUGGGGUGGAGUCGUGGAGAUAUCAUCAUCCCAACUGAAGACAUAUUAUGAUAUUCUCCUGAAAACUUUGUGAGACUCAUUUACUCUACAAUUUUAGCAUUUUAGGCCAAAUAACUUCAUAUAAAUGACGUUUUGUCCCCCGGCUCCAUCUCUUCUAUAUAAAUCCGAACACCUGAAAAAUGACGAGACCGGAACAACUCUCCCUCUUAAGUCUAUGCAAAUUUUACACACCAGAGAAAGAGAGGGAGAGGGGCAGCCAUGAGAGACAACGAUACAGAAAAGAAUAUGGAAGAGAGUUUAUUAAUACCAAAAGAGAGUUUAUCAUCAACAUCCACAACAUGGGAUUUGUUGAGUGGAGAAGUGAAAAAGCAGGGUUACAUAGCAGCACCAAUGGUGGCAGUAACUUUAUCACAGUAUUUGCUUCAAGUUGUUUCCAUGAUGAUGGUUGGUUAUCUUGGUCAACUUGCUCUUUCUAGCACCGCCAUGGCCAUCUCUCUAGCUAGCGUCACCGGCUUCAGCGUCCUUGUGAGUCCUACAAUCCAUAUAUAGUUAUAUACACAAGAUUGUUUAUUCUUUCUUUUGAUAGGUAUUUGCAUCAUUGCAUGUGGGAUUUAAACAAAUAGAUGUGCCAAAUUUCUGAUGUUAAAAAACAUGCAAUUAACUAAUACCCUGUUUUUAAAAAUGCCAUUAAUUUUUAAAGGACUUGAUUUGCUCUUUUUUUUUUAAAAAAAAAAAUUCUACAGCUAACUUGAAUUGUGUAAUAUUUUCUUUGAAACAGUUAGGAAUGGCAAGUGCUCUGGAAACAUUAUGUGGGCAAGCAUAUGGAGCUCAGCAAUAUCAAAGAAUUGGAACUCAAAUUUACACUGCAAUAUUUUGUUUAUUCUUAGUAUGUUUUCCGCUUUCCUUUCUAGGGAUUUACAUGGGAAGGCUGCUAGUUUUGGUAGGCCAAGACCCCCAGAUUUCACACGAAGUAGGCAAGUUUAUAAUCUGGCUUCUUCCAGCUCUGUUUGCUUAUGCAGCAAUGCAGGCGCUUAUUCGAUAUUUUCAGUCUCAAAGUUUGAUCAUUCCCAUGUUCUUAAGCUCCUAUGCCGCUCUUUGUUUGCAUAUUCCCAUCUGUUGGGGUUUGGUAUUCAAGUCUGGACUGGGAAACCUUGGAAUUCGAGAGUUCUUCCAAUUUGCUAUCCCUUCUGCAGUAAUGGUUUGGUAUGUUAAUUAUCUUCUGGAGUUUCAUUUUCCCUUCUCAUAGAUAUCGUAGACACGUCAUAAAUUUUCAUGCAUCUUCUUUUGUUUAUAAUUUUGCAGCCUAGAAUGGUGGUCGUUUGAAUUGCUCAUUUUAAUGUCAGGGCUGUUGCCUAACCCACAGCUUGAAACUUCAGUCCUAUCUGUAUGGUAUGUUGACAUAUCUUUGUAUGUCAAAGUUCUAUACAGAGAAGCACCUACCAAAAGGAAAUAUAUUUUUUUUCUUUUUUUCCCCGACUGCUCAUUAUUUGUCAACUUCUUUGGGCAGUCUCAGUACUAUUCAAACCCUCUCUGCAAUCCCAUAUGGACUUGGUGCUGCAGUGAGGUUUGUUCAUAACAAUCAUUUAAAUAAUAAUUGUUUUAUAUCAACUAAUUAGCAGAUUAACCAUUAUUUCCUUCUAUAGUACUAGAGUUUCAAAUGAACUAGGAGCUGGGAAUGUGCAAAGAGCCCGUGUAGCUGUCUAUGCUGUGGUCUUUAUGGCGGUCAUGGAGACUAUCAUAGUAAGUGCAUCUCUCUUUGCCAGCCGGCGUGUUUUUGGUUAUGUUUUCAGCAAUGAGGGACAAGUUGUGGAUUAUGUCACAACCAUGGCUCCUCUGGUUUGUUUGUCUGUCAUCAUGGAUAGCUUACAAGGAGUCUUUUCAGGUUAAAUUAACUUCUUCAACUCUGUCAAUUGCUAAAUAGUUCUCUUUAAGUAGAAAUAAAAUUUUUCAGGUUUCUAAAUUCUUUUUAUUAUUUUUAAGGUGUUGCAAGAGGAUGUGGGUGGCAGAAUAUAGCUGCUUUUGUGAAUCUUGGGGCUUAUUAUUUGUGUGGAGUCCCAACUGCUGCCAUUUUGGGUUUCUGGUUAAAGUUUAGAGGAAGGGGCCUAUGGAUUGGGAUACAAGCUGGUGCUUUUACACAAACACUUCUGCUUGGCAUCAUAACAACAUUUACAGAUUGGGAAAAACAGGUCUGUUUCUCAACAUUUAAUCCCUUAAAAAUUAGAGAAGCUUAUUGGACUAUAUAUGUAAAUAUGUAGCAAUUUUUUUUUCCCAAUAUGUAUCUGAUACCUUUCGACUGAAAGUUCAAGAUUAAAAUCACUCAGCUUGAUCUGAAAUAGUUAGUAUUAUCAUCUUAUGCAGAAAUGGUUUUGCUCAUUGAGAAAAUGAUAUUCAAUAACACAGAUGCAAACUCAUUUGAAAAUUUUGCCAUUGAGAAAAUGAUAUUCAAUAACAGACAUGCAAACUCAUUUGAAAAAUUUGCUUUUUUGCAAGAAUUGAUAACCAUUUUCUAGUUUGUUAAUUGUUACAAGUUCUGUGUUUCUAAGGGGUUUCUCAUGUUGCAGGCAAGUACAGCAAGGAAAAGAUUAUCAAAGGGAAGAUCUUUAGAAGAUAAUAGAAUAGUAUGUGAGUGAGCAGAGUCAAUCAAUGAGCUGAUAUAUACAUUGUCCAGUUGAAAGAGAUAAUCAUUGCUUGAGAAAAUGAGCUGCUCAUAUGUCAAUUGAUGGCCAAGAAGGUUCCCCAAUCUGAUCUAUGGAGCAUCGCAUUUCAUAAAACUCUGUUUCUAGAGAAAAAAAAAAAAAAUUAACAGCUUCUUAGGAUUGGAGCAUCAGGUGACUUAGCAUUUCCAGUAUGAAAGAAUUAUAAGAUAGAUGAUGCUGCAAAAAUGAAUAGAGAUAAAAUUAAGCAAGAGAAAAUGUUUGAAUGUUAUUAAUGAAACCUUUUCCAGUGAUUGUAGAGAUAAUUUUCUUUGUAUUGAAACUUUCAGCAUCUGAAAGAUAAGGAAAAUAUUAAAAGAAAAAAGAAAAUUCUUAAAUCUUUUCCAUGUCACUCCAGCAAAGUUGAAUUGUCAUUCUAAACCCUAUACCAAAAUGUAAGGUGGCCUGUGGCCUAUAGGUAAUACACAAUUUGACAACCCCAUAUAUUUAGUAAUCUAGGUGGAUGCCAUUUAUUUAUUUUUUAUUUAAUUUUUUUUCAUUUUUAAUGCAAACAACGCCUCUUUCAUUGUGGCAUUGGAAUAUAUAGAGAUUUGUACACUGAUUUUGGACCAUAAUUCACAAAUAAUGCGACGCAUAUCUUUCUUUCAGUACUUCUUCAGGAGGAUAAGAUACAGACAUUGUUGUCUUUUUACCUGAAGCAAGUGCAUGUGCAUGAAUUGUUGUUGUCUGUUAAUCUGCUGCCACUUUGCUGCCAAAAAACUUGAAAAAUAAACCAGGAAAAUUUUCAAUAAGCAAAGUCAAACAACUAACCCCUGUUUAAGUAAUUUUCCGAAGAAAACUUUUAAACACUCAAAUAAAGCACUCAAGUAAAGUAUUUCUGUCACAUUAGCUUUCGAGUGAGGUUUGAUUUACAUUUAUAUCAGAUAUACCAAGUGUUUUUUAUUCUUUUAAUUAAUGUAUAUCACAGCUUGGAAAUUCUAAAAAUUAAUCAUGCUUAAUCUUGAGCAACAAUAUCUGUAAUCAUCAUACGAGGUCAAAGGUGAAGGAAAAGAAAAAGAAAGAGUUAGUUUUAUGUAUAUAAGUGAAAGGAUCUGUUAUAGAGUAUUUCUGUUGCAUGGUUUUCGGAGGGAUAGCAUUGUCCACAGCAUUUGGACUUUGCUUCUGAUUCAAUGGCAUUUAGAAUUUGGUUUCCGCUGAGAUCAUAUACAGCUUGAUUCUGAUAUCUUCCAUUUUGGAGGGAUUCAGAUAAAUUGAAGAAGUUUGAGGUUCCAGUUCAAAUUGGUAAUGCUGCAGAUAAUAUAUAUAAUUUUGUAGAGGUUUUCUAACUUUUAUUUUUAGUAAUGUAUUCAUGUCCUGUCAUUCUUCUUUCUGCUUAAAUCCAGUUGCCCAUGUUGGAAUUUCUUUUCAGCUUUUGUAUUCUUUUUCCUUUUUGUUCAAUAAUGCUAUAGACGAUGCUCUACCAUUUAAAAGAUAUAAAUAAAAAAAUUUAUAAAUUUUUACUUUAUCAAGGUGUGAAACCUUAUAAAAUUUAUAAAUUUAACUAAUGAACAGAAUAUUUGGAGUUGUUAUACGUGGCGUUGUUAUACCAGAACUACAACAGUUAAGAUUGUACUUUGGACCAGUAGUCCGCAAGUUCGGGUUUCCAGCCGAUAUACCUCUGUGAUUAAAACUUUAAAAACAUUUUCUUCUCGGGUUAUAUAACCCAAAACAGACUUUCCUUUAGUCUAAAACAGGGUACCAAACCAGAUAAGAAAUUAUCAAAAGUUUUCUGAUGCACAGGAUCCUUGCAAAAGGCAAGUGCAGAGCAUACUUCCUUAGGUUUCAAAAUGAACAAAUUUAAUUCUUUAUUCCUUUUCUUUCUCUAGAGAGCUUCAUUUGCAGAGAGAGGAGAGAAGUUUAAGGAUUCAUAGUGAUAAAAACACACGAGAGUUUAUUGCUUCGAACUUCUAUCUUACAAGAGAUGAGAGAACUCAUUAUAUAGGAGAAAUCUCAGGAAGAUAGGACAGGACCCCUAUCUUUUACAAAAGCAAAAGUAAAAGGUACAUCAUGACACACUUUUAAUUAUUACAAAGGGACAAGGAUGCUUUAAUAAUGAAAGCAUGACUUUGGACAAAGCAAAAGUAAAACUUAAAGUAAAAGCAAAGCAAGAUGCAAUAAUUAUAUAGGACAAAACACAAAGGGACACAGCAUUUAUUACAUGAAGACAAACUACUUUAUGGAGAGGAGAGAUUCAUGUAGUCAUCUUCAGAGGAACUUUCUGUUGUGUCUGGGUCCGUGUCACCAGAGUGAUGAGGGUUUGGGAAAAAAAGGUUUGGAGAGCUUUUGAUGUUUACAGGAGGGACCACGGCAAGGUGGGUGAGGGCAAUUAUAGUCUCUUGGAGUACACCUUGGAGUAUACUUUGGAGAGGUUUGGGUGGCUUUGUCAACUUUGGAGGUUUGGGCUGGCCUUUUGGAAGGUUGGGUUGAUGGACCUGCUUCGAAGGGUCCGGGUUCAUCCAUUGUUGGUUGGGGAAAUGGUUGUAAGUGUUGGCUUAGAGGAAGAAAUGCAUCCCAUGGAUCUUGGGAAUCCUGGAACAGGAAGUCAGUGUAGUCUGGUUUUUCUUCCUUGAUAAUGAUACCUGUGGACUUUGGUUUGGAUAUAGUGGACGGAGUAGGAAUCAUGAUGAGGUCAUGUUGUGGACCUAAGGAGGUGUGGAAGAUAUCUCGGUGUAGAGGAGUCUGGUGGUUCAAUUGACAAAGAUAAUUGUACAGGGUGGUCUGGAUUUCAUUGUCAAUGAUAGCUGGAUGAGGGGCAGUAAACCAUUCAUAAACUUGAUCUUGAGUCCAAAAGAGGUUUGUGUCUGGAUGUUGGAAAUAUGGUCGGUGAAUGAUAAAAAUGGAUGUGAACAUUUGGGCUUCAGAAGCUGGUAUACGGUCGAGAUUGUAGAUCUCUGUUAGUUGCUGUAACUUUUUUCUCCACCAUGGGAUGGGAGAAUACAAUUCCAGUAAUAUCCAGAUAAGAGAAGUGGCUUUUUUCGGGUCGAGGAGAUGGGAUAAGGUAGGAGCAAUUGGUAGGAUGAGCUUGGUAGCAUAAAGAACAGUUAGGCACCAGAGGUACCAUAACUCGUCUUCAGUGAUUUCUCUAGAUGGAUCAAGGGUCAAACCUGUCAGGAACAGAUUUUCUGGGUGGAAAGUGGAAAAUGGAAAGGAGUCGGCCAUAAGGUAGGCUUUCAUGAAGAAGCGAAAAACAGCUUUCCUUGCAAAUUCCUGGAUAGCAAAAACAGAGGAUAAUGGUUUGUUAAGGGGAAAAGUCUUUUUGGUGAGAGCUUCUGGUGGAAGAGAGGUAGCCAUGAAGAUGAUAGGAAAAUGGUAUGCUGUAGAGAUGACGGUGAGAGUGUGUUCUGGUUUGGAGAGUCUGGAGAGCAUAUCAGGGAUGAGGUUCUGGGAUCCCUUUAUAUGCUUGACAGAGAAGUCAUAUUUGAAAAACCAAUCUUUUAAUCGGAGUAGCAUCUUUUCUGGAACAGUUUUACCUUUGAAGUUGAGAAUAUUAGGGAAAGCUGAACUGUCCAUUCGGAUAAGGAAGUGGUGUCUAAUCAGAUGGUACUCAAAUUUCUUGAUGUCAUUCUUUACCGCUAAGAUUUCUUUGAACACGCUAUGGUAGUGUUUCUGUGUGUCAGAAAAAUGUCCACUAGCGUAAGCGAUAAAGUGUUCUUUUCCAUCGAGUUCUUCAAGGAGGAUGGCACCCCAAGAUUCAUCACUGGCAUCUAUCUGUAAGAUGCGCUUUCCAUCUGCAAUUAACUUUAAAGGAGGCGGAUUUUGCGCGAUUUGUUUGAGAGUAGUGACAGCACGUGUGUGGUCAUCAUUCCACUCAGCAGGUUUCUUUUUCAAUAAAGCCGAGAGAUGAUGAGUGUAGUGGUCCACAUGUGGGAUGAAGUCUCUGAUGUAGUUGAUAAUCCCGAGAAACUGUUGAACUUGCUUUUUGGAAAGUUGUUGAUCUGGAAAGUGAAGCAACUCUUGAGCGAUGUGCUUUCCUGGCUGGUAAUGGCCAUCUUUAAUGAUCAUACCAAGAAAUUCGAUGGUAUCUGUGGCAAUGGUGCUUUUCUUGGCAGACAACAUGAUUCCAUGACUGUGGACAAGAUCAUAGAACUGGCUUAACAGCUGGUGAUGUUCAUCAUGUGAACUUGAAAAAAGCAAGAUGUCAUCAAUAUAAAUCAAUGCAUGAGACAGGAUAGGCUGAAAGAUCUUGAUCAUGGAUUUUUGAAAGAUAGAUGGGGCAGUUUUGAGGCCGAAGGGUAAGACUGUCCAUUGGAAAUGGGCAUUGGGAAUGCAAAAGGCAGUCUUAUAUCGUUCAGAGGGUUCGAUGCCUAAUUGCCAAAAACCUGACUUUAAAUCAAAUUUGGAAAAGAUCUGGGCAUUUUUUAGAAAAGUAAACAUGCUUUGUCGGCGGGGUAAAGGAAAUUUGUCAUCUUGCAAAAACAUGUUUAGGGGAUGAUAGUCUAUGACUAGGCGUUUUUUCCCUCGAACAAUUUCAGAAUGCUUUUCGACAUAAAAGGCUUGGCAAGCCCAUUGGGAAUUUGUGGGCUCGAUGAGACCUUGGACCAACAAUUGAGAACAUUCAUGUUGGGCUAGGAGUAAGUCAGACGGACUCAUUCCUGGAUGGGUAGCCUUGGUUGGAUUGAUGUCUUCAUUGAGUUUGAAGGGUAACUUAACAAAGAAGGACUUAUUUUUCCACAAAGGAUUUGGAUGGGUGGACUCAGAAUGAGAUUCUGGACAAAAACUCAAAAGUUUGGUUGAAAGGUCCUGGUAAGACUGAGGGGUUUCGGACAGAUUGUAAAGUUUCAGGAUGUCUGUGAAUGGUUUGAACAUGGACUUGACUCGAAUUCCAUUGGGAAUGAUUUGAAGGUGUUUGAUCUGGUGGAGGAUGUCAAAUCCUAACAAGAUAUCCUUAUUAGGAAGGGUUGAACCAAUAACUUUGGUCCAAAUGACACAAUUGGGAAAGAUUUGAAUACCAAUGGGUUUUUUGGUAAUCAAUGAGGUGGUGAACAAUUUGCCGUUGACAGCUUUGAAAUGUUCUUCAGACUGUAUCCAAUAGUCUGGUGGAAGAAUGUGCGGAUUAAGCAUGCUGCGUUGGGCUCCAAUAUCAAUAAGACCAAUUGCUGGAAUGGGCCUUUGGAAUUUUGAGGGCAAAAUCUGGAGUUUGAUGGAAGGUAUAGGAACUGUAGUGUCAAGGGACAAUAACUGUUGAUGAAAAAUGACUUAUGACUGAUCACUGUCUAAAUCAUCAGAGGACUGCUGUAGUGCGAACACGGUUUCAUCAUUGGGUUCAUCUUGUUCAGAGAAAUAGAAUUCCAGUUCAUCCUUUUCUAGGGAGUAAUCGGUAGUAGCUUGAAGAUGUUCAACAAGGCGAAUGGAUUUUUGUCUUUGGUUGAGACACUCUUUGGCAAAAUGACCCUUUUUCUUGCAGAUAAAACAUCUGAUGGACUUUCGUCUUUUAGAGUCUCGGGAAGAAGAAGACUUCUUUCUGAAGAAUCUGUAAAGUUUUCUGGACCUGCGGGGUUUGGAUGAAAAUUCUAGGGUUUUGAAUUUUCGAAAAUGCUUUUUCUUUUUGGAACUACAAUCACAAUUCUUCUUUUGUUUGCAUUUGAUCUACAAAUAAGGCUUUUUGCAGGCACUUCUGAAUGGUUCAUUGUCUUUCAACAGGUCUUUGAAAAACUAUUUUUGUUCACAGAGUUUAUCAAGACAUGUCUUGGCAAGCUGAAAGAUUUUGCCAAGAGAGAUGUUGUCAAUGACAAGAUUGGAGGCGGUGAGCUGCCGCUGUAUGUCUGGUUGGAGUUCUUCUGGAAGGGAAGCCAGAAAGACAUGCUUUAGUGUAGGCUCAUUAAAUCCAUUAAGCUUAUAGAAUAACAAGGACAUGCGUUUGUAAUGGAAAUCAAGAUCCUUAGCAUUGAGGGAGCAGCAUUUCAUGUUAAGAUAGUCUCGUCGGGCGGCUUUAAAGGCCGCAGCUGGGUCUCCGAGAAAUUGAUCAUUAAGAAUGGCGAGAGCACUUGAGACUUCUGGUAAUUGGACAAACUGUAAUUGUCAGUAUUGGCCUAAUGAAUCAAACCAAUCUCUUAGAGCACCCGUAAAACGAGUAGCAAAUUCUCUAAGGACUGAUUCAGUUGUGGCUCCUAGGUGAAGCAUUUGGAGAUCAAUCCAGGCAGACAUUUCAUUAAGGCGGUCACGCCAUUUGUAAGAUGGGAUAUCAUCAAAGGUGAACCAUGGACCAUUUGAUGAUUUAUGACUAGAUGAACUAGUUUGGGCCGGAGGAGGCUGAUGUGUAGCAGAAGAUUCAGGCAUUUUUUCUUCAACAUCAGAAGGAAUGUCAACAUAUGGUUCUGUCCGGGAUGACUGACCUUGGGUAUGUUGAUCAGGUUGAGCCAUUAGAAUCUUGGUGAUAUCAGCAUAAGAGUUUUCAGAGUCACUGGUGGAUGCUGAAGAUUCUGUGUCAGUCUCAGUGUGGCUAUCUGAAACGGCUAGAUUUGAAUCAGAAGUUUGGUCAUCGGUGGAAGAUGAGUGGUCAACUGUGUGGGCACUGAACUGGUGCAUGGGUUCUUUAUCUUUGGAUUUAGUAGGAGGUUGAGAUAAGGGUGGUUCAGGUGGUGAUGGUGAGGCCGGUGUAUAUCCUGGGGAUUGGUGGCCAGAGGUAGGAUUGGAGGAUGGGUGAAUUGUGACGGGUCGUGGUUGAGGCUUCGGCUUUGAUUUAGGUUUUGAUGGUGGUGGCAAUGGAUGUUCUCGAAAGAGUGUAUGAGUCAUACCAAAUAACUUGGAAGGCUCAUAUUGUCUAACAAGGGAAAGUAUAGAGGCAAAAGGAUGAUAAGUGGGACCAAUGGAAGGAAUGAGAGGUGAAGAAGUAAAAAGGGACGGACGUUGUUUUUCAGACUCAAUUUGGCAAAGCUCAACUUUUAGGCGUCUGAUCUCUCUUUCUUUUUGGUCAAAUUUUGGGCCAUAAUAGCGAUGGGCAAGCAUGGUUCGUAACUCAGAAUCAAGUUGAGCAAUUUUAGACUGCAGGUUUUGGUGGAUCUGCUGCAUCUGUGUAGAGAUAGAGUCAACUUUUGUCUCAAGUUGUUCAGUUCGCAAACUGAUUUUUUCAACUUUUGAGUUGAUAUUCAACAAAGUAUCAUUUUGAGCUCUAGCAUUGUGAGUUUGCCAGUUGAGGACUGACUCAAAAGGUUUGGAUGGUUCAAGAUGACCAGUUGAAGUUAUGGGUGAAGGGAUAAAAGGUUUGGAUACAACAUUUCGUUGGGAAUCUGUGUGGGUGUCUAAAGGAGGGAAGGAAGAAGAAUAUUCUGAAGAAGUAGAUGAAAACAUCAUACAACUCAGUGGUGGAGGUAGAUCUGGGAUUGGUGAUGGAAUCUCAUAUUUGCAAUGCUUUACAAUCCAUUUGAGUUCUUUUUGGUAAAUUGGUAAAGGAGCUGGUGGCGAUGGAGGGUCUUUUGGUGGUUUAGGGGGACUGUGGUGGCAAGAGGUAGAAGAUUGUUUCUUUUUGGUUUUGCUUUUCCUUUUGGUAACAUAAUCAUCGUCCUCUUCCCAAUCAUCCCAGCAGGGACAAUCUGGGUCACAGUUGCCUGAUCCAGGGACAUCCCAUAGGAAAUGUCCAUUGUGCUUGGCUGGAUAAACAGGGUAACCUUCAGAAUUGAACCCUGUAAUAAGCAGAUCUUCCUGGGCUGUUUGAACAGCUGUGAUCAUGGAGGAAUAUGUAAAAGAGAGCCGAGGGGGCUCUUGAGGAGCACUGGGAGGUGGUUUAAAUGUCAUUCUGACCGUUCCAUCUGGUCGACGUUCAAACAUGCUCUCAGAUGUCUAAACUGGAGCUGUAUUGUUAUGGAACUGUUCAUAGUUGGAGAUCCAUUCAAGUGGCAUAAGCUUGAUGAGCUCAUGGCGAGGAAUUUGUCUUGGGAUCUGGAUGAUGGUUGGGAUUUGGUCAGAUUCAGCUAAUACCAUGAAGGCAUCAGAAUGGUGUUCUAGAGUGGGAAGAUCUAAGGCAUGAUUUUGAAGCCUAUAGACCAGUUGAUGGUGUAUGGUGGCAAUUUUGGCAGAGGAAAUCUGUUCAGCACCUUGGAUCUGAACUUGAACUUUCAAGGUUGUGGGUAGAUUGGUAUAUGUUCAUUAGUUAAAUUUAACUAAUGAACAGCAUAACAAAAUAUUUGGAGUUGCUUAAUACCAUAGAAAAAAAAGCAGAAAGAGAUGUUCAAGAACAAAACACAAAAAUUUUCAUCAAGUGGAGCAUCGAUCAUGCCAGCAUAAUAACAUAAUUACAUAAUGCUCGAAGAGCACCCAAGACCUUCUGAAAAAAUAAUAUAACUUAAAAUAUCAAAAAACACAAAUAAUUAAUUGAUUAUCCAAAUAUAUAAACAAACCUAGCUCACAAUGUGAAAUAUAUUAAAACAGCAACCAUAAGAUUUUCAAACAUUUAAAUUAACGGUGAUGAUAUUUCCACCCCGUGAAUUUUAUAAAUCCACCCAUUUUUAAAAAAAUUAUUAUAAUCAGUUCACAUUAUUUUUUAAAAAUUUAAAUUAAGAAGAAAUUAAAAAAAUUGAUAUAGAAUUUAUAAUUUUAUAAAAUAAUGUAAACUUAUUGUAAUUAUUUUAUACAGGUGGACUGGGUUUAUAAAAAUAGCGGGGUGAAUAUACUUACACCCUUGAAUUAAUAGUUAGUAUAAAUUUUAGAUACCUCCCCUAAAAUUUGACUUUGCUACACUUAGAGAGAAUGUAAACAUAUAUUGACAAUGGAAAAUGCUACUUUUCUCGGGUCAAACUCCGAAUUAAAUUAAAACGACGCUGUUUUGAUUUCUUUUUUUUUCUUUCAUUCUCUCUAAAACGACGCCGUUUUAACUGGCCUCAAAUUGCUCUCUCUCUUCGUCACACAAAUCCUUUUUCUUUGUCUCUCUUCCCCUUCGUUUCAGCUUGGUUAAGGUAAAAUCAACAACAGCCCAAAUUGCUCUCUUUCUCUGUCGGUGGUGGUGCCUUCUGUACAUUUAUCCUGGUACACGUCCCCCAGACCACCACCCCGUUUCCUGUGUUUUUGUUCCAGAUCUCUUACAGCCUCCUCUAUAUUGGUAUUGUUUUCACCAAUAUCCUUACCAUUAAUACCAUGAGAAUCAUUGAAAAGCUCUUCUGUUCCCCAUCGUAGAAUAUCUUCCACUUCCUUUUGAGAUCCAGAUUUAUUGACAAAAAUAUGAUCAAGCAUUAAUUUCUUUUUUGCAAGCUGCAAGAUGCGCUCCUCAACACUGGCACCGACAACAAGCCUAUAUACUAAAAGUCUAUUUGAUUGUCCAAUUCGAUUUGCCUGAUUCAUGGCUUGAAUAUCAGCAUGCAGAUUAAAAUCAGAAUCAUAAAUUCAUCUGUGAAAAAAUAAGAACUCUGAAAAAAUAAGAGAGAACGAAGAGAAAGAGAGCAAUUUGCCUUAACCAAGCUGAAAACAAGGGUUAAAACGACGUCGUUUUAGCUUGAAUUAAAAAAAAAAGAUAUUGAAACGACGUCGUUUAUUGUUUUCGGGAUUUGACUCGGAAUUUGACCCGGGGUAGGGGUAAAUAGCAGAACUCAUUGAUAAUAUACCCCCUAGUCGUGUAUAAGAGUUAGGCACUGGUUAGGUAGUUGAGGGCAAUAACGUACAUGUUGCAUAUUUUUUUAUUUUUAAAUCUUACAAAAGCUGUUGUACUGUAACUAAUUAGACAAGAGCAGCGAAAAUGCAUACAGUGCUUUGAAGCUGGGGAAGCCCAAGGGGAUAGUAACCCAUUUUCAUUGUCAAUGCCUAGCUUCAUUUCUUCUUUUUCUCAGCAUAACUUGAUGAGUGCUUAGCUUCAUUUCGAAGGUCGUGACACCAACUGAUUUUAGCAAAAGCAGAGAUACUUUGUGAUGCAAUAAGCUAACAAGUUUCUGAAAUCAACUAUGUUUUGAACCAAAUUCCGGCGACGACCAGCAGCUGAAAAGCCGGUGAUUAAAGGGCAAUCUAGGUGCGUAAUUCUAUCAAAGCUUAAAAUUGAAGUUAGGUUUUAUUAUUUUCUUGCAUUUUGUUGAAAUUGCUGUUAGUUAGGUGCUUUAUUUUUAGUUCAAAUUAAUUGAGAAAAAUGUUUAGGGUUUAUAGAAAUUGAAGUAGUGACCGAAUAUAUCGGAAUUGAUUUUUGAGUUGAUAGUCACUCGACAUGUUGUGUAAACUAUGAAAAUGAUUUAUUUUUUGAUGAUUUUGGACUCUGGUUUUUGAAUGCCUGCUGAAAUUUGCUUGAUCUGUUAUUAAAAUUGAGAAAAAUCCAAUCUUUUUCUAAGAAUGCAGAGGUGUUGCUGAGAAAACGCUUAUGGUGUUGUUUUGUUUCUUUUUUUAUUUUACAAGUGUGCAGUUCAUGUAAGAUUGAGACAGUUGCUCUUGUUGCUUUUUGAUGUUUGUAUAGACUAAUUCCAAUCACUGAUUUUUGUUGGAAAAUGGAUGCUAUUAUUUUUCCUUUUCUUCGUGUAAAAAAUUGUACUUCCGUUCCCAACAUAAAAUUCAGAUGCUUGCCUAUUACUUUUUGAGGUUGUUAUUUAGGUGUAAGAGAUAUAUUAGUUAUAGAGCUUGUAGGCAGUUGGUUUAUUGAAGAACUAGUACAGUUGAGAAAGUGUCUUUUAGGUCAUCCAUUUUAAUACACAUAUUAACAGAUUUAAUUACAUAAACACAAGACUUCAUUUGUUUAUCAAAGUAGUACUUUCUGAUGCUUUCAUAUAAUGAAUGCCAAAGAGAUGUCAUUUGCAAAAAGGUCAUUUGCAAAAAGGCCAUUUGAAUGUACCAACUGCUAUCCUUGUAAACCUCUAUUGUGAUUCUGUUAUCAUUAUAUGUUGUUUAAUGAUCUGAUGAUUUCGAGAUAUCAAGAUGAGUUUAUUCAUACAAUAAAUGUUGUCAUUAGGUUCAUAAUUAUUGUAGUACAUGUUCAUUUAGCUACUUUAGGUACUGCUACAUGCAUUUAUUGUAUAAUGCCUACUUAGCAGCCAUAACUACACCCAUUGUUGAAGCCACAGCAGCACAAAUGAGAAAAAAAACAUGUUUAGGAACAACAUUGUCUUUAUAUCAUUUAAUUUUACUCCAUUUUGUUGUGCUUUUUGCAUCAGUGACUUCAAAUCCUUCCUAUCCUUUUGCAUACUCAUCAGCAGUUCAUAAUUUGCUUGACAUGUUCCUAAACCAUCAAAUAUAACACCUUGGUCGAUAUCAUAGCCACAACCAUUUUUUCUAUUCAUACAGCAAUAAUAUAGCUUGUUUGGGUUGUCAUCUGAUUCCGCUACCUUCAUAGCAGCUAUUUUGUAGCAUUUACUAAUCUUGUUUGAAAAUCAAAUGAAUUUAAAAUAUUCUCAUUUAUUGUUUUUUGUAGCGUUCACUAAUCUUCUGAUAUUCAGUAUUGUUUUUAUAUAAAUUAAUUUAAAAUAAUAUCAUUUAUUUGUCUUAUUAUAUGAUUUUAGACUAUCAAAUUAUUUGUUUUAAGGGGCAUUUUGGUCUUUUCAACACUCAAUUGAGUUUUGUCUUAUUAUAAGAUUAUGUAAUGUCAACAACAAUUAUCAUAAGGGUAUAAUAGCCUUUUGACCCCCCCCCCUCCAGGCGCCAAAAAAAAAAUCGCCCCAAAUAUAAAGAUCAUCUACAGUGUCAAAUAAUUUUGAAGGGCAUUAUUAUACAUUCACUCAACUACCUAACGGGUGCCUAACCUUCAUACAUGGCCGGGGGUAUGUUGUCAAUAUAUGGAUACAUUCUCUCUAAGUGUAGCAAAGCCAAACCUCAGGGGUGGUUUCUAAAAGUUUUCCUAAAUUGUUAAUAAUUUUAUACAACAGAUUCUUGGAUACCCCUCAAGUUCACUUAUUCUACGUCAUGGCUGACUUUCAAGAAAUUAAAUUCUACAUUAUGACCCCUAGGGAAACAACGUCGCUAAUAAAAUUAUAAAAUACAUGUGUGUAAUAGUAGUCAAACCUAAACCUAUGUCGUUUAGCAAUUUACAAAAUGAGAAAGACGACAAAAGCCAAGCGUUAGAGUGGCAGCGAGCCAACGAGACAAGCUCAAGUUCACAGUGUUUUUGUUGAACCUUCUGAAGACCCAAAACUCGAGGUUUGUUUUUACGUUCCCUAAUCGUUUGACUACAUUUUUAUUCUGUGCUACGUUCGUUAUGAACUGUUCAGGCUAAGUGUUCGACGAAAUUCCUAAGUGAGUAUAUAUAAUGGUUUGCUCUCGUAUUUAUUCUGUUAUAGAAUGUUUUGCUUUGGGUGGUUAAAUAGAGGAGAUUAGACAUUGAACUUUAUGCACUUGUAUGUUUUCAAGUAAUUGUUUGCUGAGGCACAUGUACUUUGAAUGGCUUCAUUCAUCUACAGAGAUAUCAUAACAUUUUUUGCUUAGUGUGAGUCUUAUUGUUGUUAAUUUGUCCAAAGUGAAGGCUUUUUUAACUUUUAUUUCUUUGAUUUAUUUAUUUAUUGUUUUGUCGAAGUUCUGUGUCUCAACUUUUAUUUGAUAAGUUCUUUCAGACUACUAAUUAGAAGAAAAAAAUGCUAGAGAGUGAGUAUGAGAGGGAAUGAUGUUUGGGCAAGGGGUGAUUGGUUCACUUGGCUCAUAAAGGACCUCAACUAUAAUGACAUGUAUCAAUUUCGCAGCCUAAUUGGAAGGUAAGCUCAUUUCUUGAUUUCCUUCAAUUUUCACUUUCAUUUUACUGUUUUCAAGUAGCAGGUAAUCUAAAUAAAAGUAAAAUCAGUAGUGAUUUGCUUCAAGUGCAUAUGGAUAGUAUAUCACAUGUGAGAAGAUUGUAUUUGUUAUAUGAAAAUCCUUAAUAACUUUAAUUAAAAAAUAUAUUCUCAAACCUGAUCGUGGAAUGUACUAUUUCUUAAUAUCUGAGUUUGGAUCAACACAUUUUUUGCCAUGCAAUUUGACAAGUUGUCAUGUCCUCAUAUUCUGCACUAUUAUAAGUUUUGCCAAUCUGCAUAGGUGUUUAAUAGAUUGAGUUAAUCUAGUUUCGAGAGCAUGCCUAACUAAAGGGCAUCAAGUUUCUAAGUGAGGGCAAGCACAACUAUAAUUAUCUAUUUCAUAUCCUCCCUAUCAGCGGGGCAGGUCUGUUACCUCUAAAUUCUUUCAAUAACUUGGGGACGUUAAUCCUAUUAAUGACAGCCACAUAUUAUAAGUCAAGAAAACUGAUUUUUUGAUUAUUGAAAAAAUCAAAUUUUUUGUAUUAUUCUAUUUAUGAUCUCAGUAACCUACAUGUUGCGAUUGUCUUGUAUGGAUCAUUGUUUCUCUUUUAAGCUGUUAUAGUGACAAUUUUUAGCUCUUAUUGCAGUUCUUAAAGUCAUUGCAAGCACAUGCUCUGUCGAUCUCCAUAAAUUCAGAUACAUAUGCAUAGUUAGCUAUUCAAAUAACCACACUGGUAUUUAACUUCGAUAUUCAGAAAUAUUGCUGAAGUGAAGCUUCAUGGGGCAUGGGCGAGUGCAUUUUGUUACAGAGUGAUAUGGGCUCUGAAAUUGAAAGGCAUAGCAUAUGAUUACAUUGAAGAAGAUCUCUCUAACAAAAGUGCUUUGCUUUUGAAGCAUAAUCCAGUUCACAAGAAGGUCCCAGUGCUUGUUCAUGACGAAAAAUCAGUUUGCGAGUCCAUUGUUAUCCUUGAAUACAUUGAGGAGAUGUGGCCACAGAAUCCCUUAAUGCCAAAUGAUCCUUAUGAUAGAGCUCUGGCUCAUUUUUGGAUUAUAUUUGCCUAAGAUAGAGUUUGCUUCAGAACUCUAGCUAAUGCGUUUAUAAGUUCAUUAUUUUCAUGUUUAUUUGUUAUUAGAGAAAAAGAUCAGUAUCCCUGAUUGUAUGUCAAAAUUAAUUAUUUGUUCUUUUAUGUUUUAAAACCUAUCAAAAUCUCCAUUGUCGUUCAAAAGAUUCUGUUAACCUUCAAUUUUUUUGUCUUUUACUAAUUUUACCUCUGGAAAAAUUUUUAUUAAUAGGAAGUUGAAAGUUUAAUAGAAUUUUUUUAACGGCAAGGGAAAUUUUGAUGGCUUUUGAAAUAUGAGGGAGAAAAGGAUUAAUUUACCAAAACAACAUUGUGGUUUUGUUGUUCAUUUACCCUUUGUCAUUCAAUGUAGUUGUUAACCUCUAGUAUAAGGGUGCUUGACAAAUGACAAGGAUAUGUAUUGUCCAAGUCUUUUAGUUCAUACAUAUUAUUAAUCAUGUGGUGAUAUUUUGGCAGGGAGCUACUGUUUGGAAAAUGUUUCGUAGCGUACAAGAUCAAGAGAAUACAAUGAAAGAAAUCUUGGAAAUGCUAAAAACCGUUGAAGAACAUGGCUUAGGAGAGAAGAAAUUUUUUCAUGGAGACAAGAUUGGCUUAGUGGACAUAGCAUUUGCUUCCUUUGUUUAUUGGUUGCAAAUCAUUGAAGAUGUAGCAGGAGUGAAACUAUUUGAAUCUCACAAAUUCACUCGCUUGCACGCAUGGUUUGAAAAAUUUAAACGAGUCCCAGAAAUUGAAGAGAACCUUCCUAAUUGGGGUGAACUAUUGGUUUUUUUCAAACGUCGCCGUGAAAAGUUGGUGGCCUCUUCCUCAUUGCAUUAGCACAAAAUUCGUGCAAUUGUAUUGUUGUCAAGAGGCCGCUCUUUGCUUAGUUUUUGAUUAUCUUGUGUGCUCAAUUGGGAGGCCGCCGCUUUGCUGGGUACUUUCGUAUGGAUUUGAGUAAUAAGGGGGACUUGACUUUAUAUUUAUGAAUUAUUGCAUGUAUUUCGUUAAUUAUUAAUGGACUACUAACGGUUAUGUAUUGUUUGGGAGGAAGUUUAAAUGCUGAUAUAUACUAAUGACUUGAAGAAAAGUCAACUUAUUUGAAGUAAUAUAACUCUAAAAAAUCAGAAGAAAAACUCUUUGUGGAAAAAGAUAGUUCUGGUAAACAUGCCCAGCAUUAAAGGGUAUUAUCGAAACUUAAAUGUGAAUGGUUAGAGCCAACAUGUGAACAGUACACCAUUAUGAAAAGAAUAAUUUUUUUUUCGCUAAGAAUAACGAGCCAAUAGGACUUUAGUGAUUUUUUUUAGAUCUAAUUUCUUGAGAGACUUCUUCAUCUUCUUCUUCCUUUAUGGUUGGGGUUUCUUUCUCCAUUUUAACACCACCAUGGUAAAUUUUAACCAUCUAUCUCCCAAAGAAGCCUUUUCCCUUACUCUUCUCCUGGAAAACUCUCAAAUCUCUAUAAAACUCGUAUCUCCCUCAUGUCAUUAUUCCUCAUAAACAACCUUUAAUAAAGUUUUGUCGAUAUUAUAAUGCAAAUUAUGUAAUACUUCAUUUAUAUAGUGGAUUGGAGAUGAGUUACUCUUAUGGAUGUAGAUCAAAGGGCCGAACAAUGUAAAAUCUUAUGUGUUCUCUAUUGUUUAUGCUUAUUUUCUAUUUAUUAGGAUGAUGAUAAUACUCAAAUCGUAUUCCAUACAUGAGCUCAUAUAGAGGCAUAGCACGAGCUCUACUGAGCUCCCCAAAUAAGCUCUAUAGUUAAAGCUAUCCUCGAAUUCGCUAGAGCUACUUCCUAAACUCUCUUGAGCUCCCCAAAUCAACUCUUUAAACUAAAUCCCAUGAGCUCCAUAGAGCUUACCUCCCAAAACACUUCAAUUUACCUCAGUUCACCUUCCAGAUCACCACUACUAGAAAAAUAAGCUUUACUGAUACUAAUUUAGUGUCAGUAAUUACUUUUCCUGACACUUAUUAAUUGUGUCAAUGAUGCUCAAGCCAGAACACACUGACACUAAUUUUUAGUGUCAGUGAUUAUUGUGUUAGUAAUUAGCGUCAUUAUAGUAUCACUUAAAUAAUGACACGAUGGUGUUAGUAUUUGAUGAUAUUAUUUAUACGUCAGUGAUUUAUGUGACUAUAGUAUCAAGAGCACACUGAUUCAAUAACAUCAAAAGUUAUUAUUGUCAUUUUAAAUAUUUAGUGUUAAUAUUUAAUGAUAUUAUGCUACUUUUGGUUAAUAGUAUAUUUUUAUUUUUAUUUUUAUUUUCCUGAUUGUUUUACAAUCAAAAUAAAACUCAAAAUAUAUUAAAUAUACCAAAUCUCACAACACAAUUCAUAUAAUAAACAUCCCAAUACAUCACUUACAUUAAUAUAAUUUAACUACAUCAUUGUCUGGAAAAGAAAAAUAUAAGUACCAAAUUGAGUUUCGACCAGUUCUAAACAAUAGAAUACAAAAUUAAGUUUCAUCAAACAUUAACCUACAAAAUUAAGCAGAAGAAUGUCACUGAAUAUCCACACAUGGCUUCAUUUUUUUCCCACCUACAAGUACAUAAAAUCAAUUAGUACACCUCAAAAAAUAAGUCUUGGAUAUUUGGAAACAAUAUAUAAAGUGCAACCAUUUUUCCAGUACACUAAUAUUAAUUUGAAAUAUUUUUGUUUUUCGAAAAUUACAUGGCAUGCUUAUCUAAUGAAAACCUUAUAAAUUAACAAUGAACAUAUGUAUUAAUUUGAAAGCAUUCAACUUACAAGUAAUCCUGAUCAAUCUUAAAUUGUUGGAAUGUCCUCUAGUUGACCAGCAACUGAUGCUCCACCUAUAAAUUAGAGAGACAUUUAUAAGAAACUGUGGCAAUCUUAAACAAAGAAAUGUAAAUUUCAAAACUGUGUAUAAAGAAAAUCACAUAAAUCUAGUAGUGCAUUCCGCAUAUUACAUGAUCAUCCGGAAGCUGGUUCUGCCCAAUCAAAUGUUCAUCACUUAAUUAAUCUAGAGAAACCAAAAUUAAAAAUUAAAAAAUAAAAAUCUAGCUACCACUUUUCCAAUCACUAUUAUUAACCUCUCUUAAAACGUAAGCGAGUAACAAGCAGUAGAAGAUGGACGAGUAAAAUUAGAUAUUUAGAAGGUUUAUAAUUAAGCACUUAUAAUAAUAAUUCAGACAAAAUCCCAAAAUUGAAACAAAAGAAGCUUUGAAAUUAAAACAAGAGAGGAACAAGUUAGAUGAGCCAUAAUGACUUUUUAAUUAGCCAAGCUAAUUCAUAAGUUAAGUAACUAAUAAAAAUUAAGACUUAAAUUAAAAAUGUCUUCAUUUUGUUUAAUUAUCGUAUAAUUUUUUUUUUCUCAUGUCUAAAGCAUAUUUAGAGGGAGAGCUCAAUUUUACAACCUACUUAUGAAUUAAAUUUUAUCCACACAAAAGGGGGAAAAAACACCAAGCUAAAGUUUUAAUUAAAAGAAUAGUGAAAGCAGAAAGCAACGUGAUUAAUUAAGAAUUUCAUUUAAUUUUACUCACAAAUUGAUGUGUUAUAUAUCUCUAUGUGUGUGUGAGUGUGCGCACGCGCAUACAUAAAAGACCAUGCAUUACAGAGUUAGUUUUUUUACUAGUACUGUUGACGAGGGAACAAAUCUCUUUUAUCAUGGAUAAUGUGUAGAGAGAUGAGAGAGUAGUGUUGUGUUAUAAAUAUUAAUUGUCAAACAAAAUAUUAUUUCUUAAGAGAUCUGACUUUCUCAACAAAGUGCUCAAAAACCAAUAAUUGUCAAGGAACACGUUGACCGUUGAUAAGGCUUUUAACUAGAUGCCUUAAGCAACAACUUUAAUAAAUAUUACUUUUUCAGAUUUCAAUAAGUUGUAGUUGGCAAAAAAAAAUAUAACAUUUAAUCAUUAAAUAUUAUCCAAGUCCAACCCAACAAAAUAAAAUCAAGGAGCAUUAACAGAGGUCAACUAGCUCCCACCGCCCUGGGCAUAUUUUUUACAGUUUCUUGUGAUUAUACUUGUUACAACUACCAUGUCAUAGUUAUUGAAGAGAUAACUUUAGAUUCGGAAGGAGAGGGGAAAAAAGUCAAAAUUAGACCACAAAGAAGAUAGUUCUCAGAGGAAAUUAAAAAGGAAUUAUAAGACUCAUAUUAUGUAAAUGAGCGGCCUACAACACGUCAGAGUUGCAAAAUACUAAAAAGCUUGCAAUAAGGACCCAAAAAAGAGAGAGAGCGAGAGAGAUAUAAAAUUAGCAUCUCUAAACAAAAUGUUGAAUAAUAGUUUGAGAAAUAUUUCUUUCUCCUACUUUUCCAUAGUGAUGGGACUGAGAAUUAAGAUCAAGUAAAGAAAAUUAGGCAUAAUUAUUGUAAAAAAAAUAAAAGACCAUCAAAACAUAGCAGACAUACAGAGAUCACCAACAGCAAGCAUGGAUAUGAAAUUAAAACAACUAAACAAAAAGUUAAUUAUUUUAGUAAGUAGACUGAACUAACCAUAUGAUUCUUGCCACUAUAAUAACCAUAAGAACCUGACAGUCAUGAACACCAAAGCUUGUGAUUUUCUCUAGCCAGGAGCCCACCUGCACUGAAGUCCAUAGGUACAACAAUAUCCAAAAUAAUAAUAAAAGCCAUGAUGGAGUUUUAAAAAGUUCAUAAUUCGGUUUUAGAACAAUUGAUGGAUAAACUUAAAAAUUUGAAGUACACCAGUCAGUUUGAAGUACUUCAUACAACUUUCAUAUAUAAAAUAUAAAUGUGAAAUAACAUGUUCACAGUGGAGACCAGUCAGCUGCUGGAGAAACUAUUGCCUUGCUUUACAUAUACAGAGCAUCCCAUGCUCAUUAUCAUGGAAUGGUGUCCUAUUGUCUACUACUCAAAUUAUGGACUAUUACACAAGUACCGAUCAAAGCUUUUGUUCUCAAUCUUAAAACAUAUCACAUAAAGUUCAAACAAAAAAAGGGCCAACUCCUAACACAAUCCACCAAUAAACUCCCCUUUAAACUUCCAUCGUACUAUGGAAUGACAAAUUGUUGCAAACUCCAAAAUAAAAAGGCUCAACAGAGAACAAAAACAAGAACUUAUUAAUCAGGCAGCUAAGCUAAAACAUAUCCAAUUUCCAUAAGCCCACAUAGGAUCCUCGUUUAUAAAAUAAACCCCAUUUCGCUUAAAGCCACAAGACUUAAACAAUAAUUUAAAUCAAUACGUAAAGAAAAGUGCGACCUUCCAAAUAAACAUGAAUUUCUCAACAUCGUCAACAGCCCAGAAAAUUAAAAUUACAAAAAAUAAUCAUAAGCUAAAAUAAAACAAACCCAGUAAUUAAAUUGACAAAAAAAUAUUAAGCCAUUACCAAUUGUUAAAAUAAACCUCUCUGCCUUUAAAGUCGUUGAAAUCCUCCUCUACAAUUCUAGGCAUAGGCGAACCUUCUAUAGCAAACAAAUUAACUAACUUCUCAACAAUUAUCUCAAAUUCAAGCAAAUGGGUUUCGAGUAGCGAACAAAAAAAGUGAAAUUUGAGCAGGAAAAUAAAAAAACUCUGAUGAAAGAAGCCUCAAUUAGGGUUUCGCUUUGUUUUUCGAUUUGGGGAAAAAAAGAAAAAGGAAAGAGAAGCCUCAAUUAGGGUUUCACUUUGUUUUCGAUUUGGGGAAAAAAGGAAAAAGGAAAGAGAAGCCUCAAUUAGGGUUUCACUUUGUUUUUCGAUAUGGGGAAAAAAGAAAAGAGAAGCCUCAAUUAGGGUUUAGCUUUUCAUUAUCUGUCUGAAUUAAUUGAAUUGAGUUUGCAAAUGGACAACUGGAAACAAAAGAGAUCGAGAAGAGAAAAAGGAAAAAGAGAAGGAGAAAGCAAGAUAGUGAUAGGGUUUGGUUCAAAUAUUUGCGUCCAGAAACGAAAUAAAGUUUCCAAGUCUGGGUUAUAUUUUGCUUUUGUUAUUUUAAUUUUGUUUUUUAAUUUAUUGCUGCUAUUAUAUCUUAAUUCUACAAGGUCCAAUGGUGUAUUGUCCAUAUGUUAAAGCUUUGAAUUUUAAAAGUCCUAGGUUCGAGUUGGAGUUAAAGCAAAUUUUAAUGAUUUUUUUUUAAUCUUUAAUGCUUCAAUGUCAGUGAUCACUGAUGUUUAAUUUACUGACACAUCAGUAUCAAUAAUUUAUGAUACCUAUUUCUUAAAAGCGGAAAAUGGUGCAUAUGUACACAAUUACUGACACUUUUUACAAAGUGUCAGUAGCUAAGUGUCAGUAAAAGUCAUUUUUGUAGUAGUGCACCUUAGUUAUUUCUUUUGUCCUUAACAGCAGAAAAACACACCUAGAUUUUUACUAGCUCAAUCUCCCCUCAAAUAUAAAUUUAUUUAUUUAAAUUAUAUUUAACCUUGUUCAGGUGAGGACAACCACUAAAUGAUUCAAAUCAGAUCCUAGAGAAAAUCCGGUCAAAACAUGUAUCUAUGUAUAAUAUUUAACAUCACCCUAACAAUCAAUACGAAUGCACUUGGAUUUAUUCUUAAUAGUACACAAAGUGGAAAAAGCAUGACAAGCAACACUCGCACACUCGAGGCUCAAUAUAAGUACGAACGUCAUAAUUCCAAGCAACAAACAAUGACCAUCAUUACUAAUUUUUUCUGAAAGCCACCAAAUUGGAAAAGUACUGCCAAGUAAUUAAUUAACGACUGCGACUUGCCAGAUUAAGCUUAUCCAAUGCUGAGAGUUCAUUAUUCUUCGAGGUUUGGUUAUUGUAAAUGUCUUUUAGAGUAAUUGCAGGAUAGAGCGGAGGAUUUUCUUCUGAUAGCAACUCUUUAAUUGGACCAUAUCGUCUCGAGCAACUAUUAUUCAUGAAAAAACUUCCGAUUGAAAUUCUGGAGUCUUCCUUAUUUGAUAACACUCUAUGAUAGGCACUCUUGAACUUAUCGUUGGUAAUCAGCUGCAUAAACACGAACACGUUGGUAAUCAGCUGGAUAAACACACACUUCAUAUAAACCAUAAUUAAGUUAUCUGAUAGAGAUUCAUGCUCGGGUGUAGACGUUCACAUAAUUUUGUAAGGACGAUUCUUUCACAGUAUUGUGAAAGAAUUGUGUCCGCACAAGAUUUAGUGCGAACGUCCCACUUGAGAAUUUUCAAUUUGAUGGAUAGUAUUUCUUAAUAAGCUAUCUAACACACACUUGCCUGCAUCAUGUAGCCUAAGUUUACAACUAGAGUUCCCGGAACAGGGGCAAUGUCAAACCAUUGAUCUUCGUGAAAGACUUGGAGGCCACCAAUUUGAUCUUGUAUGAGCACAGUGACAAAUCCAGGGUCAGAAUGUGUUGCUAUGCCGAUGGACAAUUAUGGUUGAGGGCAUUCAGGGUAGUAACCAUUCCCAAUAGUCAUUUCCUCUACACAACCUAUGUCUUUCAGGUAAUUGGGGUCAAGCCCUAAAGCUUCGGAUAGAAGUUCAAACAGUGUCCCCUGUUUUCCACAUUAGGUUGUUGUAUGCGAUCAUUAUCUCUCUGCAAAUUACUAAAGACAAAAAAUAAUCACUACUAAAAGAAAGGGAGAAUGACAUUUCGACUUUUAGAAAUUAUUUUUUUAUUGGGGUAACAACUAGAUGAAAUGAGAGUAAUAAAAACUUAUUAGGAACCCAAGUGAUGCAAAAAGUUCUAAGAAAGAGGCAGGUGUUAUCCACUGUAAAAGAAAUAAAAUCUAUUGGUCAUCGUCCACAUACCUGCAAGCUUCAGGAAAAUCUUCAGGAUUUGAAAAAUCGCGACCCACAACACAACUCAAAUUAUCUUUCCAAAAGAGGGUUGGUGCACUAUACAAAUUUAAAUUUGAACAAUAUUUAAUUUUUUUGGAGUAAUCACGAGAAUAAUAUUUCUGCUUAACCUCAACAUCUUGUUGAAAAAACCAAUGGAUCCCAUCAAUGGCAUGAUCCAAAUGCUUGUUGGGAUUCCAUGAUUGAUCACUUGAAAGAAACCCCACUUCUCACGAGCACUUCUAAUUUGGUCAAUUACCUGAGAACGCAAACUUGAAUCCCUGUGUAUUCUUUUAAGGUCUAUGAUAGGGAUGCUGAUUUUGGGGUCCCUGCAGAUUGGCUUAUCAUCAAACUUAUGUUUAGUGUGAUGAUCUUGAAUGAUGAUCUGUGGAAUGGUUGUGAUCCCAGCAUCUACGAGUCCCUUAACACCAGCUUUCGUGUCAUCAAAAGCUUUCCACUCGCUAACUCUGUCACAAGUAAUGCUUCCCAUUGCUUGGUGAAUUGUCUUUUACCUGGUGAAUUAUGAAGUACAAAUGCUGACUUGCGGGUGAUUGCUUUUGGUAUAUGCCGUUUAUAUGAAUAUGAUUCCUAGCUUGCCACGUGCAACAUGUUGAAAUAUAACGAUAGCAUGAAGAUGUGGAAAUUUGUAAAAUUUGAUCCUGCGUUAUUUAUCAUGAUUAAAUUAAUUAUAAAUUAUCAAUAAUAGUCAAUUCCGGGGACCACCAACUACUGGGUGGCACAUCACAAUAAUAAAUUAUCAAUAAUAGUCAAUUCUGCAUUAUUUAAUAUUUAUGUGGAUAAAAUUUCAAUUAGCUACACUACAUUGUUGUUUGAUAGUUAACGUUUCACCUUCUCCAUUUGUAAAUAUUAUUAUGGACUUAUAGUGUGGCUUAAAAGCUAGAUCUUAAAUGAAAAGAAAGCUUUAAUGGUGAAAUAAAAAUUUAAAUAAAUGAUAAAGGGAUUAAAGGUUAACCUAAUGUUAACAAAAAUAACUGCAAAAUAUACAUGUUUUAUCAUGUUAAUUGAUGUUUUUCCAUUAUGCACAUAAAAAAGAUCUAUUUUACAAUUGUUUCUGUUGGCGUUGGGGCAGAUUUUUUUUUAGUCUAAUUAAGUAUAUCAUAAGUUAAUAAUAGUGCGUAUUUUAACUUUAAUAAAUUUGGCCACUUAGAUUUUUAAUUUUGACUCCUUCCCUAAUCAAUCAAGAAAAAGAAUGCUUUUCUCCAUAAAAAUUAAAAUAGAAAAUUCAGCAAGGACAUAACUGCGGAGAUGUUUGAUCCUGGAUUUAUAUAUCAAAGCAACAUCAAAAUUAUAAUAAUACUUCCUUGUUACCGAGAAGAGAUAUAUUCAAGAGCACUAGCCUUAUAAAGCCUUAACAAUACUAAACUACCUACAUGGAAUCUAAUGCGUACAUGCAAUGCUUUCUAAAGUGAAACUGUCGCUUGAAAAUAGAAUUCAUGUUCAGCAGCCUCCCUCUAUCCGAGCUCCAAUUUUAUAACAAGGAAGCUAAAUAAGAUGAUUUAGAUGGCAUCGGCAUCUGUAGUAUCGUUUGUCUGUAGUCCCUCAUUAUCUACGAUCUGAUCGCUCCCUAUAGUAUUGUUUGUCUGUAGUCCCUCAUUAUCUACGCUCUGAUCACUCCCUAUGUAGAGGAUCGACAAGAGAAAAUUGUAGCACACGUUCACAGCACUAAUAACUGUUAAACUCUUAUAGUACUUGUCAAUCCUACUAUAAUCCAAGGUUUCAGCAAACUCGCCUUUGUUUGCCAAAAUGAAAAAGAUGUUAAAAAUGCUUCCAAUUCCGACGAAAAAAUAACUUAUUGCUGAUCCAUGGUACUCCAUCCGUUCAGGAAAAUGAGAGCUCGAGUAUUCAUCACAUCCAUACCAAGCAAGCCCUUCCAUAAGACCUAAUAGACAGAAUUGUGGAACAAGCCAAAACAUGCUCAUAUUUUCCAAUUGUUUGAGCUUUUCCAACCUGCGAACCUCAACCUGCCAUGCCACUACACAGCAAACUGUAGUCAUCACCAUUCCAAUGAAUGUUCUCAACACUUGAGCUUGUCUCUUUUUAGUUUUUGGAACAAAAUUGGAAAUUAAAUUUUUUGACAGAUAAGAGAUCGUUGCACGAAUUAUCCCUUUAAAAGUUCGUAGAAAGAUUAAGUAUCUUUCAGAAAUCAUGUUGGCUCCCUGCUCAGGAAAAAAUGUAUUUCCUGCUGACAGAACCAAUCCAAACACAAUGAAGCUAGACCACAAUGGCAACAAUUUAAGAAGAGAUUUUGACUCCCUGACCUGGGCCACAGUGCAAAGUGUGCCUGCCUCUUCUUGUUCGUUAGAAGUACUUGAUGUCUCUAUAAUUGCCGCUUUGUCUAUCCAUCUGCAAUUCAAAGAAUUAAUUUAUUGGUAAUUUUUUAGGAAAAUAGAAAGCGACAGCUCAUGGUUUGGCAAAAUGAUCACACAGACGCGUUUAUGAAUACGCCCUUUUGGACAAAUCUUGGAGGUCGGUGUGACUAUUCCCGAACACAAAAGGGUAUUAAUGUGUCCAUAAAGAGGUUUAUAUAAUUAUUAAUAAAAAUAAGAGGGUCUCCCCGACAAUUUUGCCAGACCACGGGCCGGGUGUGGGUGUAUACAUGUUAGGCAUAUACCUGAGUAAUUUGAUUCUGGGUGACAAGUGUAAUACGUUUCCCUCAUCAUUACUGAAGAACAGCUCCGGAGAAAGAGGAUAAUUGAGAUGCUUUUUCUUCAGGGAGGUUUUAAUAACGCGGAUUAUAGCAAAACGGUCAAUAGGAGGUAUUUGUCUACUAUGAUAAAAGGGAAUACCCGACAACAAGAGGAUCAAACUGCCCCCCAUAAACAACAAUGUGAACAUGAAAGUCUUCUUCCAUGUCUUAAUAUUAUUUGCAUAGAAUGCCGCAGCUGCACCACAGCACCAGGCAAACCGCCACCACACUCUUUUCUGAGCCAUUACUUGAUCCUCAUUUGAAUUUUCUGUUCUCCCUCCUUUACCAUGUUCUCUUAAUUGAUCGGCAAGAAAUGGUCCCAAAAGAGGCGCCGCUCCAACUUCACCCACUGCUAACAGGAUAAUUCCUAUCAUGUUGAGUAGCUCAAAGUUGGUUUCUGAAAAUUCUCUGGACGCUGUACAGAACAAUAGCCCCAAUGCCUGAAACGAAAAUUGUUGGAACUAAUUCUAUAGCAUGACAUUAUGAUCCUAGAAAUGCUUUUCUUAAUCAUUAUUAUAAUCAAAGUGGAGCCAAAAUGAAUUAAUGUCACAUCAAUUGUAAUUUAACUAUUGAGAUCUCUAGCAUUAUUUUUAUAAGGGUAAAGCUCCUAAUAUCCUCUUAUUAGGUAUGUGUGUGUAUAUAUAUAUAUAUAUAUAUAUAUAUAUUUUUUUUUUUACAUGCUGUGAAAUUUAACAUUUACUGCAAAAUAAUAAAUUUUUAAUUCAGCUCAAAGUACUAUAAAGUCCUGGGUCCGCCCCUGAAUAUAUAUAUUGCUUGCAAUGAUAGACAUAUGUUUUAAUUUCGUCUCUGUUUAGAAGUUUAGCAAAUUCAAAACAUAUUAACUUACAAGGAUGUAGGAGACAGUUGAAAAAAUGAGGAUUCUGAGAGGACGAAUGGCAUAACACGAAAUCCAGGCGGCAACAAUCGUAAGAGUUGCUAAUAUUACAUCCUGAACACUCGUAAAUAUUGCAGCUUUCUGAAGUGUGAAUACUUUUGAAUAUUCGGAGUCGGAGAAGUAAGUUAUCAAGACGCCCACUAUAGCCAAGUCUACGAGUUUGCGGCUUAUCAACAAACCUGGAAUCAAAAUAAUCAUUAGAAAAAAUGUUCGUGCUCACUAAAAAAAGCUUACACAUGAGGACUGCAAGAACAACGUGAGAGAACUAUUGUCAUGUUUUUAUAAUUUAGCCCAACCUAAUCAAAGAUCUUAAGUACACCUCUCUUAACUGAAAUUAUUCUAGGGGAUUAUCUAUUUAGGAAUCUCAAAGUUCAUGAGCUCUUAAUACAUACACACAUACAUAUACAUACAUACAUCAUCAUGUUGUUAAAGUAAUGAUGUUAGUAAAAUACAAAAAAAAUAUAUGUACAUGUAUUAAAUUGUAUGGUUUAACAGUAUUAGUACAAAUAAAUAAAUUACAUGAUUUUGUAGUGCAUUGAAAAUUAAUUCUAUUAAACUAUACAAUUUACUAGUGUGUCUCCAUUAAAAAAAAUAAAGACCCUCAUAUAUAUAUAUAUAUAUAUAUGUAUACAAGUUUAUGUUCUGAAUAAAUACAUUUUUAAAAGAUAGGAUUACCUAAGGCCCCACAUGCAAAAUUACCUGACAGAAAUGCAGCAGCCUUACAAAAGCAGACGUAAUAUCGUACCCAAGUUAUGAACCUGUUUUGAAGCUUCAACAGCUGAGAAAAUGGAAACAUUGUAGUUUCUGAAACUGCUUUUAUCUGCAAAGACUUCUACUUGUGAGUUGUGAAUCCCGAGACGAUGAAGAUUUUGUAAUUAUGCCAAAGUCUUUUAGGUAGUUUAUUCAAAUUAAAAAAUAAUAAGUCGCACUUCAAGACCACCUAUUGGUCACAUCAAGACCACCAUUUGGUCACAUAAGUCUUCUUUUUUUUCUUGUGACUUUCAUCCAGCUACGGUCCAACAGGUGCACCGUGCCCCUCUUUUUGACAGCACCCCUUACUUUCUUCUGUAUUUAUAGUUUAUUAAAGUAAUUUCUUUUUCCUCUUUCUUUCACCCCUCACCUUUACAAUCUUCCAAUUUUUUCCAUUUUCAAUUAAACCUGUAAUCAACCAAUUGCAAGCAAUAAGAAAAAAGUUGGCAAGCUAUUUGCUCUAUAAUACACAAGUAAUUAGGGGUGGGCAAAAUAUCCGACCUGAUCCGACUCGAAAAAUUUUAGAUUCGAAUCGGAUCGGGUUGUUAAUAUAACCCGAUCGGAUGAAAUAUUGCAAACCCGAUCGGGUUGUGAUCGGAUCGGAUAAAACCCGAUCCGAUCCAAAAACCUGAUCGGGUUGCUAAAAAAAAAAAAAAAAAUCUAUGGCCAAACACACACACACGGCACACAGCACACCACACAUAAUCACACAAAUCAGUGAAAUCAAAUACUCAAAAGGUUACACUUUACAGUUUACACAAACACAAAACACACAAAAACAAAAAAAUCACAACACCCAACCCGUGAACCCACCCUCAAGAAGCAAGAAAACAUUCUCUCCUUCCCGCAAUCUGCUGCUGCCGUGUUGCGAGUCCGGCCAUCUGCUGCUGCGUCAGCGAUCUGCUGUUGCCGUGCUGUUGUCAUGCUGCUGCCGUGUUGCGUCCAGCCAUCUACUGUUGCGUCCACGAUCUGCUGCCGCCGUGCUGCGUCCACGAUCUGCUGCCGCCGUGCUGCGUCCAGCCAUCGCGAGGAAACUGCUGCGCGUCCAGCCAUGCGCAAGCUGCUGCUGCACGCCCACCGAUCUGCUGCCGAAAACCCAGCCGCCGAUCUGCUGCUCCAAGGCUCAAGCUCCAACCCGACCCGAGUUUCUCCCUUAGUCCCUUAUGUGUUUUGAAUUUUGAAGCUUUCAUGGUGUAUUGGUAUAUAUGUUUUGAAUUGACCCGUUUAAUUUGACCCGAAUUGGUUUAAUUUGACCCGAAUUUAAUAUGAUCCAUUUUUUAUUCGAACCGAUUCAACCCGAAUUCAACCCGAUUUUUGACCUGAUCCGAAUAUAUAUCGGAUCGGAUCGGGUCGGGUUGUAAGUUCGGGUUGUAUUCGGAUCAAUGUUUGCACAACCCGAAUAACUCGAAACCCGAUCGGGUUGACCCGAACCUGACCCGAACCCGAUUUUGCCCACCCCUACAAGUAAUAAUGAAUUGAAGUUUUUAUAUAAAAAAAUUACAUAGAUGUAAUUUUUUUACGCACACUAUUUAUCAUCUACAAUGAAAUUAACAUGUAAGUAAAUUGCUUUUUUUAUCUUUUAUUAUAUGUAUUCUUCCCCUUUCUCCCCCGUAUGUCUUUUCAUUUUCUCUUUGAAUAAUCUAACCUAAGGCUUUCUAAUAAUUGGUUUAUUGUUAUUAUUUUUAUAAGUAAACCUUCUCUUUGUUAUGUCAAUAGGUUUAUUUAAAAAAAAAAAAUUCGUAAAUGACCAAAAGUGAGAACCUUAAUAAAAAUUCAAAACCUAUCUUAGUUUUUGUUGUCUUUGUUAAUGCAUCUUGCAUGUUUGAUGUCUUAAUUAUAACUUGUGAGAGUAAGUACUGUAAUACAAUGAUGAUUAAUGAUUAUUACUAAGAGUAUUCAGAGAAAAAGAAGUUGGUGUAAAAUUUUAUAAACUUUGAGUUUUCUAAAUUUUCACUAAACAAUAGGGAUUGCAUUAUUAAUAACUAAAUAAACACAUCCAUAACCUUGAAACUACAUUUGUGUAAGUUCUUUCUCUUUGUAAUGGUUACGAAGACUGACAAUUUUCUAUUGAAGUUAUUUAUACAUGUAAUUCUUUUUCAGCAUGUAAUACAUUUAGGAAAUGAGUAAUGAUUAAGUACAAACACUUUUAGAUAAACAAUGUUGUACGAACUUAUGUGAUAUUUUUUAGAAAAAAGGAUCUGAACAUCCUUAAGAUUUUAAAAAAUGGUCAUUUAUACUUUGAGUUUUCAAUACAGAACAUCAAGACACUUUUUGACUAUAGUAUUCUUAAUAGAUAAUAACAAAAAAUAUUGAAUUUAAACAUUUUAAUAAAUAUAAAUAAAAUUUAAAUAGUUUAAUAUGUCUAGUAGACUAAUAAUAUUAGAAAUUUCUAGUAGACUAAUAAUAUUAGAACAUUUCUUAAUAUGUAAAUAAUUUUUAAAAGAUAAAUUAGUAUAUUUAUUUUAAUAAUAUAUUUUUACUUAUUAUAAAAAUUGUAAAUAAAUCUUUAGGUUAGAUAGAUUUUAAAUUUAAUAAAAUAAAUGUCAUGUACUAAUAAUAUUAAAACUAUUUUAUAUAAUAUUGAAAAUAAUUUAAAUUUUAAAUUUUAAUAUUAUCUUUCGAUUUAUUUUGAAAUUUAGUUUAAUAUAAUUUAAUGUUGUAAAGUAUUAAAAUAUUUUAAAAAUAUUGAAAUUAUUUUAAAAUGUAUAUAUUGUUACAUUUAUUUUAAUAUUAUACUUCUAUUUAUUAUAAAAUAUUAAAAAUAAUAUUUUAAUUAAAAGGGAGUUUUGGUGUCUCUUACUGAAAAAUAGAGUGUACAUAAUCAUUUUUUCAAAUUUUCAAGGGUGUACAUGUCAUUUUUCUUACUUUUUUAUAAUCAAUUGAAUAAAAAAAAAGUCAUUUGGCCACAUAAAUUAUUUCUAAUUUAUAUUUUCAAUCAACAAAUCAUAAUGUGUCAUAUCUAUUUGUAUAAGUAUUUAUGAACAUAAAAAAUUAAGUUUAGGCACUAGUCGGGUUGGAAAUCAACUCAUCCAAACCCAUGUAUAGUGCUAGUUGGGUGAGUUGGACUUAUCUCGAAGACCCAUUUUCUGUCUUUGAAAUAUCAAUAUGAAAUUAAAAUAAUUAAAAAAUAAUUUAAUUGAAACAACUAAAGAUAGAAUACAAAAUUACAAAUAAUAACUAUCCCUGAAACUUCAUUGUUAAUAAAAAUAAUUAUUUGUAUAGGAUCCUAAUUACACCAUAAAAAGUAAUAGGAUGAAUUCAAGAGUUGGGUUUGAAAAUUUUCAACACCUAGUAAAUAUAGUGCAUUUUCUCCACCCCUAUGAAAUUAGGGGUUGGCUUUCUACUUGAUUUUAAGUAGCGAAAAUGAUCAAAACUACCUUAUUGUUUGUUGAAACUAUAGGGUGAAUUUAAGAGUUGGGUUUGAAAGAUGCAAUAUGCUCAUAUGUAUAUAUGAACAUAUUGCAUCUUCACUAUCUUAUCCCCAGAAUUUUUGCACCAAAUCGUGGUAUAAGAAUAAAAAUUCGCAACUCGAAUCAACAAAGUAUAUCACUAAGUUAUUCUGCAAGCCGCCAAAUUGGAAAAUGUCCCAAAUAAUUAAUUAACCACAGCGACUUGAUAGCUUAACUUUUUCCAACGCUGAGAGUCCUUCAUUCUUCCCUAUUGAGGAUUGGUUAUUGUAAACGUCUGUUGGAGUAACAUGGGGAUAGUGCGGAUGAUUUUUUUCGGAUAGCAACUAUUUAAUUGGACCAUAUUGUCUCGAGCAACUGUUAUUCAUAUAAAAAACUUCCAAUUGAAAUCGUUGAGCCUCGCCUUCUUGACAACACUCUGUGAUAGGCACUCUUGAACGCGACACUGGUAAUCAGCUGCAUAAACAUAUAAAAGAACACUAUAAUUAAGUUAUAUGAUGGAUUCAUAAUAGUCAAAGUUGUGCAUAACAUCUACUUGCCUGCAUCAUGUAGCCUAAGUUUACAACUAGAGCCCCGGAAACUGGGGUAAUAUCAAACCAUUGAUCUUCACAAAAGACUUGGAGGCCACAAUUCGAUCUUGUAUGAGCAUAGUGACAAAUCCAGGGUCAGAACGUAUUGUUACGCCAAUUGUCAAUUUCGGAUGAGGGCUUUCUGGGUAGUGACUAUUCCUAAUAGUCAUUUCCUCUACAGAACCUGUGUCUUUCAGGUAACUGGGGCCAAACCCUAAAGCUUCAGACAAAAUUUCAAACAGAGUGAAUUAGCAAUUGACGUUGUUGGAGAAAAAUCAAUUUUUAUUUUUUUUUUAAAAAAAAAACUUUUUAGAGUCGAUCUCAUACAAUAUAUAAGAAUUCAUAAUUUAGAAAUUAUACCUUGAAAAUAUGAGAAAAUGAACAAUCUUUGCUUUUUCUACUGAAGUGAAACUAGGCUCCCAUAUCACGAUUUGUCACCACCACACCUGUUAGAUCAUAAUCUGUCACCACCACGCUUGUUAGAUCACGAACUAUCACCAAUGAUUUUCUAGAUUAUGACUCAGGUUUGAUCUGCACUUGACGUGUGGGUGCUUUUAUCACUACCAAUAGCAACUAGUAUGAGAAAAUUUUUCUCUCAAGAUUAAAGAGAAAUAUUCUUUUUCUCUUAUCUGUAUAAUGUGGCCUUAUAUCUUUUCAAGAGAAAAUAAGCCCUUUUAUAUCUUAUCUAGUGGAAAUCCUAAGCUCUAUAUUUUUUAUUUUUUAAUUCUAUUAACACAAGGCCCCUUACACAUAAGCAUAUUACAUGGAGCCUCCUACUAAAUAAUAUAUUUAGGCUUUUAACCCAAAUAGCUAAUUAUCUUACUUAUUAAUCCAGUAGCGGCGCAGUCAAUUAAAUGAGCUAACCCAAAGAUCAUUUGAGAACAUACAAUAGUGGCUACAAUAAUUAGGCAUGUAAUCAAACUAGCCCAAUUAUUUAAUUCUAAAUCUACUCCACUAAAAGAUUGGAACUGACUUCCACAAUUGUAUGCUUGAAUAAUAAUUCAUCCCAAACAACAUUGAUUUCUUUACUGCAUAAUCCUUUGUACCACAUCAUUAAUUAAAUUGAUAUCUCAACUGUCCAAUCAAUUUAACUACAUCUUGUUCCUUGAUUCUUACUGGUUUUCUCUAAUGAUCAUUUUCAACAUACUAAAUAUGUCGACACACUCUGACCAAAGAAUUCUAUGAUCAAGUGCCGAAAACCUAUCAAGAGAUGUGUUGUACAAAUUCUAUAUUGUCAAUCUAUAACUCCAAUACUCAUAAUUGGUCUCAUCAAGAUACCGGAUAAUCUUGACUACAAGUAUGUGUCGUGCCCAUUGGUAAUUCAAAUGGAAUAACAAUUAUAAUCAUGAAAUCAUAAUUAACUCAAGAUUAAGAUUGCAGUAAAAUCCACGUCUAUGAGAUUUAAUAAGUCUGACAGUAAUUACAAAGUUAAUUAAAUCUCAUAUGUUAUCUUGUUCAAUGUAGUCUUACUAUAUCAAUAAAUUCAUACAUGAAUAAGACAAAUCAUUCAAUGAAUUCAUUACAGUCUAUACCUAAAUAAAGUGCCCAACUUUAUUUAUCAACUGCGAAUUAAAUUUAUUUAAUCAUAAGAUAACUUGUAUUUAUGUCUUCUAUAAUCCACAUGGUGAUUCUUGUACAAAUUUAUUGAACUCGCAAGUGCACGAAUAUAUUGUAGAAUAGAUUAAUGGUGACAAGUGUCGAUCCCACGAGAAAGUGGAUUUUAAUUAUGUGUAAAAUUAAUUUUCUAUGAGGGUGGUUGGAUUUGUGGUGAAAAUGAUUUGGAAUAUUCUAAACAUUAAAUUAGAAUGGCAGGAAUAAAUUAAAGGAAAAUCUAUUGAAAUAAAGCACUUGGGUAUCUGGAUCUGCAUUAACAUGCACCAUGUGCUAAAUAUUCCUUAGUAAUGCCAAUUAAAUCAUGAGGGGGGUUUCUACUCCUCAUGAACCACACUCUAAUCAAUAUGGUGUUAAGGGCUUAUUGUGGCAAACAAUAAUAACCUUGUACUAGGGAGUCGGUUAAAUCAGUGCAGUAUCCAGACAAGAUUAUUACUAUUUGUCGACGAAAAGUCAAAAUAUCAACAAUAAUUAGAGGAGAAGAGAAAGUAAAUUUACUAAAUAAAGCCCAUGACACAUGUUGAGACUUCACCAACCCAAACUUGAAAGAAAAUUAGCUACUUAUAAUUGAACUAAGGGUAAAAUGAGAAUUUAUUAAAAUACAUAGAAAAUACAAGAUGGAGAAGGAAUUACAGAAAAUAGGCUCAAAAAUGAAUUCAAAAAUGCCAAAUUAGGGAGGAGCCCCCCUUUUAAUAGAUACACUGAGUAAAUCAUGGCCAUCAGAUUAAAAACAUUUUGGACGCUCAAGAUUGCGCCACGUCAUCGGUCAACAGUACGUGGUUUGACCACGUGGUUUGGUUGUAAAUAAUCUCGUGUAUAUGCAUGUACCGUACGCACUAUUUUUUAUCCACUAACAUGCUGCCACGUCACCGAUCAACAGUACAUAAGAAUUUUAGUCUAAUAAAAUCGUGACAUCUCAUCAGUCAAUACCACAUCAUCAGUCAAUGCCACGUCAUCAUUUUGUAUAUGUGAAUAGUGUCGUGAACAGUAACAUGGAUAGUAUCGUAUCUGUGAAUAGUACCGUACAUGUGAACAAUUCCAUUUUUCCUUUUAAACUCCUCCUAAGAUUUUCGACUGUCCUGAUCUCAAAAGUGAUGUCUGUUUUGCUGUAUGAUCUCUCGUUCAUUGUGAAAUGACCAUGAUGCCCCUAAAAUACAUAAAAUAUUUAAUUAUAAUAUAAUACACAUAAUUAAAUCAUAAGGAACUUAAAUACAUAAAAGUAUGAAUGUUAGUGAAACUUGAAGUGUAAAAUGACGAUUUUCUCCUUCAUAAAUAUACACUUUCUAACACUCAAAAGUGAUCACAUAAAUACAUAUAAUAUGAUUAAAUGGACUUUAAUCAAAAUAUUAAUGCAAUUAAGAUAUUUGAAUAAAAUACCUUAUUUAUUUUAUUAAUCAGAAAAAUUGUUUAUUACAAUUAAAUAAACACUUAUGCUUUUAAAGAGCAUAUUUUCCCAACAGGCGUAUCUCAUAAAGCCAACUUCGGUGGUUGGGGUAUCCUGCCGUGCAACACUGUAUCUCUUAUAGUCAACUUUUACGACUUGGACAAUUUGUAUUUUACCGAUUGUCCAUUGAAUUAAUUUGUUUUUGCUGAAAAUGAAUAUUAAAAAAAGAUUAAAAUAAAUAAAAUUAUAAAUAAUUAAAAUCACAGAUUGUCCCAGACCACCAAUAAAACCUCUAAAACUAAAAUUAUAAGCUCCUCCGUAAGAUCCACCAUUAUAUUUCUUAUUACCACUAGCAUUCUUUCAAGGAUUAAAAUGGUUUUGAGUUACAUUAGCUAACAAGUUAUGUGUGACAUCACUAGCAAUUUUACCUCUUGUCUGUUCAACUCUAUUCUCCUGAUUUAGCAGUAAAGAGUAAAAUUCAUCAAGGCUGAUCUUAUCACCUCCAGCUAACACACUGAUAACUAAAGACUCAUAAUCAGAUGAAUCUAGUCUAGUCAAAAUAUAUUGAACAAAAUCACUUAACUCAACAGAUUUUCUAGCUAAAGCCAGACUGUCAGACAAUCUCUUCAUUUUAACAAAGUAAUCAAUCAUAGACAUUGAUCUUUUUUUGAGUGUUUGAAUAUGCAUCUUAAAGGCAUUAUUCUAGCUUGAGAUUGUAAAGUAAACAUACUUGUGAGUGUAUCCAAAAGCUCUUUAGCAAUGGAGCAAUGAACGAUUGUAGCGAGUAGAUUUUGCUGAAUAGAUGACAACAUCCAACUCAAAACUAAUUGAUCUGUCUUCAUCCAGGCUGUGUAUGCUGGAUUGACCUUUCGAUUUUCAGUAAUAGUUGAGGACCAACUUCAGUGCUAGCUAGUGUGAGAAAUUACUCCGAACAAGUUUGAUCACCAUUAAUGAAAUUAUCCAGAUCGUUUCCUUUGAUGGAUGUUAAAACCUGAGUUUGUCAGACAAUGAAAUUAUUAUGAUCUAGCUUAACAGGAUUGAUAAAACUAUAGGAUCCAGAAAAUUGAUUAGAACUGACCAUUGUAGGCUCUGAGAUCAUGAUAGAAUUUGUAAUAUAUAUGUCUGGAAAGCAAGAAAAUUAAGGAGAAAAAGAUAGAAAGAAAAGAAGAAGAAUUUAGAAUAUGUUAAUUGUUCAUUACAUUACAAAUGUGAUUAUAGCCUUUGUAUUUAUAUUAAGUGAAAUGCUUAACUAUAAUUUGUUAUAACUGGAAUAGGUGCUAAACAGUUCGUUAGCUAGAAGGCUGAGAUGGCUAACUAAUUAUUCCACGUUAGCAAGAGCACUCAUGUAUGGUCCUCAUCCGUACUGUAAUUAUCAUACUCUGUAACAGUUCUUCUACAUCUUCUUGCUCUUCAGGACCAAGUGUACUUCGUGGGUCUAUAAUUGCUGCUUUGUCUAUCUAUUUGCAAUUCAAAGAAUUAAUUUAUUGGUCAUUUUUUUAGGAAAAAAGAUAACGAAACAUAGUUGUUUGGUAAAAUAGUCAUGUGAACUCUUUCUUCAAAACAUAUAUAAAAACAAACCUUGGAGAUCAGUAUUGUCUAUGUGAUAAUUUCUAAAAAUAAGAGGUCUACCUGACAAUUUUUUCAAACCAUGGGAUGUUGGUAUAUACUCUUUAAGUAUGUACCUUAGUAAUUUGAUUCUAGGUGACAAGGGUAAUUCAUUUUCAUCAUCAUUACAGGAGAAUUGAUCUGCAAAAGAAGGAAAAUUUAGAUGCCUUUUCUUCAGGGCAGCUUUAAAAAGACAGAUUAUAGCAAAACCGUGAAUAAGAGGUAAUUGUUUACUAUGGUAAAAGGGAAUACCCAACAGCAACAAGGCCAAACUGCUCCCAUAACCAAUAUUGUGAACCUCAAAGUCCUCCGUCAUGUUUCCAGAUUAUUUGCAGGGAAUGCUGCAACUACAUUACAACACCAGGCAAGCUGCAGCUAUACUUCUUUUUGAGCCUUUACUUAUUUCUCAUUUGGAUUUUUUGUUCUCCCUUCAUCACCAUGUGCUCUUAAUUGAUCGACAAGACAUGGUCCUAAAAGAGGCCCCAUUCCAAAGUCACCCACUGCUAACAAGAUCAUUCCUAUUACGUUGUGUAGUUCAAAUUUAGUUUCUAAGAAUUUACUGGACGCUGUAUAAUACAAUAGCCUUAAUGCCUCCAACAACAAUAGUCGGAACUAAUUGUAUGGCAUAACAUUAUGAUCCUAAAUAUGCUUCUUAAUCAUUACUAUAGUUAGGAGCGGAACAAAAUUGAGAUUUAGGGGGCCAAGUGUAAUUAAGGUAAUUAUUUCAGGAUUAGAGAGUAUUAGUUAUUUUCUGGGGUUAGGAGAUGGGGUUCACGUUUAUGAAGCCACCAUAUAAAGAAAAACAACUAGUUUGAAAGUUGAAAUUACAAAUUUAUAUAGUGUGAGAUUAUUUCAACCUACUAAAAUAUAUGUUAUUUUAAAGACUAAUGAGCUUGCGGCUUUGAAAAGGUUGGAAUGUUAUUUGGUUGGAGAGGGACUCGGUUUCAACUUUAACUUGUCUUACGAGUACCAAAUUCAAGCCGUCGUAGCAUCUGCAUAUCAUAUAGUUGAAUUGUUUGAGAGCCUAAAAGUCAAAUAUUGUGGAUCAUAUCAAAUGCCAAAUGUUGGAUAAUCUUUUCCAAAUGUUGGAUAACAAGAAAAGGGAUGCACACAAGACCGCUGACUGAAAAUAGAAAUAAUUGGACAAAUAAAGCCCAAACCACAACUCAUCAUAAUCUUUUUGUUACUAAUGGAAGCUAAAAGCACCUGAGUUAUCAACUAUUCACAUUUUCUAUUAGAUACUGAUGCUUGAUACAUUCAUCAUGAUAUCCAGAAACAAUAAAAUUAAGCUAGUACAAAGAUAUCUAAAUGAAGAUGAUAAUAUCAUAGGCAAGAUAUGGUCCAAUUGAUUAGGAAAAUCAAGCUAAGGUAAUUUUUUUUAAUACUAAAUGCUUAAUUAAAAAGGACAUCAUUAUAUGUUUUAUACAUGCACAAAUUGUCAUUUAUUUGAGGCAUGUCUAAUAUUUAGUAGAGUGACAAAUAUACUUGAAAAUGUAUAAAAAUUAUCAAAUAAUAUGUGAGAAAUAUAGUUAUUUUUGUUGUAAUAUUAAUGCAAUAAACUUUUAUCGUAUCAUAUCGGCAUGUUUAAAGAGGAAAAAAAAAACUCAGAGACUCAAAAAUUCCAAACUUUAAUGUGUAGCUGGCAUUUAUUUGUAGGCUCAAUUGAAGUACAGAAGUCACAAUUCCAAACAACAAACAAGCUAUCAUCACUAAUCCACCAAAUUGGAAAACAUCCUCAAUUAAAUUAACCACCGCGCCUUUCCAGCUUGAGUUUUUCCAAUGCUGAUAGUCCUUCUAUUGAGGAUUGGUUAUUGUAAAUAUCUUUUAAGGUAAUUUCAGGAUAGAGCGGAGGAUUUUCUUCGGAUAGCAACUCUUUAAUUGGACCAUAUUGUCUCGAGCAACUGUUGUUCAUAAAAAAACUUUCGAUUGAAAUUCUUGAGCCUUCCUUUUUUGAUAACACUCUGUGAUAGGCACUUUUGAACUUGUCAUUGGUGAUUAGCUGCAUAAACACACAAUAAAAAAAUCCACUAUAAUUAAGUUACAUGAUGGAUUAAUAAUAGUCAAAGUGAUGCAUAACAUGUACUUGCCUGCAUCAUGUAACCGAAGUUUACAACUAGAGCUCCGGGAACUGGGGUAAUUACGAUCUGCAGUUUUCUAAUUUAACUCAUGCACGCUCGAGGCUUUUGUUUACCCUAGUUUUCAGUAUGAAAAGAGGCGCGCAUCACAUAAUACGGCGGCAAAGAAUUAUCAUUAGAAAAAUUGGAGAGAAAAAGAAGAAGAAGAUCAUAAUUCAAGGGAACAGCUGCAACAUCAUUGAAGAAUCCAGCAGAGUUAUUUGGAUUCACUUUUUGUCGUUCUCGACUUAUACCUUUCUUCUUUCUCUAACUAAUCUAAUGUAUCUCAUGAACAAUAUGUUGCUGAUUGUUUAUCUCUUUCAGAAUAUGAACUAAACUCGCUUGUAUUUGAGUGACAAACAAUCUAAUGGGUUCUUGACUGUUCUUAUGAGUUGCUAUGUCAUUGCUGUAGCAUUUUACUCUAGUAGCUAUUAUUAUAACUUUUAUUUUGGUUGACCACCCAUUUAAUGGUUCAAGUUAAGAUAGGACCAUAAAAGGGCAUGUCUUACUGGAUAUUAUUAUAGUAAUACUUGAUCUUAAUUUAAGUUUCCUAGAUUACGUUUAUCUUGAAUCCCAUAAGGGCCAUACUUAAAGUUAAGAUUUGUGAUAAACUAGACAUAAGUAUUCACCUUGUAGGGUGGAGAGAAUGGAUGUUCAUAAUGUCAUGCCAUAGGUAAAAUAGCAACUGGCCAUUGUUAAGAUGUUUACGGGUAUGAGACUUCCAAUAUGCGACAACUGAGGAUGCAAAUUAAAUUCUGUCCAGUGCUAUAGAAAUUAUUGUAGCAACUGGUGUUAACUUGAUGAAAAGCAGUUAACCCAUAAAAAGAGUUUGAUCAUUCAACUACCUUAUUCUCAUUUGAUUCUUCGACGCAUUUUAUUUAAUUUGUUUCAUUACUACAUUGUUUAACUUUAUUCUCUCACAAUUAUCAAUUUCAAUAGUAACCAACUUUACAUUUGUUAAUUUAGGAAUCAAGUUAGAUUACACUAUCGUGAUUGCUGUAGCAUUUCUAGUAAUAUCAAUCCUUGUGAAGACGAUCUUAAAUAUUCAUCACUUUAUUACUUGUUCUGUACACUUGCACAUUGACAUAAAUAAAAUUUGAUAAAAAAUACCAACAAUGAGAUAGGGGUAAACUUCAGGAUGUGCUGCGCUUUUUAAUUGUUGUGUAGAUUCUUUUGAUUCCUAUCUCUAGUGGAGAACCAGAUGUGAUUUUGUGAGACCUUUCUCCUGAUGGUAGUUUUUCUUUGAGGACUGCUUCAAAUAUUGUGCAUUGGACAAUGCCAAGUGAUGAGGCUUUUUUUGUUAUUUGACAGCGACAUCUUUUCCUGGAUAUCUUUUUUUCUCUAGAGGUUGUGACACAAAUUCUUGACCACAGAUGAUGCCUCGUGUUCGGGGGAUUUCUGCAUAGUUUCUUAGUAUCUUUGUGGUCGGGCUUAUGAGACUUCUAGGUAUUUUCUUUCUUGGUUGCCCUCGAGUUAGGCCAGUUUGGGUCCAUUUUCUAUGUACUCUUGGUUUGCGCUAUGUUGCUUUUCUAUUCCCCCGUACUUUAUUUCUUAAUUGGUAGUGAUGUGCCCUUUCUUGGAGCCAUAUUCGAGUUCUUCUUCCUUGUUUCAUUUUGUGGCGAGUUUAGAAGGCCUGUAAUGCAUUGAAGUUUGACUCAAUGGCCUUUUUUGUUGAUGCUGUUAUUUAUUGGGCAAUGUUGGAUCUUAGGCUUGCUGGUUCUGCCUUUGGUCUUAAACCAUCCCAACUGUGAGGAGUUCUAGGUUCUCGAUUUGUAAAGUUCUUGAGAGUUGUUGUUUCAUCCAAGAGGCUGAUUCUUUUAGUUUUUUGGCAGUGGUCACCACCUGGGGCGGUGAAGCUGACUAUUGAUGGUUGCUUUAGGAGUAAUCCUAGGAUGGCUGCUUCAGAUAGUAUUUUACGUGAUGAUUAGGGUGUGGCUUUGGCUGCUUUUGGUUCCUUCCUUGGGCGCUCACUGAUCUUUCAUGCAGAAUUCAUGGCUGUUUUUUAGGGGUUAGAGUUGGUGCUCAGCUCCAUUAUUCUGUGCUUGACGUAGAGUUGGACUCAACCAUGGUGGCUUCUUGGAUUCUUUUCUAAGGCCUUGUUCAUACGGACUAUACCUAUUCUUUGCAUCGGGUGUGUAGUUUGACAUUUUCUUCUACUUCGUGGUUAGUCAUGUGCUUCAGAAGGUUACUUCUACUGCUGAUUUCUUUGGCCUGCACUCUUCAAGGUCAUUUGUGUUUCUUGGGUUCUCAGGAUAUAUUUGCUAGCUUAUCUAAUAAUCUCCGUUUGGAUAUGUGGGUAAUUUCUCGUAUCAGGCAAUAGGAUUGCUUAUUUAUGUAUUCCAUUUUUUAUCUUGUAUUUUUCUCUUUUCCAUUCUUAUGUUCUUGCAAUUGCGGUUUUGAUUUAUAUUCACCUCCUUAUGUAUUUGAUUCAUUCUAUGAUUUAUAUGAAAGAUAGGAGUUCCACCUAACCCCACCUUUUUGUGGUUAAAAAAAAAAGAUCAGGAAUUCAACCUAGAUCAUCAAGGUAAAACAUCAAAUAGGUUGUAAAUUUAACAUAUGAACGUAAAAGCUUAACAAAACAUUUGAAGUUGCUUGACAACAUAGAAAUACAAGCAAAAAGAGAUGCUAAACAACACAAAAUUUUGAUUGGGUGGGAGUAUUGUUCAUGCUAGCAUAAUAAUGAGGUGCCUGAGAAUACCUAAGACUUUCUUGAUAAAUAAUAUCAUCUAAAAGGUUAGGAAUCACAGAUAAUUGUCCACGUAUGAACAAACCUAGCUCAAAAUGUGAAAUGUGUUAAGAUUUUCAAACAUUUAAAUUAAUAGUUAAUAAUUUCAGACAAAGGAUUCUUGGAGACCUUAAAGUUCACUGAUUCUAUCUUAUGGCUCAUUGUCUCUCUCAACAAUUUAAUUUCUAGAUUAUUUGGCUCCUAUCUAUUAAAAGACAACACCGUUACUAAAAUUAUAAAUUAUAACAGUUAAACCUAAACCUACGUCGUUUAGCAAUUUACGAAAGAAAAAAAUAUAACAAAAGCCAAUUGUUGGAGUAGCAACGUGCCAACGAGAAAACCUCAAGCCAUGUAAUAUCAUGUGUCAACAACUAAAGAAGAACAAACCACCACCCUCUAGGUCGUCGCUGCACUAACGCUGGGCCCGAUUUGAAUAGUUAGAAGUUGUAACAUUAAUUAGGGAAUGAGGGCAAAAUUUUGGACUUCGAUUUAAUAAAAUUGAUUUAAAUGAGUCCCAAUAGAAAUAUGAUUAUAAAUAUAUCAAUAAAAUUAUGACAUGUUUAAAAGAAAAAAAUUAUUUUCACACAAAACAAAAAACACAACCCUUGGAUGUGGGAUGUGUCUAAAAAAUAAUAGGGUGGAAAAAUUAUCACCCUCAAAUUAGAUAUAUAAAUAUUUAAUGUUUUACUCUUAUAAUUUUAUAAUUGUUUUUUUAAAUAUUAGUAAGAGAAAGAUAGAAAUUAAUAUAUAGACAAAUCGAGUCCUUUAUUUUAUUAUUCAUAUCCAUAAAAAGUAACCACUAUGCUAGUCCCACGAACUUAGCAUAAGACGGUAAUUUAGAAAAAAGAAAAAAAAAAAGGAACGUUUUUAGACACCAAAACAAAAGCAAAACAAGCACAAAGCGAGACAUACAAACAAAUUUUAUGCUACUGCAUAGGGGUGUUCGUGGAUCGGAUUUUACGGAUUGGAUAUCAAUCCAUAUCCGAUCCAUGAUUUUGCAGAUUAUAAUUUUUCAAUCCAAUCCAAUACACAGAUUGAUAAAAUUCAAUCCAAAUCCAAUCCAUACAUCUGCGGAUCGGAUGCGGAUUUGACUCAAUCCAUAUCCAAUCCAUACGUCUGCGGAUCGGAUGCAGAUUUGACUCAAUCCAUAUGCAAUCCACCAUUUUGCGCAUUAGUUUUCGAAUUAAAAAUUUUUAGUUCUCUCCAACUAAUGAAAUAAAAAAAAUCUAAUAUAAAAAUAAUUUUGCUACUAAUUAAAUUUAAAAUUGAAUAAAAUUUAAAUAAAUUAAUUGUUUAAAUAAAGCUAAAAUAAUAUAUUUAAAGUUUUAAAAUAUAACACAUCGAGACUAAUUAUUCAAAUAAAGCUACAAUAAUACGUUCAAAGUUUCAAAAUAUAACACACAAAGCUUAAUUGUUCAAAUAAAGUUACAAUAAUACGUUAAUAUAACACCAAAAUUAAUUAUUCAAAUAAAGCCACAAUUAAUUGAAAAUGGCGAAGUUUUGGAAACCAAACACAGUUUGAUCCUUCACCAAGGCUGUUGUGCCUGUCGAAAAGUGGUGAUUACGGAGCCAUUCACGAUGGGAAUCAGGAGAAGCCGUACGGGUGGCGAUCUUGAAGGUUGUGAUUGUGAAAUUGUUCAAUUGGAACCAAUGAAUGUGAAGUGGCUCGAUGGACUUGGGAAAGAAGAUGGCUUGCUCUCGCCAGAAUCGCGCAGCCGAUGUCCUUUAAAUCCGUGUCGAGAGUGUAUCCAACCAGUAUUAAGUGUUGCUAGUGUGUAUGACGGUGGGGAAGUUUAGGGUUUUUUGUUUGUAAAUUGGUUGUAACUUUACGUUAUGUUACUUUGCUUUUGCUAGUGCGUGUGACUUUGCUUUUAUUUUGUUUUACAAUUUUUACAAGUUAUAUUUGUAUAUUUGAUUAUUUAAUUAUUUUUCAUUUUAUAUUAUUAUUAGGUAAUGGCUAAGAUAUGUUAUAAUGUUUAGUAACUAUGUAAUGUCAUAUUUAUAAUUUUUUAAUUAUAUAUAUAUAUAUAUAUAUAUAUUUUUUUUUUUUUUGCGGAUUCACAGAUUUCUGCGGAUUUACAGAAGUAAAUCCAUAUCCAAUCCAUCGACUGCGGAUUUUUAAAUUUUCAAUCCAUAUCCAAUCCACCAAUCCACGGAUCAGAUUUAUACGGAUCAGACGGAUUGAGCGGAUCGGAUUGGAUUCUGAACACCCCUACUACUGCAUUCAAGCAGAAGCCACCAAUUGUUCACGACGGCGUUUGAAAACAACCAACAUUUCAUCCUGAUUGGGAAGGUUUUCUUCAAUUAUAGGGACUUGCUUGAAAGUUCAAGCCACGCAUGCAAGCGAGGGAAUUUGUGUGAUACAAAUAUUUUAACUCCUACUACAUCUUCAAUGACUUGCAACCAAUAAACAAUUGAACCAAAUGCUAGGUCCACUAAGCCAAUAUUGUCUCCGUUGAAAAAUUUCUUCUCUCCCAAGCCAUGCUCUUCAACGUUUUGUAGCAUUUCCAAGGCUUCCUUCGCUGUGUUUUGUAGUUCUUGUCCAGUGCUACGAAACAUUUUCCAAAUGGCAACACCCUGCCACAAAUAUUUUUACAUCAGAUUUUAUCACCGACAUGAUUAAUUAAUAAUAUGUAUAUAAAAGCGAAAAAUCGUUAGACGAUAUGUACACGUGUCACAAUAUCCUUAAAUUAGAGGUUUAAUAAGUUAAUUAAGAGAGUUCAACCACUGAGUUGUAAAAUCUGUCAUUAGCUAGUAAAUUCACUUUUUCCCAAUGCUUCAAAAGUCAUCAAAAUUCCCCGUGAAGUUAAAAACGGUUGUGUUAACUUUAACUUAUUACAUCUUUUCAUAUUUUAGGAUAAAACAGUGAAGACACCAGAAAUUAACAGUUUAGAGAACGUUUAACAAAUAAAUAUGAAAAAGACCCCUGGGUGGCUGGGCUCGACUGGCUAUGAAUUCACUUUCACUUUGCGCCAUCACCCGAGUUCGAGUACAUAUAGAGAAUAAGAGUUGCUGUUUGGCGGGUGGAUUUUCUUAUCCUCGUCACCUCAUCUAGAUCUUAAAAUAAAUCAAUAAAUAAACAAAUUUGAAAAGAAUGAACUUAAUCAUAAACGUGUUUGCCAGAGUUGUGAGCGAACCUUGUCUUCAGCGAAUUUGAUCCAGAAUCGAGCAAGAGCCCUAUCAUAAGGAUUAUUUGGCAUCAAGGAGGGAUUCUGUGGCCACGUCUCUUCGAUGUAUUUGAGAAUAACCAUGGACUCACAAACUGGUUUUCCGCCAUGGACGAGCACUGGGAUCUUCUUGUGAACUGGAUUAUACUUCAAAAGCAAUGCACUUUUGUUUGAGAGAUCUUCGGAAACAAAUUCAUAUGGCACGCCUUUCAAUUUCAGAGCCCAAAUCGCCCUGUAAACAAAUGGACUCGGCAGGGCCCCAUGAAGCUUCACUGCAGCCAUGAUAAUUCUAAGAUUGAAUUUGAAUUAUCGGUUUUUCUGAUCGAUGUUGUGUAUGGCUGUUAACUCAUUACAUAUGUUUCUGAAUUUAUAGUGAUUUAUGGAAUGCACUUUCUUGAGCAGAAAGCUUCAAUUUUCCAUUAAUAAAACGAUUAAUGAUGAAUUCAAAGAACUAGUGCAAUGACUUUAAUUAAAUAUUUUUUUACGUUGUGUGCAACCGCUUUUUGAGGUUAAUAUAAAGGAUAUUAUUUUCUCCUGAUCAAAACUUUUAUAUAAAAAAAUAUAAUUAUGUAAUUGGUAGUUAUUAAGUAGAAAUAAAAUAAAAAAUAAAUUUUGACCGUAAAUAAAUAAAAGUUCAUAUAUGUUAUAAAGAUUUUUUAAAACUCAAAUAAGUGCACCCAAUUCCUAAUUUAAAACGCUAGCCAAUGAGAUCAAUAAUUUGGUCAACCAGUCAGAGAUAACCAUACAAUAAUUAAUCAAAAAUUUGCCAUUUGUUUUACAUUUAAGACCUUUGCGUCAUGCAUGAUGAUCAAUUGAUCAUGGAUCAAUUAGUCAACAAGACAUUUGCCUUUUGUGAAUGUGUUCACAUUGGACGCAAAUAUAAUUUGUUAUAAAAAAAUUGGACUAAAUUAUUUUUUAAUAUUUUUUUAAAAAUAAUACAUCUGAUCCUCGAGGGCCUGUUAUUUAGUUCGUGAAUCUUAUAACAGGACCCAUGAUUUAUUUAUUUUUUAAAUCUUAUGGGUCCCCUAUUAUUUAAUUUGUGGAAUUGACGGAGGUAACUUACAGUUUCAUUUUUGUAAUUUACAGCUUUCAAUAAAUUCAGAUAAUAUUAGGCGGUAAAAGUAGGCCAGGCUGGAGGAGUAGAUCUAUAAAAUUUGCAAGCACUUUGCACUGUCUGUUUGGUGCCCAGAAACACACAUAUUUAUCAUCCACUUUUUAUUUAACGCUGGGUUUUUUUCGACCCAUAAUAAUUUCUCUUUGCACAUCAACUUUUUAAUAAAAACUUUUAUUGUCAAUAAAUUGUUAGUAAUUACUUCACUAAUCCUCCCUUUUUUUUUUGGGCCAAUUUCUCUUUCGCAACUGACAAAAUUUAAUUCACAUCAUGUGAUAGUAUGAUUGCAAAUAAAUUUGAAGUUAUCUCUCGAAAGUUGUUCACAUAUCUUGUGUAUAGAACUAAAGAACAAUAGCAAAACCACUAUCCUCUAGCCGAUCGCUGCUAUUAGGACGGCAAAAUUAGUUGUAAAUAUGUAAAUUUGUCUAAACCCAUCUACAAAAAUCUGUCCACUGCCAAUAAUUUUGUAGGUUGCGGAUAAGUUUGAUAUUUUAAAUUUAAGUUCGUUGCAGGUUACGGAUGGAUUCAGUAUUGAAAAAAAAUUGGCGGGUAUCUGCCGACUAGCAUUUUUUUAAUUAUUUAUGUUUUUAAUUUUAAUCACAAAGAUUGUCUUAAAAAAAUUUAAUCAAAAAAUAUAGUAGUUAAAGUUAUUACUCUAAUCUUCCAAAUUCCUAAACCUAACCUAACUCAUGACAGUUGCACACCCUACUCCUUCAAGUAUGUAUGUAUGUAAAUGUAUACACAUGCACACACACACAAAAUAAGCUUUUAAUAAGUAGAUUUAGUAUUUUUCAAGUUUAAUAUUAAUGAUAUGUUAAGUUAAUUUAAUUACUUUUGUUUGUUUCUCUUUAAUGACUUGAACUUAGUGAUUGCUGGCUAAGAUUUGAUUUUUAUUUAUCUAAUUAAUGGUCAAUAGUUGUCCAAAAUAUAUUUGUUAUUAUUAUUGACAAUACUUAUAUAUUGACUAAAAGAUAGAGUAAGGCAUUAAUUUUAGUAAUAAUUAUUUGCCUACAACAAAAAUAUUUUGUGUUAGAAUGAUAUAUUUUGUGUAUUUGUUUUAAUAUUGAAACUUUAAUUUCUCUUUUACAUUGAUGAAAUCUAAAGUUGAGUAGUUUAUGUAGAUUUUUUAGUCUGUUACUAUAAAGUUAUAUUUUGAAUUAUAUAAUUUAAAUUAUUAAAUAUAAUUUUUUAAUAUUUAUGAUUUUAAAUAUAAAAAUUUAUUAAAAAAAACUACUACAUGUUAUGGGUGGAUUUGCUAAUUAUUAAAAAUUAUAGCGAACGAACUAAAAAAAAAAGAAGCAACCGGUUACGGGCGAAUUUAAUAAUGGCAAACUCAUAAUAAGCGAUACCAUUACCAUCGGCAGCUUCUAUAACGCAGGGCCGGGGGCGGUCUUGAAUUGUUAGAAGUUGUAACAUUAAUUAGCAAAAUUUUCAGCGGCAUCCCUGAAGUUUAGCAUAGAAUUAGAUAUAUCCCCUUGUUUUCAAAAUUAGUCUCUGAUUCCCAUGUUGUUUACUUUAUUAUUUUUUGUUUUCAUUUCAAUUGGAUUUAUAACUUUGUAAUGUUGCGCCUUGUAAAAUGUAUGCUUAAAACGCGUGCUUCUUAUUUUUUAUAUACUGCUAAGAGAAUUUGAGAAUAGAAAUAUAUAAAAUGGUGUCUCAUUUAUUAAUUAUUUAUAUCCUCUAAAUAGCACCUAACAUGCAGCUCACUUCAAUGAUAAAAUUAAUUAAACAAAAUAAAAAAAAAGCAUUUUUAACACCAGUACAAAAACAUAACAAGUGUACAAGAAGACUCAUUAACUUAUUUUAUGAUAUUAAAUUCACGCAGAUACCACCAAUGUUUCUCGACCAUGUUUGAAAGAGACCACCAACUCAUGCUGACUUGGAAGAUUUUCUUUAAGUAUAUAAGUGAAAGUUAUUACUCUAGUCUUCAAAAUUCUUAAACCUAAUCUAACUCAUUACAGCUGCAUGCCUUGCUCCUUUUAUUAUAUGUAUAUAUUUUAAGAUGAAUACAAUAACUUUUUAAUAAGAAGAAUUUUAUACUUUUCAAGCUUAAUAUUAACGAUAUUUUAUUUUAUUUUAAUUACUUUGAAUUGUUUUGGUUUAAUGACUUGAACAUAUUGAUUGUUUGCUAAAGUUGAAUUUUUAUUUGUCUAAUUAAUUGACGAUAGCAAUUGUAUAAAAUUUACUUAAAAAGAUAAAAUCUUAGUAGAUUACAGAAAGAUUUAGUAAUGACAAACAUGUAGCAGCCAAUACACAUUACCAUCCCCAACAGCUGUAAUAUGGCCAUGGGCAGUCUUAAUUGUUAGAAGGUGCAAAAUUAAUUAGUAAAAUGUUCAGCGGUAUCCUUGAAUUUUAGCAUAGAAUUAGAUAUAUCCCCUAGUUUUCAAAAUUUGUUUUUGAUUCCCCUAUUGUUUAAUAUAUAUAUAUAUAUAUAUAUAUAUAUAUAUAUAUAUAUAUAUAUAUAUUUAUUUAUUUAUUUAUUUAUUUAUUUCACUUGGAUAUAUAACUUUGUAAUGUUGCGCCAUAUAAAAUGUAUGCUUAAAAUGCAUGCUUAUUACUUUUUAUAUGUUGUUAAGAGAAAUUGAGAAUAGAAAUAUGUAAAAUGGAGUUUCAUUUAUUAAUUAUUUAUAUCCAUUAAAUAGCACCCAACGUGCAGUUCGUCUCAAUAGUAAAAUUAAUUAAACAAAGCAGAAAGAUUUGUUUUAGCAUCAGUAAAAAAAAAAAAAAAAAAGCACAAAGCGAGAAUCACAAACUUAUUUUAUGAUAUUACAUUCACGCAGAUGUCACCAAUGUUUCCCGAUGACGUUUGAAAGCGAUCACCAUCUCAUGCUAAUUUGGAAGAUUUUCUUCAAUUACAGGGACUUUCCUGAAAUUUUCAAACCACUUAUGCAAGCUUGGGAAUUUGUGAGAUUCAAAUAGUUUCAUUGUUAUAGUGCAAUUUAUGCACUAGUUUUGCAUUGUUUACUUCCCUUAAUAUCGAUGUUUUGCACUUAAUAAUAGUGAUUUACUUGUGUUUUACUUUUGUAGGUGCAAUUCUAUUGAUUUGUGAUAAAAUUGAGCUAUAAGAUGAUGUUUAAAGAUGAUUGUUCUCUUGGAGAAAUUUAGGGCGUCAGAAGAACUUUGUUGACAAGGCGUGGGCGCGUGCUGUCAACUGCGGACCUGCAAUUUUUAGUUUAACGUGUUUUGUAUUUUUGGUUAUUUUUGUAAUUAUGAAUUUAAUAUUUCAGAUAUUAGUAUUUUAUUUUAAAUAGAACUCUAAAAGAGAAAAGAGAGAGAGUAUUUAAGGGAGGAAUCUAUUGUGAAAACGAAGAGAUUGGGGGAAAAAGAAAGAAACCCUAGAUCUAAACUUUUCUCUUCUCUCUAUGAAGAACUAAACUUAUUUUUCUGGUUGAAGGUUAAUAAAGCUUUGAUUCAUCACUACUGCGAGAUCUUUCUUAUGCUUUAAUUGUUUUAUUACUUUUUGGGUAUUUUUUUUAUUUUCUGAAUUAUUAUUAUGAUUAUGUUUGUUAAUUAGAUAAUUGGCCACUAUUUAAAUAUCAACUUAAUCUAUUGUCAAUUAAAUGAUUCAUCGUAUGAAGAUUUUAAUGUUUGUGACAAAUAACAUAGCAGAGAGUUGUGUUGUGAGAAUAAACAAUCUAAUUUAAAUGAACCAUCGUAUGUGUUUGUUGAUUAGGAUUUGGGUCUCUCUGGUUUUUCAGGCUGUCAAUUGAUUAAAUCCUAUGAUCGUAUCUAGGGUUGUCUAUUGAUUAGGGAAAUAACCAACGGUCGUACCUUGGUUAUCGACUAGUUAAGGAGAGAUUGGCUAUUAGAGGGUCUCAGUAGCUAUAACCGGUCUAUUCAUAAGAAAUAAUAAUUUAUAUUUGAAUCAAUGAUCAGUAGUCGAAUCAAGCUGAGUUAAUUCCUUUAACCAGAGCUUUCUCCAAUUUGAAUUACAACUUUAAUUUGCAUUCUUGUUAUUUUAAUUUGAUUUUUAUUAUUGUCAACAAAACCCCCAUUUUAUGUUUUACGUUUCAAAAGGAUUUAAAUAAUUACCGAUCUCUGUGGACAUGACCCUACUCAAUCACUGUACACAAUUUAUUUAGAGUAAGUAUUUAUUUUUGUUGGCUUCGACAACCAUAAAAUUUUGGCGCCGUUGCCGGGGAUUGGUGUCAUUUAUUUAAUCUUUUUUACGUUUUACUUGGUGUAUGGUUCGUUCUUCUCGUACAGGUACACUUUCGUUUGAUCCUGAAAUUGAGAAGACAGCUCGCCAGCUAAGACAGCAGACGAAGCUAGCUAAGUAACGAUCCUCGUCGCCUUUGAUUUCUGAAACAGAUACGGUGCCUGAUUUGGUUGAAUCAUCUAGCGAUUCAGAAGAACAAGUGAUGGAUAGAUUUGCACCUGUAGAAAGAACUCUUAGAGAGUUAGUUGAACCAGACUUGAAUCAGCAACCACUUUGCAUUCAAUAUGUAGACUUGGAGGUAAAUUUUGAAUUAAAGUCUGGUCUCAUUCAUUUAUUACCCAAGUUUUAUGGUUUUGCAAGUGAAGAUCCUCAUAAACAUUUCAAGGAGUUUCAUGUUGUAUGUUCAAGUAUGAGACAACAAGGCGUGACUGAAGAGCAGAUUAAGCUGCGUGCUUUUCCUUUCUCUUUAGAUGACUAGCUAAAGACUGGUUGUACUACUUGCCUCCUGGAUCGAUUACAACGUGGAAUGGUUUGAACAAGCAGUUCCUCGAGAAGUACUUUCCUGCUUCAAGAGCUGCCAACAUCAGAAAAGAUAUUUGUGGGAUCAGACAACUUCCUGGGGAGACUUUGUAUGAGUAUUGGGAGCAAUUCAAACAAUUGUGUGCCAGCUGUCCUCAGCAUCAGAUUUCUGAUCAACUUCUUAUUCAGUAUGUUUACGAAAGACUAUCAUUAAUGGAGAGGAGUAUGAUAGAUGCUGCUAGUGGAGGCGUGUUGGUGAACAAGACCCAUACUCAAGCAAGGGAGUUGAUCUCAAAUAUGGCUGCCAAUGCACAACAAUUUGGCAGUAGGCAAGAUCCCACUUCAAGGAAGGUGAAUGAGGUAAAUAUUUUUUCUGUUAAACAACGUUUAGAUAAACUUACUUCUUUUGUGGAAAAGUUUGUUGUAGGUAAUGUGCAAUAGGUAAAGACUUGUGGCAUCUGUUACAAUAUGGGUCAUUCAACUGAUAUGUGUCCUACGCUUCAAGAAGAACCCGUUGAACAAACCAAUGCAGUUGGAGGAUUUCCAGGCAUGCCUCAGAGGAGGUAUGAUCCUUAUGCACAAACAUACAAUCCGAGGCGGAAGGAUCAUCCCAACUUUAGCUAUGGAGUUAGGCCGUCAGGAUUCCCACAACAGUAUCCACCAAGAUAACUAGCACAUCCACAGUCAAACUCCAAGUCAGGUAUAUCUCUUGAAGAAAUUGUUAAAUCACUUGCGACUAACGCUCAACAAUUUCAACAGGCAACUACAACAAGCAUUCAGAAUUUGGAGAGCCAAGUGAGUCAAUUGGCAACUACGAUGAGCCGUCUAGAGUCUCAAGUAUUAGGGAGAUUGCCUUUACAAUCUGAGGUGAAUCCCAAGCAAAACGCUAGUGCCGUCAUCCUUAGAAGUGGGAAGGAGUUGUAAGAGCUUAGUAAGAAAGUGACAGAGCAUGUAGAACCUGAGCUUGAAAAGAAUGAAUUGAUGCUUAAAUCUCAAGAUACGCAACCCACCAGAGCGAAACCCCUACCUAUUGUGAUACCUCCUCAUUUUCCAAGCCGGUUUGCAAAAUCUAAGAAGGAGGAACAAGAGAAAGACAUCCUUGAGACAUUUCGCAAGGUUGAGGUAAAUAUUCCCUUAUUAGAUGCUAUAAAACAAAUACCUUGAUAUGCUAAAUUCCUUAAGGAACUGUGCACCUCUAAGAGAAAAUUAAGAGGAGAUGAAAGAGUUCACAUGGGGGAGAAUGUUUCAGCAGUUCUCCUAAGUGCAAGGAUCCAGGUAUGUUUACUAUCCCUAGCAAAAUUGGUAGUGUUAGAGUUGAGAAGGCUAUGUUAGAUCUAGGAGCUUCUAUUAAUGUCAUGCCUUGUUCUAUCUGUUCGUCUUUGAAUGUUGGUGCAUUAAAAGAAACUGGCGUGAUAAUUCAAUUAGCUGAUAGGUCUAAUGCAUAUCCUGAUGGGGUAUUAAAAGAUGUCUUAGUACAAGUUAAUGAGUUAGUUUUUCCUGCUGAUUUUUAUGUACUUGAUAUGGAAGAGGAUAACUCCUCUAAUUCUGUCCCAAUUUUGCUAGGAAGACAUUUUCUUAAGACUGCUAGAACUAAAAUGGAUGUACAUAAAGGGACUCUUAUUAUGGAGUUUGAUGAAGAGGUUAUAGAGUUCAAUAUGUAUGAUGCCAUGAAAUAUCCCAGUGAGGAACAUUCGGUAUUUUCUAUGGAUGUUAUUAACCCUAUAGUGCAGGAAGCUUUUUAUUUGGAUGUUAAAGAUUCAUUGGUAGCUGCUUUAAAUAACAGUUUGGACCUCAAAGGAUUGCAAAAGGAUGAAAAUGAGUUUGUUUUAAAUUUUGUAUUGCAAGAGAUAAUUUAUGAAUUAAAUUCUUUGAGAACUUUAACUCAUCAUAUGUCUAAUAUUGAAUUACCUUCAUCUCAUGCAAAACUUCUUCCAUCUAUUUUGCAGGCACCGAAAAUAGAGCUUAAACCAUUGCCGAGUCAUCUAAAGUACACGUUUCUAGGAGAUGAUGAGACACUUCCGGUGAUCAUCUCUUCAAAGCUUAGUACUUUAGAGGAAGAGAAACUUAUUAGAGUGCUGAAGGAUUACAAAAAGGCUAUUGGGUGGACAAUUGCAAAUAUUAAAGGGAUAAGUCCGUCCACGUGCAUGCAUAGAAUACUGCUGGAGGAAGAUGCCAAACCUUCAAUUCAAGCUCAACGUCAUUUGAAUCAACUCAUGAUGGAAGUAGUGAAGAAAUAAAUUCUAAAACUUCUUGAGGCAGGUAUAAUCUAUCCAAUUUCGGAUAGCAAAUGGGUAAGUCCGGUACAAGUGGUACCGAAGAAAGCUGGUAUAACAAUUGUUGAGAAUUCUUAAUGUGAGUUAGUACCUACCCGAGUUUAGAAUGGGUGGAGGGUUUGUAUUGAUUUUAGAAAGCUUAAUUCACUCACUAGGAAGGAUAAUUUUCCUAUUCCUUUUAUUGAUCAGAUGCUUGAAAGGUUGGCAGGAAAAUCUCACUUUUGUUGUCUUGAUGGCUAUUCAGGUUUUCAUCAGAUACCAGUUGCGCCUGAGGAUCAGGAGAAGACUACCUUCACAUGUCCUUUUGGAACCUUUGCGUACCGACGUAUGCCAUUUGGUCUUUGUAACGCUCUCGCCACUUUUCAAAGGUGCAUGGUCAGUAUUUUUUCAGACUAUGUAGAAAACACUAUAGAGGUAUUUAUGGACGAUUUUACGGUCUAUGCUGAUUCUUUCGAUGAUUGUCUCUAUAAUCUGAAGAAAGUACUUGAAAGAUGCAUUGAAACAAACCUUGUCUUAAAUUAUGAAAAAUGUCAUUUUAUGGUAGAUCAAGGCAUUAUUUUGGGUCAUGUAGUCUCUGCUAGAGGCAUUGCGGUAGAUAAAGCUAAGAUAGAUGUUAUUAAAUCUUUACCUUAUCCCACAUGUGUGCGGGAAGUUCGUUCUUUCCUUGGUCACGCAGGUUUCUAUAGAUGAUUUAUCAAUGAUUUUUUGAAGAUAGCUUAGCCUUUAUGCAAGCUUCUUCAGAAAGAUGUGACGUUUGAUUUUAAUGAAGCAUGCAAAGUAGCAUUUGAUAAGCUCAAAGAGUUAUUGACUUCAACUCCAAUUAUACAGCCACCCGACUGGAGCCUCCCUUUUGAGAUAAUGUGCGACGCCAGUAAUUAUGCUGUUGGUGCUGUUCUCGGACAAAGGGUUGGAAGAGCUGCUCACGUGAUAUAUUACGCAUCAAGAACACUUGAUAGUGCUCAGUGUAAUUACUCAACAACGAAAAAAGAACUUUUAGCUAUUGUUUUUGCUUUAAAAAAAUUCCGUUCAUAUUUGUUGGGUACUAAAGUGAUUGUUUUUUCUGACCAUGCAGCUCUCAGAUAUUUACUCGCCAAGAAGGAAGCGAAACCGAGACUUAUCCGCUGGAUCCUACUACUUCAAGAGUUCAACUUGGAGAUCCGUAACAAGAAAGGAACAGAAAACUUAGUUGCAGACCACCUUAGUAGAUUUACCACGUGUGAAGAAGCAACACCUUUGAAGGAUGAUUUUCCAGAUGAGCAUCUCUUUGUAACUAAAGGUAUGGUUCCUUGGUAUGCUGACAUUGUCAAUUACUUAGUUACAAGAACACUACCUAGUGAUCUGACGAGGUCUCAAAAAGAUAAAAUUAAGAACGAUGCUAAAUACUAUGUUUGGGAUGACCUUUACUUAUGGAAACAUUGCUCUGACCAAGUCAUCAAAAGGUGCGUGUCUGAGUUUGAAAUUCCUUCUAUUCUUCAGUUUUGUCACUCAUAUGCAUGUGGUGGUCAUUUUGGUCCCAAAAGGACAGCAUCCAAGGUGUUAGAAUGUGGUUUAUUUUGGCCUACUUUAUUUCGUGAUUCAUACAUGUUUUGUAAGUCGUGUGAGAAUUGUCAAAAGACUGGUAAUUUAAGUCAUAGAAAUCAAAUGCCACUUACCCCUAUUCUUGUGUGAAAUAUUCGAUGUGUGGGACAUUGAUUUUAUGGGACAUUUUCCCUCAUCUGUUGGCAAUGCUUACAUUCUUUUAGCAGUGGAUUACGUUUCUAAGUGGGUAGAGGCUAAGGCCACCCAGACUGACAAUGCUAAAGUUGUUGUAGAUUUUGUCAAGUCUAAUAUUUUAGCCAAGUUUAGUGUACCAAGAGCGGUGAUAAGUGAUAGAGGCACUCAUUUUUGUAAUUGAGUGGUGAGGUUUUGUUCAAAAGAUAUCAUGUUACUCACCGAGUGUCUACCGCCUAUCAUCCACAGACAAGUGGACAAGCUGAGAUAUCAAACAGAGAAAUCAAGUUUAUUCUUGAAAAGACAGUUAGUCUAAAUCGAAAGGAUUGGAGUUUGCGAUUAGAUGAUGCAUUAUGGGCGUAUCGCACCGCAAUUAUUGUAACAAUGCUGAAGAGGAAAGCAUCAACUUCCAAGUCAUCUAAAAAGACACCCGUCGCAAAAAAAUCCAAGAUUGCCGCUCCCACUACGGUUCCAUGGAACACAGUUUCAGAUUUACGCCAAGCCGUAAGACAAAGAUCGAAACAUGGAAAAGGCAUGAGUGUUUUGCCACUUGCGGAAUCCAAUCUCGGAGGGUGCCUCGCAUUCGCGACUCAACAAGAGAAAAAGAGGUACAAAGAUAUUUCCAUGCGCAAAAUACUUCCAGCUAAGUAUAUUCAUUACCUGACUCUUGAAAAAUUGAAUGUUAAGGAUAAUUUUGAUUCUUUGAUAGAUAAGAUUGGGUUGCGUAAGUUUGUUGAUGUUGAUUGUUUGGGUUAUGUUGAGUUGAUUAGGGAGUUUUAUGCGACUUUUCAAUUUAAUAUACCGAAUGAUUUUACUUUGCAUAUCCUGGAUGUCAUAAAGUUUAGGUUAAUAGGACGAAAUUUUUCACACUCUAUCACGGAUUUUAACCUAGAUUUAGGAUUCAUUGAUGAUGAUUAUUCUUUUAGUGAUGCAUAUUUAGGAACAACUUGUGACUUUAGCGAAAAUUUUGAGCCUUAUGGUCUUUAGUGUAAUUUAUUUGUUGAUCACAAUGCCUAUGACCCGAGUAAAUCAAAGAGUUCUUUCUUACGUGAUCCUGUUUUGAAAUGUGUGCAUCGAUUCUUAGCAUAUAAUUUUUUAGGAAAGAAAGAUCACUUAGUAGUUUUCUCUAAAACUGAAUUUUAUUUUAUCUGGUGCAUGUUAAAUGAUGUGAGGCCUAAUUUAGGUUUUUGGUUAGCGGAUCAAUUUCAAAGUGUGCUUAAACGGUAUAGGACUUUAUUUCUUGGUCCAUACAUUACUCUGUUAGCUAUAAACCUAUGUGUGCUUGAUCCUGACAAUAAUGAUUUGCAUCCUGCUUGCAAAAAGGAAUUUUUGGAUAUGUCUGUGUUUGAAAAAACAGGUGUGGUCGAAUUCAAGGAGGGGAGAUUUCAGUUUACUGAACCAGGACCCACUCAACCUCCAAAGAAGCUUUAUGCUAGGAGUGGUGCUACCUCUGAUGACGAGUUUGACGACGACACUGCUGCCCCGCCAACUAUUCAUUCUACAUCCGCACCACCUUUGAGCAUUCAGUUAGAGAAAAUGGAGCACAAGCUAAACAAGAUGGAGCAGAAUUUGGCCGCAUACUUCAAGAGUGUGGGAUUUAUCUCACCAUUUCCGCCAAGCCCAUAGAUGUUAUGUGGAUCAAAGUUCACAAUUCAGGGAAGUUUUUUUUUGCCUUUAAUCUUUUAUCUUUACGCUUUAAUUUUUAUGUGAGCUUUGAUUAUCUUACAUUAGGGACAAUGUAAGUUCUUGGUGUGGGGGAGGGAUUUUUGCAUUAUUGAUGUCUGGAAAUAUUAUUUUCACUCUACUCAUCCUUAAAUGAGUUUGGAGUUAGUAUGUUUCAUAUAAUAUUAUUUUUCUUUUGUUUUCUUUCUCACUACUCUUUUUCCAUCUAUCUCAAAUUAUUUACAUCUAUUUUUUUUAUUCUAUCAUACUCUUUCAUACUAACAUUUUAUCUUCCACUUUUUAUAUUACUACAUACAUCUUUCUCACUUCUUAUCAUUUUUACCUUUCCUUUUAUAUAUCACUCCUACCUUCUUCUCAUUCUAAACCACUAUUGAUGGUUGAUUCAUUUGAAAAGUGUACAUGAUUUGAUGGCAAAUUUACCAACUUUGUGAGGAUUUUAGCCUAUGAGCAACCACUUUGCUCUAAUAUUUUUGUUAUGUGAAUAUCAAUCUUAGUUUGUUUAUUCUAGAACUUGCUUUGUUAUGCAUGUUGAAGCCGUAUUACGGGAUUUUAUGCAUUAAAAUGAUAACGGCAAACCAUUUACAUUUUUCUAUUCUCGCAUUUUCUUUUUUUUUUCUCUACCCGAAGACCUUUAUUUACUAUCUUUGUUUGAACCUUAACCAUUACCCAUCUAAUUCUCUCCGUCUACUUAACCAUGUUUCUUCUUUUUUGAGCUUCAAUUUAAGGAGAUUUUGGGACUCAUUGUGUGGAUAUAUUUUGUUGCUUUUUCUACCUUGUAUUAAAGUUUCUCAAUUAGAUCAACAAGCAUUAUACUUGAAUUAAAUUGUGCAAGGUUCGUUUCUUUUGUUUGAAAAAAAAAACAAAAAAGAAAAAGAAAAAGAAAAGAAAAAAAGAAAAGGAAAAAGAAAAAAAGAGAAAAAGAAAAAUCGAAAAAAAGAAAAAAAAAAUGUUUACAUUCUUGGUGACUUGAGUAGAAAUAAGCAUUUUGAUAUCAUAAGUUCAUUCAAUGAGUUCAUUCUUCUCAUUUUGAUCUCUUUUUCUUUCGUAGACCUUUCUUUUUCAUUUAACCUAUUUAACCCCAUUACAACCUUUUUAAGACUCUUAGAUUUUUGCAUUUUAUUCAUGUUUUGUGGAUUGUGAUGUGAUAUAUGAGCAAGCUUAUGGUAAUAGCAUUCUUUGAUUUGAUUUGAAUGCAUAAAUGAUACCCUAAACACUUUGAGUGCAUGUAACUAUGGCCAAUGGGCCGUGCCGGCUGUCGGCCCACAAUGGCUCGUGGGCCGGCACGGCACGACCCACCAAUUUGGUGGGCUGUGCCCACCUUUUUUCCAGUUGAGCCCAGCACGGCCCACGGCACGAACCCGCUCGUGUCGUGUCGUGGGCCGUGCCCAAAAAAAGCCCACCAACUUUUUUUUUUAGUGUGCUUAAAAAAGUCCAUGUGCCUAGCGUGCUUUAUUCAAGCCCACGUGCCUGACGUACUUUUUUAUGCCCACCAACAUAAUAAUAAUAAUAUAAUAUUCACAAUCAUAAUCAUAUUAAUUUUUAUUAAGAGAGCAAUUAACAUUUUAUUAUUAGUUUAUCACAAUUUCACAACUAUAUAUUUUAUUUCACAAUAAUCAAUCAUAAUUCAUAACACAACAAUACAUAAAUUUAAUUAAAUUUAAUUCCAUAGAUCAUAAUAAUAAUUAAUUAAAAUUAAAAAUACAAUCCUCGAAUAAUCAUUACAAUAAGUCAUAACUACGAAAUAUUAAUAUAACAAAUCAUAGGUCACAACUUAAAAGUUACAACUAUAAAACACGAACUACGAUCAAUUGACGAAUAACAAGCACGAAAAAAACAUUUAUUAAUCACAACUAUGGAUACGGGAAACGAGCAAGGUUAAUUCUAUCUCAGCUGGUGGCGAGCUAAACAAUUUGACACGUGCCGACGUAAACCCAAGGUGCCGUGGCUGUUUGAAUAAAUAACUUCUCGAUGACAAUAGUUGCACCUCAAGAUCAUCCGCUUGUAAGGACGACGCAAACUAUUAUCUAUUAUUUCCUCCCUUACUGUAGUAAAAUUUUGAAAAAGCUCAUUUAGAAAACGACUUCUGGGCUGAUUUAGCCUAGCGUUUUGUUGAGGUCCAACUACAUUAACACCGUAUUCUUGAGGGUGUUGAGGUUCUUCUGCAUUCAUAUUAUGUUGCUGCGGAUUCAUAAUGAUUUUGGCUUUUAGAAUAUUGGAAAGUUUGAGGAAAAAGAAGAAGAAUAAGAAUUGUGAAGCAUCAUAGCAUAAUGGCGUGUAUAUAUAAUAUUAGAUAGUAAUAAAAAGACAAAAAUUAAUUUUAUUUACUUUGUCGGUGGGAGUAAAAAGAGUAAGUAAAAAAAUAUUUAGUGAAAUAUAAAUAUAGCCGUGAGGCAAGUGCUUGGUUGGCAUGUGGGAAACAAAUCUUAAAUUAUUUAAAAAUCUGCAAUUUGCACGUCUGCAUGUGCACUAUAUGACAAGCUGACAACUACCGUGUUGAAAAUUUGAGUUGAGAAUUUAAAUUCAAAGAAAUAAAGUACUCUACAUAAUGAAUGCAAGCUCCUCCCGUACUACUAGUUUGUUAUUAUAAUAUUAUCUCAUCAACACACUUGUGAUAAGAUUUAUUAACAUUGUGAUAGUUGCGUGAUUCUCUUGUAACAAUGAACCAUAAUUUUUUUUAAUUUAAUAUGUUGUUUUGAAAAAAAAUUAAUUACAAAAAUUAUUUUUAAAAAUAAAUAACAACGGUGCACUUAGAAAAUAAUUUUUUCUAAUUAUUAAAUAAUAAAAAAAUUCUAAAUUAAUUUUAUUACUCACCCAACGGAUAAAAAAAAAUUUGAAUUAAUUCAAUUAAAAAAAUUCUGAAUUAAUUGAAUUACUCACCCAACGGACAAAUUUUUUUUUGAAUUAACAGUAAAAUUGAUAUGACUACUCAAUUUUACAGUAUAAGCAGUCGGACUCUGAUUAUCAAUUAAUGUUUUCUGAUUUUUAAUGACAAAAAAAAUUUAAAUCAAUUUCAUAUUUUCAUUACUCACCCAACGGACAAAAAAAAAUUGAAUUAAUUGAAUAAAAAAAAUUCUGCAUUAAUUGAAUUAAUAAUAAAGUUGAUAUGCCUUUCCAAAAAAAAAAAACAAUAAAGUUGAUAGACUUGACUAGUCAAUUUCACUUUCACAGCAUGGGCAUUCAUGACUCAACAAUUAGACUUAACUAGCUUACAGAAUUUAUAAGCUAUAGACUGCAGCAUCAGCCGUUGGAUGUGGAGUGAGAAACUAAACAAUAGACAAUCGAAUGGUGGGAAUGGGAUGACGGGAGACGUUUGUUACAGUCUUGCAGAAUCGGUACCAUAGAGUCAUAGACAGAUCCCUCAACAAUUAAUUUUUAAUAAUAAAAAAUUCUAAAUUAAACCAAUUGCUCACCUUACAAUUCCAAGUUUCCAACGGACAAAAUGAAUGAUAAAAUGUAACUGUUUAAUUUGCUGCAGCCUUGCAGAGUUGCAGGAAGCUUUGCAGUUGUAGACUUGUAGGUUCGCAGCUUGUUUGUUCGUUUUUGACCGUUAAAAUGUUUACUUUUUUAUUUGCCCGUUUCUAACCGUUAAUAUGUUUACUUUUUUAUUCUAUUUAAACGAUUAAAUUAUUUUCGAAUUCAUCUCACAUUCUCACUUCUCAAUUUCUAAUUCUUUAUCUCCUCGUUAUCUCUCUUAUCUCAUCAGUCAUCUCUAGUCUCUGCUUGCCCAAUCUUCUUUACUACAAUUCCAACGCCUUUAUUUACCAAAACACUAAUUAUAUAAAAUGUCUCACUCUCAUUUCGAGUUAGAUGAGAAUUUUAAUUUUGUUGAAGAGCGAGAGGAAGUUGCAAAUGAAGAAAUUGCUGCACCAGAAUUUGAUCCAAGUAAUAUAUUUAUUGUCCCACCUAAACGAUUGCCACCUACUUCUCAAGCAAGUCAAAGUGGUUCUACUUCUUCAACUGCCUGUCCUACUACUACCUCCAAACGACAAAGAACAUCGAUUGUUUGGUCAUGUUUUACUUUGGAAAAACAUCAAAUCAAAAAAGGUGAAAUGGUGGAUCAAGCAGUGUGCAAAUAUUGUCAAUCUGCUUUAAGUGACAAAAGCAAUGGUGGAACUAGACAUCUUAGACGACAUAUGGAAACUCGUCAGACAAAACACGCGCCACAAGACCCAACACAAACCCAACUCUCACAAUAUGGUUCUGGAUCUUCCGGUAUAACAUCAUUCAGAUAUUCACAACAGAACAUGCGAGAAGGAUUGGCUCGGUAUAUUGCUGUAGCAGAACAACCUUUAACAUUUUCAGAAGAUGAACGUCUAAUAAAUUUUUUGCAAAGGUAUGUUCAACCUCAACUUAAGAAAGUGCCUAGAAAUACAUUAAAACGUGAUUUAACUAAAAUUUUUCAUGACAUGAAAAAACUUUUAAUUAAUACUUUUAUCAAUUUUAAUGGUGUUAUUUCAAUUUCUUCUGAUUGUUGGACUGGUAUUAAUAUGGUUGGUUAUUUUUGUGUGACUUCGCACUCUAUACAUGAGAUUAAUGGUAAAUGGAGGUUGGAAAAAAAAUUGCUUGCAUUUCGUGAAUUAGAAUAUCCUCACACUGGUUCAGUAAUUUAUGCAGCUAUAAUGUCUGUUUUAAGAGAAUAUGAAAUUACUGAUAAAUUGUUUAGCAUAUCAUUUGAUAAUGCAUCUGCCAAUACAGUGGCAAUUGAUAUGUUUUUGCGGAAUAUUUCUACUCUCAUGCCUGCACGUGGUUCAAAAUUUUUUCAUUUGAGAUGUGUGUGUCAUAUUAUUAAUUUAAUUGUUCAAGCUGGUAUGACUCAUAUAAAUCAUUAUUUAGAAAAAAUUAGAGCAUCCAUUUUAUAUAUUAGAGCACCUUCAAGACGUCAACAAUUUUUGGAGACAUUGAAAAUUUUUGGAUUGAAAAGGAGAAAAUUCAACCUUGACAUGAAAGUUCGUUGGAAUUCUACGUAUUUAAUGUUGCUUUCUUGUCAAAACUAUUCUGAAGCAAUUUCUAGUUUUUACAAUGCGAGAAUGAAUGAUGAAGAUUAUCAUAUCACUGAUUAUGAUUGGAAUGUUGCAUUUAAAUUUAUGAAUUUUUUAAAGGUAUUUUAUGAUGCUACUCUUGCAUGUUCUACUGUUUAUGAGCCUACUUCAUGUAGAGUGUUAAUGCACUUGUACAAUAUAAGUUAUACUUUUAAGACUUUUAGAGAGAAUAUUAUGUUUAAAAAUAUUUGUGAUACCAUGGAGGAAAAAUUUCAAAAAUAUUGGAAAGAUAUUCCCCACCUAUUUAUUUUUGCAGUAGUGUUGGAUCCUACAAUCAAGGAAGUUGGUGCAAAACUUUUAGUUGAGGGUAUUAGUGAAAAUUUACAAACCGGACUUGAUACAAAUUUUGAUACAAUUAUGCCCUCUAUGCAUGAACUUUUUAAUUUUUAUCGAAAUAAAUUCGAAUUAAGCAAUACAUAUUCUAAUGUUCAACAAGCAUCGACUUCUUAUAAAAAUCCAGCUCACCUUUUGUUACUCAAAGGUAAGGGUGUUGCCUCUCGUAUUGAUACUAAUCGUAAUGAAUUACAAAGAUAUUGUUAUGCCAAUCUUGAAGAUUUAGCAACUCCUUCACAAUUGCAAAAUUUUGAUAUUUUAGAUUUUUGGAUGGGUAAGAUAUAUUUUUUCCCUAUAUUAUCCAUUAUGGCCCGUGAUCUACUAACCCCUCCAGCUUCAACUGUAGCAUCAGAAUCAGCUUUUAGUACAUGUGCCAGAAUUCUAGAUGAACAUCGGUCAAGAUUGUCAUCAGAGACAUUAGACUCUUUGUUGUGUUUGAAAGAUUGGGAAGAUGCUGAACGCCGAGUGCAACAAGAUUGGCAAAAUGCUUUAAUUAAACAAAUUGAGAGUUUGAAUGUUGAUCAAGAUGAAGUGGAUCCAGAUUAUGCAGAGUACUGAACAUUGAAGCCACUUCCAAAUACUAGAAAUUUUUUUUUCUUGUAACUUUUUGAUACAAUUUUUAUUAGUGAGAAGGUUGUAAAUUUGCAAAUGAUAGAUGGUUCAGUAGGUGCCAACCUAGUUGGGAUGUACUGUUAACUGUAGUGAUGCAAAUUACACCUAAUUUUAUUUGAAUUACUAAUAUUAUAAUUGUACUUUAACUUCAUUUAAUGAAAAUGUAAUUUUUAAUUUAUCAUAAUUUUUCUUGUGUAUAAAAUGGAAAAUAUUUCAUUCACAAAUGAAACGUAUCUCUAUUAAAUAUUAACUAAGUUAUGAUUUAAUAUUAAUAUGAAAAAUAUUUCAUAUAAAAAAUAUUUUAUUAUUAAUUUUGUAAAAAAAUUUAUUUUUUAUUUAUAAUUUAUAAAUUUAUUAUAUUUAUAAUCUUAUUUAUUAAAAUCAUGAUAUUUAGUUAUUUACUUAUUCAUUUAAUAAAUUAUAAACAUAAAUAAAUAAUUAAAUAAAUAUCAUAAAUAACAUUAUUCAUUUAAUAAAUAUCAUAAAUAAAAUUAUGAUAUUUAUAAUUUUAUUUAUUAAAAUCAUGAUAUUUGCUUAUUCAUUUAAUAAAUUAUAAACAUAAAAGAUUAGAAUAUUUAUUUAAACUAAGAUUUAAUAAUUUAAAAUAAUUUUUAAAAGUCUAUGCUAAAAAAUAUAUUAAAACAUUUAAUUUCAAGAUAUUGUACUUUAAUUUCAUAACAUUUUAUAUUUACUUUUUGUUAAAAAAAAUUACUUAGAUAUAUUUUGGCCCACGUGCUAUUAAUGGCUCACGGGCCGCGUGCUAGCCCACUAAUGAACCGUGCUUAUUACGUGCUUUUUCGCGUGCCGUGCUUUGGCCCAUCACUAAUCGUGCCGUGCUUUAAGGCCCGUGUGCCUAAAAUUCUAGGCCCGACACGGCCCACGUGCAUGCCAUGCCGUGCCUCUGCCUCACCGAAACGUGCUCGUGCCGUGCCGUGCCGUACGGACACGUGCCGUGCCACGUGCCGCCCGGCCCAUUGGCCAUCUUUAAGUGCAUGGAGUGAAGUCAAUGAGAGGGCUAUUAAAUCUUGUUGCACUUGAAUUUUGAAUGGAUCUUCUUGGUGGUUGAAGGUUUUUAUUCUAGCUUAUGAGAUUCUAUGCUUUAAAAUCCUUGCCUCUCAAAUGUUGAUUAACUUAAAUUCUUGAGGCAUGCUUGCUUAAAAUUGUUUUUGGAUGAGUUGAGAUGAGAAUUGAGUGGAGAUUUGGGAUUAGUCUUGAGUUAUAUGCUUGAGGACAAGCAUCAUCUUGGUGUGGGGGAAUUUGUUAGAGUGCAAUUUAUACACUAGUUUUGCAUUGUUUACUUCCCUUAAUAUCAAUGUUUUGCACUUAAUAAUAGUGAUUUACUUGUGUUUUACUUUUGUAGGUGCAAUUCUAUUGAUUUGUGAUAAAAAUGAGCUAUAAGAUGAUGUUUAAAGAUGAUUGUUCUCUUGGAGAAAUUUAGAGCGUCAGAAGAACUUUGUUGAUAAGGCGUGGGCGCGUGCUGUCAACUGCGGACUUGCAGUUUUUAGUUUAACGUGUUUUGUAUUUUUGGUUAUUUUUGUAAUUACGAAUUUAAUAUUUUAGAUAUUAGUAUUUUAUUUUAAAUAGAACUCUAAAAGAGAAUAGAGAGAGAGUAUUUAAGGGAGGAAUCUAUUGUGAAAACGGAGAGAUUGGGGGAAAAAGAAAGAAACCCUAGAUCUAAACUUUUCUCUUCUCUCUAUGAAGAGCUAAACUUAUUUUUCUGGUUGAAGGUUAAUAAAGCUUUGAUUCAUCAAUACUGCGAGAUCUUUCUUAUGCUUUCAUUGUUUUAUUACUUUUUGGGUAUUUGUUUAUUUUCUGAAUUAUAAUCAUGAUUAUGUUUGUUAAUUAGAUAAUUGGCCACUAUUUAAAUAUCAACUUAAUCUAUUGUCAAUUAAAUGAUUCAUCGUAUGAAGAUUUUAAUGUUUGUGACAAAUAACAUAGCAGAGAGUUGUGUUGUGAGAAUAAACAAUCUAAUUUAAAUGAACCAUCGUAUGUGUUUGUUGAUUAGGAUUUGGGUCUCUCUGGUUUUUCAGGCUGUCAAUUGAUUAAAUCCUAUGAUCGUAUCUAGGGUUGUCUAUUGAUUAGGGAAAUAACCAAUGGUCGUACCUUGGUUAUCGACUAGUUAAUGAGAGAUUGACUAUUAGAGGGUCUCAGUAGCUAUAACCUGUCUAUUAAUAAGUAAUAAUAAUUUAUAUUUGAAUCAAUGAUCAGUAGUCGAAUCAAGUUGAGUUAAUUCCUUUAACCAGAGCUUUCUCCAAUUUAAAUUACAACUUUAAUUUGCAUUCUUGUUAUUUUAAUUUGAUUUUUAUUAUUUUCAACAAAACCCCCAUUUUAUGUUUUACGUUUCAAAAGGAUUUAAAUAAUUACCGAUCUCUGUAGACACAACUAUGCUCAAUCACUAUACAAUUUAUUUAGAGUAAAUAUUUAUUUUUGUUGGCUUCGACAACCAUCAUUCACUCCCAUUACAUCUUCAAGGACCUGCAGCCAAUAAGCAAUGGCUCCAAAUGCUAGGUCCGCUAAGCCAAUAUCGUCUCCAUUGAAAAAUUUCUUCUCUCCUGGGCCAUGUUUUUCAACGGUUUGAAGCAUUUUCAAGGCUGCCUUCAUUGCAUUCUCCAGGUCUUGUCCAGUGCUGAAAAACAUUUUCCAAACAGCUACUCCCUGCCACAAGAUUUUAUAUCUAAUUCUUAUCACCACAUGAUUAACAAUAUAAACGAGGUAAAAAGAAAUUAGAUAAUAGGUACACACGCAUCAAAGUAUCUUUCAAAGCCUAGACGUUUCAAACUGUCAAAGUAUCUAGAAGAGUUUACCCACUAAUUUUUAGACUAAUUUAUUAUAAUUUUUAGAGCUUAUUCAAGUAGAAUUUUUGUUAGUAAAAUUUAAUUGUUAAUGAAAAUUUUCAUUAAUUUUUUUAAAUAACUUUAAUAGACAAGUUUAUAAAGUAAAGUUAUGAAAUAAAUAAAUAAAAUAAUAUUAUAAAAUAAAUGAUGAACAUUUUAAACUAUUUAACUUUUUAAAAAAUCCUCAAACUUCUAUUUCCAAAAAAUUAAAUUUAAAUUUUUACUAGUAUAGGUAAAAGAAUUUAUUUAACCCCAAAAGUUCUAAAAAUAAAACUAAACAAUAAUAAAAAUUUGAAAUGAGAUUUUUUGAUUAAAUAAACACUUAUUAGUAAUAAAUAAGUCAUAUCAAACAAAUACUUAAUGAUAUAAAAGGAAAAAUAUUAAAAAAAAAUCCUCUUAUUGUUUUAGUAAAUUAUAAUUUUGCUUUCAUGUUUCGAAAGUCCUCAAAAUUCCCCCUAUCGCUAAAACAAUUAUAUUUUAAUAUUUUACCCUUGAUGCAGUAAAAUCCACGAUUAAUUAAGAAAAAUUUCUAAAGGUAAAAAAUUUAAAGUAAUUAACCGAAUUUUUUUGAUAAUUUUCUCUAAUGUAAAAUAAAAGGUUCAUUGAGCUUAGUCGGCCGUGAAUGCAUUUUGCACAUGCGAGGACAUUAGUUUGAGCAUUAAUAGUAGAUAAAAAUUAAUGUUUAGGGAGUCAUGUUUCUCAUAUACAAUGAAAAAUUAAAGUAUAUAAAGAAACCCGACAAGAUUAAUUAAAUUUAUAAACGUGUUAGCAAGAAAAGUUGUGAUGCGAACCUUGUCUUCGGCAAAUUUAAUCCAAAAACGAGCUUGAGCUCUAUCAUAAGGAUCACUUGGCAUCAACGAGGGAUUGUGUGGCCACAUCUCUUCAAUGUAUUCGAGAAUAACCAUGGACUCGAAAACUGGUUUUUCGCCAUGAACGAGCACUGGUAUCAUCUUGUGAACUGGGUUAUACUUCAAAAGCGAAGCACUUUUGUUGUAGAGAUCUUCUUCAAUGUAUUCAUACGGGAUGCCUUUCAAUUUCAGAGCCCAUACUACCUUGUUGCUAAAUGGACUCGCCCAUCCCCUGUGGAGCUUCACUUCAGCCAUGUGUCUGAGAUCGAAUUUGAAUAUGUGUGUGGUUGUUUUGCUUAGCUGAUGAGUUAUUGCAUACGUACAUCUGAAUUUAUAAUGAUUAAUAUUGGAAUAUCGAGUGCGCUUGCUUGAGCAGGGAGCUUCAUAUCUCCAAUUUAUUUAAUAAAACGAUUCAAUCAAGUUGAAUUCAAUGAACUAAUGCUGCGACAUUUUAACAAUUCUGUUAUAUAUUCAACGAGAAGAGGUAUCGUAUUUGACGGGAAUCUCUUGAAACAGUGCUGAAUUAACAAGUAAUCUUAUUUAAUUUGGUCAACUGGUCAGAUAUGGAUUAAUUAUAUAUUUGGCGUUUGUUUUAGGUGCCCAGCUAGCCCUGCUGCUGUGUUUUUUAUAUUAUGAUAUUCUCCUGAGAACUUUGGAGGACUCAUUUACUUUACAAUUUUAGCAUUUUAGGCCCAAUAACUUCAUAUAUAUGACGUUUUGUCCCCCGGCUCCUCCUCUUCUAUAUAAAUCCGAACACCUGAAAAAUGACCAGACCGGAACAACUCUCCGUCUUAAGUCUAUGCAAAUUUUACACACAAGAGAAAGAGAGGGAGAGGGGCGGCCAUGAGAGAUAAUGAUACAGAAAAGAAUAUGGAAGAGAGUUUAUUAAUACCAAAAGAAAGUUUAUCAUCAACAUCCACAACAUGGGAUUUGUUGAGUGGAGAAGUGAAAAAGCAGGGUUACAUAGCAGCACCAAUGGUGGCUGUCACUUUAUCACAGUAUUUGCUUCAAGUUUUUUCCAUGAUGAUGGUUGGUCAUCUUGGUCAACUUGCUCUUUCUAGCACCGCCAUGGCCAUCUCUCUAGCUAGCGUCACCGGCUUCAGCGUCCUUGUAAGUUCUAUAAUCCAUAUAUAGUUAUUUACAAUAUCAAGAUCGUGACACAAGCUUGUUUGUUCUUUCUUUUGAUAGGUAUUUGCAUCAUUGCAUGUGGGAUUUAAACAAACAGAUAUGCCAAAUUUCGGAUGUUAAAAAACGUGCAAUUAACUAAUACCCUGUUUGUAAAAAUGCCAUUAAUUUUUAAAGGACUUGAUUUACUCUUUUUUUAAAAAAAAAAAAAUUCUACAGCUAACUUGAAUUGUGUAAUAUUGUCUUUGAAACAGUUAGGAAUGGCAAGUGCUCUGGAAACAUUAUGUGGGCAAGCAUAUGGAGCUCAGCAAUAUCAAAGAAUUGGAACUCAAAUUUACACUGCAAUAUUUUGUUUAUUCUUAGUAUGUUUUCCGCUUUCCUUUCUAUGGAUUUACAUGGGAAGGCUGCUAGUUUUGGUAGGCCAAGACCCCCAGAUUUCACAUGAAGUAGGCAAGUUUAUAAUCUGGCUUCUUCCAGCUCUGUUUGCUUAUGCAGCAAUGCAGGCGCUUAUUCGAUAUUUUCAGUCUCAAAGUUUGAUCAUUCCCAUGUUCUUAAGCUCCUAUGCCGCUCUUUUUUUGCAUAUUCCCAUCUGUUGGGGUUUGGUAUUCAAGUCUGGACUAGGAAACCUUGGAGGAGCAUUGGCAAUUGGUAUAUCGUAUUGGUUGAAUGUAACUUUCUUGGCAAUUUACAUGAAGUUCUCCACUGCUUGUGCAGAAUCCAGGGCUCCAAUUUCAAUGGAGUUGUUCCGAGGAAUUGGAGAGUUCUUCCACUUUGCUAUCCCUUCUGCAGUAAUGGUUUGGUAUGUUAGUUAUCUUCUGGAGCUUCAUUUUCCCUUCUCAUAGACAUCGUUGACACGUCAUAAAUUUUCAUGCUUCUUUUGUUUAUAAUUUUGCAGCCUAGAAUGGUGGUCAUUUGAAUUGCUCAUUUUAAUGUCAGGGCUGCUGCCUAAUCCACAGCUUGAAACUUCAGUCCUAUCUGUAUGGUAUGUUGACAUAGACUUUGUAUGUGAAAGUUCUAUACAGAGAAGCACCUACCAAAGGAAAUAGAUUUUUUUUCUUUUUUUCUCUUUUUUCCCGACUGCUCAUUAUUUGUCAACUUCUCUGGGCAGUCUCAGUACUAUUCAAACCCUCUCUGCAAUCCCAUAUGGACUUGGUGCUGCAGCGAGGUUUGUUCAUAACAAUCACUUAAAUAAUAAUUGUUUUAUAUCAACUAAUUAGCAGAUUAACCAUUAUUUCCUUCUAUAGUACUAGAGUUUCAAAUGAACUAGGAGCUGGGAAUGUGCAAAGAGCCCGUGUAGCUGUCUAUGCUGUGGUCUUUAUGGCAGUCAUGGAGACUAUCAUAGUAAGUGCAUCUCUCUUUGCCAGCCGGCGUGUUUUUGGUUAUGUUUUCAGCAAUGAGGGACAAGUUGUGGAUUAUGUCACAACCAUGGCUCCUCUGGUUUGUUUGUCUGUCAUCAUGGAUAGCUUACAAGGAGUCUUUUCAGGUUAAAUUAACUUCUUCAACUCUGUCAAUUGCUAAAUAGUUCUCUUUAAGUGGAAAUAAAAUUUUUCAGGUUUCUAAAUUCUUUUUAUUAUUUUUAAGGUGUUGCAAGAGGAUGUGGGUGGCAGAAUAUAGCUGCUUUUGUGAAUCUUGGGGCUUAUUAUUUGUGUGGAGUCCCAACUGCUGCCAUUUUGGGUUUCUGGUUAAAGUUUAGAGGAAGGGGCCUAUGGAUUGGGAUACAAGCUGGUGCUUUUACACAAACACUUCUGCUUGGCAUCAUAACAACAUUUACAGAUUGGGAAAAACAGGUCUGUUUCUCAACAUUUAAUCCCUUAAAAAUUAGAGAAGCUUAUUGGACUAUAUAUGUAAAUAUGUAGCAAUUUUUUUUUUUCCCAAUACGUAUCUGAUACCUUUUGACUGAAAGUUCAAGAUUAAAAUCACUCAGCUUGAUCUGAAAUGGUUAGUAUUAUCAUCUUCUGCAGAAAUGGUUUUGCUCAUUGAGAAAAUGAUAUUCAAUAACACAAAUGCAAACUCAUUUGAAAAUUUUGCCAUUGAGAAAAUGAUAUUCAAUAACAGACAUGCAAACUCAUUUGAAAAUUUGCUUUUUUGCAAGAAUUAUAACCAUUUUCUAGUUUGUUAAUUGUUACAUCUUCUGUGUUUCUAAGGGGUUUCUCAUGUUGCAGGCAAGUAAAGCAAGGAAAAGAUUAUCAAAGGGAAGAUCUUUAGAAGAAAAUAGAAUAGUUUGUGAGUGAGCAGAGUCAAUCAAUGAGCUGAUAUAUACAUUUUCCAGUUGAAAGAGAUAAUCAUUGCUUGAGAAAAUGAGCUGAUCAUAUGUCAAUUGUGUUGAAAAGUCAGAAGCAAAUGCCAACUUUGCAACUGUUAGCAUGAAGGCUUUGGAGAAGCGAAAUCCAAUUUGGUUUUUGUUAGCCGAAAAGAAAGAAUGGAAAAAGGGGAUGUAUUGAAAAUAAUAAUAAUUAUUUAUUAUAUUUUCAAUUAUUUUAUUCUUUGCAUAGUGCCAACAUUUUUCCUAUAAAUAGCUUAGGAUUUCAUUCAUUUGAAAUCAUCCUAAAAUUGUUAAGCUUAUAAGUUUCUAAGCUUUUGAGAGAAGUGAGAGAAGUGUGUCUGGGGAAUUUAUCUUUCCUGCAGAGUGUGAGAGUACUGGGUAUAUUUGGGUUUCUGGGAAGUGAGAUUCGUUACUCAAAUAUUGUAUUCUAUUAAUUGUUAAAUAAACAAUUAUUCUUUCUUGCCUCCGUGGAUGUAGGUUUAAUUACCGAACCACGUAAAUUCUUGUGUCCUUUAUUUUUCGGUAAUUUUUGGUGCGCUUGAUUCCGCAUUCCGCGCACAACAAGUGGUAUCAGAGCCGACGGUUCGUACUUGGGGGGAUACGGUAUUGUUCACGUAUAUGGUACUAUUCCCGUAUACGGUACUGUUCACAUACGGUACUGUUCACGAAUACGGUGGAGACAACCAUUUGUACUUGGGAGACAGUCUAUUGUAAGUAGUGUGUAUUUUUGCAUGUCUAGGAAAGUUCUGUCAACAAAGGCGAUAAGAGUCUAAGGAUUCUGGUUUUUAAUUGGGACCGAGUUCCCGUCCAGUUUCCUGGGAACUUUCCUGGUGCAUUUAUUCACGCGAAAUUAACAUCAUAGAGGCUGUUUUUCCAGUGGAAAUAGUUCGUUGAAAAAAUGGUAGAAGGUGAAACUUCCAGAAUUGGGGAGAGAUCUACCGAGACUAUUUCAGGAGACACUUCAGGUGGGAGGCGAGAUUUGUCAAAUCGCUAUUCAGCACCUAUUAUAGGAGGCCAGAAGAUCGAUGUUGAAAAGUUUGAUGGGAAAAUCAACUUCGGCAUGUGGAGGCGCGAAGUUAUGGAUGCCCUUAUUCAAAUCGAUCUCGAUGUUGUCCUGAAAAAUAAAAGACACUUGUAUGAUGAAGAAAUUUGGGAUCGUAUGAACGAGAAAGCCUGUGGUCAGAUCAGAUCUUGUUUGACCAAGGAGGUGAAAUACUUGGUGAAAGAUGAGGAGUGUGCAGUGACUUUGUGGCGUACAUUGGAAGAGAAGUACCUGGUGAAAAGUCCUGAAAAUCGUCUUCAUGCAAUGAGCCAAGUAUAUGGCUUUCGAAUGAAGUCUGGGGUGUCAAUGCACGAUCAUGUUUCAAGAUUUGAAAAGUUACUUGCUGAUUUGAAGAAUCUUGAUGAAGAUAUUAAAGAUGAAGUCAAGGCUAUGAUUAUGUUACACUCACUACCAGAGGAAUAUAGCCAUUUUGUGACUACUUUGAUAUAUGGGAAUUGUGUGAUCGUCUUUAAAGAUGUUUGCACAGCAUUGACUAGUUUGGAGAUUCGGAAUAAUGAUAAAAAUUCUGAACGAGCAUCGUCUGAAGCUUUGGUGAGCAGAGAUUGGGCGAUGGAGAAACAGAAGAAGCGUGGUGGAAAGAAUUCUUGAUCCAAAUCGAGAAGCAGAAAUAUAGCUCGAGAUGAGUGUGCCUUUUGUCAUGAAAAGGGCCAUUGGAGAAAAGAUUGUCCAAAGGCUCAAAAGAGAGAUGGGAAGAAACCAGCAGCAGCAAACAUGGCACGGAAAGAUGAGAACUCUGAUUAUUCACUAAGUAUUACUCCUGCAGCAUAUGUGGCUAGUUCGAGUGAGUGGAUACUUGAUACAGGAGCAACCUAUCAUUUGUGUCCUAUUAAGGAAUGGUUUACGAAUUUUCGUAAUCUGGAAUCCGGUGCAGUUAUGAUGGGGAAUAAUCAACCUUGUCGCACAAUGGGGAUAGGAACAAUUCGGCUCAAAAUGUUUGAUGGAAUGGUCAGAGAACUCAAAGAGGUUAGAUUUGUUCCAGAGAUAAAGAAAAAUCUAAUUUCUGUGGGUGCUUUGGAAGCUAAAGGUUACAAAGUUACCAUUGAAGAUGGCACAAUGAAGUUUACACAUGGGGCUAUGGUGAUUCUGCAAGGGGUUCGGCGUCACAAUCUGUACUAUUUGAAGGGAGGUACAACUGAUGAAGCAAAUGUUGUUGAGGCGCACAGUGACACCACCAAGCUAUGGCAUGUACGACUGGGACAUGCAGGAGAGAAGUCUUUGCAAACUCUGAUGAGGCAUGGACUCUUAAAAUGUACCAAAACUUGUAAAUUAAAUUUCUGUGAGCAUUGUGUAGUAGGCAAGAAAACAAGGGUCAAGUUUGGUACAGCUAAUCACGAUACUCGUGAGAUCCUUGAAUAUGUUCAUAGUGAUGUAUGGGGACCAACCAAGACUGCAUCAAUUGGUGGAAGCCAUUAUUUUGUUAUAUUUGUUGAUGAUUUCUCUAGACGUGUAUGGGUGUACACCAUGCGAGCAAAGGAUGCGGUUAUAGAGAUUUUCGUGAAGUGGAAGAAAUUGGUGGAGACUCAAACUGGCAGAAAGAUCAAAGUAUUACGAUCUGAUAAUGGGGGUGAAUAUACUUCUGAUCCAUUCUUGCAAGUAUGCCAGAACGAGGGUAUUAAAAGACAUUUCACGGUGAGACAUACUCCGCAACAGAACGGUGUGGCUGAGCGUAUGAAUCGUACUUUACUGGAGAAGGUACGAUGUAUGUUAUCUAAUGCUGGUUUAGAUAAAAAGUUUUGGGCUGAAACUAUGAGCUACGCAAGUCACUUGGUAAAUCGGUUGCCUUCUGCUGCAAUUGGAGGUAAAACUCCUAUGGAAAUGUGGUCUGGAAAGCAUGCACAAGACUAUGAUUCCCUUCGUGUAUUCGGGUGUCCAGCUUAUUAUCAUGUCAAAGAUGGUAAACUGGAUCCUCGUGCUAGAAAAUCUAUCUUUGUGGGAUUCAAAGGUGGAGUAAAGGGCUUCAAGCUUUGGGAUCUCGAAGACAAAAAGUUUGUGUGUAGCAGAGAUGUCACAUUUGAUGAAGCUUCAAUGAUAAAAGCUUCAAGUUCUCAGCAGGUGGAGAACAAGACCACAGAGGUAUUGCAGCGGGUGGAGUUUGAUGCAACUCCAUAUGUACCAGUUAGUUCUACAUCAAAGAAUGGUUCAACUAUGGAGGUGACACCUAAAGUUGAAGAAGAGGUUGUUUCUUCUGAUGUCCCACAAAAUGAAGAAACAAUUGAUGAUGUAGAUGAUGAUGAUUUUAUAGCAACAAGGAGGCCAAGAAGAGAGAUAAAGAAACCCGGAUGGCUUACUAAAGAUAUGGUGGUAGCCUAUGCACUUCCAGUUAUUGAUGAUGACAUUCCCAAUACUUUCGGUGAAGCAUUACGCAGCAAUGAAAGUGAUCAGUGGAAGCUAGCCAUGGAGGAAGAGAUGAAAUCUCUCCAUCAAAACCAGACUUGGGAUCUUGUAAAGUUACCAAAGGGGAAAAGGGCUAUUGGCAAUAAAUGGGUCUACACCAAAAAGCAAGGAUCUCCGAAUCAAACAACUCCUCGAUACAAGGCAAGGCUCGUGGCAAAAGGUUUUGCUCAAAAGGAAGGCAUUGACUACAAUGAAGUUUUCUCUCCAGUUGUAAAACAUACUUCCAUUCGUAUCCUACUUGCCUUAGUUGCAGAAUAUGAGUUAGAGUUGGCUCAGUUGGAUGUUAAGACGGCGUUCUUACAUGGAGAUUUGGAGGAGGAAAUCUAUAUGAUUCAGCCUUGUGGUUUCAGAGUUGCUGAAAAGGAGAAUCAUGUGUGUAGGUUGAUUAAAUCUUUGUACGGACUGAAGCAAUCGCCAAGGCAGUGGUACAAAAGAUUUGAUCAAUUUAUACAAGGGCAGAAAUUCACCAGAAGUGAACACGAUCAUUGUGUUUACUUUAGAAGACUAUCAGAUGGAGCUUUCAUCUAUUUGUUACUCUAUGUCGACGAUAUGCUUAUAGCUUCGAAGAAUAGAGAUGAGAUCGAAAGAUUAAAGAAGCAGCUGACUUCUGAGUUCGAGAUGAAAGACUUGGGUGAUGCACAAAGAAUACUUGGGAUGGAGAUUCAUAGAGACAAGAAGAAUGGGAGCGUAUGGUUGACUCAAAAGUCUUAUUUGAAGAAAGUGCUAGAAAGAUUCGGUAUGGAUGACAAAACUAAACCGGUAUGUACACCUCUAGCUCCUCAUUUCAAAUUAAGCUCUUCUUCAUGUCCUAGAUCUCAAUAGGAGCGCGAUUACAUGGCUCGUGUUCCAUAUGCUAGUGCUGUGGGUAGUCUUAUGUAUGUUAUGGUAUGCACAAGGCCCGAUAUAUCUCAAGCAGUGAGCAUGGUUAGUAGAUACAUGCACAAUCCGGGUAAAAAUCAAUGGCUUGCGGUAAAGUGGAUUCUCCGAUAUCUGUAUGGGACAGUUGAUGUUGGGUUAUUGUUCAAGAAGGAUUGUGGUCAACAAUGUGUUGGGUAUUGUGAUUCUGAUUUCGCUGGAGACCUUGACAAGCGAAGAUCAACAACGGGCUACGUAUUCACAUUGGGUGGAGGUCCAGUUAGCUGGAGGUCGAUUCUACAAUCGACAAUUGCUUUGUCCACUACGGAAGCAGAGUAUAUGGCAGCAACUAAAGCUGUAAAAGAAGCUAUCUGGUUUAAAGGCUUGUUAGGUGAUUUGGGAGUAAUCCAGGAGAACAUUGCGGUCUUUUGUGAUAAUCAAAGUGCGAUAUUCCUUGCGAAGAAUCAAACAUAUCACGCUCGGACGAAGCACAUAGAUGUGAAAUAUCAUUAUGUGAGGGAGAUUAUCGAAGGUGGUGAUGUGUUAUUGAAGAAGAUUGAUACCAAAGAUAAUCCAUCAGAUAUGUUGACGAAGGUAGUUUCUGGAGUUAAGUUUCAACAUUGCUUGAAACUAAUUCAAAUCCUUCGAUUGUGUUAAGAUAUGUCCUUCGGGAAUUAUGAACUACGGUUGGCUUGAUCCCAAAUUUUGGGUACGUAGGCAGUCGGAUAGAUGCAGUCAAUGUGGAUCCUUUUGAGGAUCAUGUGAGGGGUGAAGUUUGGCGGAUCAUUGUCAAUCGGCUCAGAUUUGGAUAAAUUUUCGCCGAGGUGGAGAAUUGUUGAAAAGUCAGAAGCAAAUGCCAACUUUGCAACUGUUAGCAUGAAGGCUUUGGAGAAGCAAAAUCCAAUUUGGUUUUUGUUAGCCGAAAAGAAAGAAUGGAAAAAGGGGAUGUAUUGAAAAUAAUAAUAAUUAUUUAUUAUAUUUUCAAUUAUUUUAUUCUUUGCAUAGUGCCAACAUUUUUCCUAUAAAUAGCUUAGGAUUUCAUUCAUUUGAAAUCAUCCCAAAAUUGUUAAGCUUAUAAGUUUCUAAGCUUUUGAGAGAAGUGAGAGAAGUGUGUCUGGGGAAUUUAUCUUUCCUGCAGAGUGUGAGAAUACUGGGUAUAUUUGGGUUUCUGGAAAGUGAGAUUCGUUACUCAAAUAUUGUAUUCUAUUAAUUGUUAAAUAAACAAUUAUUCUUUCUUGCCUCCGUGGAUGUAGGUUUAAUUACCGAACCACGUAAAUUCUUGUGUCCUUUAUUUUUCAGUAAUACAACAAGCGCACCAAAAAAUUGAUGGCCAAGAAGGUUCCCCAAUCUGAUCUACGGAGCAUGGCAUUUCAUAAAACUCUGUUUCUAGAGAAAAAAAAAAAAAUUAACAGCUUCUUAGGAUUGGAGCAUCAGGUGACUUAGCAUUUCCAGUAUGAAUGAAUUAUAAGAUAGAUGAUGCUGCAAAAAUGAAUAGAGAUAAAAUUAAGCAAGAGAAAAUGUUUGAAUGUUAUUAUUGAAACCUUUUCCAGUGAUUGUAGAGAUAAUUUUCUUUGUAUUGAAACUUUCAGCAUCUGAAAGAUAAGGAAAAUAUUAAAAGAAAAAAGAAAAUUCUUAAAUCUUUUCCAUGUCACUCCAGCAAAGUUGAAUUGUGAUUCUAAACCCUACACCAAAGUGUAAGGUGGCCUGUGGCCUAUAGGUAAUACACAAUUUGACAACCCCAUAUAUUUAGUAAUCUAGGUGGAUGCCAUUAAUUUUUUUUUUUAAAUUUUUGUUCAUUUUUAAUGCAAACAACGCCUCUUUCAUUGAGGCAUUGGAAUAUAUAAAGAUUUGUAUACUGAUUUUGGACCAUAAUUCACAAAUAAUGCGACGCAUAUCUUUCUUUCAGUACUUCUUCAGGAGGAUAAGAUACAGACAUUGUUGUCUUUUUACCUGAAGCAAGUGCAUGUGCAUGAAUUGUUGUUGUCUGUUAAUCUGCUGCCACUUUGCUGCCAAAAAACUUGAAAAAUAAACCAGGAAAAUUUUCAAUAAGCAAAGCCAAACAACUAACCCCUGUUUUAAGUUAUUUUCCUAAGAAAACUUUUAAACACUCAAAUAAAGCACAUAAGUAAAGUAUUUCUGUCACAUUAGCUUUCGAGUGAGGUUUGAUUUACAUUUAUAUCAUAUAUACCAAGUGUUUUUUAUUCUUUUAAUUAAUGUAUAUCACAGCUUGGAAAUUCUAAAAAUUAAUCAUGCUUAAUCUUGAGCAACAAUAUCUGUAAUCAUCAUACGAGGUCAAAAGUGAGGAAAAAAAAGGAAAAGAAAAAGGAAAGAGUUAGUUUUAUGUAUAAAAGUGAAAGGAUCUGUUAUAGACUAUUUCUGUUGCAUGGUUUUCGGAGGCAUAGCAUUGUCCACAGCAUUUGGGCUUUGCUUCUGAUUCAAUGGCAUUUAGAAUUUGGUUUCAUCUGAGAUCAUAUAUAGCUUGAUCCUGAUAUCUUCCAUUUUGGAGGCAUUCAGUUAAAUUGAAGAAGUUUGAUGUUCCAGUUCAAAUUGGGAUUGCUGAAGAUAAUAUAUAUAAUUCUGUAGAGGUUUUCUAAUUUUUAUUUUUAGUAAUGUAUUCAUGUCCUGUCAUUCUUCUUUCUGCUUAAAUCCAAUUGCCCAUGUUGGAAUUUCUUUUCAGCUUUUGUAUUCUUUUUCCUUUUUGUUCAAUAAUGCUAUAGACGAUGCUCUACCAUUUAAAAGAUAUAAAUAACAAAUUUUAUAAAUUUUUACUUCGUCAAGGUGUGAAACCUUAUAAAAUUUAUAAAUUUAACUUAUGAACAGAGAAGCAUAAAAAAAAUGUUUGGAGUUGCUUAAUACCAUAGAAACAAAAGCAGAAAGAGAUGUUCAAGAACAAAACCCAAAAAUUUUCAUCAAGUGGAGCAUCGAUCAUGCCAGCAUAAUAACAUAAUUACAUAAUGCUCGAAGAGCACGCAUGACUUUCUCAAAAAAUAAUAUCACUUAAAUGAUCAAAAAACAGAAAUAAUUAAUUGAUUAUCCAUAUAUAUAAACAAGCCUAGCUCUCAAUGUGAAAUAUAUUAAAUCAGCAACUAUAAGAUUUUCGGUGAUGAUAUUUCCACCCCAUAAAUUUUAUAAACCCACCCAUUUUUUUUAAAAAAAAUUAUUAUAAUAAGUUCACAUCAUUUUUUUAAAAUUUAAAUUAAGAAGAAAUUAAAAAAUUAAUCAAUUAAAUCUAUAUUCAUUUCUUUUUUUUUAAUUAUGUUUCUUUAUUAAAUUUCAUCAAUAAGGUUGCUUUAACAUAAAUUAAUAUGACUAUUUUACCCUUAUAAGGUAAAAGUACCAAAAUAUCUAAAAAUUCACUUUAACUUUAAUAAAAUUUUAUGCAAUUUUUUUUAAUAUUUUAAUGAUAUAUAAGUAAUUGUUAGUACAAUUAUUGUUUCUCCACUAAACUAACAAAAUAUAAUUAGGACAUGUGGUGGAAUGAAAAUAAUUAAAUUUUAUAUAAAAACCUAAGCAAUUAGUUACGAUAAAUAUAUAUAUAUAUAUAUAUAUAUAUAUAGUAAUUUGGUUAUUUUAUAUUAUAAGGGUAAAAUAGUCAAAUUAAAUUUAUCUUGAGGCAACCUUCAAAAGUUAAAGAUUGUUAAAAGCUUAAGUCCAAAAAAUAAAAAUAAAAAUAAAAUUAUAAAAUUGAUUUAAUUAAUUAAUUAUUCAAAGCUUUUAUUAAUUUGUAAUUUUAUAAAAUAAUGUAAAUUUAUUGUAAUUAUUUUAUGGAGGUGGAGGGGGUUUAUAAAAAUAGUGGGGUGGAAAUAUUCACACCCUUCAAUUAAUAGUUAGGAUAAUUUUUAGAUACUUCCCCUAAAGUUUGGCUUUGCUUCACUUUUAGAUCAUUUUUAGAGAGAAUGUAUCAAUCUAUUGAUAAGAGUGAUGAUACAACCAUAAAUUUUUAUACAAAUUUAUCUUGUAUAAAUUUAUUUGUCAUUAAUUCAUUGGUUGAAUAAAAAUGUAAAAUAAUAAAAAUAUAUCACGUGGGUCAAGAGAUAUUUAAUUCAAGUAAUUUUAUCAUAUCACAUUAAUUUAUACAAAAAUUUAUAACUAUAUUAUUAUUUAAUUGAUAAUAUACCCCUUGUCCGUGUAUAUAAGGGUUAGGCACUGAUUAAGUAGUUGCAGUAUUUUUUUUUAAAAAAUCUUACAAAAGCUAUUAUACUGUAACUAAUCAGCUAGUGAAACCCGAGGGGAUAGUAACCCAUUUUCAUUGUCAAUGCCUAGCUUCAUUUUUUUUUUUUUUUCUCACUUGAUGAGUGCUUACCUUCAUUUCGAAGGUCGUGACACCAACUGAUUUUAGCAAAAGCAGAGAUACUUUGUGAUGCAGUAAGCUAACAAGUUUCUGAAAUCAACUAUGUUUUGAACCAAAUUUCGGCGACGACCAGCAGCUGAAAAGCCGGUGAUUAAAGGGCACACUAGGUGCGUAAUUCUAUCAAAUCUUAAAACUGAAGUUAGGUUUUAUUAUUUUCUUGCAUUUUGUUGAAAAUUGCUGUUAGUUAGGUGCUUUAUUCUUUGUUCCCAUUAAUUGAGAAAAAUGUUUAGGGUUUAUAGAAAUUGAAGUAGUGACCGAAUAUAUCUGAAUUGAUUUUUGAGUUGAUAGUCAUUCGAAAUGUUGUGUAAACCAUGCAAAUGAUUUAUUUUUUGAUGAUUUUGGACUGUGGGUUUUGAAUGCUCACUGAAAUUUGCUUGAUAUGUUCUUUAAAUUGAGAAAAAUCCAAGCUUCUUCUAAGAAUACAGAGGUGUUGCUGAGAAAAUGCUUAUGGUGUUGUUUUGUUUCUUUUUUUAUUUUACAAGUGGGCAGUUCAUGUAAGAUUGAGACAGUUGCUCUUGUUGCUUUUUGAUGUUUUGUAUAGACUGAUUCCAAUCACUGAUUUCUGUUGGUAAAUGGAUGCUAUUUUUUUUUUUUCCUUUCUUCACAUAAAAAUUUGUACUUCCCAACAUAAAAUUCAGAUGCUUGCCUAUUGUUUUUUGAGGUUCUCAUUAAGGUGUAAGAGAUAAAUUAAUUAUAGAGCUUGUAGGCAGUUGGUUUAUUGAAGAACCAGUACAGUUGAGAAAGUGUCUUUUGGGACAUCCAUUUUAAUACAAAGAUUAACAGAUUUAAUUACAUAAACACAAGACUUCAUUUGUUUAUCAAAGUAGUACUUCUGAUGCUUUCGUAUAAUGAAUGCCAAAGAGAUGACAUUUGCAAAAAGGCCAUUUGAAUGUACCAAUUGCUAUCCUUGUAAACCUCUAUUGUGAUUCUGUUAUCAUUAUAUGUUGUUUAAUGAUCUGAUGAUUUUGAGAUAUCAAGAUGAGUUUAUGGUAGUACAUGUUCAUUUAGCUACUUUAGGUACUAAUACAUGCAUUUAUUGUAUAAUGCCUACUUAGCAGCCAUAACUACACUCAUUGUUGAAGCUACAGCAACACAAAUGAGAAAAAACAUGCUGAGGAACAACAUUGUCUUUAUAUAAUUGCAUUUUACUCCAUUUUGUUGUGCUUUUUGCAUCAGUGACUUCAAAUCCAUCAUAUCCUUUUGCAUACUCAUCAGCAGUUCAUAAUUUGCUUGACAUGUUCCUAAACCAGCAAAUAUAACGCCUCGAUCGAUAUCAUUUGAGGAUGGCAUCCAAAACUUGAAAUAGCCACAACCAUUUUUGCUAUCCAUACAGCAAUAACAUAGCUUGUUUGGGUUGUCAUCUGAUUCCGCUACCUUCAUAGCAGCUCUUUUGUAGCAUUUACAAAUCUUGUUUGAAAAUCGAAUGAAUUUAAAAUAUUAUCAUUUAUUUUUUUUUGUAGCAUUUACUAAUCUUAUGAUAUUCAGUAUUGUUUUUAUAUAAAUUAAUUUAAAAUAUUAUCAUUUAUUUAUCUUAUUAUGUGAUUUUACACUAUCAAAUUAUUUGUUUUAAGGGGCAUUUUGGUCUUUUCAACACUCAUUUGAGUUUUGUCUUAUUAUAAGAAUAUGUAAUGUCAACAGCAAUUAUCAUAAGGGUAUAAUGGCCUUUUCACUGCUCUACAAACCCCCCCCCCCCCCCCAACCCCGCAGCCAAAAACAAUUUCGCCCCAAAUAUAAAGAUCAUCUACCGUGUCCAAUAAUUUUGGCAUUCAUUGAAAUGUGUACUGAAGGGCAUUAUUGUAUAUUCACUCAACUACCUAACGGGUGCCUAACCUUCAUACAUGGCCAGGGGGUUUAUUGUCAAUAUAUGGAUACAUUCUCUCUAAGUGUGUCAAAGCCAAACCUCAGGAGAGGUUUCUAAAAGUUUUCCUGAAUAGUUAAUAAUUUUGUACAACAGAUUCCUGGAUACCCCUCAGGUUCACUGAUUCUACGUUAUGGCUGACUUUCAAGAAAUUAAAUUCUACAUUAUGACCCCCAGUGAAACAUUGUUGCCGAUAAAAUUAUAAAAUAUAUGUGUAAUACUAGUCAAACCUAAACCUACGUCGUUUAGCAAUUUACAAAAUGAGAAAGACGACAAAAACCGGAUGUUGGACCGGCAACGAGCCAACGAGAUAAGCUCAAGUUCACUGUGUUUUUUAUGAACCCUCUGAAGACCCAAAACUCUAGGUUUGUUUUUUACGUUCCCUAACUGUUUGACUACAUUUUUAUUCUUUGCUACGUUCGUUAUGAACUGUUCAGGCUAAGUGCUCGACGAAAUUCCUAAGUGAGUGUGUAUAAUGGUUUGCUCUUGUAUUUAUUCUGUUAUAGAAGGUUUUGCUUUGGGUGGUUAAAUAGAUGAGACUAGACAUUGAACUUUAUGCACUUGUAUGUUUUCAAGUAAUUGGUUGUUCAGGCACAUGUACUUUGAAUUGCUUCAUUCAUCUUCAGAGAUAUCAUAACUUUUGUUGUUAAUUUGUCUAAAGUGAAGGCUUUUUUAACUUUUAUUUCUUUGAUUUAUUUAUUUAUUGGUGUAUCGAGGUUCUGUGUCUAAACUUUUAUUUGAUAAGUUCUUUCGGACUACUAAUUAGAAGAAAAAAGUGCUAGAGAGUGAGUAUGAGAGGGAAUGAUGUUUGGGCAAGGGGUGAUUGGUUCACUUGGCUCAUGAAGAACCCCAACUAUAAUGGCAUGUAUCAAUUUCGCAGCCUAAUUGGCAGGUAAGCUCAUUUCUUGAUUUCCUUCAUUUUUCACUUCCAUUUUACUGUUUUCAGGUAGCAGGUAAUUUAAAUAAAAGUAAAAUCAGUAGUGAUUUGCUUCAAGUGCAUGUGGAUAGUAUAUCACAUGUGAGAAGAUUGUAUUUGUUAUAUGAAAAUCCUUAAUAACUUUAAUUAAAAAAUAUAUUCUCAAACCUGAUUGUGGAAUGUACUAUUUCUUAAUAUCUGAGUUUGGAUCAACACAUUUUUUGCCAUGCAAUUUGACAAGUUGUCAUGUCCUCAUUCUGCGCUAUUAUAAGUUUUGCCAAUCUGCAUAGGUAUUUUUAUAGAUUGAGUUAAUCUAGUUUCGAGAACAUGCCUUACUAAAGGGCGUUGAGUUUCUAAGUGAAGGCAAGUGCAACUAUAAUUAUCUAUUUCAUAUCCUCCUUGUUACCUCUAAAUUCUUUCAAUAACUUGGGGACGUUAAUCCUAUUAACGACAGCCACAUAUUAUAAGUCGAGAAAACUGAUUUUUUGAUUAUUGAAAAAUUAAAUUUUUUGUAUUAUUCUAUUGUGAUCUCAGUAACCUACCUGUUGCGGUUGUCUUGUAUGGAUCAUUGUUUCUCUUUUAAGCUGUUAUAUUGACAAUUUUUAGCUCUUAUUGCAGAUCUUAAAGUCAUUGCAAGCACAUGCUCCAUUGAUCUCCAUAAAUUCGGAUACAUAUGUAUAGUUAGCUAUUCAAACAACCACACUGGUAUUCAACUUCAAUAUUCAGAAACAUGGCUGAAGUGAAGCUUCAUGGGGCAUGGGCGAGUGCAUUUUGUUACAGAGUGAUAUGGGCUCUGAAAUUGAAAGGCAUAGCAUAUGAUUACAUUGAAGAAGAUCUCUCUAACAAAAGUGCUUUGCUUUUGAAGUAUAAUCCAGUUCACAAGAAGGUCCCAGUGCUUGUUCAUGACAAAAAAUCCGUUUGCGAGUCCAUUGUUAUCCUUGAAUACAUUGAAGAGAUGUGGCCACACAAUCCCUCCUUGAUGCCAAGUGAUCCUUAUGAUGGAGCUCUGGCUCAUUUCUGGAUUAAAUUUGCCGAAGACAGGGUUCGCUUCAGAACUCUAGCUAAUGCGUUUAUAAGUUCAUUAUUUUCAUGUUUAUUUGUUAUUAGAGAAAAUGAUCAGUCCUCCAUUGUAUGUCAAAAUUAAUCAUUUCUUCUUUUAUGUUUUAAAACCUAUCAAAAUCUCCAUUGUUGUUCAAAAAAUUCUGUUGACUUUCAACUUUUUGUGUCUUUUACUAAUUUACCUCUGGAAAAAUUUUUAUUAUUAAGAAGUUGAAAGUUUAUUAGAAUUUUUUUAAUGGCAGGGGAAAUUUUGAUGGCUUUUGAAAUAUGAGGGAGAAAGGAAUUGAUUUACCAAAACAGCAUUGGGGUUUUGUUGUUCAUUUCCCCUGUCAUUUGAUGUAGUGGUUAACCUUUGGUAUAAGGAUGCUUGACAAGGGUAUUUAGGUCCAAGUCUUUUAGCUCAUACGUAUUAUUAAUCAUGUGGUGAUAUUUUGGCAGGGAGCUACUGUUUGGAAAAAGUUUUGUAGCGUACAAGAUCAAGAGAGUACAAUGAAAGAAAUCUUGGAAAUGCUAAAAACCGUUGAAGAACAUGGCUUAGGAGAGAAGAAAUUUUUUCAUGGAGACAUUGGCUUAGUGGACAUAGCAUUUGCUUCUAUUGUUUAUUGGUUGCAAAUAAUUGAAGAUGUAGCAAGAGUGUAACUAUUUGAAUCUCACAAAUUCACUAGCUUACACGUUUAGUUUGAAAAUUUUAAACGAGUCCGAGAAAUUGAAGAGAACCUUCCUAAUCGGGAUGAACUGUUGGGUUUUUUCAAACGUAGCCGUGAAAAGUUGGUGGCCUCAUCCUCAUUGCAUUAGCACAAAAUUUGAUCAUGCAAUUGUAUUGUUGUCAAGAGGCCGCGCUUUGCUUAGUUUUCUAUUGUCUUUUGUGCUCAAUUGGGAGGCCGCCGGUUUGCUGGGUGCUUUCAUAUGGAUUUGAGUUAUAAAAGGGACUUGACUUUAUAUUUAUGAAUUAUUGCAUGUAUUUCGUUAAUUAUUAAUGGACUAAUAGCGGUUAUGUAUUGUUUGGAAGGAAGUUUGAAUGCUAAGAUGUACUAAUGACUUAAUGACGUGUGGCAAAAAAAUCAGUUAAGUAAAGUCAACUUGAUUGAACGAAUGAUAAUAUAGCUCUCAAAAGUUAGAAGAUAAGCUCCCUAUGGAAAAAGAUAGUUUUGGUAAUAUGUCUAACAUUAAGGGGUAUUAUCGAAACUUAAAUUUUAAUGGUUAGACCCAGUAUGUGAACAGUGUGCCAUUAUUUUUAGGGUUAUAUUUUGCUAAGAAUAACAAGCCAAUAGAACUUUAGAGACUUUUUUCUAGAUCUAAUUUCUUGAGAGACUUCUUCAUCUUCUUCAUCCUCUAUUUUUAGGGUUUCUUUCUCCAUUUUAACACCACCAUAGAAAAUCUUAACCAUCUUAUCCCCCAAAGAAACCUCUUCCCUUACUCUUAUCUUGGAAAACUCUCUAAUCUCUAUGAGACUCAUAUCUCUCCCAUGUCAUUAUUCCUCAGAAACAAUCUUUAAUAAGAUUUUGUCAAUAUUACAAUGCAAAUUAUGUAAUACUUCAUUUAUAUAGUGGAUUGGAUAUGAAUUACUCUUAUGGAUGUAGAUCAAAGGGCCAACCACCUAAAAUCUUGUGUGUUCUUUAUUGUUUAUGCUUAUUUUCUAUUUAUUAGGAUGAUGAUAAUGCUCAGAUCGUAUUUCAUAUAUGAGCUCACUAGAGGCAUACCACGAGCUCUAUUGAGUUCCCCAAAUAAGCUCUCUAGUUAAAGCUAUCCUUAAAUAUGCUAGAGCUACUCCCUAAACUCUCUUGAGCUCCGCAAAUCAACUAUUUAAACUAAAUCCCAUGAGCUACACAAAGCUUACCUCCCAACAGCAAAAUACCAAGCUUACCUCAAUUCAUCUUCCAGAUCACCUCAGUUAUUUCUUUUAUCCCUAACAGUAGAAAAACACACUUAGAUUUUUACUAGCUCAAUCUCACCUCAAAUAUAAAUUUAAUUAUUUAAAUUGUCUUUGACCUAGAUCUAGUGAGGACAAUGAUUCAAAUCAGAUCCUAGAGGAAAUCCGGUCAAAACAUGUAUCUAUGUAUAAUAUUGAACAUCAUCCUAACGAUCAAUCCGAAUGCACUUGGAUUUGUUCUUAAUAGUACACAAAAGUGGAAAAAGCAUAGCAAGCAACACUUGCACACACGAGGCUCAAUACAAGUACGAACGUCACAAUUCCAAGCAACAAACAAUGAUCAUCAGUACUAAUUUUUUCUGCAAGCCACCAAAUUGGAAAAUACCGCCAAGUAAUUAAUUAACCACUCUGACUUGCCAGCUUAAGCUUAUCCAAUGCUGAGAGUUCAUUAUUCUUCAAGGAUUGGUUAUUGUAAAUGUCUUUUAGAGUAAUUUCAGGAUAGAGCGGAGGAUUUACUUCUGAUAGCAACUCUUUAAUUGGACCAUAUCGUCUCGAGCAACUAUUAUUCAUGAAAAAACUUCCGAUUGAAAUUCUGGAGCCUUCCUUAUUUGAUAACACUCUAUGAUAGGCACUCUUGAACUUAUCGUUGGUAAUCAGCUGCAUGAACACAAACAUGUUGGUAAUCAGCUGCAUAAACACACACUUCAUAUAAACGACAAUUAAGUUAUCUGAUAGAGAUUCAUGCUCAGGUGUAGACGUUCACAUGAAAUUUCGUGAGGACGAUUCUUUCACAGUAUUGUGAAAGUGUGUGUCCGUACAAGAUUUAGUGCGAAUGUCGCACCAGAGAAUUUUCAAUUCGAUGGAUAGUAUUUCUUAAUAAGUUAUCUAACACACACUUGCCUGCAUCAUGUAGCCUAAGUUUACAACUAGAGCUCCCGGAACAGGGGCAAUGUCAAACCACUGAUCUUCGUGAAAGACUUGGAGGCCACCAAUUUGAUCUUGUAUGAGCACAGUGACAAAUCCAGGGUCAGAAUGUGUUGCUAUGCCGAUGGACAAUUCUGGUUGAGGGCAUUCAGGGUAGUAACUAUUCCCAAUAGUCAUUUCCUCUACACAACCUAUGUUUUCCACAUUAGGUUGUUGUAUGUGAUCAUUAUCUCUCUGCAAAUUAAUAAAGACAAAAAAUAAUCACUACUAAAAGAAAGGGAGAAUGACAUUUCGACUUUUAGAAAUUGUUUUUUUAUUGGGUUAACAUCUAGAUGAAAUGAGAGUAAUAAAAACUUAUUAGGAACCCAAGUGAUGCAAAAAGUUCUAAGAAAGAGGCAGGUGUUAUCCACUGUAAAAGAAAUACAAUCUAUUGGUCAUCGUCCACAUACCUGCAAGCUUCAGGCAAAUCUUCAGGAUUUGAAAAAUCGCGACCCAUAACACAACUCAAAGUAUCUUUCCAAAAGAGAGUUGGUGCACUAUACAAAUUUAAAUUUGAACAAUAUUUAAUUUUUUUGGAGUAAUCACGAGAAUAAUAUUUCUGCUUAACCUCAACAUCUUGUUCAAAAAACCUACGGAUCCCAUCAAUGGCUUGAUCCAAAAUGCUUGUUGGGAUUCCAUGAUUGAUCACUUGAAAGAAACCCCACGCCUCACAAGCACUUCUAAUUUGGUCAAUUACCUGAGAACGCAAGCUUGAAUCCUUGUUUAUUCUUUGAAGGUCUAUGAUUGGGAUGCUGAUUUUGGGGUCCCUGCAGAUUGGCUUAUCAUCAAACUUAUAUUUAGUGUGAUGAUCUUGAAUGAAGAUCUGUGGAAUGGUUGUGAUCCCAGCAUCUACGAGUCCCUUAACACCAGCUUUCGUGUCAUCAAAAGCUUUCAACUCGCUAACUCUGUCACAAGUAAUGCUUCCCAUUGCUUGGUGAAUUAUCUAUUACUCGGUGAAUUAUGAAGUACAAGUGCUGACUUGCUGAUGAUUGCUUUUGGGAGAUACCAUUUAUAUGAUUGCUAGCUUGCCACGUGCAACAUGUUGACAUAUAACGUCACCACGAUGAUAUGGAAAUUUGUAAAUUUGAUUCUGCAUUAUUUAUCAUGAUUAAAUUAAUUAUAAAUUAUCAAUAACAGUCAAUUCCGGGGAUCACCAACCAGUGGGUGGCACAGCACAAUAAUAGACUGGGCUGUGGCUUUGUUUUAUGUGGACAAAAUUUCAAUUAGCUACAGGAUAUUGCUGCUUGAUAGUUAACGUUUCACCUUCUCCAUUUGGACAUACUAUUAUGGAUUUACAGUGUUGCUUAAAAGCUAGAUCUUAAAUGAAAAGAAAGCUUUAAUGGUGAAAUAAAUAUUAAAAAAAAUGAUAAAGAGACUAAAUGUCAACAAAAAUAAUGGUAAAAUAAACCUGUUUUAUCAUGUUAAUAAUAGUGGUAUAUAUUUAACUUUAAUAAAUUUGGCCAUUUCGAUUUUUAAUUUGGCACCUUCCCUGCUCAGUCAAGAAAAAGAAUACUAUAAAAAUUAAAAUAGAAAAUUUGGUAAGGACAUAUCUGCAGAGAUGUUAUAUAUCAAAGCAAUGUCAAAGUUAUAAUACUUCCCUUAUUAAUGAGAAGAGCACUAGCAUAUACAAGAUCGACAAUCACUUAAAUCAAAGCAAUGUCAAAGUUAUAAUACAUGGGAUCUAAUGCGUACAAGCAAUGGUUUCUGGUCACAGCAGCUUUAGGCUUUCAGCUACAGUAUAAAGUGAAACUGUCGCUUGAAAAUAAAAUUCAUGUUCAGCAGCCUCAUUUUAGAUGGCAUCGGCAUCUGUAGUAUCGUUUGUCUGUAGUCCCUCAUUAUCUACAAUCUGAUCGCUCCCUAUAGUAUUGUUUGUCUGUAGUCCCUCAUUAUCUACGAUCUGAUCGCUCCCUAUAGUAUUGUUGGUCUGUAGUCCCUCAUUAUCUACGCUCUGAUCGCUCCCUAUGUAGAGAAUCGACAACAGCAAAUUGUAGCACACGUUCACAGCACUAAUAACUGUUAAACUCUUAUAGUACUUGUCAAGCCUACUAUCACCCAAGGUUUCGCCAAACUCGCCUUUGUUUGCCAAAAUGCAAAAGAUGUUAAAAAUGCCUCCAAUUCCGACGAAAAAAUAACUUGUUGCUGAUACAUGGUACUCCGUCCGUUCAGGAAAAUGAGAGCUCGAGUAUUCAUCACAACCAUGCCAAGCAAGCCCUUCCAUAAGCCCCAAUAGACAGAAUUGUGGAACAAGCCAAAACAUGCUCAUAUGGGGUUUGUGUUGACAAUUCAAACAUUUAUCUCGCCCUUCCAACCUGCGAACCUCAACCUGCCAUGCCACUAUACAGCACACUGUAGACAUCACCAUUCCAAUGAAUGUUCUCAAUACUUGAGCUUGUCUCUGCUUAGUUUCCAGAGCAAUUUUGGAAAUUAAUUUUUUCAACAGAUAAGAGAUCGUCGCACAAAUUAUGGCUUCAAAAGUUAGAAGAAAGAUUAAGAAUCUUUCAGAAAUCAUGUUAGCUCCCUGCACAGGAAAUAAUGUAUUUCCUGCAGAUAGAACCAAUCCAAACACAAUGAAGCUAGACCACAAUGGCAGCAAUUUAAGAAGAGACUUUGAGUCCCUGACCUGGGCCACAGUGCAAAGUGUGCCUGCCUCUUCUUGUUCUCUAGAAGUACUUGAUGUCUCUAUAAUUGCCGCUUUGUCUAUCCAUCUGCAAUUCAAACAAUUAAUUUAUUGGUAAUUCUUUUUAGGAAAAUAGAAAGCGACAGCUCAUGGUUUGGUAGAAUGAUCACACAAACUCUUUUAUAAAUACACCCUUUUGGACAAAUCUUGGAGCAGAGUGACCAUUUCUAAACACAAAACGAUAUCAGUGUGUCCAUAAAGAGGUCGAUGUAAUUAUUACUAAAAAUAAGUGGGUCUCCCCGACAAUUUUGCCAGACCACGGCCGGCUGUGGGUGUAUACAUGUUAGGUAUAUACCUGAGCAAUUUGAUUCUGGGUGACAAGUGUAGUACGUUUCCCUCAUCAUUACUGAAGAACUGCUCCGGAGAAAGAGGAUAAUUGAGAUGCUUUUUCUUCAGGGAGGUUUUAACAACACGGAUUAUAGCAAAACGGUCAACAGGAGGUAUUUUUGUACUAUGAUAGAAAGGAAUACCCAACAGCAGGAGGAUCAAACUGCCCCCCAUAAACAACAAUGUGAACAUGAAAGUCUUCUUCCAUGUCUUAAUAUUAUUUGCAUAGAAUGCCGCAGCUACACCACAGCACCAGGCAAGCCGCCACCACACUCUUUUCUGAGCCAUUACUUGAUUCUCAUCUGGAUUGACUGUUCUCCCUCCAGCACCAUGUGCUCUUAAUUGAUCGGCAAGAAAUGGUCCCAAGAGAGGCGCCACUCCAACUUUACCCACUGCUAACAGGAUAAUUCCUAUCACGUUGAGCAGCUCAAAGUUGGUUUCCGAAAAUUCUCUCGCUGUAUAGAACAAUAGCCCCAAUGCCUGCAGUAAACAUUGUUGGAACUAAUUGUACAGCAUAACAUUAUGAUCCUAAAAUUGCUUUUCUUAAUCAUUAUUAUAAUCAGGAGUGGAGCCAAAAUGAACAAAUGCCGCAUCAAUUAUAACUUAACUAUUGGGAUCUCUAUCAUUAUUUUUAUACGGGAAUGUCCUCUUAUUACUUUUUUUUUCUACAUGCUGUGAAAUUUAACAUAUACUGCAAAAUAAUAAUUUUUAAAUUUAGCUUAAAGUAUUACAAAGUCCUGGGUCCGCCCCCGGAUAUAUUUCUUGCAGAUGAUAGACAUAUGUUUUAAUUUUUCCUCUGUUUGGAAGUUUAGCAAAUUAAAAACAUAUUAACUUACAAGGACGUAGGAGGCAGUUGAAAAUAUGAGGAUUCUGAGAGGAUGGCUGGUAUAACAGGAAAUCCAGGCGGCAACAACCGCAAGAGUUGCUGAUAUUCCAUCCUGAAUACUCGUAAAUAUUGCAGCUUUCUGAAGAGUGGAUACUUUUGAAAAUUCGGCGUCGGAGAAGUAAGUUAUCAAGACGCCCUCUACAGCCAAGUCUACCAGUUUGUGGCUUAUCAACAAACCUGGAAUCAAAAUAUAAUCAUUAGAAGAAAUGUUCGUGCUCACUGAAAAAAAGCAUACACAUGAAAACUACAAGAACAACAUAAGAACUGUUGCCAUGUUUUUAUAAUUUAGCCCAACCUAAUCAAAGAUCUUAAGACAUUGUUGUUAAAGUGAGGAUAUUAAUAAAAUACAAAAAAAAAAUUAGUUUUCAAUUCUAAAUAAAUACAUUUUUAAAAGAUAUGAUUACCUGACAUAAAUGCAGCAGACUUACAAAAACAGACGUAAUAUCGUACCCAAGUUAUGAACAUGUUUUGAAGCUUCAACAACUGAGAAAAUGGAAACAUUGUAGUUUCUGAAACUGCUUCUUUUAUCUGCAAAUACUUGUGAGCUGUGAAUCCUGAGACGAUGAAGAUUUUGUAAGUAUACCAAAGUCUUCGCUAGUCUUCUAAAAAGUAGACCACCUAUCUGGUCACAUAAUAAUGAAUUACUGUACAGCUCAAUAAUUUUAGGUGGUAUGAAACACGUUUGAUGAGACGGUAAUAAUUAAACUGUACCAUGAAUGAUCCUCAUUGAGUAUAUAAUCCGUUUCUUUUUUCAAACAAGAUUUAUGCUUUAAUUUUGGGAGGUUUGCUAAGUUCUUUCUUUUUUGUAAUGGUUACGGAGACUGACAGUUUUCUAUUGAAGUUAUUUAUACAUGUAUUUAUUUUUCAACUUAUAUGUAAUACAUUUUGGAAAUGAGUAAUGGUACAGUACAAAUACUUUUAGACAAAAAAUGAUGUACAGAUUUAUGUAUGGUACAGUACAAAUACUUUUAGACAAAAAAUGAUGUACAGAUUUAUGUAAUUUUGAAAAAAAGAUACUUUCAUCCUUAUGAUUUGGGAAAAAUUUAUCUAGAAUUUAAGUUUUCAGUAAGGGACACUAAAAUUUAUUUUGAUUAUAAUAUUCUCAAUAGAUAGCAACUAAAAUUAUCGACUUCAAUUUUUUUAAUAAAUAUAAGUAUAAUUUAAAUAGUUUUAUUUGUCCGGUCGACCAAUAAUAUUAGAAUGUUUCUUAAUAUAUAAAAUAAUUUUUAAAAUGUAAAAUAUUAUAUUUAUUUCUUUAAUAUAUUUUAUUUAUUAUAAAAUUUUUAAAUAAAUCUAUAGGCUAAACAGAUUUACGUUUAAUAAAAUACAUCUCAUGUACUAAUAGAAUUAAAAUUAUUUUAUAUAAUAUUGAAAAUAAUUUAAAUUUGAAAUUUUUAUUUUAAAAUUAUGUUUUGAUUUAUUCUGAAAUUUAGUUUAAUAUAAUUUAAUAUUGUAAAGUAUUAAAAUAUUUUAAAAUUAUUAAAAUAUUUUAAAAUUAUUAAAAUUAUUUUAAAAUGUAUAUAUUGUUACAUUUAUUUGAAUAUUACACUUCUAUUUAUUAUAAAACAUUGAAAAGAAAAUUUUAGUCAAAAGAGAGUUUUAGUUGCCCUUACUAAAAAAUGGAGUACAUAACCAUUUCUUUAAACUUUAAGAAGUGUACAUAUUGUUUUUCCUAUUUUUUUUUUAUAAUCACUUGAGUUAAAAGAAUCAUGUGGCCCAAAUAAAUUAUUUUUAUUUAUAUUUUCGAUCAGCAGAUAAUAUGUCAUACCGGUUUGUAUAAGUGUUUAUGAACAGGAAAAAGCGAGGUCAGGCACUAGACGGGUUGGCGAUCAAGCCCUCCAACCCAUGUAUAGUGCUAGUUGGGUAAGUUGGACUUUUCUCAAAGACCCAUUUUCUGUCUUUGAAAUAUUAGUAUGAAAUUAAAAAAAUUAAAAAAAAAUUUAAUUGAAACAACUAAAAACAGAAUACAAAAUUACAAAUAAUAACUAUCCCUCUGACUUCAUUGUUCAUAAUAUAUAUAUAUAUAUAUAUAUAUAUAUAUAUAUAUAUAGGAGGCUGUUCCAAUCCGGAAUUCCGGAUUGGAACAAUAUACGGGAUAUUAAGAGUUGGGUUGAAAAUUUUCAACAUCAAACAAAUACAGUUGGUUUUCUCCACCCCUAAGAAAUUAGGAGCUGGCUUUUUACUUGAUUUUAAGUAGAGAAAAUGAUCAAAACGACCUUAUUGUUUGUUAAAUUUAAUCAUUUCUCUUUUAUAUUUCAAAAUCAAUUAAGAAACCUUUAUAUAUAUAUAUAUAUAUAUAUAUUGAACAUAUGGCAUCUUUCACUAUCUUAUCCCCAUAAAUUUUUUAAUCGAUCAACAGUGGGUAAAAUAGUGAAAGCUGCAAUAAGUUGAAAGCAAAUAAUUUUCAUCCCUAGAAUUUUUCCACCAAAUCAUGGUAAAAGAAUAAAAAUCGCAAUUUUUAUAACAAGGCAGCAAAAUAAGAUGAUUUAGAUGGCAUCGGCAUCUGGAGUAUUGUUGGUCUGUAGUCCCUCAUUAUCUACGCUCUGAUCGCUCCCUAUGUAGUGAAUCGACAACAGCAAAUUGUAGCACACGUUCACAGCACUAAUAACUGUUAAACUCUUAUAGUACUUGUCAAGCCUACUAUCACCCAAGGUUUCGCCAAACUCGCUUUGUUUGCCAAAAUGAAAAAGAUGUUAAAAAUGCUUCCUAUUCCGACGAAAAAAUAACUUAUUGCUGAUACAUGGUACUCCAUCCGUUCAGGAAAAUGAGAGCUCGAGUAUUCAUCACAUCCAUGCCAAGCAAGACCUUCCAUUAGACCUAAUAGACAGAAUUGUGGAACAAGCCAAAACAUGCUCAUAUUUUCCAAUUGUUUGAGCUUUUCCAAUCUGCGAGCCUCAACCUGCCAUGCCAUUACACAGCAAACUGUAGUCAUCACCAUUCCAAUGAAUGUUCUCAACACUUGAGCUUGUCUCUUUUUAGUUUUUGGAACAAAAUUGGAAAUUAAUUUUUUUGACAGAUAAGAGAUCGUUGCACGAAUUAUCCCUUUAAAAGUUCGUAGAAAGAUUAAGUAACUUUCAGAAAUCAUGUUGGCUCCCUGCUUAGGAAAAAAUGUAUUUCCUGCUGACAGAACCAAUCCAAACACAAUGAAGCUAGACCACAAUGGCAACAAUUUAAGAAGAGAUUUUGACUCCCUGAUCUGGGCCACAGUGCAAAGUGUGCCUGCCUCUUCUUGUUCUUUAGACGUACUUGAUGUCUCUAUAAUUGCCUCUUUGUCUAUCCAUCUGCAAUUCAAAGAAUUAAUUUAUUGGUAAUUUUUUAGGACAAUAGAAAGCGACAGCUCAUGGUUUGGCAAAAUGAUCACACAGACGCUUUUAUAAAUACGCCCUUUUGAACAAAUCUUGGAGGUCCGUGUGACUAUUCCUGAACACAAAAGGGUAUUAAUGUGUCCAUAAAGAGGUGUAUAUAAUUAUUAAUAAAAAUAAGAGGGUCUCCCCGACAAUUUUGCCAGACCACGGCCGGCUGUGGGUGUAUACAUGUUAGGCAUAUACCUGAGUAAUUUGAUUCUGGGUGACAAGUGUAAUACGUUUCCCUCAUCAUUACUGAAGAACAGCUCCGGAGAAAGAGGAUAAUUGAGAUGCUUUUUCUUCAGGGAGGUUUUAACAACGCGGAUUAUAGCAAAACGGUCAAUAGGAGGUAUUUGUCUACUAUGAUAAAAGGGAAUACCCAACAACAGGAGGAUCAAACUGCCCCCCAUAAACAACAAUGUGAACAUGAAAGUCUUCUUCCAUGUCUUAAUAUUAUUUGCAUAGAAUGCCGCAGCUGCACCACAGCACCAGGGAAACCGCCACCACACUCUUUUCUGAGCCAUUACCUGAUCGUCAUUGGAAUUUUCUGUUCUCCCUCCUUCACCAUGUUCUCUUAAUUGAUCGGCAGGAAAUGGUCCCAAAAGAGGCGCCGCUCCAACUUCACCCACUGCUAACAGGAUAAUUCCUAUAUGUUGAGUAGCUCAAAGUUGGUUUCUGAAAAUUCUCGGGACGCUGUAUAGAACAAUAGCCCCAAUGCCUGAAACAAAAAUUGUUGGAACUAAUUGUAUAGCAUAACAUUAUGAUCCUAGAAAUGCUUUUCUUAAUCAUUAUUAUAAUCAGGAGUGGAACCAAAAUAAAUUAGUGUCACAUCAAUUGUAACUUAACUAUUGAGAUCUCUAGCAUUAUUUUUAUAGGGGUAAGGCUCCUAAUAUCCUCUUAUUAAGUAUAUAUAUAUUUUUUACAUGCUGUGAAAUUUAACAUUUACUGCAAAAUAAUAAUUUUUUAAUUUAACCCAAAGUACUACAAAGUCCUGGGUCUGCCCCUGAAUAUAUGUAUUGCUUGCAAUGGUAGACAUAUGUUUUGAUUUCGUCUCUGUUUGGAAAUUUAGCAAAUUCAAAACAUAUUAACUUACAAGGAUGUAGGAGACAGUUGAAAAAAAUGAGGAUUCUGAGAGGACGAAUGGCAUAACACGAAAUCCAGGCGGCAACAACCGUAAGAGUUGCUAAUAUUACAUCCUGAAUAAUCGUAAAUAUUGCAGCUUUCUGAAGUGUGAAUACUUCUGAAUAUUCGGAGUCGGAGAAGUAAGUUAUCAAGACGCCCACUAUAGCCAAGUCUACCAGUUUGCGGCUUAUCAACAAACUUGGAAUCAAAAUAAUCAUUAGAAAAAAUGUUCGUGCUCACUAAAAAAAGCAUACACAUGAAGACUGCAAGAACACGUGAGGGAACUGUUGCCAUGUUUUUAUAAUUUAGCCCAACCUAAUCAAAGAUCUUAAGUACACCUCUCUUAACUGAAAUUAAUCGAGGGGAUUAUCUAUUUAGGAAUCUCAAAGUUCAUGAGCUCUUAAUACACACACAGUAUAUACAUACAUACAUCAUCAUGUUGUUAAAGUAAUGAUGUUAGUAAAAUACAAAAAGAAUAUACGUGCAUGCUAUUAAAUUGUAUGAUUUAAUAAAAUGAGUACAGAUAACUAAAUUACAUGAUUUUAUAGUAUUGAAAAUUAAUUCUAUUAAAUCAUACAAUUUAAUAGUGUGUCUAUAUUAAAAAAAUAAAUAAAGACCCCAUAUAUAUGUAUACAAGUUUAUAUUCUAAAUAAAUACAUUUUUAAAAGAUAUGAUUACCUAAGGCCCCACGUGCAAAAUUACCUGACAUAAAUGCAGCAGCCUUACAAAAACAGACGUAAUAUCGUACCCAAGUUUUGAACCUGUUUUGAAGCUUCAACAACUGAGAAAAUGGAAACAUUGUAGUUUCUGAAACUGCUUCUUUUAUCUGAAAAUACUUCUACUUGUGAGCUGUGAAUCCCGAGACGAUGAAGAUUUUGUAAUUAUACCAAAGUCUUCGCUAGUCUUCUAAAAAGUUAGUUUAUUCAAAUUAAAAAAUAAUAAGUCGCACUUCAAGACCAGCUAUUGGUCACAUAAGUCAAAAUAAUGACUUACUGUACAGCUCAAUAAUUUUAGGUGGUAUGAAACACGUUUGAUGAGACGGUCAUAAUUAGACUGUACCAUGAAUGAUCCUUAUUGAGUAUAUAACCCCUUUCUUUUUUCAAACAAGAUUUAUGCUUUAAUUUUGGGAGGUUUGCUAAGUUCUUUCUUUUUGUAAUGGUUAAGGAGACUGACAAUUUUCUAUUGAAGUUAUUUAUACAUGUAUUUCACUUUUAGAUAAAUAAUGUUGUACAAACUAAUGUGAUAUUUUUUAGAAAAAAGUAUAUGUAUAUCCUUAAGAUUUUAAAAAAUGGUCAUAUACAUUCUGAAUUUUUAAUAAGGGACACCAAAACACUUUUUUACUAUAGUAUCCUUAAUAGAUAGUAACAAAAAAUAUUGACUAAAUAUUUUAAUAAAUAUAAAUAAAAUUUAAAUAGUUUAAUUUGUCUAGUAGACUAAUAAUAUUAGAAUGUUUCUUAAUAUAUAAAAUAAUUUUUAAAAUAUAAAUUAUUAUAUUUAUUUUAAUAAUAUAUUUUUACUUAUUAUAAAAAUUUUAAAUAAAUCUUUAGGUUAGAUUUUAAAUUUAAUAAAAUACAUGUCAUGUACUAAUAAUAUUAAAAUUAUUUUAUAUAAUAUUGAAAAUAAUUUAAAUUUUUAAAAUUUUAUUUUAAUAUUAUAUUUCAAUUUAUUUUGAAAUUUAGUUUAAUAUAAUUUAAUAUUGUAAAGUAUUAAAAUAUUUUAAAAAUAUUGAAAUUAUUUUAAAAUGUAUAUAUUGUUACAUAUAUUUUAAUAUUAUACUUCUAUUUAUUAUAAAAUAUUAAAAAUAAUAUUUUAGUCAAAAGGGAGUUUUAGGUGUCUCUUAUUGAAAAAAUGGAACGUACAUAACCAUUUUUUCUAAUUUUUAAGGGUGUACAAGUCAUUUUUCCUACUUUUUUAUAAUCAGUUGAAUUAAAAAAAGUCAUGUGGCCACAUAUAGUAUUUCUUACUUAUAUUUUCAAUCAGCAAAUCAUAUUGUGUCAUAUCUGUUUGUAUACGCAUUUAUGAACAUAAAAAAGUAAGGUUAGGCACUAGUCGGGUUGGAAAUCAACCCAUCCAACCCAUGCAUAGUGCUAAUUGGGUGAGUUGGACUUAUCUCGAGACCCAUUUUCUGUCUUUGAAAUAUCAAUAAGAAAUUAAAAUAAUUAAAAAAUAAUUUAAUAGAAACAACUAAAAAUAGAAUACAAAAUUACAAAUAAUAACUAUCCCUCAAACUUCAUUGUUAAUAAAAAAAAUUAUUUGUAUAGGAUACUAAUCACACCAUAAAAAGUAAUAGGGUGAAUUCAAGAGUUGGGUUUGAAAAUUUUCAACACCUAGGAAAUAUAGUGCAUUUUCUCCACCCCUAAGAAAUUAGGGGUUGGCUUUCUACUUGAUUUUAAGUUGAGAAAAUGAUCAAAACUACCUUAUUGUUUGUUAAAAUUAUAGGUUGAAUUUAAGAGUUGGGUUUGAAAGAUGCAAUGUGUUCAUAUAUAUGGAAUGUGCUUUCUUUAGCACUUAGCCGAAAGCUUCAAAUUUCCAUUAAUAAGACGGUUAAUGAUGAAUUCAAAGAGCCAAUAAGAUUUCAACAAAAUACAUUUUUUCAACUUUGUGUGCAAAUUAAUUACGUCUGUAUUUGGAUGGUUAAUAUAAACUAGUCAUAUAAUUAACCACGCAUUAAUUAAUCAAAUUUUUAUUAUUUAAUAUCUUUGCAUCAGAUGAUCAUUGAUCAAUUAACAAGAUAUUUUCCUUUUGUGCAUGUAUCCACAUUGGACGUCAAUAUAGUAAUUUGUUAUGAAAAAAAAUUCAAUCAAAAUUAUUUUUAAUAUUUUUAAUUUUCUAUCUAACUUAGUGCUUGUUUAGUAUAAAAUAUCUAACGCCCAGCAGUAGGAUAACUCCAACAAUUUCCCUCACACAUCGGGCCUUGGGUCAAAAGAUAAACACUCGUUCUCUUUAUUAGAUUGUUGGGCUGAGAUUGUUGAUGAAUGUGGACUCUGAUACUAGUGUUAGGUAGUCUUAAACUUCUCUCAACCCCAAAAGUAAGCUUAGGGGUGAGAUUUUCCUGACAUUUAUAAAAUCACCAAUAGCCCUUUUCACAACCCAUGUGGGACAACUUCGAUAGUUUGAUUGUAUUUUGAGUAUAACUUUUGAAGAUUAAAUAAAUUAUUUUGCUUCUAUUAGUAAAACCUUAAAAAUUAGAUUUUUGAGAGUGAUGGUCAUAGUACUUAAAGAAUAAAUUGUGUAGAAUAACGUUUUAUAUAUUUAAUGAUCUUAUUCCAUUCCUUUUAUUUUUUUGAUUUCUUUUAUUUUUUAACCUAACAAAAACCUAGUCCCUUCUCCACCCAUUUGAGUAGGGUGCGAAUCUCAGAUCUCUUGCUUUCAACCAGAUGAUACCCAUAAAUUAGAUCAAAUCCUUUUCAUAAUAUCACUUGCCGCAAUAGUAAAAUUAAACUAAGCAAAAGUACUCUUUUUAACACCAAUACAAAAACAAAACAAUCAUAAAGCGAGACACAAAAUAUUAAAAUAAAAAUCAUAAUAUUGCAUCUAUCCACAUGCCACCAACAUUUUCCAUCAACUGUUUGAAAGAGAUCCUCCAUCUCAUCCUGCUUUGGAAGCUAUUCUAAGGAGACUUGCUUGAAAAUUUUAAACCACUCGUGUGUAAGCUAGGGAAUUUUUAAGAUUCAAAUAGCUUCACUCCCUCUGUGCCUCCAUUUUGUAUAACUUUUUAAAUAGAGUUUAUUUAAAUAGGCAUUCAAUUAGUAGAGUUUUUACAAAUAGAUCUUUUACCAAAAAAAAAAAAUUGUUUAGUUCAUCAGUUGUCCAAAGAGAUUUUAUUAAAAAUUAAAAAUUAAUUUCAAUGUACAAGUUUUCUAAGUUAUGUUGUGAAAUGGAUACGAAUAAAAUAAGAAUAUAAAAUAAAUAAUGGGCAUAUUAGAUAGUUUAAUAAUUUAAAAAAGCUUUCUAAUCUCUACUCCAAAAAAUUCAAAAUUCAAAUUUUUGCUAAUAGAGUCAAUAUAAUUUAUUUAAUCCCAAAAACUAAAUUCAAAAUAAAAUAUGACCAUUAAAUAAGCUAAUACUAAACAAGCACUAUACCUUUGAAGGACUUGCAACCCAUCAAAACUCUAGGUCCACUAAGCCAAUAUUGUUCUUGUCCAGUGCUAAAAAACAUUUUUCCAAACAGCUCCACCCUGCCGCAAUAUAUAUAAAUAAUAUGGAUAAGAUCCUCUCUUUCUUUCUUUUUUUUUUCCCCCCUCUCAUAUUCUUCAACAAUGUUGAAUUAACAAGUGAUCCUAUUUUUAAUUUAAAAAAGGAGUCAUGUUUUUAUUAAUUUUCAAAUUACAUCUAUGUUUUGAUUAAUUAAAAAGGCCAGCUAAUGAGAUCAUUAAUUUGGUCAACUACUCAGAUAACCGUGCAUCAAUUAUACAAUAGGCAUUUCUUUCCCAAAAUAAUAUAUUUGCGUCAUGCAUGACGAUCACGGAUCACUUGUAUUAGAGAGCUUAGGUGCCCAGCAAGUCAAGUUGCAAGCUGCUGUCUUUGGCCAUACCUUUGAAGCACAAAUACUUCUUUUUAUUCCUGUUUGAUAGUACGGUUAAAAUCAAGGCAUCAAUCAGGAAGUUGCGCAGCAAGUCAGGUUGCCCAGCCGCUGUCUUUGACUGUACCUUUGAAGCACAAGUACUUCUUUUCAUUCUUGUUUGAUAGCACGGUUAAAAUCAAGGCAUCAAUCAGGUGGGUGCCCAGCAAGUUAGGUUGCCGAGCUGCUGUCUUUGACUAUACCUUUGAAACGCAAAUACUUCUUUUCAUUUUUGUUUGAUAGCAUGGUUAAAAUCAACGCAUCAAUCAUGUACUUAUUGUGAAUCGUUGAAGUAGAUGUACAAUGCAUAAUAAGUAAUAUUUAUUUAAAAAUUGAAGCUUCUAGAUAAUUUCGAUAUAAAUUAAGUUCAGUUUUUACUUCAUCAAGGUGAAACAUCAUAAAGCUUGUAAAUCUAACACAUGAACGUAAAAGCUUUAAAAAAAUUUGAAGUUGCUUGAUAACAUAGAAAUACAAGCAAAAAGAGAUGCUAAAGAAUACAGCCCGAAUUUUUCAUUGGGUGGGAUUAUUGAUCAUGCUAGCAUAAUGAUGAGUUGCCCGAUAAUACCCAAGACUUUCUCGAUAUUAUCAUGUAGAAGGUCAGGACCGCCCACCUACAACUGUUGUUCAGCACUCAGAGAGACUUUUCACCCAGUUCUUAUGGGGUGACUCUGAGACUGGGCAAUAGAUUAAUUGUUGUGGAUGGAUGGCAGUUUGUUAUCCAGUUGAUAAGGGAUGCCUGGGUAUACAAUCUUUUAAUGAUAUGGUUGAGGAUUUUGAGCUUAAGCUUUGGUUGUGUUUUUAGGAGCAGCUUUCAUUAUGGGCUUCUUUUAUGAAGUCUAAGUAUUGUACAGCUGCACAUCCGAGUAUGGUUUAGUUUUGAUAUCCUACCUACCCUCUUUGGAGGCACCUAUGCUUGAUUCAAUAUGUUGGUGAGCUUCAUGUGUGUUGGCUGUUUGGCCGAGGGUUGUUUUUGGUAUGAUUGUUAGCUGGGCUCUUGUCCUUUGGCCUUUUAUAAUCAUGUGGUGGCUUUUCUAGGGCCGAUUUCGAGAUUAUUAGCAAGAUACAGUAUGAGAUAGGGGUAAGCUUCAGGAUGUCCUGCCCUUUUUAAUUGUUGUGCAUAUUCUUUUGAUUCCUAUCUCUAGUGGGGAACCAGAUGUGAUUUUGUACGUGGGACAUUUCUCCUGAUGGUAGUUUUUCCUUGAGGACUACUUCGGAUAUUGUGCAUUGGAUAAGGCCGAGGGAUGAGGCUUUUUUUGUUAUUUGGCAGCGACAUAUCUCUUCGUGGAUAUCCUUUUUUUCUCUAGAGGUUGUGACACAAAUUCUUGACCACAGAUGAUGCCUUGUGUUCGGGGGAUUUCUACAUACUUUCUUAGUAUCUUUGUGGUCGGGCUUCUGAGACUUCUAGGCAUUUAUUUCUUGAUUGCCCUCGAGUUAGGCCGGUUUGGGUCCAUUUUCUAUGUACUCUUGGUUUGCGCUAUGUUGCUUUUCUGUUCCCCUAUACUUUAUUUCUUAAUUGGUAGUGAUAUGCCCUUUCUUGAAGCCAUAUUCAAGUUCUUCUUCCUUGUUUCAUUUUGUGGUAAGUUUAGAAGGCUUGUCAUGCAUUGAAGUUUGACUCAAUGGCCUUUUUUGUUGAUGCCAUUAUUUAUCGGGCGAUGUUGGAUCUUAGGCUUGCUGGUUUUGCCUUUGGUCUUAAACCAUUCCAAUUGUGAAGAGUUUUAGGUUCUCGGUUUGCAGAGUGCUUGAGAGUUGUUGUUUCAUCUAGGAGGCCGAUUCUUUUAGUUUAUUGGUUGUGGCCACCACCUGGGGCGGUGAAGCUGACUAUCGAUGGUUGCUUUAGGAGUAAUCCUAGGAUCUCUGCUUUAGAUAGUAUUUUACUUGAUCAUCGAGAUGUGGCUUUGGCUGUUUUUGGUUCCUUCCUUGGGCGCUAACCGAUCCUUCAUGCAUAAUUCAUGGUUGUUUUUAGGGGUUAGAGUUGGCUGCUCAGCUCCAUUAUUCUGUGCUUGAGGUAGAGUCAGACUCAGCCAUGGCGGCUUCUAGGAUUUUUUUGUAAGGCCUUGUUCAUUCGGACUAUACCUAUUCUUUGCGUCGAGUGUGUAGUUUGACAUUUUCUUCUACUUCGUGGUUAGUCAUGUGCUUCGGAAGGCUACUUCUACUGCUGAUUUCGUUGGCCUGCACUCUUCAAGGUCAUCGGUGUUUCUUGGGUUCUCAGGAUAUCUCUGCUAGCUUAUCUAAUAAUCUCCGUUUGGAUAUGUGGGUAAUUUCUCAUAUCAGGCAAUAGGAUUUCUUAUUUCUGUAUUCCAUUUUUUAUCUUGUAUUUUUCUCUUUUCCAUUCUUAUGUUCUUGCAAUUGCGGUUUUGAUUUAUAUUCAUCUCCUUAUGUAUUUGAUUCAUUCUAUGAUUUAUAUGAAAGAUAGGGGUUCCACCUAACCCCACAUUUUUUGUGGUUAAAAAAAAAGAUCAGGAAUUCAACCUAAGUAAUCAAGGUGAAACAUCAAACAGGUUGUAAAUUUAACAUAUGAACGUAAAAGCUUAACAAAACAUUUGAAGUUGCUUGACAACAUAGAAAUACAUUAUAAAAGAGAUGCUAAACAACACAAAAAUUUGAUUGGGGGGAGUAUUGUUCAUGCUAGCAUAAUAAUGACGUGCCUGAGAAUACCUAAGACUUUCUUGAUAAAUAAUAUCAUUUAAAAGGUUAGGAAUCACAUAUGAUUGUCCACGUAUGAACAAACCUAGCUCAAAAUGUGAAAUGUGUUAAGAUUUUCAAACAUUUAAAUUAAUAAUUAAUAAUUUCAGACAAAGGAUACUUGGAAACCCUAAAGUUCACUGAUUCUAUGUUAUGGCUCAUUGUCUCUCUUGACAAUUUAAUUUCUAGAUUAUUUGGCUCCUAUCUAUUAAAAGACAACACCGUUACUAAAAUUAUAAAUUAUAACAGUUAAACCUAAACCUACGUCGUUUAGCAAUUUACAAAAGAAAAAAUAUAACAAAAGCCAAUUGUUGGAGUAGUAACGUGCCAACGAGAAAACCUCAAGCCAUGUAAUAUCCAGUGUCAACAACUAAAGAAGAACAAACCACCACCCUCAAGGCCGUCGCUGCACUAACGCUGGACCCGAUUUGAAUAGUUAGAAGUUGUAACAUUAAUUAGGGAUUGAGGGUAAAAUUUUGGACUUUGAUUUAAUAAAAUUGAUUUAAAUGAGUCCCAAUAGAAAUAUGAUUAUAAAUAUAUCAAUACAAUUAUAACAUGUGUAAAAGAAAAAAGUUUAUUUUCACACAAAACAAAAAACACAACCCUUGGAUGGGUUGUGUGAUGACUCUUCUGCAAAAAUUAUUUGAUCUCUCACUUUAUGAAGUACGAUUUGUCAGGUUUAAUUAAACCUGUUCCACUCCUUUUAUGUUACCACUUUAUUUUAAAAAUCCCAAAAAAUCUCCUAUCAAGUUUAAUUGCUUCCAGUGGUUUCUUCCUGCUCUGACUUUUGAAUUUCAAAACCAAUCAAAUUUUUUCAACUGUAGGCUUCACGUCUUUUUUUUUUUUUUUGACAACUGGACGUUUUCAUUCAUACUUUAUUCUCUUUCAUUUUGCAAUCCCCAAAAAAAAAAAAACUUUUUCUCUUCCUCUUCCAAUCUCUAACGCCCCCUCAUCUCCCUUUUUUAUUUUUUUUUUAUUUUGUCUUUUGCUUCUUUUUCCUUUGGCUUUAUUUCUCAUUACUUUUUGGCUUCGAAUUUUUCUUCAGCUUCUCAUAUUCUCCUGGGCGCCAUUAUCAUUCCACAAACAGGUAAAAGAAUCUUCAUUUACUUCUCUUUUUCCUUUCUUCUUCAUGGCCCACCAUUAUUCUUUCUUUUCCUUUUUGCUUUUCUCCCUUUUCUCUCCUCUUGGCUGGACUUCUUUUUUUUUUUUUUUUUUCUCGGCUGGACUCCUUCUCCUCUUUUUUUUUUUUCCUUUUUCUUUCCUCUUGGCUGGACUCCUUCUGGCAUGAUUUCCGGCGAGAUUUCUGGCGGUUGCCGCGGCGGUCUCCUGUACCCGAUCCGUCUGGUAUGCGGUCGCGUCUUGCGGCUCCCGGUGGGUUUGGCGCGGUGCUUCUCCGGUUCUCCCCGCACAUUGUUUUCUUUACUUCUUUUUCUUCCUCUCUGCGUUUUCUUUGGCUUUCCUCUUUUUUUUUUUUUUUUUGACUUCCUCUUCUUUGCUUUUUUUUUUUUAUCUCCAGGCUUCUCCCUUUUUUUUUUUGUACGUCCAAGCUCCUUCCUCUUUUUUUUUUUUAUUAUCUCUAACAUGUUUUAUUGUGUCUAUGACAGCCUCUGCACUGCUCCAUCUUUUGAGCAACUUUUGGCGAUUUGUGACUUCUCUUGGCGAUUUAUAGUCUAAAACUUACUUAUUGGCGACUGAAAUUUGCUACUCUCGGUGAGAUAUAGGUAUAAAAUUUUUCAUACCUAUUUUUGACUUCUUUAUUUUGAAGAAUGAUGUUGUGGCUUUGUUUCUGGUUUUCAUGCAAAGUGUUGGCAUUUUCCUUUUUUGUUUAUGCUUUUAUUGGUGGAUGUUGGUGUUUGGCUUGUGAUGGAUGAGGUCUGAAGUUGUGGGGGUAUAUUUUGAUGUGGAGUUUUUCUUUUUCAACUUGUGUCUUGUGUUUUUAGGAGAACAAGAUGGGGAGAAAAACUGUUGGGAAAAAGGGUCGUAAUGUGGUCAGGGAGCCGGGGGAGUCGAGUGAGGAGGCUCCCCUUUCUGAUUCAGCCCCUCAUAUAUCCCUUAGUGACGAUGAUGGGUCCCCUUCGGCUAGUCCCAAGUUAUCUCGAACCAAAACUAGUAAAAAAUUAAAGAUUAAAGGCAAACACCCAGCCAAGUCAGCCCAUAGAAAAACUCGUGCAAAGACAUCCAUACCCAAAUCUCCUAUUCCUGUUAGCAUUCCAGAACCUCCCCUGAUCUCUCCCUCUGUCUCUGUAGCUCCUAAGCUCUAUGCACUAGGGGGUAGGCUGGCUACUCCGAGAGAUUUAGAAAGGGUUAAAGCCAAAUACAACAUACCUCAUUCUGUCCACCUUAGGGUACCUCGCAAGGGCGAGCGCCCCGAGCACCCUCAUUCUGAUGGUGUUGCCCUUCAUACCGACCUUUUUGACUUAGGUCUCCGUUUACCUCUUCAGCCAUUUUUUAGAAAAAUGUUCACUGAGAUGAAAAUUGCUCCCGGACAGUUAUCCUUACCCGGUUGGAGAUUGCUCACGAGUCUGGAGGUUUUGUGGCUAGAUAUUUUUGGGGAGGAUAUUUCUUAUGGAGAUUUGAGGGGGCUUUAUCAGUUGAAGAAGCCCAUUGGUUUAUCCGUAGCCUAUUUUGCUACUUGGGGGGUUCAUGGUAAUUUGGUGAGACCGGAUCCCUUGCUGAAAAAGGGCUACAGAUAUGGGUGGUUUGUGGCUGAGGGCGAGUGGGGGAAGAGCAUUCCAGCGGGGAAUGAAGUUGUGCAAGUUCGAAACUUCUUCAAUGAAGAUAGUAUGUGUUUCUUUUCUCUUCUCUCCCUUUCUAUGUAUAUAUACACCUCUUCGCAUGAAUUUUCUUCUUAUUCGUUGUUUUUUUUUUUUUUUUGGAUUUUUGCAGACAUCACUUGGAUCAAAGGAACGUGCCCAAUCCAUGAAGUGGGGAGGAAAAUGAAUGGUGUUAUAGAGAAGUUCCAUAUUUUGCAGAGUGAGGGUGAUGUUCUGUGCACUUCCCGGUUGGCGAGAGCUGGUCUAAUUAAGGAGAGUUUUCAGUCUUCUUCAGGAGGCGAUUCACGUAUGGCUAUGUGGUGUUGCUGGGGUACCCCGCCUUCAUUGGUUCUGUGGGGUGCCCCCAUUAUUUGAACAAACUUUUUUUUUUUUUUUUAUGCUUUGGUGGCCAUCUCUUAUUUUUUCUUAAUGUGCCUUUUUACCAAUGACGACUCUAUUGUUUAUUUUCCUGAUUUGUCUCUUUGUCUUACCUCUUUUUUUUUUUGUUGGAUAGGCAUGGACCCUUUUGGCGAAGAUUUUGAUGCCUUCUUCAGUCGCAUGAGCGGCAGCUCCUCCGGUACCCUGGGUACCUCCGUAAAAGGUGACCGACCUCCCGUCGUUCCAGGCGGCAAAGGCAAAUUGCCCGUCUCCUCUCUUGGGGGUUCUCGGGGUACCCCGACUACCCACAAGAGAAAGCUUGGCUCUCUUUUCUCAGCUCCUAGAGACCUUAUGGAGGGCGAGCUGGAUCCGGUGGCUAACAAGCGGAUAUCGCACCUGACUGAUUGCUUCCUUCAUUCCUCUGAGAGUAUUUCCACAGACAUGGCAAUGGAGGCGGAUAAAUUAGAUUUAAAUGAGCGCUAUAGCCGAGCGCUCAAAGCUUGUCAUGACGUGAGCGCCUCUCACUCUUUUCUUUUCCUCUUCUUUUUUUUAUAUCGUCCUGACUCCUUUUCAUUUUCUUUAUUAUUAUUUGUGUAGGCGGCUUUCUACCUUAGCCACGGUCUCCGAGACCUUAGUGGUAUCUCGGCUGCACAGACCGAGGUAGAGACACUGCGAGGUGAGGUUAGGCUCGGCCAGUCUCGGGAAGAGAAGCUAGGAGAGGAGGUCAGGGCUUUGCAAAGGUGCUUGGAUGACCACGCCCGGGAGAACAAUCGAUUGUCUAGGAAGUUGGAAGAGGUGGAAUCUAAGCACGGCGAGCUACUAUCUCGCCAACCGGAGAUGAUGGACAAGGCCUUCACUCUUAUCAUGACUGAGGUCUAGAGCGUUGAGCCUGAGUUGGUGGUACCCCGGGUGGAGAAAUGAGUGGACAAGUCGGCCAUCCUGAAAGCGAUAGAGGAUAAAAGGGCUACCCAAGCUCCACCAUCCUAUAGCCCGCAGCAAUCUUCGGGGGUACCCCAGGUGCCCCAGGCACCCCAGGCGGAUCUCCCUUCGGCUAGCGCUAUUCCUAUAGAUAGUAGCUAUUUGGCCGCGAGUGUUCCUAUUGACGCCCCCGUUGAGGGGAACGGUGGGGAGGAUGUCCCCCCUUCUUCUUGACCUUACUUGCUAUUUACAGCUUUAUCUCGAGAUGUCUUAGUGACUUUCUUCCUUUGCUUCUGUACCUUUGUAGUAUGAUAUCAUCCUUUUGAUGUAUUGGGAUACUUGUCUUUUGGAAGGUUGCCUCGGUAAUCUUGCUACUUAUUUGUAUUAAACUUUUGCAAUAGACUUUAUUCGGCUUACCAUUGAAUUCCUUGCUUAUGAUUGAUUUGUGUAGACUCGUGGGGGUUCCUCGGGUACCCCAGGUACCCCCCUGAUGUAUUUUUGGCACUUGCAUGGUGAUUUCCGUAGAUGUGCUCACUGCUCGUCUUAAUAAAGAUCAUGGCGUAUCUCAAAAUGAUUUAAUAAUUUGCACAUUAUCAUAAGAUAAAACAAAAUUCAUAUUUGGCGCAACUAGGAUUAAAUAAAGAUUAUGGCGUAUCUCAAAUAAACUUGUGGAGUUUCUUGGGUAUCCCGGGUACCCUUUUUUUUUUUCGAGGACUUUUUUGGCCCCCUUUCUUGCAUAAAUGGUAAAAAAUAUGCUUAUUUUGCCAUCCGCUUCUAGUCAAUAUUUAAUAAAAUAAUGCGAAUAGAGGGGCAUGCUUGCCUACCUCGUUUCGUUUAUCUAUUCUUUACUUGGCUCAAGCAAAAGAAUGGAGGUGUGGGCGUGUGCAUACCGUAACGGAACCUCAUGGCACUAGGGUAUGCUGGUUUACCUCGCCCUCGGGCCUUCUCUGACCCUCCCUCUUUAAAUUUGUUGUAUUAUUUCUUAUUGGCGUUGACCUCGAACAGAUCUUCACGAUCGAAUCGAGUCAGAUACCUCAGGUUCCCCUAAUUAUCUUGAAAUGGAGUAAUUAUAGUUGAAUAAGACAUGGCGUAAUAAGAGAGAGUCACAUUAAUGGCAAAAAUUUAACCAUAAUCACAUUCGGUAAUCAAAAGGAGAACAUUACAUAAAAUUGACUCAUUGUCCCAAUGAGAAUAGGAAACCAUAUAGAUAUCCACUCUCUAGGACUUAGGGAAUUAAAAAUUUCACUUGCACAUGUGGGGUACCCUAAGUACCUUUCAUGGCUUUACCACAUUGCACACAUAGUAAAGAAAAUAAGAGAUAGAUAAAGUGAACGAUAAGGUUUAAGACACUGUCCUCAUGUUAGUAGUACUUCCUCAGCAUUGCGGCAUUCCAGGGAUGCUUGACGAUUGUUCCAUCCAUGUGGAGUAGUCUGUAUGCCCCUGAACCUACCGGCUUGUCUAUGCGAUAUGAGCCUUCCCAAUUGGCUCCGAAAGAGCCCUCCGAGGGUACCCGGGUAUUCUGAGUUACCCUUCGUAUGACUAAAUUCCCUUUCUUGAAUGAUCUGGGGUGUACCCUCUUGUCAUAUAAAUCUAAAACGCGGUGCUGGUAUAUUGCAACCUUCAAUUCUGCUUUAACCCUUUUUUCUUUAACAAAAUCAAGAUUGGACGCAAUCAAAGAGGCAUUCUCGGCUUCAUCGAAGUAUGCGGUUCUGUGAGAGGGUAUCCCGAUUUCAGCUGGAAUGACUGCAUCAGUCCCGAAAGCCAGAGAAAAUGGGGUUUCCCCAGUUGAAAUAUUCUGAGUUGUCCGAUAGGCCCAAAGAACGCCGGGUAACUCGUCUACCCAAGCUCCAUUUCUUUCCUCCAGCCUCUUCUUUAGGAUACCCUUGAUGAUUUUGUUGAUGGCUUCCACUUGUCCAUUAGAUUGCGGGUGAGCCAGAGAAGCAAAUCGGUUGGCUAUCCCAAGCUCCGAGCAAAAAUUCUGAAAUUUUUCAUUAUCGAAUUGCUUCCUGUUGUCGCUGACAAUUGCAUUAGGGAUACCAUAUCUGCAUAUGAGGUUCCUCCAAACAAAAUCAGUAGUUUUUCUCUCCGUAAUGCUUGCCAACGACUCCGCUUCUACCCACUUUGUAAAAUAGUCAACGGCUACAAUUGUAUACUUAGCUUGUCCUCUACCAGUUGGUAGUGGGCCAAUGAGAUCUAUGCCCCAAACAGCAAAUGGCCACGGAGAAGACAUGACAGUUAACUUUUCUGGUGGAAGGUGGGGUACCUUGGCAAAUCUCUGGCACUUGUCACAACUCUUGACCAUAUUUUUGGCAUCCUCCCGCAUCGUAGGCCAAUAAAAUCCUUGACGAAGGGCCUUCUGUGCCAAUGAUUGUGCUCCAUAGUGGUUACCGCAUAUCCCUUCGUGUAUCUCUCUCAUGACAUAUUCGGCAUGUUCAUUGCUUCAUUCUUGUUUGAGGGCAGAUCCCCACUUCUGAGGUAUCCUAUGAUUGGUUGCAUUCAGGGUACCCCAGCAGUUAUCGACCCUAUUUCUUCUGGCUCAAAUAGAUUAACACUUGGUGUAGGUACGUACUCAGCAGUGAUUGGACCAACCGACUGAGUUGCACCGAAGGAAGCCAUUUUGGCGAGGUUGUCAGCUUCACAAUUUUCUAAUCGUGGAACUCUUUCCACCUUGACCUCAGCAAAUUGAGAUAUUAAUUCUCUUGUUCUCCCGAGGUACCCCUUCAUAUUUUCUUCCUUAGCGUGAUAUUCUGAGUUGAUCUGACCGACCACCAACUGAGAGUCACUCUUGAUGUGGACUCUUUUUGCGCCUAAGGCCUUCGACAUCCUUAGCCCCGCUAUCAUAGCUUCAUACUCGGCUUCGUUGUUUGAGGCCUUGAACCCGAAUUACAAGCCAUAACAUAGCUUCACCUUAUCCGGAUCGAUGAUUAUUACUCCCGCACCGCUUCCGUGCGAGUUGGAGGAACCAUCCACAUAAAUUUCCCAGACAUGCUCUUCUUCAAUAGCUGAUGUAGUUUCGCCCGGGUACCCCGAGAUCUCCUCACCCCCGGAGUCAUUGGCGAAUUCUGCAAUGAAAUCGGUGAUGGCUUGGGCUUUAAUAGCUGAGCGUGGCUUGAAGAUGAUGUCGAACUCACUCAAUUCAAGAGACCAGCGAAGAAGUCUUCCAGACAUGUCUAACUUCUAGAGGAUUUGUCGAAGGGGAAGGUUUGUUACAACGGCAAUGGUGUGGGCCUGAAAAUACGGCCGCAGUUUCCUCGUAGAGAUUACCAAGCCAAAACCAGCUUCUCUGUGGCGGGGUACCUCUUUUCCGCAUCCACCAUUGCCCUACUAGUGUAGUAAAUAGGCCGUUGCACCCCGUCUUCAUCUUCUCUAAGCAACAUUGAGAUAGUGGCGUGCUCAGAAACAACGAGAUACAACAGAAGCACUUCUCCAUGCUUAGGCUUGGCGAGCAAUGGUGAAUUAACGAGAUACUCCUUUAGCUUCUGAAAAGCCUCUUCGCACUCGGCGGUCCAUUGGAGCUUCUUUCCCGCUUUCAAAGCUUUAAAAAAUGGCUUGCACUUGUCGGUGGCCUUGGAGAUGAAACGACUCAAGGCGGCUAUCCGGCCAGCUAAGCUCUGGACUUCCUUAAUGGUACUUGGUGACUUCAUCCCAAGAACCGCCUGGAUUUUAUCGGGAUUAGCCUCAAUUCCCGCUGUUGUACCAUAAAUCCAAGGAAUUUACCCGAAGUCACCCCGAAUGCACAUUUCUUAGGAUUUAGGCGCAUCUGAUGCUUUCUCAAAAUAUUGAAGGUAUAUCUGAGGUGCCCCGAGUGAUCACUGGUGUACACCGACUUUGUUAUCAUAUCAUCGAUGUGCACCUCCAUGGUACGACCGAUUUGUUAUUUGAAGAUCUUGUUCACCAAACGCUGAUAGGUGGCGCCUGCAUUCUUCAAACCAAAAGGCAUAACCUUGUAGCAGUAUAACCCACGGUUGAUGAUGAAGGCCGUUUUAUCUUGAUCAGGCUCGUACAUUGGAAUUUGGUUGUACCCGGAGAAAGCAUCCAUGAAACUAAGCAUCUCGUGCCCAGCAGUAGCAUCGACCAGCUGGUCUACCCGGGGAAGCGGGAAGCUAUCCUUAGGGCAAGACCUGUUUAAAUCCGUGAAAUCUAUACACAUGCGCCAUUUUCCGUUAGACUUCUUAACCAAUACAACAUUUGAGACCCAAUCGGGGUACACCGCCUCCCUAAUAAACCCCGCUGCUAGUAAUCGGUCCACUUCUUGUUCAAUGGCGUCAUAGCGUUCCUGGUUGAAAGCUCGACGUUUUUGCUUGACAGGCCUAUGAUGUGGAUCGACAUUGAGCUUGUGACAGGCGAUAGAAGGCGGGAUACCCGGCAUGUCCGCGUGAGACCAAGCGAACACAUUUAAGUUUUUCCUUAAGAACUCAAUAAGCUGCUCUCGGUGUUAGUCAGAGAGGUUGGAGCCUACCUUGACCAUCUUGGUUGGGUCCUUAUUGCAGAUCAAAACAGACACAAGAUCCUCAGCCGGUGUUCCUCGCUUUUCAUCUUUCGGUACCCGGGGAUCCAGGGGUACAUUGACUUCUCCCAUUGAUGCUGAAUUGGGACUUUGGGGCACCAGUGGUGCCCUGGGAGCUACCACGUCCACUUCCAUUGGCCCAGCUUCAUACGGCGCUUGGGGUACCUGGGAGUUCGUGGACCGUUGAGCUUUCUUACGUGCAACUCUCCGGCGUCUAGCCAGUGCCCGCUUGGAUAGGCUGGUAAAUGAACUUGUGCUGACGGGGUACCCCUCCAGGAACAUAUUGGUGGCGAUUUGGUAGCUUACUUUCGAUGCGAUCGAGUAGCACCCUCGAGCCGAUUGCUGAUCCUCUUUGAUCGUGAUAAUUUCUCCAGCGGUUGGAAUCUUCAUGGCGAGGUAAUGCAUGGAGAUUGCCGCCUUAGUUGUUGCUAAGAAUGGUCUUCCCAAGAUGAUAUUAUAGGCACCUGGGUGAUCCACAAUAAGAAAAUCAAUCAUAUGAACAAUACGGUGAGGUACCUUACCAAGUGUAACGGGCAGCGUAAUGAUGCCCUUUGGGAUAACCAUAUCGCCGGCGAACCCAAUAAGAGGUGUAGCACAUGGGGUGAUCUUUGGCGAUUCAAUCAAUAGUUGAUCCAAGGCGCUUUUGAAAAUGAUAUCAACGGAGCUGCCGGUGUUUACAAGAGUUCUUGCUACCUUACCAGUAGCAACCUUCAACGUUAUUACUAAGGCGUCGUCAUGGGGGUACGAGACAUCUUCAGCAUCUUGCUCUGUGAAAAUGAUAGAUGGGGGAUGGUGGGGUACCCCAGAUACCCUAAGUUGAUUUUGACAAGUGAGGUUCACUUCUUUUCCAGGGCGAUCCAAAAUUGGUGGCUUGCUGUAACGUUUGAUGGCCCGUCUAGAUUCCCCAGCGAGGGUAGGACCCCCUGCUAUCAUUCGAACAUACACGUCUUUCUUAGACCCCUGGGGUAUCUCAGCUUCUGGAUGAGGGUUAGCAACUUGUUUACCAUUAUCUUGCUCCGAGAACUUCAUUGCCUCACGCAUAUCAGCCACAAAUUCCUUGAGAUACCCACUCAGAAUCAAUGACUCAAUUUCUUCCCUCAAGUGAAAGCAUUCGGCGGUGCUAUGGCCGAAAUCUUCAUGAAACUCACAAUACUUCAAGCUACGCUUCAUAUUGGGGUAUUUCCGAAUUAGCUUAGGUGGGCGAAGCAUCCCCGUAUCCCUAAUAUGGUAAAAAAUUUGUUCUGGAGAUUGAUUCAAAUGGUAGAAAGAGUCAUAUCUGGAUUUUUGUGGUGCUUCCCGUUGUUCUGGCGGUAGCGGUGGGCUAUGUACUCGGGGUGCUCGGGAUGGUACCUGAGGUACCCGGGGUACCCGGGGUACACCAGGGAUAUUCAGUCCUCUCCCACGUGGGGUUGGACGAGGUGGGCUGUGUACCCGGGGUGCUCGAGAGGGUACCUGAGGUACCUCGGCUCUCUUGGGUUUCUCCUUGUUUCUCACAACUUCGACUCUGUCUUCCUCUCGCUUUAGGUUACACUUCUCAUCCAUUUCUAUUUGUUGCAGGGCUCGAGAACGAGCUUCCCCAUAUGAAAGAGGGCGGUGUUUUUGAAAUGACCGCCAUAACUUCCCCAAACGCAAAUUCUUUUCAAAAUGAGUGAGAGUAUGUUGGUGACCAAAUGUACCGGUACGCAACACCUCUUGGUGGAAGCGGGUUACGUACUCGGCUAAAGACUCCGAAUCCCCUUGUUUGAUGAAAGCAAGCUUGGAGGAUGUUAUAUCUUGGGCGGAUGCAUAACCAAACUCAUGAACAAAAUCUUUUAGGAGCUGGUCUAGGGAGGAUACACUACCUGCCUUCAACGAUCGAAACCAUGACUUGGCUGGUCCGGUGAGGGUAUGUGGGAACAUCCGGCACAUAGCAUUGUCGUCCACUCCUUUAAUCAUCAUCUGGUCACGAUAUAACUCAGCAUGUUCCACGGGAUCCGAGGUACCCGAGUAUUGUUGUAUUUGAGGCAUGGUGAACGCUUCCGGGAGAACCGCUGUCCGAAUCUCCAUGGUGAAUGGCGAGUUAUGCACUGCUGGCGCUAGAGCAUUGGUGGGGUUUUGUUUUUCAGAAAGGAGCUUCACUUGGGCUUCGAGGUACUCCAUUUUUUCCAGGAACUCGCGGGGUACCCCAGGUGCACCUGAGGAGGCCGUUGUUGUCGUUCAACUUGUACCGGAGAUCUUCAUGGGCUUUUUGUUUGCGUUUGGUACCCUGGCUACUACGGGAAUAACAAGAGGCAGUAGAGCGUUCUUCCCGGGAGCCGGCGGCUUGACACUUUGAACGGGUGCCCGAUGGCCCAUGCUUUGGUCUACUUCCCUCCGGUAUUUCAAAUCUUGGUAUGAUCUGUUUCUCACCUCGUGGAGGCUGGACAUCUUGAGUUACCGGAGAAGUAGCUGCUUCGGGUACCCGAGAUCCUACUGCUCUGAGAAUCGCAUGAGCUAAAUCCUCAGUGUUUAUGAGUGACGGGCUCCUCGUCAGGUUGAAUACCAGCUGAUUGCUUAACUGAUUUGCCUUUCUCUAGGCGGGAUGCCCUUCUUGUCGAGUCACCCCUCUCAUCACCGCCGUGGUCCUCUGCUCCAUCAUGACCUAGCAUUUGGUUAUCAGCGGGUACGUCAGGUGCCAUGGUUUUGUAAGCACACGUACCGACAAGCUUAGCACCGUGUGGAGGCUUUUUGCGCGCUCCCCACAGACGGCGCUAAUUGUUUGUGGCUGAUUUUGGGUCAAUGAAUAAAAAACCACAAAACCAACCCAAGAGCAAUAAAUUUAUAUUUUGUCGGGGAGCGGGGUACCUCGCUUAUUCGGCACGUACGGGCUAUUUAGGCUUUUUGUGGAGUGAAGGAGGAUUGAGCCGACGGUGGUUAUGGAGGGGAUCUGACUUCAGGUGCGGAGGGCUGGUGCAACUCGCCUUAAACCUGCGAAACAACCAAAAAAGAGGUCAGAGAUGGAGCCGGGGGUGGCCGGCGACCACACUCCGACGCUCAAGUCAGAGUUGGGUUAUCUUAGGUUAGAGAGCUUGCAAGCUCUCGGUAAUAGAGGUUUUGAGGUUGAAGAAACCCUAGUUUUUUCUGGUGAGUGUGUUUCCUCCCUUGAUAAAAAUCAAACCUGAGUAUUUAUAUGGUGUACCCCAGUCGCCGUGCCACCUGGCGCUAUUUUAGUGGCGUUCCCUGUUGUCAUGUCAGGAAUAUUCUUAUUUUUAUGCGUAAGGUGGCUUAGACGUUUCAAAAAUAUCAGUGGAGAGCAAGUUUGUGGCGUAUUCACGUGCUGGGCGUAGUGGAGUGGUCCCGCGUACCUCUGCAAUUCCGUUGUAAUUUUGUAGGUGUAGCAGGAAAAGCUGGUGGUCCCAACUGUCACAAUAUCACACUUUUGGCGGAUUCGCUGGCGUGACAGGCGGCAGUCUUCUCUUUUGCGGCACAAGAUUUCCUUAUUUUUCGACACGUAUCAAACCGAUCUUUUUUAGAUUCAGGGCCCACAUAUCCCUUCACAUAUUUACUAAGAUUUUUAUAUCCUUUCAUGGUGUACCCGAGGUACCCCCGAAGUCCUUAGAGUAGCCGGGGUACCUAGAGUACCCGAGGUACCCGAGACAAAUUAAUCUCUUAAAUAUCGACACGUGGCGCUUCAUCAUUGGUCUCAUAUUUCCUUCCCAAACAACCACCUUGUUGCUAAAUGGACUCGCCCAUCCCCCGUGGAGCUUCACUUCAGCCAUGUGUCUGAGAUCGAAUUUGAAUAUGUUUGUGGUUGUUUUGCUUAGCUGAUGAGUUAUUGCAUACGUACAUCUGAGUUUGAGCAGGGAGCUUCAUAUUUCCAAUUUAUUUAAUAAAAUGAUUAAAUUAAGUUGAAUUCAAUGAGCUAAUGCUGCGACUUUUUAACAAUUCUGUUAUAUAUUGAUGAGCAUAAUUUAUAUACAUAUUUUACCCUUAAUUAUAUAAUUACUAAUUAUUUUUAUUUGUUAUUUUUAAUUAAUUAAAUUAUUUUAUUGAAUAGGGGAUUAAUUGAAGAUUAUGGAUAAAAAAGGAUAUAAGGGAGCUCAAUUUUGGAAGCGUUAAUUAAUUGAUUUUAGAAGCAAUUAGACAUACAUGCAUGUGGAAGUGAAGCCGAGGAAACCGAAGCUAGUAAAUUAAUUGAUCUAGCACAUGAAGAAGAAUUUAAGCAUAACAUUGGCUUUAGCUUAGUUAAGUUACACGUGCAUGGCUUUGUAAUAUUUGGAAAGCAAUUUAAAUGGGACCCGCACUUGGCUUUCAUAAUUGGAAAAGGAAUCCUAAAGCAAUUCCAAAGGUGGUCACGUGUGAGAGCUAAAGGAAAUAAAAGGGCAAGCCUUUUGGUUUUAGGAUUUAAGAGAUGGGGCCCAUUUCAAAGAUUAUAAAAGGGAGUUUUGGCUUUUGGAGAAGGAGGCGGCCAGAGGACAGAAACAAAAGGCUGGAAGAGAGCAAUCGGCAGCAGCAAUAUUUCGGCUUCCCCAUGGCUGAAUUUAUUUAUUUUGUUGCUCCCAAUUCAAGUAUGUCUAGCUAAUUUUCUUAUACUGAGGUUAAGGAUGAAACCCUAUUCAAUGAAAUAAUUAUCUUUUUAUUUAAUUAAUUCCCUAUAUAUGUUCUUUGAUGAUUAUGGUUUUUAUUUCACAUGAUUAAUUGGAUGUUAAUAAAAUCUUUUCAUCAAUUCUGGCGUGCAUUAUUGAUUGUUAUGAUUAAUAUUCGAUUAAUUCUAUGCUUGGAUCUAUAAAGUUUAUACAUGAUUAUCUUUGAUUGUAUGUCUUUCAUUAAAUUGUUUAAAUGGAGUGCUUAGGAAACUUUGACUCUUUGUUAUUCAAUAUGUUUACAUGGGAUGCUUAGAUGUCAUAUUAUUAAGCAGAAAAAGAACCUACAUAAGAUUAAUUUUAUUUGGGCUUAAUUGUUAUAUCCAUGAGAUGACAUAGAUUGAUUUCGAGUUGUCACUCUAAAAUUGAGGAUUAAUUAAUAAUUAGAUAAUUACUAGUUGAAUAGUGGUGGAUUCUGAAACCUUGGUAAUUCUUAUCUCAUUAAAUUCUCCUUUAUUUUAAUUUCCUUAGUUUAAUUGGUUUAAUUUUCUUAAAAAUUCAAUUUGCUCAACUAGGUUAGAAUUAAUAUUAAAUUUUAGAUUUAAAUUAGACUUUUUAAUUUAUAACAAUCCCUGUGGGAUCGACCUCGUUACCACUAUUCUAUUUCUAGAUUCGUGCGCUUGCGAGUAUAUUAAAAUUUUCACAACAAGUUUUUGGCGCCGUUGCCGGGGAUUGUGCUAGAAAGUCAGUUUAAUCUAGGUUGAUUUGAUUCUUCCACUAGUUAUAAUUUAGGUUGUCUUUUAUUUUUUUUAAUUAAAAAAAAAAACAACAACACAAAAAAAAAAACUUUUAUUUGUCUUUAAAUUCAUUGUUUAGUUGUUUGAUUUCUUUUAUUUUUAAAUUUCGUUUAUUCUCAUUUUUGUUGGUUUAUUUUAUUUUAUUUUUUUUUCUUUCCUUGUCUAGUUAGUUUAUGAGUGUUUGGGAACGUGAUUCAACAAAUCGUUUGGUUAAAAGAGAGUCGAAAAUUGAUAGUAGUCAAGCUAGUUCUUUAGAAGUGAUGGAUGACCCAAAUAGAUUAUUACCAAUACUUCCACCAGUGCAAGCAGAGAAAACCCUUAGAGAAUACUUUUCACCACUUGCAGCCAACCAACCAUCUUGUAUUGUGUUGCCACAAACUACAGCAACACACUUUGAACUUAAGCCCUCAGUCAUUCAACUUUUACCAUCUUUCCAUGGGUUAGAGAGAGAGGAUCCAUAUUUGCACAUUAAGGAAUUUCUUGACAUAUGCUCUACAUUUCGUUUUCAAAAUUUUAACGAUGAGUCAAUUAGGAUUCGUAUGUUCCCUUUCUCAUUAAAAGACAAAGCAAAAGCUUGGUUGAAUUCACUUCCUGCUGGGUCUAUUAGUACAUGGGAUGAAUUGAGUAAUAAGUUUCUCACCAAGUUUUUCCCUAUGUCUAAAACAAAUGCCCUUAGGAGAGAGAUAAGUGAUUUUUAUCAAAGAGAGAGUGAGCAAUUUUACGAGUGUUGGGAAAGAUUCAAUGAUUUACUCCUCAAGUGUCCCCACCAUGGUUUUGAAAAAUGGAGACUUAUACAAUGCUUUUAUAAUGGCUUAACCAUGUCAAAUCGUCAUAUGGUAGAGUCUAUGAAUGGUGGGAGAUUUUUGAACUUACAUGAAGGGGCAGCAUGGGAUUUCUUUAAUUCACUUUCUGAAAAUUCUCAACAGUGGGAUUUUUCAAAUCAAAGGGAAAAAUCAUCUCAAGUUUCUAGAAAGGGGCUAUAUGAAGUUAAGGAUGAUUUAGAUAUGAAAUCCACUCUAGCUACACUUUCUAGGAAAGUAGAUGCCUUAGUUAUGAACCAAUCCAUAAAUCAUCAUCCCAGUGUAGCUAAUGAGGUUUGUGCUAUUUGUUCUAACUUGUCUCAUACAGCACAAAAUUGUCCAUCAUUACCAGUCUAUCCAGAUGCUUAUUCUGAGCAGGUACAUGCCUUACAAUCAUAUGAGAAAACCUCCAAUAGUCCAUAUUCAUCCACAUAUAAUCCUAAUUGGAGGAAUCACCCUAAUUUUUCUUGGAAACAAAAUCAACCUUUGUCAAACCAAGGAGGGCAACAAUUUAACAUGCCCAACCAACAAUUUGUCCCUCCUAACCAAGUAUAUCCUCAUGCCCAACAACCUAUGUCUCAAUUUGUUGCACCCCAACAAAGAAAGCCUUCUUUAGAGGAUACACUUCAAAGUUUCAUUCAGUCAACCCAACAAGCUUUUCAAUCAAAUACUCAAGCUAUUCUGAAGCUUGAACAUCAAUUGGGUCAAUUAGCAACUACUGUAGCGGAGAGAGAAAAAGGAAAAUUCCCAAGUCAACCAAUUCCCAAUCCUAAAGGAGUGCAUGAAGUUGGAUCGAGUUCAAGCCAUCUGCAUGAAGAAGCAAAAUCUGUUAUGACCUUGAGAAAAGGAAAAUUAUUUGACAACAAAGUGGAGGUUCCAACAAGGAAGAUAUCUGAGCCUACUUCUUCAGAUCCAGUUCCAUCACAAGAGUCGUCAACAAAUGAUCCAGAAGAGAGUGGCCCGCCAGCUUACAUUCCUAAGGCUCCUUUUCCUCAAAGGUUAGCAAAGGUAAAGAAAGGGACUUCAACAGGUGAGAUUAUGGAAAUCUUCAAGCAAGUAAGUAUAAUUAUCCCUUUACUCGAUGCUAUUAAGCAAGUUCCUUCCUAUGCCAAGUUUUUGAAAGAUUUAUGCACUAAAAAGAGAAAUUUGCAUGUCACUAAAAAGGCGUUUUUAACUGAACAAACUAGCAACUUACUCCAAUGUAAAAUGCCACCAAAAUUUAAGGAUCCUGGUUCUCCUACUAUCUCAUGUGUUAUAGGGAACCAAUGUUUUGAUAAAGCAUUAUUGGAUUUGGGUGCUAGUGUUAAUCUCUUGCCUUAUUCUGUUUACAUGCAACUUGGAUUAGGUGAGUUAAAAUCAACUCCUAUUAUUUUGCAACUUGCUGAUAGAUCAAUGAAAAUACCUCGUGGUAUUAUAGAGGAUGUGUUGAUACAGAUUGAUAAAUUUUAUUAUCCUGUUGAUUUUAUUGUUAUUGAUACUCAGCAUGUACAUGAUCCUAAGAAACACACCCUAGUUAUUCUAGGUCGUCCUUUCUUAGCUACAGCUGAUGCUCUUAUUAAUUGCAGGAAUGGAAAUAUGCAGCUAUCUUUUGGUAAUAUGACCAUGGAAUUGAAUAUUUUUAAUGUUACCAAGCAGCCACAAGAAGAAGAUGAAUUUGUUGAAGCAAAUAUGAUAGAGGAAUUAGUAGAAGAUUCAUUCAUUUCUAACCAUACUGAUGAUCCAUUAGAGGCAUGUCUAACUCAUCCUGAUUUAUCUUUUAAUGAUGACAGUGCAAUUGCAGAAGUCAGCGCUUUACUUGAUGCACCUCUAAUUACGGACACAACUAAAUGGAAGGCAAAGUCAGAAUUACUGCCUCAUUCUGAGAAGAAAAUUGGCCCAUCUGCGGAGGCACCACCAAAAUUGGAACUCAAAGCACUGCCCGACACUUUGGAAUAUGCAUUCUUGGGAGAAUCUGACACUCUACCUGUUAUUAUUUCUUCUUCCCUCGAUCUUGAGCAAAAAGGUAAGUUGUUAGGUAUUCUAAAAGAGCAUAAGGAGGCAAUAGGAUGGACCAUCGCUGAUAUUAAAGGUAUUAAUCCAGUAGAUUGCAUGCAUCGUAUUCAUCUUGAAGAAAAUGCCAAACCUAUUAGGGAGAUGCAACGUAGGCUAAAUCCUAACAUGAAAGAAGUGGUAAGAGCUGAAGUAAUCAAAUUAUUAGAUGUAGGAAUUAUUUAUCCUAUUUCAGAUAGCUCUUGGGUUAGCCCUGUGCAAGUUGUUCCUAAGAAAUCUGGUGUUACAGUAGUUACUAAUGCUAAUAAUGAAUUAAUUCCCACUAGAGUAACUACAGGUUGGCGUGUUUGCAUUGAUUAUAGAAAAUUGAAUUCAUUCACAAGAAAAGAUCAUUUUCCUCUUCCAUUUAUUGAUCAAAUGCUUGAUAGACUUGCAGGUCAUGAUUUUUAUUGUUUUCUAGAUGGAUAUUCAGGUUAUAAUCAGAUCCCUAUAGCUCCAGAGGACCAGGAGAAAACUACUUUUACUUGUCCCUUUGGAACUUUUACAUAUAGGAGAAUGCCAUUUGGUUUAUGCAAUGCACCUGCUACCUUUCAAAGAUGCAUGCUUAGUAUUUUUUCUGAUAUGGUUGAGAGAUUUCUUGAAGUAUUCAUGGAUGAUUUUUCUGUUUUUGGAGAUUCUUUUGAUGAAUGUUUGCAGCAUCUAACAUUAGUUUUGCAGCGAUGUAAAGAAAAGAAUUUGGUUCUAAAUUGGGAAAAGUGUCACUUCAUGGUAAAACAAGGUAUUGUUCUUGGUCAUAUAAUUUCCAGCAAAGGUAUAGAAGUCGACAAAGCUAAGCUGGAUUUAAUUUCUAAUCUUCCACAUCCCAAAUCCGUAAAAGAAGUAAGAUCUUUCCUUGGACAUGCUGGUUUUUAUAGAAGAUUCAUUAAAGAUUUUAGUAAAAUUUCUAGACCCUUAUGCAAUUUACUUGUUAAGGAUGUACCUUUUAUCUUUGAUGAAUCUUGUCUUGAUGCUUUUGCAAAGCUUAAGAAAUUAUUGACUUCUUCACCUAUCAUUCAGGCACCUAAUUGGGAUUUGCCUUUUCAAAUUAUGUGUGAUGCAUCUGAUUAUGCAGUAGGAGCAGUUUUAGGACAAAGAUUAGAUCGUGUGCCUUAUGUGAUUUAUUAUGCUAGUAUGACACUCAAUGAUGCACAGUUGAACUAUUCAACUACAGAAAAAGAAAUGCUAGCUGUGGUAUUUGCACUUGAUAAAUUCAGAUCUUAUCUUAUAGGUUGUAAAGUGAUUAUUUUUACUGAUCAUGCUGCUUUAAAAUAUUUGUUUACUAAGAAAGAUGCUAAGGCAAGAUUGAUUCGUUGGGUGUUGCUUUUACAAGAAUUUGACAUUGAAUUUAGAGAUAAAAAAGGUUCUGAAAAUGUUGUGGCGGAUCAUUUAUCUCGCCUUGAUCUUAAAUUUAUUCCAGAAUCUUUACCUUUGAAUGAGUCUUUCCCAGAUGAGCAACUUAUGAGUGUAAAUGUUGUACCAUGGUUUGCUGAUAUAGUUAAUUACCUUGCUACAGGUCAAAUCCCAGAGCACUGGACUAAGCAAGAUAGAACAAAGUUCUUAUCUAAAGCGAAAGACUUCUUUUGGGAUGAUCCCUAUUUAUUUAAAUAUUGUGCUGAUCAGAUUAUUAGGCGAUGUGUUCCCGAUAAUGAAAUUCAAAGUGUUAUCUCAUUUUGCCAUGAACAAGCUUGCGGAGGCCACUUUAGUGCUAAAAAGACAGCAACAAAAAUUUUACAGUGUGGUUUUUAUUGGCCUACUCUUUUUCAUGACGCUUAUGUUUUCUGUUCUUUGUGUGAUAGGUGCCAACGUAUGGGUAGCAUUUCAAAGAGGAACAUGAUGCCACUCAAUCCUAUUCUUGUGGUUGAGAUCUUCGAUGUAUGGGGUAUUGAUUUCAUGGGACCUUUCCCUCCAUCUUUUGGUUAUCAAUAUAUAUUGGUUGCAGUGGACUAUGUGUCGAAGUGGGUUGAAGCUAUUCCAUGCAAAACCAAUGAUCAUAGGGUUGUAGUGAAAUUCUUGAAGAGUAAUAUUCUGUCUCGUUUUGGUUUUCCUAGAACAAUCAUUAGUGAUGGUGGUACCCAUUUUUGUAAUAAACCUUUCAAAACUCUUUUGGACAAAUAUUCCAUUACACAUAAGGUUGCCACCCCAUAUCAUCCUCAAACCAGUGGCCAAGUAGAGAUUUCUAAUAGAGAGAUCAAGCAGAUUCUAGAGAAAACAGUUAGGCCAGAUAGAAAGGAUUGGUCUUUGAGACUUGAUGAUGCAUUGUGGGCAUAUAGAACUGCUUUUAAAACACCAAUUGGGAUGUCACCUUAUCGACUUGUGUAUGGAAAAGCAUGUCAUCUGCCAGUAGAGUUGGAGCAUCGUGCAUAUUGGGCUAUCAAGAAAUUCAAUUUUGACAUGCAGCAAGCUGGGUCCAAGAGAAGAUUACAACUAGCAGAACUUGAAGAGAUCAGGAAUGAUGCAUAUGAGAAUGCCAAGAUUUAUAAACAGCGAAUGAAAGUCUUUCAUGACAAACAUAUUUUGAGAAAAGCCUUUACACCAGGUCAGAAAGUACUUUUAUAUAAUUCCCGAUUGCAUCUCUUUCCAGGUAAGUUACGUUCUCGAUGGUCUGGUCCUUUUAUAGUUCGUACUAUCUUCCCUUAUGGAGCAAUUGAAAUUGAAAAUCCUAAAAAUGGUGAUUUAUUUAAGGUGAAUGGUCAAAGAUUAAAACCAUUUUUAGAAUUAAAAACACCAGAAGUUGAGGAGAUACUUUUAGAUGAUCCUGUUUAUCAGGAUUAAUUAAGUUCAUCUUUACACUCUUGUUUUAUUUUAAUAGUCGGUUUUCUUUUCUUUAUUUAUUUUCUUUUCUAAUAUAUAUAUAUAUUUUAAUGUUUUCUUUUCAUUUGGCAUUUUCUUUUAAGCUUUCCCAGCCCAUCCAGGUGUGUUCUCUCCAACUUUCUUUUUAUUAUUUAUGUUUAUUAUUAUUAUUAUUAUGAUUAUUAUUAUUAUUUCUCUUUCAUUUGUUUGCAUGCAUAUCUUUUGUUUAUGAAACAUUGAGGACAAUGUUCCGAAUAAGUUUGGGGGUGGGAAUAGUGUGUGCUUUGUUUGUUAUUAAAAAAAUAAAAAAUUAAAAAAAAAAUUUCGUGAAAAGCCAAUGAUAAGAACUUGAUUGACAAUGAAUAUAGUUUUUAGAAAGGGUUGAAUAUUGUCUUAGUUUAUACUUGAUUCUUGUGUUAGUUCCUCUUGAUUGAGAUUCUUUAAACCAUGAGCACUAAUAUCAGUUCUUUCAUAAUUUUAACUUGAAAUUUGAGAUUGACGCAGCCUGAGUUGAAAAUUUUAGAUAGAGUAAAUGACUGUUUGUCUUGAUUCUUAUCUCCACAAUACAAAAUAGUAUACACGGGCGCCAAAGUCAGAAAUAGCUACCUAUAACCCUUAAGAGUGAAGCUAUCCUUGAGUAAUUUGGGCCUAUGUACCACAAGUAUGUAGAGGAUAAUCUACCAUGAGAAGAAGGCUACCUUAAGGGGUAGAGUGAAAGCUCCUGACUAUGGUUAAAAAAAAAAAAAAAAAAAAAAAAAAGAGAAAAAGAAAAAAAAAUCAAAUCAAGUGCAUGUGCUGAAAAAAAAAAUCAAAGGAAAGUGCACAUAAAAGCCUGUGAGAGAAAAAAAAAAUUUUGGAGAUCAAGAUGAUAAGAUUAGUUUGACCUACUCUGUUCUUUGUUUGAGGCGAAGGCUGUUGAUGUUGAAGAUUUUGGGAAUGGAUUUGAUUGAAUUGAUUUCACACACACACUACAAGAAUCGAAAGAGAGAUGGGAUUGAUUAUUGAAUUAAAGUUAGAACUUUGCCAAUAUUUGAAAUUUUCUUUGAGCUAUAUAAUUUUUGCAAUCUUUGAGGCUAUUUUGCAUGUUUUAUUUAAAGUUUUUCGUUCUUUUGAUUUAAUUUAAUUUAUUAUUAUUAUUAUUAUUUUUAUUUUUUUUUUUAAAUGAUGUUUGUGGGUAUCAUCACUGAAGCCCUCACGAGACUAUAACUCGUCCACUAGGGCCGCCUAGGGGUUUAAAGGCUUGUUGCAUACGCUAAAUGCAAUCGCGAUUACCUGCGAAAGUGGUUUAGUUCGGAUUUACUUUUUGUUUCAUUAUUUUUAUUUUUUUUUUAUUUUUUUUUUGUUUUAGUUUUGCUCGAGGACUAGCAAAAUCUAAGUUUGGGGGUAUUUGAUGAGCAUAAUUUAUAUACAUAUUUUACCCUUAAUUAUAUAAUUACUAAUUAUUUUUAUUUGUUAUUUUUAAUUAAUUAAAUUAUUUUAUUGAAUAGGGGAUUAAUUGAAGAUUAUGGAUAAAAAAGGAUAUAAGGGAGCUCAAUUUUGGAAGCGUUAAUUAAUUGAUUUUAGAAGCAAUUAGACAUACAUGCAUGUGGAAGUGAAGCCGAGGAAACCGAAGCUAGUAAAUUAAUUGAUCUAGCACAUGAAGAAGAAUUUAAGCAUAACAUUGGCUUUAGCUUAGUUAAGUUACACGUGCAUGGCUUUGUAAUAUUUGGAAAGCAAUUUAAAUGGGACCCGCACUUGGCUUUCAUAAUUGGAAAAGGAAUCCUAAAGCAAUUCCAAAGGUGGUCACGUGUGAGAGCUAAAGGAAAUAAAAGGGCAAGCCUUUUGGUUUUAGGAUUUAAGAGAUGAGGCCCAUUUCAAAGAUUAUAAAAGGGAGUUUUGGCUUUUGGAGAAGGAGGCGGCCAGAGGACAGAAACAAAAGGCUGGAAGAGAGCAAUCGGCAGCAGCAAUAUUUCGGCUUCCCCAUGGCUGAAUUUAUUUAUUUUGUUGCUCCCAAUUCAAGUAUGUCUAGCUAAUUUUCUUAUACUGAGGUUAAGGAUGAAACCCUAUUCAAUGAAAUAAUUAUCUUUUUAUUUAAUUAAUUCCCUAUAUAUGUUCUUUGAUGAUUAUGGUUUUUAUUUCACAUGAUUAAUUGGAUGUUAAUAAAAUCUUUUCAUCAAUUCUGGCGUGCAUUAUUGAUUGUUAGGAUUAAUAUUCGAUUAAUUCUAUGCUUGGAUCUAUAAAGUUUAUACAUGAUUAUCUUUGAUUUUAUGUCUUUCAUUAAAUUGUUUACAUGGAGUGCUUAGGAAACUUUGACUCUUUGUUAUUCAAUAUGUUUACAUGGGAUGCUUAGAUGUCAUAUUAUUAAGCAGAAAAAGAACCUAUAUAAGAUUAAUUUUAUUUGGGCUUAAUUGUUAUAUCCAUGAGAUGACAUAGAUUGAUUUCGAGUUGUCACUCUAAAAUUGAGGAUUAAUUAAUAAUUAGAUAAUUACUAGUUGAAUAGUGGUGGAUUCUGAAACCUUGGUAAUUCUUAUCUCAUUAAAUUCUCCUUUAUUUUAAUUUCCUUAGUUUAAUUGGUUUAAUUUUCUUAAAAAUUCAAUUUGCUCAACUAGGUUAGAAUUAAUAUUAAUUUUAGAUUUAAAUUAGACUUUUUAAUUUAUAACAAUCCCUGUGGGAUCGACCUCGUUACCACUAUUCUAUUUCUAGAUUCGUGCGCUUGCGAGUAUAUUAAAAUUUUCACAACAUAUAUUCAACGAGAAGAGGUAUCGUAUUUGACGGGAAUCUCUUGAAACAGUGCUGAAUUAACAAGUAAUCUUAUUUAAUUUGGUCAACUGGUCAGAUAUGGAUUAAUUAUAUAUUUGGCGUUUGUGCUUUUGACUUUACGAUGGGGUGGAGUCGUGGGGAUAUCAUCAUCCCAACUGAAGACAUAUUAUGAUAUUCUCCUGAAAACCUUGUGAGACUCAUUUACUCUACAAUUUUAGCAUUUUAGGCCCAAUAACUCCAUAUAAAUGACGUUUUGUUCCCUGGCUCCACCUCUUCUAUAUAAAUCCGAACACCUGAAAAAUGACGAGACGGGAACAACUCUCCGUCUUAAGUCUAUGUAAAUUUUACACACAAGAGAAAGAGAGGGAGAGGGGUGGCCAUGAGAGACAACGAUACAGAAAAGAAUAUGGAAAAGAGUUUAUUAAUACCAAAAGAGAGUUUAUCAUCAACAUCCACAACAUGGGAUUUGUUGAGUGGAGAACUGAAAAAGCAGGGUUACAUAGCAGCACCAAUGGUGGCAGUAACUUUAUCACAGUAUUUGCUUCAAGUUGUUUCCAUGAUGAUGGUUGGUCAUCUUGGUCAACUUGCUCUUUCUAGCACCGCCAUGGCCAUCUCUCUAGCUAGCGUCACCGGCUUCAGCGUCCUUGUGAGUCCUACAAUCCAUAUAUAGUUAUAUACACAAGAUUGUUUAUUCUUUCUUUUGAUAGGUAUUUGCAUCAUUGCAUGUGGGAUUUAAACAAAUAGAUAUGCCAAAUUUCUGAUGUUAAAAAACAUGCAAUUAACUAAUACCCUGUUUGUAAAAAUGCCAUUAAUUUUUAAAGGACUUGAUUUGCUCUUUUUUUUAAAAAAAAAAAAUUCUACAGCUAACUUGAAUUGUGUAAUAGUUUCUUUGAAACAGUUAGGAAUGGCGAGUGCUCUGGAAACAUUAUGUGGGCAAGCAUAUGGAGCUCAGCAAUAUCAAAGAAUUGGAACUCAAAUUUACACUGCAAUAUUUUGUUUAUUCUUAGCAUGUUUUCCGCUUUCCUUUCUAGGGAUUUACAUGGGAAGGCUGCUAGUUUUGGUAGGCCAAGACCCCCAGAUUUCACACGAAGUAGGCAAGUUUAUAAUCUGGCUUCUUCCAGCUCUGUUUGCUUAUGCAGCAAUGCAAGCGCUUAUUCGAUAUUUUCAGUCUCAAAGUUUGAUCAUUCCCAUGUUCUUAAGCUCCUAUGCCGCUCUUUGUUUGCAUAUUCCCAGCUGUUGGGCUUUGGUAUUCAAGUCUGGACUGGGAAACCUUGGAGGAGCAUUGGCAAUUGGUAUAUCGUAUUGGUUGAAUGUAACUUUCUUGGCAAUUUACAUGAAGUUCUCCACUGCUUGUGCAGAAUCCAGGGCUCCAAUUUCAAUGGAGUUAUUCCGAGGAAUUGGAGAGUUCUUCCACUUUGCUAUCCCUUCUGCAGUAAUGGUUUGGUAUGUUAAUUAUCUUCUGGAGUUUCAUUUUCCCUUCUCAUAGAUAUCGUAGACACGUCAUAAAUUUUCAUGCAUCUUCUUUCGUUUAUAAUUUUGCAACCUAGAAUGGUGGUCAUUUGAAUUGCUCAUUUUAAUGUCAGGGCUGUUGCCUAACCCACAGCUUGAAACUUCAGUCCUAUCUGUAUGGUAUGUUAACAUAGACUUUGUAUGUGAAAGUUCUAUGCAGAGAAGCACCUACCAAAGGAAAUAGAUUUUUUUUUCUUUUUUUCUUUUUUUUCCCGACUGCUCAUUAUUUGUCAACUUCUUUGGGCAGUCUCAGUACUAUUCAAACCCUCUCUGCAAUCCCAUAUGGACUUGGUGCUGCAGUGAGGUUUGUUCAUAACAAUCAUUUAAAUAAUAAUUGUUUUAUAUCUGUUACAAAAUCAUUGUAAUCCAUCUCCUAUAAUUCCUCUUCUCUGUAUAUUUUAGUUCUAUUUGUAUACGUUACUAGUUGUACACGAUAGACUAGAAUAUUUUGUAAUCCUAGAUUAGAAGUCUGCACUAUUUAACUCCCACGAGUUGGAAUAAAAGAAUUGAGCUGAGUAUUUCCUUUGAAUCUUAUUUCCUCUGUACCAUUGUUUUCUACUUGGUAUCAGAGCUUUGCUCUUAUUAUCGUAUCCGAAUUCUCAUCUGUUCUUUGUACCAUGGCCGAAAGUAAAUCUGAAUCGUCUACACCAAUCAUACAUGUUCAAUAUGAAAACUCAGGCCUCAAAGCUGGUGUUACUCUUACUGAAACUAACUAUGAUGUGUGGUCCCAAAUCAUGGAGAUGCACAUUGCAGGACGUGAAAAACUUGAAUAUAUUAUGGGUGAAACAGAUCAACCAUUGGAGACUGAUGCUUUCUAUACAAAGUGGUAUGCAGAAAAUCAAAAAGUCAAGGGAUGGUUACUGACAUCCAUGUCACCUGAAAUCAUGAAACGUUAUCUCAGAUUACGCACCGCAAGGGAAAUAUGGAAUGCUUUGGCUAAAGCUUUCUACGAUGGGUCAGAUGAAUCACAAAUCUUUGCACUAAAUCAACGAGCUUUCUCUACUAAACAGGUUGGACGUCCCCUAUCAACAUAUUAUGGUGAUCUUGUAGAGAUUUUUCAAGAGCUAGAUUAUCGUGAUAAGGUCAUAAUGAAAGACCCCGAUGAUGUCACUGCAUAUAAAAAAUCAGUUGAACGCUUGAGAGUGUACAUCUUCCUUAAUGGACUAGAUGCAGAAUUUGAACAACUCAGAGGAGAGAUCCUCAGGAAGGAUCCGGCACUAGACUUUGAAGAAACAUAUGCAUAUGUGCGGCGUGAUGCUAUGCGGAGGACAACAGUAAAUGAAGAACUUGAUCAUCAUGAGUCAUCUACCCUGAUAGCUCGUCGAAACAAACAGGGGCGUAAUAACCAACAACUAAAUUCUAGCUCUUCAAAACAGAUUAUUGAUCAACAUCAAUCAUCUGAAACGCAAAAUCGUAGCUAUGAAAUUGGAACGUCAAAAUUAGAGCGUCUGUGCACGUAUUGUGGUGGAACUAGACAUACCAAGUCAAGGUGUUAUGAACUGAUUGGGUAUCCGGAAUGGUGGGAUCCUACUAAAGCACCCAAACGGAACUCAAAGACAAAAAAUCAAGCUUCUCCUGCUGUGGUUAAAUCUUCGAACAACCCUGAGGAAUCUUCAUCUUUAAUUGCUACUUCAGGUAAUAUUGGUAAGACUCUUAAUACCUCUACACCUGAUAGUAAUAGUGCUUGGAUAAUUGAUUCAGGUGUUACGGAUCACAUGACUUUUGACACUGAUCAUAUUUUGUCUAUGAAAUCAUCCAAACAAACUGUAGUAUCCACAACCAAUGGUACUCCCUCUCCUGUCAUGGGAGAAGGUUCAAUUACUCUUACAAAAAAUUUGAAUUUGGAAUCAGUUCUUGUUGUUCCCUCUCUUAACUAUAACCUAUUAUUUGUUGCUCAAAUAACACGUGUUUUGCAUUGUAUUGUGAUUUUUUGGCCUAACCUUUGUGUUUUUAAGGACAUCCGAACUCGAAGGACAAUUGGUUAUGGUACUAGAAAGGGGAAGCUCUAUUAUCUUGAUUUGACUACAGCAAGUUCAGAUCAAUUAUCUCAAGCAUUCACAACUGAAAGAUCGGGCAAAGCACAAAGUUCUGAAAUUUGGUUGUGGCAUAGGCGAUUAGGCCAUGCUUCUUUUGGAUAUUUAAAAAAAUUAUUUCCAAAGUUGUUCUCCCAUUUGGCUAAUUCAAAUUUUAAGUGUGAUAUUUGUGAAAUGGCUAAGAGUCACCGUGUCUCUUUUCCACCUAGUAUGAAUAAAAGUCCAGCACCUUUUAUGAUUGUUCAUUCAGAUGUAUGGGGUCCUGCAAAUGUUUCCUCUUUAAAUGGUGCACGCUGGUUUGUUUCAUUUAUUGAUGAUCACACACGUAUGACUUGGGUUUGUUUGAUGAAGUCAAAAAAUGAAGUUAGUUCUUUGUUCCAGAAUUUUCACAAGAUGAUAGCAACUCAAUAUCAAUCUCACAUAUAGGUUCUCCGCACUGAUAAUAGUGGAGAAUUUGUUAAUCACGAUUUGAAACAGUACCUCACUUUACAUGGCAUUGCUCAUCAGACAACUUGCUCGUAUUCUCCUCAACAAAAUGGGCUUGCGGAGCGCAAGAAUCGUCAUCUUCUUGAAGUCGUACGUGCAUCAUUAUUCGGUGCCCACAUGCCUAAGAGUUAUUGGGGUGAAGCUGUUACAGUUGCAGCCUACCUCAUUAAUCGUGUUCCGUCAAGUUCAUUACAAUUUCAGACUCCUCUCCAUGUACUUCAUGAGACUAUAAGUGUUCCCACCAUGCCGAAUCAGCAACCUAGAGUAUUUGGGUGUGUAGCCUUUGUACAUCUUCACAAAUCCUUGAGAAAUAAACUAGAACCUCGAGCUGUUCGGUGUGUAUUUGUCGGCUAUGGUUUGUAUCAAAAAGGCUAUAGAUGUUAUCACCCUCCAUCUCGUAAAACGUAUACUACACUUGAUGUUACAUUUCAUGAGGAUGAAAUGUAUUAUUCUAUCCCUGAGACUUCAUUUCAAGGGGAGAAUAGAGUUGAAUUGCAGACUCCAGAUUUUUUAGAAGAUUUUACAAGCAAUAGCUAUCGGGAGAAUUGGGAAACUCAAAAUGGAGUAGCUGAUCACACUUUAGAUGGUGAAAAUCCAAUGGAAGUAGUAACGCCAGCCUCUACAUCACCCGAAGUAACGACUUCCUCUCCUCAAUCUGUACCAUUUAACCAAUUGUCUCUCCAACCCGAAUCAAUCUCUGAAACUCAGGUACACUUUGAGCCUCAGCCCCAUUUAAAAGUGUUGCCUGAUCGAGUUACUAGAGGAAUACCUCGACUAAAUUAUGAACCUACUCUUAGCUCUAAAACUAAAUAUCUUAUGAGUAAUUUCGUGUCUUAUCAUAGGUUGUCAAAGGAAUGUGAAUCUUUUGUGAAUCAAUUAUCUGUACUAUCUAUUCCUAACAGUGUGCAGGAGGCUUUGAAAGAUCCUAAGUGGAAGGAAGCAAUGAAUGAAGAAAUGAACUCUCUCCAAAAGAAUUCUACAUGGGAGGUCGUUGAUUUACCCGAAGGAAAGAAACCUGUAGGAUGUAGAUGGGUCUUCACUAUUAAAUACAAAGCUGAUGGAAUUGUUGAAAGGUUUAAGGCCAAGCUUGUCGCCAAAGGGUAUACUCAAACUUAUGGGGUCGAUUACAUGGAAACAUUUGCUCCAGUUGCAAAAAUCAACACUGUUCGUGUUCUAUUAUCUCUAGCCGUGAAUCUUGACUGGCCACUGCACCAAUUUGAUGUAAAAAAUGCAUUUUUGCAUGGAGACCUCCAAGAAGAAGUAUAUAUGGAAUCGCCUCCAGGAUGUAAAAUGCAAGUUGAAGGAAGUAAACAGGUUUGCAAAUUGCGAAAAUCUCUGUACGGCCUAAAACAAUCUCCUAGAGCAUGGUUUGGAAGAUUUACUAGCUCUAUGAAGGCUUUUGGAUAUCAACAAAGUAAUUCAGAUCAUACCCUCUUCUUGAAAUAUAAUAGAGAAAAAAUCAUUGUUCUUAUCGUAUAUGUUGAUGAUAUGAUAGUAACAGGAAAUGAUCCGGAAGAAAAGGCUGCACUACAAGAUCAUCUUGCUCAAGAAUUUGAGAUGAAAGAUUUGGGUUCGCUGAAGUAUUUCCUAGGAAUUGAAGUGUCAAGAUCAAAGAAAGGCAUUUUCUUAUCUCAGCGAAAAUAUGCCUUAGAUUUAUUAAAUGAAACUGGGAUGUCCGCUUGCAGUCCAAUUAGCACUCCUAUGGAAGAAAAUUUGAAGCUAAGCACAGAUCCAAAUCAAGUUCCAGCUAACAAGGAACGAUAUCAGAGAUUAGUAGGCCGACUAAUGUAUCUUGGGCACACCCGACCAGACUUAGCGUAUGCAUUAAGUGUGGUCAGCCAAUUCAUGCAUUCUCCAAAGGAAGAACAUAUGAAUGUUGUUAUUCGCAUUUUACUGUACUUAAAAUCAUCUCCUGGAAAGGGUAUUGUGUUUACAAAAGGCGAUAACUUGGAUAUUAAAGGGUAUACGGAUGCUGAUUGGGCUGGAUCAAUUGAUGACAGGCGUUCUACAUCUGGUUAUUUCACAUUUGUGGGUGGAAAUCUAGUUACAUGGCGAAGCAAGAAACAAGAUGUUGUAGCUAGGUCGAGUGCUGAGGCUGAAUACAGAGGGAUGGCCAAAGGAAUAUGUGAAUUACUAUGGAUCAAUAAUUUAAUGCAAGAUUUACGUAUUCAACAAGUCAGUCCCAUGAAGUUAUAUUGUGAUAAUAAAGCAGCCUGUGAUAUUGCACAUAAUCCAGUUCAACAUGAUCGAACUAAGCAUGUUGAAGUUGAUAGACACUUCAUCAAGGAAAAGCUGGAAGCAAAAAUCAUCGAGAUUCCUCAUGUCCGGUCGAAAGAUCAACUCGCGGAUGUGCUAACCAAGGCGGUAUCCAUCCAAGCCUUUAAUAAGUGUCUCAACAAGUUGGGCAUGUGCGAUAUAUAUGCACCAACUUGAGGGGGAGUGUUACGAAAUCAUUGUAAUCCAUCUCCUAUAAUUCCUAUUCUCUGUAUAUUUUAGUUCUAUUUGUAUACGUUACUAGCUAUACACGAUAGACUAGAAUAUUUUGUAAUCCUAGAUUAGAAGUCUGCACUAUUUAACUCCCACGAGUUGGAAUAAAAGAAUUGAGCUGAGUAUUUCCUUUGAAUCUUAUUUCCUCUGUACCAUUGUUUUCUACUAUAUCAACUAAUUAGCAGAUUAACCAUUAUUUCCUUCUAUAGUACUAGAGUUUCAAAUGAACUAGGAGCUGGGAAUGUGCAAAGAGCCCGUGUAGCUGUCUAUGCUGUGGUCUUUAUGGCAGUCAUGGAGACUAUCAUAGUAAGUGCAUCUCUCUUUGCCAGCCGGCGUGUUUUUGGUUAUGUUUUCAGCAAUGAGGGACAAGUUGUGGAUUAUGUCACAACCAUGGCUCCUCUAGUUUGUUUGUCUGUCAUCAUUGAUAGCUUACAAGGAGUCUUUUCAGGUUAAAUUAACUUCUUCAACUCUGUCAAUUGCUAAAUAGUUCUCUUUAAGUAGAAAUAAAAUUUUUCAGGUUUCUAAAUUCUUUUUAUUAUUUUUAAGGUGUUGCAAGAGGAUGUGGGUGGCAGAAUAUAGCUGCUUUUGUGAAUCUUGGGGCUUAUUAUUUUUGUGGAGUCCCAACUGCUGCCAUUUUGGGUUUCUGGUUAAAGUUUAGAGGAAGGGGCCUAUGGAUUGGGAUACAAGCUGGUGCUUUUACACAAACACUUCUGCUUGGCAUCAUAACAACAUUUACAGAUUGGGAAAAACAGGUCUGUUUCUCAACAUUUAAUCCCUUAAAAAUGAGAGAAGCUUAUUGGACUAUAUAUGUAAAUAUGUAGCAAUUUUUUUUCCCAAUAAGUAUAUGAUGCCUUAUGACUGAAAGUUCAAGAUUAAAAUCACUCAGCUUGAUCUGAAAUGGUUAGUAUUAUCAUCUUAUGCAGAAAUGGUUUUGCUCAUUGAGAAAAUGAUAUUCAAUAACACAAAUGCAAACUCAUUUGAAAAUUUUGCCAUUGAGAAAAUGAUAUUCAAUAACAGACAUGCAAACUCAUUUGAAAAUUUGCUUUUUUGCAAGAAUUAUAACCAUUUUCUAGUUUGUUAAUUGUUACGUCUUCUGUGUUUCUAAGGGGUUUCUCAUGUUGCAGGCAAGUAAAGCAAGGAAAAGAUUAUCAAAGGGAAGAUCUUUAGAAGAAAAUAGAAUAGUUUGUGAGUGAGCAGAGUCAAUCAAUGAGCUGAUAUAUACAUUUUCCAGUUGAAAGAGAUAAUCAUUGCUUGAGAAAAUGAGCUGAUCAUAUGUCAAUCGAUGGCCAAGAAGGUUCCCCAAUCUGAUCUACGGAGCAUGGCAUUUCAUAAAACUCUGUUUCUAGAGAAAAAAAAAAAAAUUAACAGCUUCUUAGGAUUGGAGCAUCAGGUGACUUAGCAUUUCCAGUAUGAAUGAAUUAUAAGAUAGAUGAUGCUGCAAAAAUGAAUAGAGAUAAAAUUAAGCAAGAGAAAAUGUUUGAAUGUUAUUAUUGAAACCUUUUCCAGUGAUUGUAGAGAUAAUUUUCUUUGUAUUGAAACUUUCAGCAUCUGAAAGAUAAGGAAAAUAUUAAAAGAAAAAAGAAAAUUCUUAAAUCUUUUCCAUGUCACUCCAGCAAAGUUGAAUUGUGAUUCUAAACCCUACACCAAAGUGUAAGGUGGCCUGUGGCCUAUAGGUAAUACACAAUUUGACAACCCCAUAUAUUUAGUAAUCUAGGUGGAUGCCAUUAAUUUUUUUUUUUUAAAUUUUUGUUCAUUUUUAAUGCAAACAACGCCUCUUUCAUUGAGGCAUUGGAAUAUAUAAAGAUUUGUAUACUGAUUUUGGACCAUAAUUCACAAAUAAUGCGACGCAUAUCUUUCUUUCAGUACUUCUUCAGGAGGAUAAGAUACAGACAUUGUUGUCUUUUUACCUGAAGCAAGUGCAUGUGCAUGAAUUGUUGUUGUCUGUUAAUCUGCUGCCACUUUGCUGCCAAAAAACUUGAAAAAUAAACCAGGAAAAUUUUCAAUAAGCAAAGCCAAAACUUUUAAACACUCAAAUAAAGCACAUAAGUAAAGUAUUUCUGUCACAUUAGCUUUCGAGUGAGGUUUGAUUUACAUUUAUAUCAUAUAUACCAAGUGUUUUUUAUUCUUUUAAUUAAUUUAUAUCACAGCUUGGAAAUUCUAAAAAUUAAUCAUGCUUAAUCUUGAGCAACAAUAUCUGUAAUCAUCAUACGAGGUCAAAAGUGAGGAAAAAAAAGGAAAAGAAAAAGCAAGAGUUAGUUUUAUGUAUAAAAGUGAAAGGAUCUGUUAUACAGUAUUUCUGUUGCAUGGUUUUCGGAGGCAUAGCAUUGUCCACAGCAUUUGGGCUUUGCUUCUGAUUCAAUGGCAUUUAGAAUUUGGUUUCAUCUGAGAUCAUAUAUAGCUUGAUCCUGAUAUCUUCCAUUUUGGAGGCAUUCAGUUAAAUUGAAGAAGUUUGAUGUUCCAGUUCAAAUUGGGAUUGCUGAAGAUAAUAUAUAUAAUUCUGUAGAGGUUUUCUAAUUUUUAUUUUUAGUAAUGUAUUCAUGUCCUGUCAUUCUUCUUUCUGCUUAAAUCCAAUUGCCCAUGUUGGAAUUUCUUUUCAGCUUUUGUAUUCUUUUUCCUUUUUGUUCAAUAAUGCUAUAGACGAUGCUCUACCAUUUAAAAGAUAUAAAUAACAAAUUUUAUAAAUUUUUACUUCGUCAAGGUGUGAAACCUUAUAAAAUUUAUAAAUUUAACUUAUGAACAGAGAAGCAUAAAAAAAAUGUUUGGAGUUGCUUAAUACCAUAGAAACAAAAGCAGAAAGAGAUGUUCAAGAACAAAACCCAAAAAUUUUCAUCAAGUGGAGCAUCGAUCAUGCCAGCAUAAUAACAUAAUUACAUAAUGCUCGAAGAGCACGCAUGACUUUCUCAAAAAAUAAUAUCACUUAAAUGAUCAAAAAACAGAAAUAAUUAAUUGAUUAUCCAUAUAUAUAAACAAGCCUAGCUCUCAAUGUGAAAUAUAUUAAAUCAGCAACUAUAAGAUUUUCGGUGAUGAUAUUUCCACCCCAUAAAUUUUAUAAACCCACCCAUUUUUUUAAAAAAAAAUUAUUAUAAUAAGUUCACAUCAUUUUUUUUAAAUUUAAAUUAAGAAGAAAUUAAAAAAUUAAUCAAUUAAAUCUAUAUUCAUUUCUUUUUUUUUUAAUUAUGUUUCUUUAUUAAAUUUCAUCAAUAAGGUUGCUUUAACAUAAAUUAAUAUGACUAUUUUACCCUUAUAAGGUAAAAGUACCAAAAUAUCUAAAAAUUCACUUUAACUUUAAUAAAAUUUUAUGCAAUUUUUUUUAAUAUUUUAAUGAUAUAUAAGUAAUUGUUAGUACAAUUAUUAUUUCUCCACUAAACUAACAAAAUAUAAUUAGGACAUGUGGUGGAAUGAAAAUAAUUAAAUUUUAUAUAAAAACCUAAGCAAUUAGUUACGAUAAAUAUAUAUAUAUAUAUAUAUAUAUAUAUAUAGUAAUUUGGUUAUUUUAUAUUAUAAGGGUAAAAUAGUCAAAUUAAAUUUAUCUUGAGGCAACCUUCAAAAGUUAAAGAUUGUUAAAAGCUUAAGUCCAAAAAAUAAAAAUAAAAAUAAAAUUAUAAAAUUGAUUUAAUUAAUUAAUUAUUCAAAGCUUUUAUUAAUUUGUAAUUUUAUAAAAUAAUGUAAAUUUAUUGUAAUUAUUUUAUGGAGGUGGAGGGGGUUUAUAAAAAUAGUGGGGUGGAAAUAUUCACACCCUUCAAUUAAUAGUUAGGAUAAUUUUUAGAUACUUCCCCUAAAGUUUGGCUUUGCUUCACUUUUAGAUCAUUUUUAGAGAGAAUGUAUCUAUCUAUUGACAAGAGUGAUGAUACAACCAUAAAUUUUUAUACAAAUUUAUCUUGUAUAAAUUUAUUUGUCAUUAAUUCAUUGGUUGAAUAAAAAUGUAAAAUAAUAAAAAUAUAUCAUGUGGGUCCAGAGAUAUUUAAUUCAAGUAAUUUCAUCAUAUCACAUCAAUUUAUACAAAAUAAAUUUAUACAAAAAUUUAUAACAUUAUUAUCUAAUGGAUAAUAUACCCCUUGUCCGUGUAUAUAAGGGAUAGGCACUGAUUAAGUAGUUGCAGUAUUUUUUUUUAAAAAAUCUUACAAAAGCUAUUAUACUGUAACUAAUCAGCUAGUGAAACCCGAGGGGAUAGUAACCCAUUUUCAUUGUCAAUGCCUAGCUUCAUUUUUUUUUUUUUUUUCUCACUUGAUGAGUGCUUACCUUCAUUUCGAAGGUCGUGACACCAACUGAUUUUAGCAAAAGCAGAGAUACUUUGUGAUGCAGUAAGCUAACAAGUUUCUGAAAUCAACUAUGUUUUGAACCAAAUUUCGACGACGACCAGCAGCUGAAAAGCCGGUGAUUAAAGGGCACACUAGGUGCGUAAUUCUAUCAAAGCAUAAAACUGAAGUUAGGUUUUAUUAUUUUCUUGCAUUUUGUUGAAAAUUGCUGUUAGUUAGGUCCUUUAUUCUUUGUUCCCAUUAAUUGAGAAAAAUGUUUAGGGUUUAUAGAAAUUGAAGUAGUGACCGAAUAUAUCUGAAAUGAUUUUUGAGUUGAUAGUCAUUCGAAAUGUUGUGUAAACCAUGCAAAUGAUUUAUUUUUUGAUGAUUUUGGACUGUGGGUUUUGAAUGCUCACUGAAAUUUGCUUGAUAUGUUCUUUAAAUUGAGAAAAAUCCAAGCUUCUUCUAAGAAUACAGAGGUGUUGCUGAGAAAAUGCUUAUGGUGUUGUUUUGUUUCUUUUUUUAUUUUACAAGUGGGCAGUUCAUGUAAGAUUGAGACAGUUGCUCUUGUUGCUUUUUGAUGUUUUGUAUAGACUGAUUCCAAUCACUGAUUUCUGUUGGUAAAUGGAUGCUAUUUUUUUUUUUUCCUUUCUUCACAUAAAAAUUUGUACUUCCCAACAUAAAAUUCAGAUGCUUGCCUAUUGUUUUUUGAGGUUCUCAUUAAGGUGUAAGAGAUAAAUUAAUUAUAGAGCUUGUAGGCAGUUGGUUUAUUGAAGAACCAGUACAGUUGAGAAAGUGUCUUUUGGGACAUCCAUUUUAAUACACAGAUUAACAGAUUUAAUUACAUAAACACAAGACUUCAUUUGUUUAUCAAAGUAGUACUUUUGAUGCUUUCGUAUAAUGAAUGCCAAAGAGAUGACAUUUGCAAAAAGGCCAUUUGAAUGUACCAAUUGCUAUCCUUGUAAACCUCUAUUGUGAUUCUGUUAUCAUUAUAUGUUGUUUAAUGAUCUGAUGAUUUCGAGAUAUCAAGAUGAGUUUAUGGUAGUACAUGUUCAUUUAGCUACUUUAGGUACUAAUACAUGGAUUUAUUGUAUAAUGCCUACUUAGCAGCCAUAACUACACUCAUUGUUGAAGCUACAGCAACACAAAUGAGAAAAAACAUGCUGAGGAACAACAUUGUCUUUAUAUCAUUGCAUUUUACUCCAUUUACAAAUCUUGUUUGAAAAUCGAAUGAAUUUAAAAUAUUAUCGUUUAUUGUUUUUUUGUAGCAUUUACUAAUCUUCUGAUAUUCAGUAUUGUUUUUAUAUAAAUUAAUUUAAAAUAUUAUCAUUUAUUUAUCUUAUUAUGUGAUUUUACACUAUCAAAUUAUUUGUUUUAAGGGGCAUUUUGGUCUUUUCAGCACUCAUUUGAGUUUUGUCUUAUUAUAAGAAUAUGUAAUGUCAACAGCAAUUAUCAUAAGAGUAUAAUGGCCUUUUCACUGCUCUACAAACCCCCCCCUCCAACCCCGCGGCCAAAAACAAUUUCGCCCCAAAUAUAAAGAUCAUCUACCGUGUCCAAUAAUUUUGGCAUUCAUUGAAAUGUGUACUGAAGGGCAUUAUUGUAUAUUCACUCAACUACCUAACGGGUGCCUAACCUUCAUACAUGGCCGGGGGGUAUAUUGUCAAUAUAUGGAUACAUUCUCUCUAAGUGUAUCAAAGCCAAACCUCAGGGGAGGUUUCUAAAAGUUUUCCUAAAUAGUUAAUAAUUUUGUACAACAGAUUCCUGGAUACGCCUCAAGUUCACUGAUUCUACGUUAUGGCUGACUUUCAAGAAAUUAAAUUCUACAUUAUGACCCCCAGUGAAACAUUGUCGCCGAUAAAAUUAUAAAAUAUAUGUGUAAUAGUAGUCAAACCUAAACCUACGUCGUUUAGCAAUUUACAAAAUGAGAAAGACGACAAAAGCCAGGUGUUGGACCGGCAACGAGCCAACGAGAUAAGCUCAAGUUCACUGUGUUUUUUAUGAACCCUCUGAAGACCCGAAACUCUGGGUUUGUUUUUUACGUUCCCUAACUGUUUGACUACAUUUUUAUUCUUUGCUACAUUCGUUAUGAACUGUUCAGGCUAAGUGCUCGACGAAAUUCCUAAGUGAGUAUGUAUAAUGGUUUGCUCUUGUAUUUAUUCUGUUAUAGAAGGUUUUGCUUUGGGUGGUUAAAUAGAAGAGACUAGACAUUGAACUUUAUGCACUUGUAUGUUUUCAAGUAAUUGGUUGUUCAGGGACAUGUACUUUGAAUUGCUUCAUUCAUCUUCAGAGAUAUCAUAACUUUUGUUGUUAAUUUGUCCAAAGUGAAGGCUUUUUUAACUUUUAUUUCUUUGAUUUAUUUAUUUAUUGGUGUAUCGAGGUUCUGUGUCUAAACUUUUAUUUGAUAAGUUCUUUCAGACUACUAAUUAGAAGAAAAAAGUGCUAGAGAGUGAGUAUGAGAGGGAAUGAUGUUUGGGCAAGGGGUGAUUGGUUCACUUGGCUCAUUAAGAACCCCAACUAUAAUGGCAUGUAUCAAUUUCGCAGCCUAAUUGGCAGGUAAGCUCAUUUCUUGAUUUCCUUCAUUUUUCACUUCCAUUUUACUGUUUUCAGGUAGCAGGUAAUUUAAAUAAAAGUAAAAUCAGUAGUGAUUUGCUUCAAGUGCAUAUGGAUAGUAUAUCACAUGUGAGAAGAUUGUAUUUGUUAUAUGAAAAUCCUUAAUAACUUUAAUUAAAAAAUAUAUUCUCAAACCUGAUCGUGGAAUGUACUAUUUCUUAAUAUCUGAGUUUGGAUCAACACAUUUUUUGCCAUGCAAUUUGGCAAGUUGUCAUGUCCUCAUUCUGCGCUAUUAUAAGUUUUGCCAAUCUGCAUAGGUGUUUUUAUAGAUUGAGUUAAUCUAGUUUCGAGAACAUGCCUUACUAAAGGGCGUCGAGUUUCUAAGUGAAGGCAAGUGCAACUAUAAUUAUCUAUUUCAUAUCCUCCCUGUUACCUCAAAAUUCUUUCAAUAACUUGGGGACGUUAAUCCUAUUAACGACAGCCACAUAUUAUAAGUUGAGAAACUGAUUUUUUGAUUAUUGAAAAAUUAAAUUUUUUGUAUUAUUCUAUUAAUGAUAUCAGUAACCUACCUGUUGCGGUUGUCUUGUAUGGAUCAUUGUUUCUCUUUUAAGCUGUUAUAUUGACAAUUUUUAGCUAUUAUUGCAGAUCUUAAAGUCAUUGCAAGCACAUGCUCCAUUGAUCUCCAUAAAUUCGGAUACAUAUGUAUAGUUAGCUAUUCGAACAACCACACUGGUAUUCAACUUCAAUAUUCAGAAACAUGGCUGAAGUGAAGCUUCAUGGGGCAUGGGCGAGUGCAUUUUGUUACAGAGUGAUAUGGGCUCUGAAAUUGAAAGGCAUAGCAUAUGAUUACAUUGAAGAAGAUCUCUCCAACAAAAGUGCUUUGCUUUUGAAGUAUAAUCCAGUUCACAAGAAGGUCCCAGUGCUUGUUCAUGACGAAAAAUCCGUUUGCGAGUCCAUUGUUAUCCUUGAAUACAUUGAAGAGAUGUGGCCACACAAUCCCUCCUUGAUGCCAAGUGAUCCUUAUGAUAGAGCUCUGGCUCAUUUCUGGAUUAAAUUUGCCGAAGACAGGGUUUGCUUCAGAACUCUAGCUAAUGCGUUUAUAAGUUCAUUAUUUUCAUGUUUAUUUGUUAUUAGAGAAAAUGAUCAGUAUCCCCCAUUGUAUGUCAAAAUUAAUCAUUUCUUCUUUUAUGUUUUAAAACCUAUCAAAAUCUCCAUUGUUGUUCAAAAAAUUCUGUUAACUUUCAACUUUUUGUGUCUUUUACUAAUUUACCACUGGAAAAAUUUUUAUUAUUAAGAAGUUGAAAGUUUAUUAGAAUUUUUUUAAUGGCAGGGGAAAUUUUGAUGGCUUUUGAAAUAUGAGGGAGAAAGGAAUUGAUUUACCAAAACAGCAUUGGGGUUUUGUUGUUCAUUUACCCUCUGUCAUUCGAUGUAGUGGUUAACCUUUGGUAUAAGGAUGCUUGACAAGGGUAUUUAGGUCCAAGUCUUUUAGCUCAUAUGGAUUGCUGGGUACUUUCAUAUGGAUUUGAGUAAUAAAAGGGACUUGACUUUAUAUUUAUGAAUUAUUGCAUGUAUUUCGUUAAUUAUUAAUGGACUACUAGCGGUUAUGUAGUGUUUGGAAGGAAGUUUGAAUGCUAAGAUGUACUAAUGACUUAAUGACAUGUGGCAAAAAAAAAUCAGUUAAGUCAACUCGAUUGAACGAAUGGUAAUAUAGCUCUCAAAAGUUAGAAGAUAAGCUCCCUAUGAAAAAAGAUAGUUUCGGUAAUAUGUCUAACAUUAAGGGGUAUUAUCGAAACUUUAAAUUUUAAUGGUUAGACCCAGUAUGUGAACAGUGUGUCAUUAUUUUUAGGGUUAUAUUUUGCUAAGAAUAACGAGCCAAUAGAACUUUAGAGACUUUUUUCUAGAUCUAAUUUCUUGAGAGACUUCUUCAUCUUCUUCAUCCUCUAUUUUUAGGGUUUCUUUCUCCAUUUUAACACCACCAUGGAAAAUCUUAACCAUCUCAUCUCCCAAAGAAACCUCUUCCCUUACUCUUCUCUUGGAAAACUCUCUAAUCUCUAUGAGACUCAUAUCUCCCCCAUGUCAUUAUUCCUCAUAAACAAUCUUUAAUAAGAUUUUGUCGAUAUUAUAAUGCAAAUUAUGUAAUACUUCAUUUAUAUAGUGGAUUGGAUAUGAGUUACUCUUAUCGAUGUAGAUCAAAGGGCCAACCACCUAAAAUCUUGUGUGUUCUUUAUUGUUUAUACUUAUUUUCUAUUUAUUAGGAUGAUGAUAAUGUUCAGAUCGUAUUUCAUAUAUGAGCUCACUAGAGGCAUACCACAAGCUCUAUUGAGUUCCCUAAAUAAGCUCUCUAGUUAAAGCUAUCCUUAAAUUCGCUAGAACUACUCCCUAAACUCUCUUGACCUCCGCAAAUCAACUCUUUAAACUAAAUCCCAUGAGCUCCACAAAGCUUACCUCCCAACAGGCAACAGCAGAAUACCAAGCUUACCUCAAUUCAUCUUCCAGAUCACCUCAGUUAUUUCUUUUGUUUCUAACAGUAGAAAAACACACUUAGAUUUUUACCAGCCCAAUCUCACCUCAAAUAUAAAUUUAUUUAUUUAAAUUGUCUUUGACCUAGAUCUAGUGAGGAAAAUGAUUCAAAUCAGAUCCUAGAGGAAAUCCGGUCAAAACAUGUAUCUAUGUAUAAUAUUUAACAUCAUCCUAACGAUCAAUCCGAAUGCACUUGGAUUUGUUCUUAAUAGUACACAAAAGUGGAAAAAGCAUAGCAAGCAACACUUGCACACUCGAGGCUGAAUACAAGUACGAACGACACAAUUCCAAGCAACAAACAAUGAUCAUCAGUACUAAUUUUUUCUGCAAGCCACAAAAUUGGAAAAUACCGCCAAGUAAUUAAUUAACCACUGUGACUUGCCAGCUUAAGCUUAUCCAAUGCUGAGAGUUCAUUAUUCUUCAAGGAUUGGUUAUUGUAAAUGUCUUUUAGAGUAAUUUCAGGAUAGAGCAGAGGAUUUACUUCUGAUAGCAACUCUUUAAUUGGACCAUAUCGUCUCGAGCAACUAUUAUUCAUGAAAAAACUUCCGAUUGAAAUUCUGGAGCCUUCCUUAUUUGAUAACACUCUAUGAUAGGCACUCUUGAACUUAUCGUUGGUAAUCAGCUGCAUGAACACAAGCAUGUUGGUAAUCAGCUGCAUAAACACACACUUCAUAUAAACGAUAAUUAAGUUAUCUGAUAGAGAUUCAUGCUCAGGUGUAGACGUUCACAUGAAAUUUUGUGAGGACGAUUCUUUCACAGUAUUGUGAAAGUGUGUCCGCACAAGAUUUAGUGCGAAUGUCGCACCAGAGAAUUUUCAAUUCGAUGGAUAGUAUUUCUUAAUAAGUUAUCUAACACACACUUGCCUGCAUCAUGUAGCCUAAGUUUACAACUAGAGCUCCUGGAACAGGGGCAAUGUCAAACCACUGAUCUUCGUGAAAGACUUGGAGGCCACCAAUUUGAUCUUGUAUGAGCACAGUAACAAAUCCAGGGUCAGAAUGUGUUGCUAUGCCGAUGGACAAUUCUGGUUGAGGGCAUUCAGGGUAGUAACUAUUCCCAAUAGUCAUUUCCUCUACACAACCUAUGUCUUUCAGGUAAUUGGGGUCAAGCCCUAAAGCUUCGGAUAAAAGUUCAAACAGAGUGCCCCCUGUUUUCCACAUUAGGUUGUUGUAUGUGAUCAUUAUCUCUCUGCAAAUUAAUAAAGACAAAAAAUAAUCACUACUAAAAGAAAGGGAGAAUGACAUUUCGACUUUUAGAAAUUAUUUUUUUAUUGGGUUAACAUCUAGAUGAAAUGAGAGUAAUAAAAACUUAUUAGGAACCCAAGUGAUGCAAAAAGUUCUAAGAAAGAGGCAGGUGUUAUCCACUGUAAAAGAAAUAAAAUCUAUUGGUCAUCGUCCACAUACCUGCAAGCUUCAGGCAAAUCUUCAGGAUUUGAAAAAUCGCGAUCCAUAACACAACUCAAAGUAUCUUUCCAAAAGAGAGUCGGUGCACUAUACAAAUUUAAAUUUGAACAAUAUUUAAUUUUUUUGGAGUAAUCACGAGAAUAAUAUUUCUGCUUAACCUCAACAUCUUGUUCAAAAAACCUACGGAUCCCAUCAAUGGCUUGAUCCAAAAUGCUUGUUGGGAUUCCAUGAUUGAUCACUUGAAAGAAACCCCACUCCUCACAAGCACUUCUAAUUUGGUCAAUUACCUGAGAACGCAAGCUUGAAUCCUUGUGUAUUCUUUGAAGGUUUAUGAUUGGGAUGCUGAUUUUGGGGUCCCUGCAGAUUGGCUUAUCAUCAAACUUAUAUUUAGUGUGAUGGUCUUGAAUGAAGAUCUGUGGAAUGGUUGUGAUCCCAGCAUCUACGAGUCCCUUAACGCCAGCUUUCGUGUCAUCAAAAGCUUUCAACUCGCUAACUCUGUCACAAGUAAUGCUUCCCAUUUGCUUGGUGAAUUAUCUAUUACUCGGUGAAUUAUGAAGUACAUGUGCUAACUUGCUGAUGAUUGCUUUUGGGAGAUACCAUUUAUAUGAUUGCUGGCUUGCCACGUGCAACAUGUUGAAAUAUAACGUCACCACGAUGAUAUGGAAAUUUGUAAAUUUGAUUCUGCAUUAUUUAUCAUGAUUAAAUUAAUUAUAAAUUAUCAAUAACAGUCAAUUCCGGGGACCACCAACCAGUGGGUAGCACAGCACAAUAAUAGACUGGGCUGUGGCUUUGUUUUAUGUGGACAAAAUUUCAAUUAGCUACAGCAUAUUGCUGCUUUAUAGUUAACGUUUCACCUUCUCCGUUUGGACAUACUAUUAUGGAUUUACAGUGUUGCUUAAAAGCUAGAUCUUAAAUGAAAAGAAAGCUUUAAUGGUGAAAUAAUUAUUAAAAAAAAUGAUAAAGAGACUAAAUGUUAACCUAAUGUUAACAAAAAUAAUGGUAAAAUAAACCUGUUUUAUCAUGUUAAUAAUAGUGGUAUAUAUUUAACUUUAAUAAAUUUGGCCAUUUCGAUUUUUAAUUUGGCACCUUCCCUGCUCAGUCAAGAAAAAGAAUACUAUAAAAAUUAAAAUAGAAAAUUUGGCAAGGACAUAACUAUAGAAAUGUUAUAUAUCAAAACAAUGUCAAAGUUGUAAUACUUCCCUUAUUAAUGAGAAGAGUACUAGCAUAUAUAAGAUCGAUAAUCACUUAAAUUAAGCCUUAUAAUACUAAACUACAUACAUGGGAUCUGAUGCGUACAAGCAAUGCUUUCUGGUCACAGCAGCUUUAGGCUUUCAGCUACAGUAUAAAGUGAAACUGUCGCUUGAAAAUAAAAUUCAUGUUCAGCAGCCUCUCUAUAUCUGAGCUCCAAUUUUAUAACCAGGCAGCUAAAUAAGAUGAUUUAGACGGCAACGGCGUCUGUAGUAUUAAUUGUUUGUCUGUAGUCCCUCAUUAUCUACUUUCUGAUCGCUUACUAUGUAGAGAAUCGACAAGAGCAAAUUGUAGCACACGUUCACAGCACUAAUAACUGUUAAACUCUUAUAGUACUUAUCAAGCCUACUACCAUCCAAGGUUUUAGCCAAGUCGCCUUUGUUUGCCAAAAUGAAAAAGAUGUUAAAAAUGCUUCCAAUUCCGACGAAAAAAGAACUUAUUACUGAUACAUGGUACUCCAUCCGUUCAGGAAAAUGAGAGCUCGAGUAUUCAUCACAUCCAUGCAAAGCAAGCCCUUCCAUAAGACCCAAUAGACAGAAUUGUGGAACAAGCCAAAACAUGCUCAUAUUUUCCAAUUGUUUGCUCUUUUCCAACCUGCGAACCUCAACCUGCCAUGACACUACACAGCAAACUGUAGACAUCACCAUUCCAAUGAAUGUUCUCAAUACUUGAGCUUGUCUCUGCUUCGUUUCUGGAACAAACUUGGAAAUUAAUUUUUUCGACAGAUAAGAGAUCGUCGCACGAAUGAUGGCUUCAAAAGUAAGUAGAAAGAUUAAGUAACGUUCAGAAAUCAUUUUGGCUCCCUGCUCAGGAAAAAAUGUAUUUCCCGCUGACAGAACCAAUCCAAACACAAUGAAGCUAGACCACAAUGGCAACAAUUUAAAAAGAUAUUUUGACUCCCUGACCUGGGCCACAGUGCAAAGUGUGCCUGCCUCUUCUUGUUCUUUAGAAGUACUUGAUGUCUCUAUAAUUGCCGCUUUGUCUAUCCAUCUGCAAUUCAAACAAUUAAUUUAUUCCUAAUUUUUUAGGGAAAAUAGAAUGCAGCAGCUCAUGGUUCGGUAAAAUGGUCACACAGAUUCUUUUAUAAAUACACCCUUUUGGACAAAUCUUAGAGGUCAGUGUGACCAUUUGUAAACACAAAAGGAUAUCAGUGUGUCCAUAAAGAGGUCUAUGCAAUUAUUACUAAAAAUAAGAGGGUCUCUCCGACAAUUUUUGCCAGACCACGGCCGGCUGUGGGUGUAUACAUGUUAGGUGUAUACCUGAGUAAUUUGAUUCUGGGUGACAAGCGUGGUACGUUUCCCUCAUCAUUACUGAAGAACUGCUCCGGAGAAAGAGGAUAAUUGAGAUGCUUUUUCUUCAGGGAAGUUUUAACAACUUGGAUUAUAGCAAAACGGUCAACAGGAGGUAUUUGUCUACUAUGAUAAAAGGGAAUACCCAACAACAGCAGGAUCAAACUGCCCCCCAUAAACAACAAUGUGAACAUGAAAGUCUUCCCCCAUGUUUUAAUAUUAUUUGCAUAGAAUGCCGCAGCCACACCACAGCACCAGGCAAACCGCCACCACACUCUUUUCUGAGCCAUUACUUGAUUCUCAUUUGUAUUUUCUGUGCUCCCUCCUUCACCAUGUUCUCUUAAUUGAUCGGCAAGAAAUGGUCCUAGAAGAGGUGCCACUCCAACUUCACCCACUGCUAACAGGAUAAUUCCUAUCAUAUUGAGUAGCUCAAAGUUGGUUUCUGAAAUAUCUCUGGACGCUGUAUAGAACAAUAGCCCCAAUGCCUACAACAAAAAUUGUUGGAACUAAUUGUACAGUGUCAAGGAAGCUCAUGUGAGUCAAAUAGUCAGCAAAGCAGAGGAUUAUAACAGCAGCAGCUCACAGCUACGAGUUGAUGAUUUGGAUUGCCAGCUGGCACCUGGUGGUUACAUAAUUUCUUGUACUCGUGAUUGUUAGUUACAGUUAGUUAAUAAGCUGCUGCAUGAUUAGCAUGUGAGAUUAGUUUUAGCUAAUAUUGUUGAUUAGUUACGUGAGUAUAUAAAGCAAAGGCUGCACAUUUCCUCUGUAAUCUUGUUGAAUGAAAUAAAAAACAAAUUCUCAGAUUCUUAUCAUUUUCUCUCAAUAUUUCUUAGUUAUCAAACAAGUUGUUUUCUCACUUACAGUUUAACAUUAUGAUCCUAAAAAUGGUUUUUUUAAUCAUUAUUAUAAUCAGGAGUGCAGCCAAAAUGAAUACAUGCCACAUCAAUUAUAGCUUAACUAUUGGGAUCUUUAGCAUUCUUUUCAUAGGGGUAAAGCUCCUGAUAUCCUCUUAUUAUGUAUAUUUUUCUCUACAUUCUGUGAAAUUUAACAUAUGCUGCAAAAUAAUAAUUUCUAAAUUUAGCCUAAAGUACUACAAAAUCCAGGGUCCACCCCAGGAUAUAAAUUUCUUGCAGAUGAUAGACAUAUGUUUUAAUUUUGUCUCUGUUUGGAAGCUUAGCAAAUUUAAAACAUAUUUACUCACAAGGAUGUAGGAGACAGUUGAAAAUAUGAGGAUUCUCAGAGGACGGAUGGCAUAACACGAAAUCCAGGCGGCAACAACCGCAAGAGUUGCUAAUAUUCCAUCCUGAAAACUCGUAAAUAUAGCAGCUUUCUGAAGUGUGAAUAGUUCUGAAUAUUUGGAGUCCGAGAAGUAAGUUAUCAAGACGCCCACUACAGCCAAGUCUACCAGUUUGCGGCUUAUCAACAAACCUGGACUCAAAAUAUAAUCAUUAGAAGAAAUGUUCGUGCUCACUGAAAAAAGCAUACACAUGAAAACUACAAGAACAACAUAAGAACUGUUGCCAUGUUUUUAUUAUUUAGCCCAACUUAAUCAAAGAUAUUAAGUACACCCUCUUAACUGAAUAAAUACAUUUUUAAAAGAUAUGAUUACCUAAGGCGCCUCAAGAAGCAAAAUUACCUGACAUAAAUGCAGCAGCCUUACAAAAACAGACGUAAUAUCGUACCCAAGUUAUGAACCUCUUUUUAAGCGUCAACAACCGAGAAAAUGGAAACAUUGUAGUUUCUGAAACUGCUUACUUUUUCUGCAAAUAUUUCUGCUUGUGAGUUGUGAGUCCUGAUCCCCGAGAUUCUGCAAAUUUGGCGCAUACCAAAGUCUUCGAUAAGUCUUCUAAAAAGUUAAAUUAAGACGGCGUAUACUCGUAAUGAGUGGUGCAACUUGCAUGCCGUACAUAUGACGAGUGACGUAUGAGGGGAAAGAAAAUGAAAGGGACGGAAAUAGUUUUUUUAAUAUUGUAAUUAUAUAUUAAUAACAAAUACAUUUACGUAAAAACCCCCCACCAUCAAACACUAUGCAAAAUGUCUUCACACACACGAACUAAACGCUCGCGCAUUUAACACACAAACAAAACACACACGGAUACAACUUGAUAGAAUUACAAAACACCAGCCUAUUAACAAACUACCAAGAACACCAACUACCAGAUCUAGAUCUAGAGUCAAGAUCUAUUAACAUUCAAUUCCAGAACCUAAAACAAUUAACCCCCAAAAUCCAUAAAGAGCUCUGCCCUGUCUCUUGAGAGCGUAAACGACAUCCAUCGCAGUCACGGUCUUUCCACUGAACGCGGGUUGCUGCCACUGAUCGCGCUGCCAGAAGCUGCUGGUACUGCUUGCGAUCGAAACUGCCGCUGGUGCAUCCUCAAAUCGAAAACCACCGCUGCAGGUGCUGCUGCUCGUUGCCGCUGUAAGCUGCUGCUCGUCAAUUCGGUAAUCCUCUGUGGUGAUCAGAAGUCGUCUUUGUAUCCAGGGUUUUAUACGAUGAUGAUGGUGGUCAUAUUUGUUUUUGCUUUCGUUUUUCGCUUUUAGUUUGUAAGAUUAGUAAAAAAAAUGAUAGCAAAGAAAUGUAUUGAUGAUGAAAGUAGAUUAUUAAUUUGUUUUUAGUUUUAUCCGGUCGAAUGUUGUAAUGCCUCGGAAGGUGAGAGUUUGAUUCUGAGAUUGAAUAAAAGUAACCGUACAGACAAACUGUCCAGCGUAGUUUGACUGAGAACUUCAAAUUAGUGGAUAACAAAAUAUCUAGAAUAUUUGCAUGUUGACAGCAAAGAAACUGUCCUAUUUUAUUUUAUUUAUUUGUAAAAUGAAAUAAAGUAUGGUUAAAUCUUUAGGUACCAAUAAUGUAUUCAUUUUGGAGAGAAAUUUUAUGGUAAGAUAAUUGAUUUUAAUAUAUGGAUUUAUAUUUUAUAAAUUAAACUGUGGUAUUUGAAAAAUAAAUUUAAAAGGAUGUUGGAAGAAUUUUAAAGAAGUGUUAAAAGUUCCACCCUUAAUUCAAAGAGUUAGUAUGCAAAAGUGAAAAUAUAAGAAACACUCAUUGACACCGUUAGGCCUUUGGCCUGAUGGUAAAGAAUCUAUUGAGGGCACUUGUUUAAGUAAAAACAUAAGGAUUAAUAGUAUUUGACCCCCUUGAUUUAUUUCAAUAACACCCACUAUUCAAUUAUCUUUAUGUAUUUUCAAAAGUACCCUUAUUCAUCUGUUUGGAAUAAGUGCAAAAUGUUACAUAGAACGCUCUAGUCAGCUACCAUAUGCUUUGAGUACUUUAUUUUUUACGGAGAGCGGAUGCAUGGAUCGUCUCACUCUUGUGUCCCAAUACUACUCUUACUAGGCGAAUCAAGUGCCAUUGCAUCAUCAUCGACCAGAAUUUUUAACAUCAUCUUCAUCAACGAUUUUUUUUAUUUUUUAUUAACAAUCUAAUUUCUUCUUAAACUUUCUUCAUUACUCUAGAGUUCUUAAAAAUUUAAAUUAUUUUGGUGGGUAGUUUAGACAUUUCAAUUUAAAAUAGAAAAAGUGGGGAUUAUUGAGUUAAAAUGAAUGAGUCAAAUUCACUACUCAAUCACACUAAAAAAAAAGGGCCGAUCUUCGAGAAUUUAAAUUAUUUUGGUGCAACAGCCAACAAUACCCUAUCGGUCAUUCGGUCUGUCUUCAACUCCAACAACAACCCUUUCUGUAGAACUUAGUUUUCACGCUUAUCUUCGAGAAGCUCCUUACUUCGUAUAAUCACACAGAGAUGGAAACUACAGUAACACUAUUUUUAAAAUUAUAUUUUUGCCUAAAACUUUUAGUAAUUUGACUAUGGCCUAAAAUGUUAUAAAACUUUACAAAUAGAUCCAACUUCAGAAUUUCUAAAAAUUUCCUGGAAUUAUGCUACGGCACAAAACUUUAAAAUAUUUUUCAAAAAAUUCUUUUUCAUAAUUUUACCAUAAUGCUUAUUGAUUUCAAAGUUCUCAAAACUUUUUCAAUUUAAUCCAAAUUCCUCAAAUCCACAAAAUAUUUUAUCUUAUAAAUAUAAAACAUUUUGGUUUAUGAAAAGUAAUGAUUUAUUAAAUAAAAGCUUGAGCUUCUCAAAUUCUAAACCAUGCAUAUAAUAAAUCAUACUGGCUUUACAAGAAUUUGUCGCAAUAAUGACUCCGUUGGGCUAAACUUUGUUCUUGAUCACGCCAUUGUCCGUUGAGUGUCUUAAGCUUAAUUUCACGCGAUUCACUUACAUAAAUAUUAUCCUUCAAGAACUAAUGAAAAUAUGAAAUACAAUAUUUAUCAUAUUACUUAAGACAUAUGUUUGUUAUCUUCAAAAUUACAAAAUAUAUAGCCCUUUAGGCUAAUAAGAUGGUGUUGAUAGAUUACUUAGAUUAUUUUGUGACAAUAAGCCCACAGUGCUGUAUUCUAAUAACAAUAGGAGCUUGACGAAGUCGAAGUAUAUAGACAUCAAGUUCCUAGUUGUUAAAGAAAGAGUUCAGAGUAGACAGUUGUUUAUAGAGCACGUCAGUACAAACUCCAUGAUUGCGGAUCCACUUAUUAAGGGAUUACUACCCAAAAUGUUUACCACCCAAACUUUCGAUGCAUUCUCUUAAUUCUCAAUUUCUCGGUCGAAGGUAGUACCAAUACUAGGUCGCUCUUUUGAUUUUGAUUUCUCGAAUCCAGAGAUUCAUGAAUCGGGAUCCUAAUGCAUAUAGAUACAAAUGGUCCAAUGGUUAAAAUGUUUCAUGAGCAUGUUGCUCGUAUGAGUGUCGCGUUAUUAAAGGAUAUUCAGUUUUAGUGAGAGUUUGUGAUUUUAGAUGCUCUUGUAAUAUAGACAUUUUUUCAGUUAUUUCAAUUUUUGGAUAUUUCAGCUUGUUUUCUGUAGAAAUAAAGUUUUGGUUUACUCACACUUUGAUUUUAGUAUGGUUUGAUCCACUAAGUUUUAAGAUGGACCAGUUGGAAAUAGACAUGUUAAGAUCACAUUACAUGAAAUUUCUAUACUACACAUUCACAUUAUGAUUCAUGUCAUUCAGUUUUGUAUUGACAUAGUGACCAUUGAUGGGUCAAGUUAUGAUAAUUAUAAAAAAGGCCGCUUUGAUCCGAUGUUGAUAUGAUUGAUGGAUCAAAUUGGCUGUAGAUACAUUUCAGUAAUGACAGUAAGGUUGUGCUCAUACAGUUAUUUUUGCAGAACAUAAUUAUAAGGUUACACAUAUAGCCCAAGUGGGAGAUUAUUAGAUUUUUUAAUCCAAUAUUGUUGGAUCCUUAAUUCAACGUUGAGCUUAUAUGUAAAUAAUUAUGUGUUACAAACUAUCAUAUAAGGUUAAACCCAAUUAAAGGUGAAAAUCUAUUAAGGUUUUCGGUAUAAUGAGCUUUAAUGUAUCUAACAGGGUGUGAGCCUUUAAUAUUUAGAGAUCUAAUGGUAUUCUAAUUCUAUGAUAGACAAAAUUAAGAAUACAUAAUGACAAAAGAAAAAAAUUAUCUAUAUAAGUGGUUAUGGUCCCCAGGUCACAUGUAUUUUUCCAUUCUUUCUUAUAUCCCACCAUCAGAGAGAGAGUUCGCAGAGAGAAUUAAAAAACUCUUUAGGAGAACGUAUUGAUCUGAAAGGUCAACCACGCAUUCUUAGAGAAUAAUUAAGCAUUAUAGAUUUAGGUACGCUUUCACAUAAUUUUAUUAUUAAUUUUUGAUAAUACAACAUGAAUAAAUUAUCCAAGUUCCACUAAUAAUCUUCAAAGUCGGCUCACCCGAAAGGGCCACCACUGUUGCUUGCUUUUUUUGCUUUUCCAGAGGGACGGCUAGCUGGUUAGAGAUGAAAUUCGAUGGAAGGUUAUUAAAAACGGAUCCAAAAACGGCCACUUGAUGAUACGGGUCAAAGGCUCAGAAUCAGGUGAUGUGGCACCUUCAGAACCGUCAACUUGGAGUAAAAUCAGUGGCCAAAAUAGACUGAUCAAUCGCGUUAAAAACAUAGGCGGGUCAAGCGGCCCGUUCUUCAGAGAUCGCAAUUUCGAGCGGCCAGGUCUACGUUAGGUCGCAUACAACAGUCAAUCAACCUUUGGUCAACAUGAAAGUCAACGAGGAUGCCCCAUGUCUCUGCGGAGUGCAUUACAUGAGAAUGCAAUCUACCUCCAAAAAUCCAUUUUCAAUCCUAUCUCUAACUUAACUUAGUCCUGGUUGUUAACUAUUUUAAUAUUUUCGACCCUCCGAACCCAAAAAUAAGACCCUUUCCCUCAUUUAAAAAUUCAAAAAUACUAAAGCAAUGAUUUUAUCCCUCAACCCAUUAUUGAAGGUUUGUAACAAACCUUAAUACAUAUUACACAUUUCAAACUUUGUAAGUGGGCAGUCUGACUAACAUGAGACUACAUUAUUUCAUGCUAAGUAGCUCCAUAAGCCAGCAUAAUGGUGUACAAUGCACACAUAAUACAGCAGCUGCCGUGUUGACCCCAGAGGGACCCUGAGUUUGCUUAGCAUUAGCAUUUUUUUUUUAAUUUCCUAUUAAAUAAAAAAAACCCAGAAAUGCUUCCUGCUCUGAUACCAAGUUAAAAGUCUAAAGGAAUAAAAACUACCAGAAGAAUUGCACUGGGAGAAUGGUUUAUCAUUGCUGUGUAACUUCUUGGUAUAGAGUUUUGCUAUUUAUAUGCAGGGCAAGAUACAUCACAUGGUAAGAAUCACUACUUAAUUGUGCAAUGAUUUCAUGAGAUUAUUCCUUUCAUUUUCACAAUCUUAUUGAUCUCUUUCCUUCCAUACAGAUUCUUGCUUUGUAUUCAGGAUUACUGCUUGACAGAUUUUACACGAUUAUGUGGCAUCUGAUUCGGACUCUCUUUUCUAACUCCUAAGAUAAGGACUGAUCAUCUUCCAUUUACUUUUUAAUAUGUAGGAAGGAAUCGAGGUAAAGAAUUUUGAUACUUGGCUUGUCCAAAGAUUUAAGAUUCUAAUUAGUGUGAAAAAUACUACACUUCUCCACACACACAUGCAUAAACUACUACAUACCCUUACCUAAUAGAUCAACUUAGCCAACAUGGAUUCUACUAUUUCCAUUGAGUUUGAGGAAGCUCCAUCAUUGGGCAGCAAAGCCGCGAAUCAGUCACAAACGGAUCCAAAGUUGUUAAAGGCUGCAGCUGAUGGCAAUGCUGAACCCUUCAAAGAUAUGGCAAGAGAAGUAAUUGAGAGCUUGUUAACAUUACAGACUAGGAACACAAUCCUGCAUGUCAACAUCAUAUGUCAGGAAACAGAAAAUGCGUCAACCAAGUUCGUAGAAGAGAUACUUGAGAUAUGCCCAGCACUGCUAAUACAAGUUAAUGCCAAAGGCGAUACUCCGCUCCACGUUGCAGCAAAAUUCCGCCAUUCUGAUAUAGUGAGAGUUCUUAUUGGCAGAGCAAAACUAGCUCAACAUGGAGAUGAAGAGCCAGAGAGCAGGGUUGAAGCUGCAAGGCAGAUGAUUAGGAUGGUGAAUAAUAAGAAGAAUACAGCACUGCACGACGCAAUCUUUCCUGGCAACAUGGAGGUGGUGAAAAUACUGACGAGAGAAGACCCGGAUUAUCCAUAUUCAGCAAAUGAUUAUGGCAAAACACCGCUCUACAUGGCUGCUGAGUCUGAGUCUUCCGAUAUGGUGCUUACCUUGUUAGAAAACUGUACAUCAUUGUCCCAUGAAGGCCCCAACGGAAAGACGGCUUUACAUGCUGCAGCUAUGUACUUUGAAUUCAGUAAGUUUAAUUAAUAGUGGGAAUUUGAUUCUUGAUAUCUUUUCUUGUAAGUUUGUUCAUGCUUUUUUAUCACUCUUGGAGUGUUGUUUUAAUUAAGUUUGUAGUUGGCCCUGAGGCCUGGCAGAAUGAUUUUCAUGUAAUUAUAUUUAGCUGGCUAUCGGAGUUCAAAUCCUCCGAGGUGGUGGUUAAAAAUUCAAUUCGAAUUCUAAUUUUAUUUAUCUUUUGUCUCUGUAUUCUCAGAAGGAGAUCAUCAUGCGAUGCGACAAUUAUUUGGAAGAAAGAAGAGUCUGCUUAAAGUAACAGAUCAAUAUGGGUGGACUCCGAUUCAUUACGCUGCAUAUCAUGGGAAGUACUGGAUAAAUGAUUUAUUAGAAAUUGAUCAAACUGCUACAAACAUUGCUGACAAAGAUCGAAAGAUGACAGCUCUUCAUUUAGCAGCGGGCCGAGGACAUGCCCGAACAGUUGAAACAAUUCUUUCUCUUGCUCCAGAAUGUUUUGAACUGGUCGAUAACAGGAGAUGGAAUUUUCUUCAUUAUGCUGUGGCCAGUUUUCAAUUGCAAGAUUUAAAACCUCUUCUAAGAAACCCGUUUGCGAGGAUCCUUAUAAAUGAGGGAGAUGCCAAGGGGAACACUCCUCUCCAUGUGCUUGCUGCCGUCCGUCCGAGUGAAUUCAAUCGCUAUAUGAGUAGGACGACUCAUGCCAACUAUCAAGCUGUCAACGACCAAAAUGUUAGUGUUGGACACAUUAUGAAAUAUGGCUAUCCUGAGCUCCGGGUAAUUAAUUUGUCAAUUCUUUCAACUUAUAAAUCCAGCUUUUUCAUUACUUGUUUUUUUACGCUGUUAAUUAAUAUUCAAGUUCAAAUUACAGGAGGAAAUCAGAGAGUUAUCCACAGAUGUUGGCAGAGGACAAUAUCCUCAUGGUGCCAUAUCCAGAGUAGCAAAAAUAUGUUUGUAAGACCAGAUCCAAAUGCAGUGGCGUGUGGUGUGGGGACUAGACCGGGCUAGACCAAAAAAUUACUCAAUAUCCCUUAAAUUUUAUGUUACUUUCAUUUUUAGUUUUUUUUUUUCUCAAGUUUGUCCUGAAAUCAAUCUUUAUUAAAAUAACUAAAAUAGUAUUUAUAAUUAAGUUAUUCUAAUGUUGGAACCUUUAAAAUUCAAUAUCAAAUAGUAAUUUAUUUUUUUAAUUACUUCCUUUAGAGCAAGUUCAUUGAUGUUGCAGUACCUUUUGAAUAUUUUUUUUGCUAUGUUCACGCAUAACAUAUUCAAUAAAUUCAUAAAUUCCUUAUUUAACCCUGCCUAAUUAAAAUUUCUGGGUCCACCCCUGUCAAGAUGAUUUGCAAAUGAAUUAUCUUGAUGAUCCUAAAAAUGACUAUAAGGAUGUGAGAUCGCCAGAUGUUUUGGUAUAGGGAAAAUUACCCUUUAGGACAAUGAUUUGCACAUGCCUUGAGGAAUUUUCUCUGAGUCGGUAUUUGUUGGUCGGAUGAUAAAUUCAUAGUUGCAGGAAGCAACUAUUUGGUUCCCGGUUGCAACCACAAGGUUAUGAUUGCAACCUUCGUUGUUAAAUAACAAAGAAUACUGUUGUCAGUCUACUGUUUAUCACCGUUCAGUUUGUCGAUGGGUGUUGUUGUUCUGGCUGAUCUGGUCUUUCAAAAAAGUUAUUUUGUCUCAUAUUUCCAACAUAAAUAGCCCAACAAAUUUGUGCCAUUCUGUAUAUUUAUUAAUAUGAAAACGAUUCAUAAUUGUUUGACUUGUCUUUAUGUUUGAUCAAUGGAUAUGUUCCAAAAAUUACUUGAGAAAAAGAAGAUUUAACAUUUUUUUCUGGGCAAGCCGGCUGCUUCUCGAAAAAUUACUGACACUGAUAUCUGAGGUUUCUCGGAAGGCUCUUCUCCUUUCGUUUAUAUUGGAGUUCCAAUUUUCAAGGGUUGUACAAUAUUUUGUUUCUUGCCGGGCGAGUUGAGCAAGUUAAUACCGUUGACCCUAGCGGUUGACCUAAUAAUUAUUUUUUUUUUCCCUGUGACAACACUACAUCGUCUUGCCUUUGCUUUUCUCCGGGAUCUGUCACCCCAUGGUUGAUUUAACAUUUCUCUUAUCAAUUAAAAGAGUAAAUAAAACAUUAAAAAAAAAGUAGUUGUUAAAUUUCAUAAUUUUGUAACAUACAUCAAUCAAAUAGUUGUUAUUAAUAUAAAAAAUAAAAAUAAAAAUUAUAUGUGUAAAAAAAAUUCAGCUCAGGAAAAAGUCAACAGAUAGAUGCAUAAGAAUUCUAUUCUUCUCCGCAUUAACAAGUAGCAUUCAUAUACGACCCUUCAAUAAUGAAGUUACUGUUUUCAAGCCAUUGUUCAUCAUUAUUGUGUUUGCUAAUUGGUAUCAUUGUUCAGACUGAUUUAGGCUUUCAAUGAAACUAUAUUGAAUUAUAUUCCCAGCAAAUGGAUCCUGAUCUCAAAGCCGCAGUUAUGGCAAUAUAAUACUGAACCUUUCAAGGAUAUGGGAAGAGAUGUAACUUUGAACUCGGGCAUCAGAGGACUUGAGACUGAUUGUGUAAAUAUAUUUUGUACAAACGGAACAAUUGUGACACUUUGAGGUUGUCGGAUAGGAACUGCAUAAUAAGAUUGUCCCAUUGGAACCAUUGUGAUGCUCGCGUAAAUCAAUUAAAGGUUCCAAGAGGAAUAAAGAACACGUAUCAAAAUAAGGUAAAAUAAAAAGUAUAAAAGUCUAUAGUUAUUACAUGAAUGACACAUCCGGCAUUAAGCCAAGUUACCCAACAAAACUUUCAAAGAUUAAUGGAAAUACUCCAACAGCAAGACUUCCAGUAGUAAUACCCUCUUCCAGCGGCAAUACUCUAAUAGCCACGUACCCAGUAACUCUCCAACCCACUGUAAUUCCAGCCACAUACCCACCAUCUUCCAACACCAUUGCAAUUCCAGCCAUAUACCCAGCAACAUUCCAAACCAAACCCAGCAAACCAAUCUAUUCAAAAUCAAUCAAAAUACCCAAUGUUAUCGAAUGCAUAACAUGCACACUACAACCGUUAACAGAAACUACUAUAAUUUGACACUGCAACUUUAAUUUCAACAAAUUGCAACAUAAAAUUUUUUAAAAUCAAAGACCUAGUUACAAAAUGUACUUCAUGCAUUCGGUCAGCCAACGAAAGUAAUAAACUAGGAAAAGAAUAAAAAUCUAUUUAGUAGCAUAGUCCCUAUAAUCCACAAAAACAUAGAAAUGUUGAACCUACAACAUAGAUUUCCAAAUAGAAAAGCAGACUAUAUAUAAAUCGAACCUUGAGGAUAGAUGGGCAUAAGCAGGAGCUGGAAAUAAUAAAUAAGAACUAAAAAGCUCAAUAUAUACCAGUGUAAUGUGUUCCAAAAUUCCUUAAAAACACAGGAACAUUUCCACAACAGCAGCACAAAAAAUUGGGGGAAAAAAAGAAGACUAUCUGAACUUCAUGUGCCUGUGUAACAUAAAUAGAAAUGAGAGUGAGAUAAGAGACAAAAACACUCAAGUCCCUCAAGAUAAAUAGCCUUCACAUUCCUAUAAAAUUUGAAACACGCUGCCAUCACUGCAACAAAAUAUGGCAAAACAAAAAACAAAGUUAAAGACCCCCCCCCCCCCCCCAUUCAGCAGAGUCACUGUUAUUCCACAAAAGUAGAAACAUCUCACUAUCACUGCAACACAAAAUUUGCACAAAUGAUAACCAAAUUACAAGUUGAUUUUAUGUGUCUACACAGCUAGAAAGAGGAGUAAUAAACUAGAAGAUUUAAAAACUCAAUAGAUUAACCAAAUUACAAGUUGAUUUUACGUGCCUAAGAAAAGAAUAAAAAUCUAUUUAGUAGCAUAGUCCAAUAAUCCACAAAAAUAUGGAAAUGUUGUCCCUGAGGCAUAGAUUUCCAAAUAGAAAAGCAAAUUAUAAUUUGAACCUUUAAGAGCAAGAAAUAACAAAUAUGAACCAAAAAGCUCAUCGUGUUCCAAGAUUCCCCUAAAAACACAGGAACAUUUGCACAACUACAGCAUAAAAAAUUGGGGGAAGACUAAUAUACUAUCUGAACUUUAUGUGCUGGUCUAACAUAGAUAGAAACGAACAUGCCAAUCACUACAAUAAAAAUUUGAAAAAAUGAAAAACCAGAACAUAACCGCAACUUUAUAGAUUUCAUGUAUUCAAAGAUACAGGUGCAAACUAAGAAACAAUCUGAAAAACUCACCCAGAAGCCGAGUACUGCAAUCCCAAUACUCCUCAAGAACUCGGACCAUUUCUUUAACACAGUAGCAUAAAGCUUUACAACAGGGACAUGACCAACAUACACUCUGCUUUGGAAGGAUUUAAGUGGUUAACUAAGAAAAGGUAAAAAAUAACUCUUUAUAGACACCUUCCAGUAGGGUAGUUCCAUUACUCAUCAAAAACUAACCAUUUCUCUUACCCUGCAACAUAAAAAAUAUUUCUCUAAAGCAUUCAUAAUAGAAGAGAUAAACUAAAGAGUGGUAGGGGAAAAAAGAAACACAUUACAGAGACCCCAAAUAGCAGAGUCCGGAUACUCUACAUAAACUACGAACAUUCCAACAUCAUUGCAACAAACAUUUGCUAAAUAAUCGUUAUUGUUAAUACUAAUAUUAUUUUUAGAAGAGAUUAAUAAACCAUCUAAAUAUUUUCUUUCACUAAUAUGAUUAGAAUCUGCAGUAUUUAAUUAGAGAAAAUACCAAAUUACUUUUACGUGGUAUCAACCAAAAAAAGAAAAUGAGUGGUAAAAGCUACUUUCGGCUAACAAAAAGAACAUAGAUAAAAGAAUAUCCUAAACUAUUAAAGUGCCAAAAACUUGCUUAGGAUAUACUCAAAACGGAUCCAGACCAAUAAAACACUCACCAUAAUUACAAAUCCAAACCAUAAAUCUCAAACACUCGCCAAAAUAAGAUAAAAAUUAAAUAAAUUAAAUAAAAAAAUAAGAAUUAAAGAACAAAUAUUUAAAAUUGGCCAUUGGAAGCUUCCGUUGAGUUCAUUUAUACAAUCAAGUACAAGAUAAGAUACAAAUACAAAAGGGAAGUAAGAGAGAAAACCAUUUCAAAGACGAGCUCCCCCGUUAGGGUAAAGUACUCAAAAGAAGGAUAAAUUUAACCAAGUCAUCUAACCUGGCAGAAGAAGAAGAAGAGUGAUGAAUCAAGAAUCACAAAUGAAGACCUGGUGAGGCAGCCUUCAAGCUUCAGAUUUGUUGAAGCACAUGUCAUCAAGAGCUUCACUACGGUACCAUUUGCAUUUGGGGUUCUGCGAACACUCAGAUCUUGACCCCAUUUUGUUGCAGCGUGGGAUCCGGUUGCUGUUCCUAUGAACUGCCAAUAGGCUUCGAUACGAUGAAGAAGAGUCGGCGGCUGAUAAUGAUGAAAAUUGGUAAAGCGUUGAUAGCAAGACGACGAAGAUUAGCACCAUAAAUCUAUAGCUCGUUGCCAUGAGACCCAAGGCGAGUCGAUGCGCAAAAUGAGCACAAUUGGCCAUUGGAAGCUCACGCCGCUAGUCCGUGACAACUGCAACCAGCAUGAAACACGCUUUGUUGCCACUGUAUUGCUUCUUUUUGUGGUCAUCACAUACCGUCAGCCCAUACUGGAGCCUCACGUGCAACUAGUAGAGCCAUGAGCACCGCCACACUUCCGCUACACCAAGAAACACAACCCGAUUCGAACGCUUCCGCCAUGGUGGCUAUGGAUGUGAGCAUCUACCUAGGUCGAUUGAGAGUGGCUGUAAGGAGGCUAGGGUUUUAGGUGGUUUUAUGAGAGAAUCGUUUGGUGUGAGAAUGGGUGGGAACCUCAACACUUAGGAAAGCAAAUUGAGGGUUUCUUUUUAAUUUUAACUUUUUAUUUUUAUUUUAAUAGCUUUUUUAUUUUAUAAUAAAAAAUUUUAAAUAUUUAAUAUUUAUAAGCAAAACAUCAUCGUUACAACUUAAGUAAAACGACAAUGUUUCUUGAUUCAUAUAAUAUUUUAUUUCAAAUAAUACAAAAAAAUUCAAUCAAAGAAACGCUAAAAUCAAGUAAACAUUAAAAUUCUAUCAUGAAUUCUUGAUGUAAUAUAUUAUAUCACAAAGUCGUCACAUAUUAUUGACAUAAUUUAUUUCUAUCAUGAGUCCAUCAUGAAUACUUGAUAGAUACAAAAUUUAUCACGACUCUAUCAUACUUUUAUGACAUACGCCAUUUCCGUCACAAAAUGUUUGUCAUCUAUUGUCAGUUUUCUUGUAGUGCAGAGACUUUUUCAUAUGUCUAUUUAACUAUAUCCAAAAUUCAGAAUUUUCUCCUUAAUAAAUCUGAAGUUAUAAAAUUAUAACUGCUUGAAAGUUAAGAAUGACAGCAACUAGACAAAUUUUCUUCCAACUUCAUUCAAAUUCUAAGUCACUUAUUCAAUACUAAAAUCCAUGAGAAUUAAACUAACCAUAGUUUAACAUGUGAUUAACAAAUUUAAACUCAAAAUACAUCAAUCAUUGUUAAGUCCAUUAUUUAUAGAGUUGUUAUCUUAUGGCAAGUCUAAUUAAAUUAUAAUUUUAUUUAUUGCAUAUCUUGUAAUAAGGAUUAAAUUAUUAAUUUCUUAAUUUAGUGAAAUUCUAAUUUAUUAGGAAUAUUUGUUUCCUAAUUUAAUUAGAUGUCUAAUUUAGUAAGUCUAUUAAUGAUGAGAUUCUAUAAUUGGCGCUUAAGAUUUAUUUAGAGCAAGAAGUUAGUUCAAACAAGAAGUUUAUUAAAUGUUGUAGAUAUUUCUUGGGAGACAAGUAAGGCAAGAAAAUCAGAUUUAUUUUUAUUCUAGUUCAUAAGAAUUAUAAGAGGAAAGAAACUCUUAUUUUGGAAAGAAUUCAAGUUUUUUAAGACUUGCCAUUUUUGUGAAAUAUUAGUGCCUAUGUAAAGAGAGUAUUUCAUAAUUGAAGAGGCACAAUACAGAGCAUAAAACAAAGAAGCAAAAUUCAGUCUCCUCUCUAGAAUCCAAAUUUGGCGCAUAACGUUGUGUUGAUUUGUUUUCGUAUCUUCUUCAUUCAAAGUCUCGUAAUGAGACUAUUUCUUUUCAUCUUUAUGGAGAGUCUAUGUGGAUCUUGGAUUACUAGGCAUUGAAGAAUUAAAGAAUUGUUAUUAAUCACUUUGCAAAGUGCCUUGAGGAUCGUGGAUCAAGAGAGGUAGUAAUUAUUCAAGAGAAACAAAUUCAAUCUAAGGUUUAGUAAGUUGUAUGGUGAUAAAUUAUAAGUAAGAGUUUUAAUUUUAGUAAAUCCAUAGGUUGUAACAUUUCAACUUAAUGAAUUGCUUUUCAUCUGGGCGUGGCCUCGUGAAUAUAAGAUUGAUUAAUUUGAACCACGUAAAAAUCUCCGUGUCAUUUAAUUUCUGUAAUUUAUUGUGUUUUGGAAAAUCAAUAUUUUUUAUGCUGAUGAACAGUAACUGAUGAACAGUAAUAUUGAACAGUAUUCUCUAAAAUUAAUUAAAUUGUUAAUUCUAGGGUUUUAAUUGCCUACAUCUAUUUGCAAUAGAUCUAAAUUCCUUUCAAUUUGUAUUAGAGCAGGGCAUUAAUCGUUUAUAUGGUGAGAAUUUUGGAACCUAGAUCUAUUUUGUAGGUAUGAGUUUGUAAAGAAUGGGAGGCUCUUUGGCUCGUCCACCUAUAUUAGAUAAGACAAAUUAUGCUUAUUAGAAGCAAAUUAUGGAAAUUUAUCUGUAGUUAUUAAUGAAAGAGUUUGACAAUGUGUACUUAUAGGAUAUACUUCACCCACCAUAACUAAUGAAAAUGGUGUAGAAUCUCUAAAACCAGUCAGAGAAUGCACUAAUGAUAAACUCGAUGUAUUUGGUUAUAAUGCAAAAAGACGUAAUGCUAUUGUCAAUGGAGUUGAUGUGUUUUAACACCAACUAAUUUCUACAUGCAAGACAUCCAAAAUUGCUUGGGAUAUACUCUAAAGUACUUUUGAAGCCGAUAAUACAAUAAAACAUUCUAGACUUCAAAAACAUACAUAUGAAUUUGAGAACUUGAAAAUGCAUGAACAUGAAACCACAUUUGAAUUUAAUUCUAGAAUCCUUACUAUGGUAAAUGAUUUUUUUAUUUUGGAAAACUUAUUUCUAAGGAGGAAAUUUGUAGAAAAAUUUUAAGAUCUAUCCAUCAUUGAUAUCAUCCUAAAAUUUUGGUCAUUGAAGAAUAUAUUGAUAUGUCUACCAUGACUUGGAGUUCACUUAUAAGAAAAUUGAUGGUUUAUGAAAGUAACUACUUGAAUUUAAAUCCCAAAAAAGAAAAAGGUAUUUCUUUUCAGGUUGAAAUGGAGGCUCCUGUCACCAAACCCAAUGAGGAUGGUGAUCCAUAUGUAUAGUGGACAAUUCUUUUGUAUUUAUUGCAAAAAUUUCAAUAAGAUAUUGAAAAAAAGAAAGAACUUUAACAAACCAAAGAAAACUUCUACAUCAGUUGCUCUAACAGCUCGAAAAGGUUCCUCUAACCCUAAUCCUAAAUUGAUUUAUAUUAACAAGCUUAAGGGUAUUCGAUGUAGAGAAUGUGGAGGCAUAGGGCACAUACAAGCACAAUGUGCUAACACUCUCAUGAAAAAGAAAGCAAUGAUUCAAAUGAUAGCAUUGAUGAAGAGGAUCUUGUUGGAGGACUUAUUGUCUAUGAUAAUGUGUCAAAACAUACUUACUAAUAAUAAUGAAUAGGAAUUAAACAUCCGAGGAGCAUCCACAUCUAAAGUCUUGCAUAGAGCUCCUUGCAAAGAAAACACUAAUUGCCAUCUUGACACAAUUGUGCAACAUGGUAACAAGAAUAAUGAUUCAGAUAGUGACAUUAGUGAUAUUGAUAUAAAUGACAACGAAAGUUUUUCAUGAAAGCUACAAAAUGAAGUUGGGAUGAUCCUUCUAUUCCGGAUUGUAUGUUUGUGCAUAAGGAUCAUACCUCCUCUGAGGCAUGCCUGGAAAUCCUCCAACCGCUGCCAAAUUGUUGUGCGUUGGCAGCCAUAUUUGAUAUCAGCUCCCUUGCUUGAGUAGGGGUCUUGUUCACCAACACGCCUCCACUAGCAGCAUCUAUCAUACUCCUAUCCAUCAAUGACAGUCCUUCGUAAAAAUAUUGAAUAAGAAGUUGAUCAGAAAUCUGAUGCUGAGGACAGCUGGCACACAAUUGUUUGAAUCGCUCUCAAUACUCAUACAAAGUCUCCCCAGGAAGUUGUCUGAUCCCACAAAUGUCUUUUCUGAUGUUAGCAGCUCUUGAAGCAGGAAAGUACUUCUCGAGGAAUUGCUUCUUCAAACCAUUCCACGUUGUAAUUGAUCCAGGAGGCAAGUAGUACAACCAGUCUUUAGCUAGUCCAUCUAAAGAGAAAGGAAAAGCACGCAACUUAAUCUGCUCUUCAGUCACGCCUUGUGGUCUCAUACUUGAACAUACAACAUGAAACUCCUUGAGAUGUUUAUGAGGAUCUUCAUCUGCAAAACCAUGAAACUUGGGUAAUAAAUGAAUAAGACCAGACUUUAAUUCAAAAUUUACCUCCAAGUCUACAUAUUGAAUGCAGAGUGGUUGCUGAUUCAAGUCUAGUUCAGCUAACUCUCUAAGAGUUCUUUCUACAGGUGCAGCUCUAUCCAUCACUUGUUCUUCUGAAUCGCUAGAUGAUUCAACCAAAUCAGGCACCGUAUCUGUUUCAGAAAGCAAAGGCGACGAGGAUCGUUGCUUAGCUCGCUUUGUCUGCUGUCUCAGCUGGCGAGCUGUCUUCUCAAUUUCAGGAUUAAACAAAAGUGUACUUGUACGAGAAGAACGAAUCACACACCAAGUAAAACGUAAAAAAGGAUUAAAUAAAUGACACCAAUCCCCGGCAACGGCGCCAAAAUUUGAUGGUUGUCGAAGCCAACAAAAAUAAAUUUCUACUCUAAAUAAAUUGUGUAUAGUGAUUAAGCAGGGCCGUGUCCACAGAGAUCGGUAAUUAUUUAAAUCCUUUUGAAACGUAAAACGUAAAAUGGGGGAAUUGUUGACAAUAAUAGAAAUCAAAUUAAAAUAACCAGAAUGCAAAUUAAAGUUGUAAUUCAAAUUAGAGAAAGCUCUGGUUGAAGGAAUUAACUUAGCUUGAUUCGACUACUGAUCAUUGAUUCAAAUAUAGAUUAUUAUUACUUAUGAAUAGACCGGUUAUAGCUACUGAGACCCUCUAAUAGCCAAUCUCUCCUUAACUAGUCGAUAACCAAGGUACGACCGUUGGUUAUUUCCCUAAUCAAUAGACAACCCUAGAUACGAUCAGAGGAUUUAAUCAAUUGACAGCCUGAAAAACCAGAGAGACCCAAAUCCUAAUCAACACAUAUGAUGAUUCAUUUAAAUUAGAUUGUUUAUUCUCACAACACAACUCUCUGCUAUGUUAUUUGUCACAAACAUUAAAUUCUUCAUACGAUGAAUCCUUUAAUUGACAAUAGAUUAAGUUGAUAAUUAAAUAGUGGCCAAUUACCUAAUUAACAAACAUAAUCAUGAAACUAAUUCAGAGAAUAAACAAAUACCCAAAAAGUAAUAAAACAAUUAAAGCAUAAGAAAGAUCUCACAGUAGUGAUGAAUCAAAGCUUCAUUAACCUUCAACCAGAAAAAUAAGUUUAGUUCUUCAUAGAGAGAAGAGAAAAAUUAGAUCUAGGGUUUCUUUCUUUUCUCCAAUCCAAAUCCCCAUUUUUCACAAUAGAUUCCUCCUUAAAUACCCUCUCUCUCUUCUCUUUUAGAGUUCUAUUUAAAAUAAAAUACUAAUAUCUAAAAUAUUAAAUUCGGAAUUACAAAAAUAACCAAAAAUACAAAACACGUUAAACUAAAAACUGCAGGUCUGUAGUUGACAGCACGCGUCCACGCCUUAUCAACAAAGUUCUUCUGAUGCUCAUAAUUUCUCCAAGAGAACAAUCAUCUUUAAACAUCAUCUUAUAGCUCAAUUUUAUCACAAAUCAAUAGAAUUGCACCUACAAAAGUAAAACAAAAGUAAAUCAUUAUUAUUAAGUGCAAAACAUCGAUAUUAAGGUAAGUAAAUAAUGCAAAACUAGUGCAUAAAUUGCACUCUAACACUGCCUCUGUUGCAGCAACAAAUUCUUCCUCAAUAGAUGACAAAGCUACUAUGUGCUGUAGAGUAACUUUCCAACUUAUGAGACAACUAUCUAACAUAAAUAGAUAUCCUGAGAUAGAUUUUCUUCUGUCCAAGUCACCUGCAAAAUCAGAGUCAACAUACCCUCUGACUUCACAAACAUCAUGCUUGGAUUUACCAUACAUCAAACCAUGAUCUAAGGUGCCCUUCAGGUACCUCAUGACCCAUUUCACAACAUCCCAGUGAAGCUUACCAGGGUUACUCAUAAAUCUGCUCACAACACUUACUGCAUAAGUUAUGUCUGCUCUGGUGCAAACCAUUGCAUACAUCAAGCUUCAUACAGCUUGUGAGUAUGGUAUAUAAGCCAUCUUUACCUCCUCAACAUCUGAUGUUGGAGACAUGUUUUCAGAGAGUUUGAAUUGAGCUCUCAGAGGUGUCAGUACUGGUUUCGAGUCCAUCAUCUGAAAUCUUUCCAGCACUUUGCUGAUAUACCUUGACUGACUUAGAAAUAAGGUACCAGCUGCUCUAUCUCUAACAAUGUCUAUCCCAAGAAUCCUUUUGGCACUGCCAAGAUCUUUCAUUUCAAGUUCCCCCUUCAGCAAGUUCUUGAGUUUUUUAAUAUCACUAAGAUUUGUACCAGCAAUGAGUAUGUCAUCAACAUACAAUAGAAGAUACACUGCUCUACCUGAGUUUCCACUUGAGUUUAUAAUCUCAUGAUAGACACAACUAUCAUACUUGCUCCUGUGAUAGCAAUUGGAGAUCAUAAACUGAUCAAAUCUCUUAUACCAUUACCUAGGAGAUUGUUUCAGGUUAUAAAAAGACCUUUUAAGAAGACACGCAUAAUCCUCAUGUCCCUUUUCUUCAAAACCUUCAGGCUGAGACAUUAGUAUCUUUUCUUCAAGGUUGCCAUGUAGGAAGGCAGUCUUUACAUCCAUUUGUUCAAGCUCUAGCUCAAACAAAGCCACCAUAGCAAGCAGGAUUCUGAUUGAACUGUGUUUUACCACUGGUGAGAAGAUUUCAUUGAAAUCAAUCCCCUCAUUUUGUGUGAACCCUCUUGCCACCAGUCUUGCCUUAUAUCUUGAGUCUUCAACACCUGGAAUGCCCUCCUUUUUCUUGAAUAUCCACUUGCAGCUGACAAUCUUCCUAUUCCCUGGAUUUGGGACCAAAAUCUAAGUCUGAUUCCUUAUCAGAGAAUCCAUUUCCUCCCUCAUAGCUUUAAUCCAGUUUCUGUUGUUCUUGUGUUAGAGUGCAAUUUAUGCACUAGUUUUGCAUUGUUUACUUCCCUUAAUAUCGAUGUUUUGCACUUAAUAAUAAUGUUUUACUUGUGUUUUACUUUUGUAGGUGCAAUUCUAUUGAUUGGUGAUAAAAUUGAGCUAAAAGAUGAUGUUUAAGGAGGAUUGUUCUCUUGGAGAAAUUAUGAGCGUCAGAAGAACUUUGUUGAUAAGGCGUGGGCGCGUGCUGUCAACUGCGGACCUGCAGUUUUUAGUUUAACGUGUUUUGUAUUUUUGGUUAUUUUUGUAAUUACGAAUUUAAUAUUUCAGAUAUUAAUAUUUUAUUUUAAAUAGAAUUCUAAAAGAGAAGAGAGAGAGAGAGUAUUUAAGGGAGGAAUCUAUUGUGAAAAAGGGGAUUUUGGAUUGGAGAAAAAGAAACCCUAGAUCUAAUUUUUCUCUUCUCUCUAUGAGGAACUAAACCCAUUUUUCUGGUUGAAGGUUAAUGAAGCUUUGAUUCAUCACUACUGUGAGAUCUUUCUUGUGCUUUAAUUGUUUUAUUACUUUUUGGGUAUUUGUUUAUUCUCUGAAUUAUUUUCAUGAUUAUGUUUGUUAAUUAGGUAAUUGGCCACUAUUUAAUUAUCAACUUAAUCUAUUGUCAAUUAAAGGAUUCAUCGUAUGAAGAAUUUAAUGUUUGUGACAAAUAACAUAGCAGAGAGUUGUGUUGUGAGAAUAAACAAUCUAAUUUAAAUGAAUCAUCAUAUGUGUUGAUUAGGAUUUGGGUCUCUCUGGUUUUUCAGGCUGUCAAUUGAUUAAAUCCUAUGAUCGUAUCUAGGGUUGUCUAUUGAUUAGGGAAAUAACCAAUGGUCGUACCUUGGUUAUCGACUAGUUAAGGAGAGAUUGGCUAUUAGAGGGUCUCAGUAGCUAUAACCGGUCUAUUCAUAAGUAAUAAUAAUCUAUAUUUGAAUCAAUGACCAGUAGUCGAAUCAAGCUGAGUUAAUUCCUUCAACCAGAGCUUUCUCCAAUUUGAAUCACAACUUUAAUUUACAUUCUCGUUAUUUUAAUUUGAUUUUUAUUAUUGUCAACAAUUCCCCCAUUUUACGUUUUACGUUUCAAAAGGAUUUAAAUAAUUACCGAUCUCUGUGGACACGACCCUGCUCAAUCACUAUACACAAUUUAUUUAGAGUAGGAAUUUAUUUUUGUUGGCUUCGACACCCAUCAUCUUGCUAUUCAUUGCUUCUCUAUAGCUGUUAGGUUCUUCAAUUGUAACACUUCUGCACUCAUCAAGGCAUAUGCAACCAUAUCUGCAUAUGCAUAUCUUGUUGGAGGUCUGGUAUGUCUUCUUUCUCUAUCUCUAGCUAACUGAUAUUGUUGUAAGUCAGUUGCUUGUGGUACUUCACCUUCUGUCACUUCUGCAUCUUGAGACUCAGCUUCAACAACUUCUAGUUGUAUUUCAUCUUUAUAGUCUUUAGACAACUCUACCUCAAUCUUUUCACCUUGAUCAGUUUCUGUGGUGGCUUGUGUGUCACUUGUACUAAUGUCAUUAGCUGAAGUGGCUUGAUCAGAGUUGUUGAUCAUAGCCACUUCAUUAAACUGGACAUCUCUACUAAUCAGACACUUAUUAGCCCCUCUACACCAGACCCUGUAGCCUUUGACCCCAUCUGGAUAACCAACAAAUACUCAUUUUAUAGCUCUUGCAUCAAGCUUCCAUUGUCUGACAUGGACAUAAGCAGGGCAUCCAAAUACCUUCAGGUGUUCAUAUUUUCCAGGUCUUCCUGACCAGAGUUCUUCAGGAGUUUUGAAGCCAAUUGCAGCAGAUGGACUUUUGUUUACUAGGAACAUGGCUGUAGAUACAGCUUCUGCCCAAAGAUUCCUAGGAAGCUUAGAGUUUAUCAGCAAACAUCUUAUCUUGUCAAUAAGUGUUCUGUUCAUCCUCUCAACUAAACCAUUUUGCUGAGAGGUGAAUCUUACUGUUUUGUGCCUCCUAAUUCCCUAUUUCUGGCAGUAUUGCUCAAACUCCUUAUUACAGAAUUCAAGUCCAUUGUCUGUUCUUAAGCAUUUCACCUUGAAACCAGAUUGAGUCUCCACCAAAGUCUUCCAAAUCUUGAACUUCUCUAAGGCUUGGUAUUUGGUCUUCAGUAUGUGGAACCAUACUUUCCUAGAGUAGUCAUCUAUUACUGACAUAAAAUACCUUCCCCCACUCAAGGAUGGUACUUGGGCAGGCCCCCACAAAUCAGCAUGUACAUAAUUUAAUGGUUGUUUAGAUACAUGCAUGCCCUUUGUGAAUUUGGACCUGUGUGCUUUGCCAAAGAUGCAGUUUUUACAGAAAUCUAACUCAUCUAUAUUAUCACCACAUAGCAGCCCUUGCUUACUCAGCUCUUGCAUUCCUCUAAUACUCAUAUGGCCUAGUCUAAGGUGCCAUAACAUGGUUCUAUUAACAUUAGAAAUAGCAGGCAUUGCAACUGACCCAGGCACUGAUGACCCUUCCAACACAUACAGGCCAUUCUUCGUGACUCCUCUCAUUAUCAUCUCAAUCCCCUUCAUAAUCUUUAAACCACUAUUUUCAUAUUUGAAGCUAUAUCCCAUACUAUCUAGCAUGCCUAAAGAGAUCAGGUUCCUCUUUAGCCUAGGUGCAUGCCUGACAUCACUUAGAGUUUGGAGAGUCCCAUCGAACAUCUCUAUUUUCACAGAUCUCAUACCCACAAUCUUACAAACAUUAUUGUUACCCAUCAACACUCUACCACCAUCCAUAGGUUUAUAUGUAUGGAAAAUGUUUUUAUCAGGACACAAAUGAAAUGAACAACCUGAAUCAAGAACCCAAUGACCUUUGAUAUUGUUGUUUGAAGCCACCAACAUAUCAGCACUAUGGUAUCCAUCAUCAGAGGAGUCAUCUGAGGCCACUGCUGUAUCACUAGUUCUUUCUUUUUCAUCCUUCUUUUUCUCAGCACAAUCUCUGAUGUAGUGACCUUGUUUCUUGCAGUAGAAACACAUUCUUUUCUUCAUUUUUUCUUUUACAGAUGCAUCAUCCCUUUUAGCUUGACUCUUGUUCUUCUUCUUCUGAUUUUUCUUUUCUGUUCUGGCAAAUAAACCUUCACCAUUACUAACUUCAUGCCCAUUAUUCUUCUGGAUCUCCUUAGAGCUCAAAGAGGCUUUCACAUCCUCUAGCGUUAGAGUGGUUCUUCCAUACAACAUAGUGUCUACAAAUCCUUCAUAGAUUUUAGGCAAUGAACUCAGUAGAAAGAAAGCUUUAUCCUCAUCAAUGAUUUUCACAUUUUCCACUCCUUCAAGAUAAAGAAUGAUCUUGUUGAAGUUGUCAAUGUAUUCUUGAAUCGAGACCCCUUUUCUCAUAGAAAAGGUGUAUAGUCUGUUCUUCAAGAACAAUCGAUGUGCCAUAGACUUUUUCAUACACAGAGCCUCCACCUUGUUCCAGAUACCAAGGGCAGUCUUCUCUUCAGAAAUCUCCCUUAGAAUUGAGUCACUGAGACUCAAAAUCAAGGUACUGUGAGCCUUGUUAUGUAUCUGUCUUUUCUUCUCAUCAGAGACUGAACUUGAAGCAUCCCCAUGAUCAUCUUCUUCCAGAGCUGAUUUGAGACCUUGAUGAACAAGGAGAGCCAUCAUCUUCAUCUUCCAAAGUGAAAAGUCACCACCAAUGGUGAACCUUUCAAUAUCAGGUUUUGGAAGAGACAUGUUCUUAAACCACCAAUGGCUCUGAUACCAGUUGUUAUAGCCCUAUUAACGUAUUGAAUCUAGAAAGAACUAAUCAAAGCAAGUUAAUCAAGAAAGAAACAGAAAAGAACUUGAACAGAAUACUGUUUCAAGCACACAACUUGUAGAAAGAAAAAACUGCUCUUUUAUUGAUCUCCAUAAUCGAAUUACAAGCUAAUCCUUUAGAAGCAAUUACAAGGAUCACCAAGAACCAAAUAACUAGCAAAAUGACCAAGGAAUGAAGAAGAUUACAAUCUAAUAUCAGAGGCUAAAACACACGUAUUUAUAUUAUGGUAUUUCUGGAAAGCCAUAACGAACUCAUAAUGAAUUCUGCCACAUCAACUUUAAUAUUUCAACUAGACCCUUCCAACUGAAGUCGAUAUGCACAAUGCCCCCAGACUUCUUCAAAUCUUUCAUUUAAACCCAAUGACCAGCAGUUGACCAGCAGCUUAUUUCCUCACAAACCUCAACAUCUUGUUGAAAAAACUUACGGAUCCCAUCAAUGGCCUGAUCCAAAAUGCUUGUUGGGAUUCCAUGAUUGAUCACUUGAAAGAAACCCCACUUCUCACAAGCACUUCUAAUUUGGUCAAUUACCUGAGAACGCAAACUUGAAUCCUUGUGUAUUCUUUGAAGGUCUAUGAUAGGGAUGCUGAUUUCGGGGUCCUUGCAGAUUGGCUUAUCAUCAAACUUAUGUUUAGUGUGAUGAUCUUGAAUGAUGAUCUGUGGAAUGGUUGUGAUCCCAGCAUCUACGAGUCCCUUAACACCAGCUUUCGUGUCAUCAAAAGCUUUCAACUCGCUAACUCUGUCACAAGUAAUGCUUCCCAUUGCUUGGUGAAUUAUCUUUUACCUGGUGAAUUAUGAAGUACAAAUGCUGACUUGCGGGUGAUUGCUUUUGGUAUAUGCCGUUUAUAUGAAUAUGAUUGCUAGCUUGCCACGUGCAACAUGUUGAAAUAUAAUGUUAGCAUGAAGAUAUGGAAAUUUGUAAAUUUUGAUUCUGCGUUAUUUAUCAUGAUUAAAUUAAUUAUAAAUUAUCAAUAAUAGUCAAUUCCGGGGACCACCAACUACUGGGUGGCACAUCACAAUAAUAAAUUAUCAAUAAUAGUCAAUUCUGCAUUAUUUAAUAUUUAUGUGGAUAAAAUUUCAAUUAGCUACACUACAUUGUUGUUUGAUAGUUAACGUUUCACUUUCUCCAUUUGUAAAAAUUAUUAUGGACUUAUAGUGUGGCUUAAAAGCUAGAUCUUAAAUGAAAAGAAAGCUUUAAUGGCGAAAUAAAAAUUUAAAUAAAUGAAAAAGAGAUUAAAGGUUAACCUAAUGUUAGCAAAAAUAAUUGUAAAAUAUACAUGUUUUAUCAUGUUAAUUGAUGUUUUUCCAGUAUGCACAUAAAAAAGAUCUAUUUUACAAUUGUUUCUGUUGGCGUUCGGGCAGAUUUUUUUUAGUCUAAUUAAGUAUAUCAUAAGUUAAUAAUAGUGCGUAUUUUAACUUUAAUAAAUUUGGCCACUUAGAUUUUUAAUUUUGACUCCUUCCCUAAUCAAUCAAGAAAAAGAAUGCUUUUCUCCAUAAAAAUUAAAAUAGAAAAUUUAGCAAGGACAUAACUGCGGAGAUGUUUGAUUCUGGAUUUAUAUAUCAAAGCAACAUCAAAAUUAUAAUACUUCCUUGUUACCAAGAAGAGAUAUAUCCAAGAGCACUAGCCUUAUAAAGCCUUAACAAUACUAAACUACCCACAUGGAAUCUAAUGCGUACAUGCAAUGCUUUCUAAAGUGAAACUGUCGCUUGAAAAUAGAAUUCAUGUUCAGCAGCCUCUCUCUAUCCGAGCUCCAAUUUUAUAACAAGGCAGCUAAAUAAGAUGAUUUAGAUGGCAUCGGCAUCUGUAGUAUCGUUUGUCUGUAGUCCCUCAUUAUCUACGAUCUGAUCGCUCCCUAUAGUAUUGUUUGUCUGUAGUCCCUCAUUAUCUACGAUCUGAUCGCUCCCUAUAGUAUUGUUUGUCUGUAGUCCCUCAUUAUCUACGCCCUGAUCGCUCCCUAUAAUAUUGUUUGUCUGUAGUCCCUCAUUAUCUACGCUCUGAUCGCUCCCUAUGUAGAGAAUCAACAAGAGCAAAUUGUAGCACACGUUCACAGCACUAAUAACUGUUAAACUCUUAUAGUACUUGUCAAGCCUACUAUCAUCCAAGGUUUCAGCAAACUCGCCUUUGUUUGCCAAAAUGAAAAAGAUGUUAAAAAUGCUUCCUAUUCCGACGAAAAAAGAACUUAUUGCUGAUACAUGGUACUCCAUCCGUUCAGGAAAAUGAGAGCUCGAGUAUUCAUCACAUCCAUGCAAAGCAAGCCCUUCCAUAAGACCCAAUAGACAGAAUUGUGGAACAAGCCAAAACAUGAUCAUAUUUUCCAAUUGUUUGCUCUUUUCCAACCUGCGAACCUCAACCUGCCAUGCCACUACACAGCAAACUGUAGACAUCACCAUUCCAAUGAAUGUUCUCAAUACUUGAGCUUGUCUCUGCUUUGUUUCCGGAACAAAUUUGGAAAUUAAUUUUUUCGACAGAUAAGAGAUCGUCGCACGAAUUAUGGCUUCAAAAGUAAGUAGAAAGAUUAAGUAACGUUCAGAAAUCAUUUUGGCUCCCUGCUUAGGAAAAAAUGUAUUUCCCGCUGACAGAACCAAUCCAAACACAAUGAAGCUAGACCACAGUGGCAACAAUUUAAGAAGAGAUUUUAACUCCCUGACCUGAGCCACAGUGCAAAGUGUGCCUGCCUCUUCUUGUUCUUUAGAAGUGCUUGAUGUCUCUAUAAUUGCCGCUUUGUCUAUCCACCUACAAUUCAAAGAAUUAGUUUAUUGGUAGUUUUUUAGGAAAAUAGAAAGCGACAGCUCAUGGUUUGGCAAAAUGAUCACACAGACGCUUUUAUAAAUACGCCCUUUUGGACAAAUCUUGGAGGUCGGUGUGACUAUUCCCGAACACAAAAGGGUAUUAAUGUGUCCAUAAAGAGGUUUAUAUAAGUAUUAAUAAAAAUAAGAGGGUCUCCCCGACAAUUUUGCCAGACCACGGGCCGGGUGUGGGUGUAUACAUGUUAGGCAUAUACCUGAGUAAUUUGAUUCUGGGUGACAAGUGUAAUACGUUUCCCUCAUCAUUACUGAAGAACUGCUCUGGAGAAAGAGGAUAAUUGAGAUGCUUUUUCUUGAGGGAGGUUUUAACAACGCGGAUUAUAGCAAAACGGUCAAUAGGAGGUAUUUCUGUAUUAUGAUAAAAGGGAAUACCUAAUAACAGGAGGAUCAAACUGCCCCCCAUAAGCAACAAUGUAAACAUGAAAGUCUUCUUCCAUGUCUUAAUAUUAUUUGCGUAGAAUGCCGCAGCUGUACCACAGCACCAGGCAAACCGCCGCCACACUCUUUUCUGAGCCAUUACUUGAUCCUCAUUUGAAUUUUCGGUUCUCCCUCCUUCACCAUGUUGUCUUAAUUGAUAGGCAAGAAAUGGUCCCAAAAGAGGAGCCGCUCCAACUUCACCCACUGCUAACAGGAUAAUUCCUAUCAUGUUGAGUAGCUCAAAGUUGGUUUCUGAAAAUUCUCUGGACGCUGUACAGAACAAUAGCCCCAAUGCCUGAAACAAAAAUUGUUGGAACUAAUUGUAUAGCGUAACAUUAUGAUCCUAGAAAUGCUUUUCUUAAUCAUUAUUAUAAUGAGAGUGAAGCCAAAAUGAAUUAAUGUCACAUUAAUUAUAACUUAUCUAUUGAGAUCUCUAUCAUUAUAUUUAUAGGGGUAAGGCUCAUAAUAUCAUCGUAUUACGGGUGUGUGUGUAUAUAUAUAUAUAUUUUAAUAUGCCGUGAAAUUUAACAUUUACUGCAAAAUAAUAAUUUUUUAAUUUAGCCCAAAGUACUACAAAGUCCUGGGUCCGCCCCUGAAUAUAUAUAUUGCUUGCAAACCUAGGAUCAUAACAUAUGUUUUAAUUUCGUCUCUGUUUAGAAGUUUAGCAAAUUCAAAACAUAUUAACUUUCAAGGAUGUAGGAGACAGUUGAAAAAAUGAGGAUUCUGAGAGGACGAAUAGCAUAACACGAAAUCCAGGCGGCAACAACUGUAAGAGUUGCUAAUAUUACAUCCUGAAUACUCGUAAAUAUUGCAGCUUUUUGAAAUGUGAAUACUUUUGAAUAUUCGGAGUCGGAGAAGUAAGUUAUCAAGACGCCCACUAUAGCCAAGUCUACCAGUUUGCGGCUUAUCAACAAACCUGGAAUCAAAAUAAUCAUUAGAAAAAAUGUUCGUGCUCACUAAAAAAAGCAUACACGUGACGACUGCAAGAACAAUGUGAGAGAACUAUUGUCAUGUUUUUAUAAUUUAGCCCAACCUAAUCAAAAAUCUUAAAUACACCUCUCUUAACUGAAAUUAUUUUAGGGGAUUAUCUAUUUAGGAAUCUCAAAUUUCAUGAGCUCUUAAUACACACUCUGUAGUGUUUUUGAGUGACAGAUUAUUGUACAAUCAACUCGAAACACUUGCCAAGAUCGCAAAUCAAACAACCAAGAUGUAACAAGAACCAACCCAGAACAAAUCACAGAGAACUAGGACUAUAGGAACUUAGCAGUAAAACAAGGAAAUUAACGUGGUUCAGCUAGCUUCCACUAGCUUACAUCCGCGGGAAAACCAGGACCAAGUUUAUUGAUUUAUCAACCACAAUUACAGAGAAUCUCAAGAGCUGAUUACAGAGCUUUUCCAAGAAGCUUUCUCCUAAAACUUCUCUACCCACAUUAGCUCUCACACAUACGCUCCUGUUGCAACUAGAACCAGCUGUUUAUAACAGCUUCUUCAACGAACCAGGAUGAGCCCAGAAACUCACAUGAUUGGCAUGCGUGAUAAUAGACUCAUAACGAUCUUUCAAGGGAUGGCAAAACCCCGGGCCGGGUCCGGGUAUUGCAAUGACCGGACCCUGCCCGGAUGCAACCGGUCCAGGUUAGGGUCGGGUUUUAAUUCGGGUACCCAAAUUUUAUAUUUUUUUAAUAUUAUAUGUGUAUAUAUUUUAUAUUUUUUGGUAAUUUUAUAAGUUUUAAAUUUAUUUCAAUAAAAUUUGACAUGAAAAUAUAAACUUUAAGUGUUUAAAACUUUAUAUAUGUAUAAUAAAUGAGUCAAAUAAAUAUAAAUAUUUAAAAUAAUAUAUAUUUUAUAAUUUUUUUAAUAAAAUCCGGGUUCUGGGUUUAUCAAGUGAUGCCCAAUACCGACCCGACUUCAUACCCGGGCCGGGUAAUACCCGGCUCACAACGCACGGGUACGGUCCGGGUCCGGACCGAGUGGGUAUUUUUUGCCACCUCUAGAUCUUUGAAAACAACUUAUUCGAGCACGUGAUUCUCUCGUCCAUUACUUAAACCAAAACGACAUUCAGACAAGUCGUCCCAGUGAUGAGAGAAUGCUGCUCUUCAAAACGCAACACCAGCUGGUUGUUUCAAUAUCCUGAUUUGCUUCACAACACAACACACACACAUACGUAUACGUACAUACAUACACGUACGUACAUACAUCAUCAUGUUGUUAAAGUAAUGAUGUUAGUAAAAUACAAAAAGAAUAUAGUUUUAAAUACAUUGGAGAUUUUGUCUUUUUUGUACUUUACUAACAUCGUCAUUAACAGAAUGAGGAUACCUUUAUUAAAGAAUGAUUAUAUAUAGAUAGUUUUUUUUUUCUCGUGAGCGUUCUCACAUAUUUUUUUAUACGUACACACUAUUAAAUUGUAUGGUUUAAUAAAAUUAGUAUAGACAAUUAAACUACAUGAUUUUGUAGUGUAUUAAAAAUUAAUUCUAUUAAACCAUACAAUUUAAUAAUGUGUCUGUAUUAAAAAAAAAACCAUACAUAUGUAUACAGGUUUAUAUUCUAAAUAAAUACAUUUUUAAAAGAUACGAAUACCUAAGGCCCCACGUGCAAAAUUACCUGACAUAAAUGCAGCAGCCUUACAAAAACAGACGUAAUAUCGUACCCAAGUCAUGAACCUGCUUUGAACCUUCAACAACCGAGAAAAUGGAAACAUUGUAGUUUCUGAAACUGCUUCUUUUAUCAGCAAAUACUUCUACUUGUGACUUGUGAAUCCCGAGACGAUGAAGAUUUUGUAAUUAUACCAAAGUUUUCGCUAGUCUUCUAAAAAGGUCGUUUAUUCAAAUUAAAAAAUAAUAAGUCGCACUUCAAGACCACCUAUUGGUCACAUAAGUCCUUUUUUUCUUAUUUUUAGGGUUCUAAAACGUUAGUUUAUUCAAAUUAAAAAAUAAUAAGUCGCACUUCAAGACCACCUAUUGGUCACAUAGGUCUUUUUUUUCUUCUUGUUUUUAGUCUUCUAAAAAGUUAGUUUAUUCAAAUUAAAAAAUAAUAAGUCGCACUUCAAGACCACCUAUUGGUCACUUCAAGACCGCCUAUUCGUCACAUAAGUCUUUUUUUUUUUUUUCUUGUAACUAAAGGAUCCAGCUACGGUGCAACAGGUGCACCGUGCCCCUCUUUUUCCUUUUUUGACAGCACCCCUUACUUUCUUCUGUAUUUACAGUUUAUUAAAGUAAUUUCUUUUUCCUCUUUCUUUCACCCCUCAUCUUUACAAUCUUCAAUUUUUUUCCAUUUUGAAUUAAACCUAUAAUCAACCAACUGCAAGCAAUAAGAAAGAAGUUGACAAGCUAUUUCUUUAUCACCUUAGGAUUCAUUUGCUCGAUAAUACAUAAGUAAUAAUGAAUUGAAGUUUUUAUAUAAAAAAAUCACAUAGAUGUAAUAUUUUUACACACACUAUUUAUCAUCUACAAUGAUUUUUUUGUCUUUUACUAUAUAUAUUCUUCCCCUUUCUCCUCCGUAUGCCUUUCCAUUUUCUCUUUGAAUAAUCUAACCUAAGGCUUUCUAAUAAUUGGUUUAUUGUUAUUAUUUUUAUAAGUAAACCUUCUCUUUAUUAUGUCAAUAGGUUUAUUUUUUCAAGAAAAAAAAUUCGUAAAUGACCAAAAGUGAGAGCAUUAAUAAAAAUUCAAAACCUAUCUUAAUUUUUGUUGUCUUUGUUGAUGCAUCUCGCAUGUUUGAUCUCUUAAUUAUAACUUGUGAGAGUAAAUACUGUAAUACAAUGAUAAUAAAUUGAUGAUUAGUAAUUCUUACUAAGAGUAUUCAGAGACAAAGAAGUUGGUGUAAAAUUUUAUAAACUUUGACUUUUCUAAAUUUUCACUAAACAAUAGGGAUUGCAUUAUUAAUAACUAAAUAAACACAUCCAUAACCUUGAAACUACAUUUGUGUUAGAUCCAAUGGUGACAGCACAAAAAGACAGAAAGAGGGGUAUGGUGCACCCCUUGCACUGUAGCUGAAUCCUUUAGUUACAAAAUAAUGACUUACUGUACAGCUCAAUAAUUUUAGGUGGUAUGAAACACGUAUGAUGAGACGGUCAUAAUUACACUGUACCAUGAAUGAUCCUCAUUGAGUAUAUAAUCCCUUUCUUUUUUCAAACAAGAUUUAUGCUUUAGUUUUGGGAGGUUUGCUAAGUUCUUUCUUUUUAUAAUGGUUACGGAGAAUGACAAUUUUCUAUUGAAGUUAUUUAUACAUGUAUUUCUUUUUCAGCAUGUAAUACAUUUAGGAAAUGAGUAAUUAUUAAGUACAAACACUUUUAGAUAAACAAUGUUGUACGAACUUAUGUGAUAUUUUUUAGAAAAAAGGAUCUGAACAUCGUUAAGAUUUUAAAAAAUGGUCAUAUAUACUUUGAGUUUUCAAUAAGGGACAUCAAGACACUUUUUGACUAUAGUAUCCUUAAUAGAUAAUAACAAAAAAUAUUGACUUUAAACAUUUUAAUAAAUAUAAAUAAAAUUUAAAUAGUUUGAUAUGUCUAGUAGACUAAUAAUAUUAGAACGUUUCUUAAUAUAUAAAUAAUUUUUAAAAGAUAAAUUAGUAUAUUUAUUUUAAUAAUAUAUUUUUACUUAUUAUAAAAAUUGUAAAUAAAUCUUUAGGUUAGAUAGAUUUUAAAUUUAAUAAAAUACAUGUCAUGUACUAAUAAUAUUAAAACUAUUUUAUAUAAUAUUGAAAAUAAUUUAAAUUUUAAAUUUUAAUAUUAUGUUUCGAUUUAUUUUGAAAUUUAGUUUAAUAUAAUUUAAUGUUGUAAUGUAUUAAAAUAUUUUAAAAAUAUGGAAAUUAUUUUAAAAUGUAUAUAUUGUUACAUUUAUUUUAAUAUUAUACUUCUAUUUAUUAUAAAAUAUUAAAAAUAAUAUUUUAAUUAAAAGGGAGUUUUGAUGUCUUUUACUGAAAAAAUGGAGUGUACAUAAUCAUUUUUUCAAAUUUUCAACGGUGUACAUGUCAUUUUUCUUACUUUUUUAUAAUCAGUUGAAUAAAAAAAAGUCAUCUGGCCACAUAAAUUAUUUCUAAUUUAUAUUUUUAAUCAACAAAUCAUAAUGUGUCACAUCUAUUUGUAUAAGCAUUUAUGAACAUAAAAAAUUAAGUUUAGGCACUAGUCAGGUUGGAAAUCAACCCAUCCAACCCAUGUAUAGUGCUAGUUGGGUGAGUUGGACUUAUCUCGAAGACCCAUUUUCUGUCUUUGAAAUAUCAAUAUGAAAUUAAAAUAAUUAAAAAAUAAUUUAAUUGAAACAACUAAAAAUAGAAUACAAAAUUACAAAUAAUAACUAUCCCCCAAACUUCAUUGUUAAUAAAAAUAAUUAUUUGUAUAGGAUCCUAAUUACACCAUAAAAAGUAAUAGGAUGAAUUCAAGAGUUGGGUUUGAAAAUUUUCAACACCUAGUAAAUAUAGUGCAUUUUCUCCACCCCUAUGAAAUUAGGGGUUGGCUUUCUACUUGAUUUUAAGUAGAGAAAAUGAUCAAAACUACCUUAUUGUUUGUUAAAACUAUAGGGUGAAUUUAAGAGUUGGGUUUGAAAGAUGCAAUAUGUUCAUAUAUAUAUAUAUGAACAUAUUGCAUCUUCACUAUCUUAUCCCCAGAAUUUUUGCACCAAAUCAUGGUAAAAGAAUAAAAAUUCGCAACCCGAAUCAACAAAGUAUUAUCACUAAGUUAUUCUGCAAGCCGCCAAAUUGGAAAAUAUUCCAAAUAAUUAAUUAACCACAGCGACUUGACAGCUUAACUUUUUCCAACGCUGAGAGUCCUUCAUUCUUCCCUAUUGAGGAUUGGUUAUUGUAAACGUCUGUUGGAGUAACAUGGGGAUAGUGCGGAUGAUUUUUUUCACCAUAUUGUCUCGAGCAACUGUUAUUCAUAAAAAAAACUUCCAAUUGAAAUCGUUGAGCCUCGCCUUCUUGACAAGACUCUGUGAUAGGCACUCUUGAACGCGACACUGGUAAUCAGCUGCAUAAACAUAUAAAAGAACACUAUAAUUAAGUUAUAUGAUGGAUUCAUAAUAGUCAAAGUUGUGCAUAACAUCUACUUGCCUGCAUCAUGUAGCCUAAGUUUACAACUAGAGCCCCGGAAACUGGGGUAAUAUCAAACCAUUGAUCUUCACAAAAGACUUGGAGGCCACAAUUCGAUCUUGUAUGAGCAUAGUGACAAAUCCAGGGUCAGAACGUAUUGUUACGCCAAUUGUCAAUUUCGGAUGAGGGCUUUCUGGGUAGUGACUAUUCCUAAUAGUCAUUUCCUCUACAGAACCUGUGUCUUUCAGGUAACUGGGGCCAAACCCUAAAGCUUCAGACAAAAGUUCAAAGAGAGUGAAUUAGCAAUUGGCGUGGUUGGAGAAAAAUCAGUUUUUAAAUUUUUUUUAAAAGAAACUUUUUAGGGUCGAUCUCAUACAAUAUAUAAGAAUUCGUAAUUUAGAAAUUGUACCUUGAAAAUCUGAGAAAAUGAACAAUCUUUGCUUUUUCCACUGAAGUGAAACUAGACUCCCAGAUCACGAUCCGUCACCACCACGCCUGCUAGAUCACAGUCUGUCACCACCAUGCUUGUUAGAUCACGAACUAUCACCAAUGAUCUUUCAGAUUAUGACUUAGGUUUGAUCUGCACUUGACGUGUGAGUGCCUUUAUCACUACCAAUAGCAACUAGUAGGAGAAAAUUUUUCUCUCAAGAUUAGAGAGAAAAAUUCUUUUUCUCUUAUCUGUAUAAUGUGGCCUUAUAUCUUUUCAAGAGAAAAUAAGCCCUUUUAUAUCUUAUCUAGUGGAAACCCUAAGCUCUAUAUUUUCUAUUUUUUAAUUCUAUUAACAUAAGGCCCCUUACACAUAAGCAUAUUAUAUGGAGCCUCUCAGUAAAUAAUAUAUUUAGGCUUUUAACCCAAAUAGCUAGUUAUAUUGCUUAUUAAUCCAGUAGCGGCGUAGUAAUGAGCUAACCCAAGGAUCAUUUAAGAACAUAUAAUAGUGGCUACAAUAAUUAGGCCUGUAAUCAAACUAGCUCAAUUAUUUAAUUCCAAAUCUACUCCACUAAAAGAUUGGAACUGACCUUCAUAAUUGUAUGCUUGAAUAAUAAUUCAUCCCAAGCCACAUUGGUUUCUUUACUGCACAAUCUUUUGUACCACAUCAUUAAUUAAAUCGAUAUCUCAACUGUCCAAUCAAUUUAAUUACAUCUUGUUCCUUGAUUCUUACUGGUUUUCUCUAAUGAUCAUUUUCAACAUACUAAAUAAGUCGACACACUUUGACCAGAGAAUUCUAUGAUUAAGUGCCGAAAACCCAUUAAGAGAUGUGUUGUACAAAUUCUAUAUUGUCAAUCUAUGACUAUAAUACUCAUAAUUGCUCUCAUCAAGAUACUGGGUAAUCUUGACUACAAGUAUGUGUCAUGCCCAUUGGUAAUUCAAAUGGAAUAACAAUUACAAUCAUGAAAUCAUAAUUAACUUAAGAUUAAGAUUACAAUAAAAUCAAUGUCUCUGAGAUCUAAUGAGUCUGACAGUAAUUACAAAGUUAAUUAAAUCUCAUAUGUGAUCAUGUUCAAUGUAGUCUUACUACAUUAAUAAAUUCAUAUAUGAUUAAGACAAAUCAUUCAAUGAAUUCAUUACAGUCUAUACAUAAAUAAAGUACCCAACUUUAUUUAUCAACUACGAAAUAAAUUUAUUUAAUCAUAAGAUAACUUGUAUUUAUGUCUUCUGUGAAUCCACAUGGUGAUUCUUGUGCAAAUUUAUUGAACUCGCAAGUGCACGAAUAUAUUAUAGAAUAGAUUAAUGGUGACGAGUGUCGAUCCCACGAGAAAGUAGAUUUUGAUUAUGUGUAGAAUUAAUUUUCUAUGAGAGUGCUUGGAUUUGUGGUGAAAAUGAUUUGGAAUAUUCUAAACAUUAAAUUAGAAUGGCAGGAAUAAAUUAAAGUGAAAUCUAUUGAAAUGAAGCACUUGGGUAUCUGGAUCUGCAUUAACAUGCACCAUGUGCUAAAUAUUCCUUAGUAAUGUCAAUUAAAUCAUGAGGGGGGUUUCUAUUCCUCAUGAACCACACUCUAAUCAAUAUGGUGCUAAGGGCUUAUCGUGCCAAAUAAUAAUAACCUUGUACUAGGGAGUCGGUUAAACUGGUGCGGUAUCUAGACAAGAUUAUUACUAUUUUUCGACGAAAAGUCAAAACAUCAACAAUAAUUAGAGGGGAAGAGAAAGUAAAUUUACCAAAUAAAGCCCAUGGUACAUGUUGAGACUUCACCAACCCAAGCUUGAAAGAAAAUUAACUACUCAUAAUUGAACUAAGGGUAAAAUGAGAAUUUAUUAAAUACAUAGAAAAUACAAAAUGGAGAAGGAAUUACAGAAAAUAGAGCUCAAAAAUGAAUUCAGGGAUGCCAAAUUAGGGGGGAGCCCCCCUUUAAUAGAUACACUGAGUAAAUCAUGGCCAUCAGAUUAAAAACAUUUUGGACGCUCAAGAUUGCACUACGUCAUCGGUCAACAGUACGCGGCUUGACCACGCGGUUUGGUUGUAAAUAAUCCCGUGUAUAUGCAUGUAUUGUACGCACUAUUUUUUAUCCGCUAACAUGCUGCCACAUCACCGAUCAAUAGUACAUAAGAAUUUUAGUCUAAUAAAAUCGUGACAUCUCAUCAGUCAAUGCCACAUCAUCGGUCAAUGCCACGUCAUCAUUCCAUAUAUGUGAACAGUGUCGUGAAUAGUAACACAGUACCGUAUCUGUGAAUAGUACCGUACAUGUAAACAAUGUCAUUUUUCAUUUUAAACUCCUCCUAAGGUUUUCGACUGUCCUGAUCUCAAAAGUGAUGUCCGUUUUGCUGUAUGAUCUCUCGUUCAUUGUGAAAUGACUAUGAUGCCCCUAAAAUACAUAAAACCAUAAUUAUAAUACAACACACAUAAUUAAAUCACAAGAAACUUAAAUACAUAAAAGUAGAAAUGUUAGUGAAACUUGAAGUGUAAAAUAACGAUUUUCUCCUUCAUAAAUAUAUAUUUUCUAACACUCAACAGUGAUCACAUAAAUACAUAUAAUAUGAUUAAAUGGACUUUAAUCAAAAUAUUAAUGCAAUUAAGAUAUUUGAAUAAAAUACCUCAUUUAUUUUAUUAAUUAGAAAAAUUGUUUAUUACAAUUAAAUAAACACAUGCUUUUAAAGAGCAUAUUUUCCCAACAGGCGUAUCUCAUAAAGCCAACUUCGGUGGUUGGGGUAUCCUGCUGUGCAACGCUGUAUCUCUUACAACCAACUUUUACGACUUGGACAAUUUGUAUUUUACCGAUUGUCCAUUGAAUUAAUUUGUUUUUGCGGAAAAUGAAUAUUAAUAAAAGAUUAAAAUAAAUAAAAUUAUAAAUAAUUAAAAUCACAGAUUGUCCCAGACCACCAAUAAAACCUCUAAAACUAAAAUUAUAAGCUCCUCCGUAAGAUCCACCAUUAUAUUUCUGAUUACCACUAGCAUUGUUUCAAGGAUUAAAAUGGUUUUGAGUUACAUUAGCUAACAAGUUAUGUGUGACAUCACUAGCAAUUUUACCUCUUGUCUGUUCAACUCUAUUCUCCUGAUUUAGCAGUAAAGAGUAAAAUUCAUCAAGACUGAUCUUAUCACCUCCAGCUAACACACUUAUAACUAAAGAUUCAUAAUCAGAUGAAUCUAGUUUAGUCUAAAUAUAUUGAACAAAAUCACUUAACUCAACAGAUUUUCUAGCUAAAGCCAGAUUGUCAGACAAUCUCUUCAUUUUAACAAAGUAAUCAAUCAUAGACAUUUAUCUUUUUUUGAGUGUUUGAAUAUGCAUCUUAAAGGCAUAGGCAUUAUUCUAGCUUGAGAUUGUAAAGUAAACAUACUUGUGAGUGUAUCCAAAAGCUCUUUAGCAACGAAGCAAUAAAUGAUUGGAGCGAGUAGAUUUUGCUGAAUAGAUGACAACAUCCAACUCAAAACUAAUUGAUCUGUCUUCAUCUAGGCUGUGUAUGCUGGAUUGACCUUUCUAUUUUUAGUACUAGUUGAGGACCAACUUCACUGGUGUGAGAAAUUACUCUGGACAAGUUUGAUCACCAUUAAUGAAAUUAUCCAGAUCGUUUCCUUUGAUCGAUGUUAAAACCUGAGUUUGCCAGACAAUGAAAUUAUUUUGAUCUAGCUUAACAUGAUUGAUAAAACUAUAGGAUCCAGAAAAUUGAUUAGAACUCACCAUUGUAGGCUCUGAUAUCAUGAUAGAAUUUGUAAUAUAUAUGUUUGGAAAGCAAGAAAAUUAAGGAGAAAAAGAUAGAAAGAAAAGAGGAAGAAUUUAGAAUAUGUUAAUUGUUCAGUACAUUACAAAUGUGAUUAUAGCCUUUGUAUUUAUAUUGAGUGAAAUGCUUAACUAUAAUUUGUUAUAACUGGAAUACGUGCUAAACAGUUCGUUAGCCAGAAGGCUGAGAUGGCUAACUAAUUAUUCCGCGUCAGCAAGAGCACUCAUGUAUGGUCCUCAUCCUUACUGUUAUUAUCAUACUCUGUAACAGUUCUUCUACAUCUUCUUGCUCUUCAGGACCAAGUGUACUUCGUGGCUCUAUAAUUGCUGCUUUGUCUAUCUAUCUGCAAUUCAAAGAAUUAAUUUAUUGGUCAUUUUUUUAGGAAAAAAGAUAACGAAACAUAGUUGUUUGGUAAAAUAGUCAUGUGAACUCUUUCUUCAAAACAUAUAUAAAAACAAACCUUGGAGAUCAGUAUUGUCUAUGUGAUAAUUUCUAAAAAUAAGAGGUCUACCUGACAAUUUUUUCAAACCAUGGGAUGUUGGUAUAUACUCUUUAAGUAUGUACCUUAGUAAUUUGAUUCUAGUUGACAAGGGUAAUUCAUUUUCAUCAUCAUUACAGGAGAACUGAUCUGCAAAAGAAGGAUAAUUGAGAUGCCUUUUCUUCAGGGCAGCUUUAAAAUGACAGAUUACAGCAAAACCGUGAAUAAGAGGUAAUUGUUUACUAUGAUAAAAGGGAAUACCCAACAGCAACAAGACCAAACUGCUCCCAUAACCAAUAUUGUGAACCUCAAAGUCCUCCGUCAUGUUUCCAGAUUAUUUGCAGGGAAUGUUACAACCACAUUACAACACCAGGCAAGCUGCAGCUAUACUUCUUUUUGAGCCUUUACUUAUUUCUCAUUUGGAUUUUUUGUUCUCCCUUCAUCACCAUGUGCUCUUAAUUGAUCGACAAGACAUGGUCCUAAAAGAGGCCCCAUUCCAAAGUCACCCACUGCUAACAAGAUCAUUCCUAUUACGUUGAGCAGUUCAAAUUUAGUUUCUAAGAAUUUACUGGACGCUGUAUAGUACAAUAGCCUUAAUGCCUCCAACAACAAUAGUCGGAACUAAUUGUAUGGCAUAACAUUAUGAUCCUAAAUAUGCUUCUUAAUCAUUACUAUAGUUAGGAGCGGAACAAAAUUGAGAUUUAGGGGGCCAAGUGUAAUUAAGGCAAUUAUUUCAGGAUUAGAGAGUAUUAGUUAUUUUCUGGGGUUAGGGGAUGGGGUUCACGUUUAUGAAACCACCAUAUAAAGAAAAACAACUAGUUUGAAAGUUGAAAUUACAAAUUUAUAUAGUGUGAGAUUAUUUCAACCUACUAAAAUAUUUGUUAUUUUAAAGGCUAAUGAGCUUGCGGCUUUGAAAAGGUUGGAAUGUUAUUUGGUUGGAGAGGGACUCGGUUUCAACUUUAGCUUGUCUUACAAGUACCAAAUUCAAGCCGCCGUAGCAUCUGCAUAUCAUAUAAUUGAAUUGUUUGAGAUUUAUUCGUGGAAUACACUUUGCUAGUUUACACAUCUAGAGAGAGGGGAUUCAGUGGCUGGUAGUCUUGCAAAUUUGGAGUUAAAUCUUAAUGCUCAUAAUUGGUGGGAUAAUCCUCCUAUUUCAAUUCGUCAGAGUUUGCAUGAGUAUGCUUGGGAUAUCCCUAAAUAUCAUUUCAAAUGAGUGUUUUUGCAUUCUUUCUUCUCCUUCUUUCCUUAAUAAAAUUGAGUAUCAUAAAAACAAAAACUACCAGAAUGCUUAAUAAAUGUAUUUAUUCAAUAAAUUCAUUUAAAAAAUUAAAUUAUUUUAUUUUAUUUUACCAACCAAUUUUUAGUAUUCAAUAUGUCCUUAUUUGAAAUUCACAUAAUUCUUUCAUCUUUCUCUUUCAAGACUUUUAGGCUUUUAAGGCUUUUUACAUUCGUGUCUCCCUAAUAUUCUAUUUUUCACUAUUUCAUAAGCACAUCUUUCUUUAAAAUUGUGGGCAUACUAUAUAAUUUACGUAUGUACGUAAAUUAUAAAUAAAUAGAUUUUUAAACGAUAUGAUUACCUAAGGUGCCAUAAGCAAAAUGUUACCUGAGGUAAAUGCGGCAGCCCUACAAAAACAGAGGUGAUGUCUUACCCGUCUUUUGAACCAAUUCUGAAGCUCCUGAGAACAUGGAAACGCUGUGGCUUCAGAAAUUGCUUAUUUUAUUUGCAAAUAUUUCCACCUGUGAAUCCUGAUUCCUGAUACCGUGGAAAUUUGUGUGGGCUCGAUAUACCACCUUAUUACGUCAAGGUAGUGCAUUCGAACAAUAAAAGUUUAUUAUUUUGAUAGGUUUAGUAGGUUUAACGUGGGACCCCACUUAUUUAAUUAAAAAAUAAUAGAUAUAAAAAGUAAUAGUACUACUUCAUCACCGACUGAAUUAAAAAAUAAUGAAUCUUACUUCAAUUGUCUUUUUUUUUUUAAUGAGAAUUAUUGCUCAUGAUGAUAUUUACAAUCAUAUAUAUACUAAGACUCGUUUACAUCAAUUCUGAUAUAGCACCGCUCAGAUUUUUAACCCUCUCAAAUAUUCGAGGGACGUCAACUCUCAUCCUGGGAGAAAGACUGCCUUCAUUAAGCUCUAGGGCUCCAAAGAAGGAAAUUGAAAUUAAAUCCCAACAAUGCGUUUGCGGAAGCUCGAACCACUUCUCUCACAUUUGUGAGGGAGUGACUCUGACCACUUGGGCUUAGCCCAAGUGGUUUUACUUCAAUUGUCUUUGGGACUUAACUAUCGUGGACAGACCGUGGAAGUCUACCUCCUUAUUUUUAAGUACAAAUUAAAGAAUGAAUUGUACUUACUAACAAGCCGAAAUCAUUUAUUGCACAGCUAAAUAUAUUUUAGAUGGUAUAAACGACCAGCAAUAUAUUGCCAGUUGGGUGCACAUACAAGAUCAUAUUUGGCUUAAGUAUUAUAAAUUAGGAUAAUGCCUAAGAUUUAAACCUAAGUUCGGAGAAUGUCUAAUCACAAAACACAUUUUUUUCUUUAAGGAGAACUAUUGCUUUUUAACUCUCUCAAAUAUUCGAGGGAUGCCAACUCCCCUUUUGAAAAAAAAAACUGUCUUCGCUCAAGCUCUGAAGCUCCAAGAAAGAAAAUUUAAAUUAAACCCCCUACAAUAGGUCUGCAGGGACUCGAACUACUUCGAGCACUUGUGAGAGAGUAGCUCUAACCACUUAGGCCAAGCCCUAGUGGUUCACAAAACACAAUUAUAAACACUAUAAAAUCUAAAAUUGAAAGGAGAAUAAAAGAUUCUACACAUUAAAGUCCUAUGAAAAACUAUAAAAAUUUUAAGGGACUAGCCUACCCGUCUUAGUUAUUAUAAAUAAAAACUACCUUCUAAUCAAAAGAAAAAUCCAGUACAGUGCCUGCAACAACGACAUACACUACCACUAGUACCACUAAACUAUUACCAACGUCACAAAACAACUCAAAUAUGAAUAUACAUCUCAAACAAUCACUGUUAUUCUACAAAAAUAGAGUAAAUCAUCGGCGGUUUAAUUAACAUUUAUUAAGGGCUCAAAUAAUAUUUUACAAAGGCUAUAAAGAGAGAAAAUUUUCCAUUGGGGGACUUUAGUCACUUGAGUCCCUUUAGGGCUUGAGAGUAAAACAAACAGCCAAGACAAUAUAUAAUAACAAAAUGAAUGAUUAGAAGAGUCUAUGAAUAAUAAAGCCUCGUAAGCAUUGUGGAAAAUUUACUGGGAUAUUUAUCCAUUUUCAUUGGCAACAGGUCAAUAAUACAACUGGCAACUUCACUCACAAAAUGCGAAAAUCCAAUUCAAUAACCAGUUAACCACAAAGUAAUGGACUUGCAUGCCACAUUUCAAGUAUAUGAAGCAUAUAUAUUAGAAAAGUUGACAAAACCCAAAUUAUCACUUAAUUAAUUGGCAUUUAACCCCUCUCAAACUACAAGGGGGGAAAAAAGAACUUACAAAUGUGCAUGUGAAGAUUGUUUAUCUGGGCUCAUUUUGGCAAAGUCAUCUUCGUCAAUUCGAUCUGUUUUGAUUUUGGGCUUUCUAAUUAUAUAGCCAGUUUGAGCUUCUAACAUCCCUUUAAAAUUCUUGUGAAGUCCUACUGUUGCAUUUGUAACACUUGCUUUUAAGAAAUUAUUUAAAAAGACAGAAUAAUAUGAUAGAGUUAAUUAAAAUUUAACAUACUUUUUUAAAAUAAAAAAUCUAUCAUUAGGUAAUUUAUUUCUUCAUUGUCUCAAAAUUAUUUGAGUUUGCAUAAGAAAUUUAUUAUAUCAUAAAUUAGGAUUGGUGAUUAUAUAGCCACAAACUCUUGUACAAACUUAUCUUGUACAAAUUGAUUUGACAUUAAUUCAUUGGUUGAAUGAAAACAUAAAAUAAUAAAAAUAAAUCAUGUGGGUCAAGAAAUAUUUAAUUCAACCAAUUUUAUCAUACCACAUCAGUUUAUAUAAAAUAAAUUUAUAGAAGAGUUUAUGGCUAUAUUAUUACUCAUUAGGAUUUAAAGAUGGGAUAGUUCAUAAUUAGCAGGUAUAAAGAUAUUUUAAUCUAGUUAAAUUCAUAAUUGUCCUUCUCUAGCAGUAGAACUAUGUUCACAAAAAAUGCGGAUUUACAAGGAUUUUAAAGGGGUGUGAAAAGCAGUAAUUACUCUUACACGACAUCACCCAAAUAAUCAAUUCAAACGCACUCGGCUAGAUUUGUUCCAAGAUUAGACCUUUUGACACCCCUCAAAAUUCCUCAUAAAACCCCUUGUUAAUAGAAGUUAGUUAAAUAACCAAAGAUAAAUUAAUUCAUUUCUUACUUUAACUAGAAAUCCAAUUAAACAAUUAAAAAAUUUCUAUUAAAUUUUUUUUCACCCAUCCCAUUUCAUAAUUUAUAUUUAUAUUUAUAUUUUAGUUUUUAAUUUUUUUAAAACUUAUAAGAGUUUAGAAUUAUGGAGAUAGAAACUAUAUAAUAAAAAGAAAAUAAUUUAAAUUUUAAGAAAUUUUAGUAUUUUAUAAAUAAAACUUAAAAGAAAUAUUCAUUUAGAGUUGGUAAGAUAAUUGAUUUUAAUAUAUGAAUUUGUAUUUUAUAAAUUAAACUGUGAUAUUUUAAAAAAUAAAUUUAAAAGAAUAUUAUAAGAAUUUUAACGAAGUGUUAAAAACUCCACCCUUAUCUCAAAGAGUUAGUAUGCAAAAGUAAAAACAUAAGCAAUACCCGUUAACACCAUUGGACCUUUGACCUGGUGAUAAAGAACCUAUUGGGGGCACAGGUUCAAGUUUUUGUUUUAUUUAUCCAAAUUGAGUGAAAGUAACAUCAUUGAAUCCUAUAUUACAUAACUGCAAAAUCAUAGAACUAAAAAAUUUCGAAUUAAUUCAAACAAAUAAUACAAGGGCAAUCUAGAAAUCAUAUUAUCUUGAACUAUUACUUUAUCAACUUUAAAUGAAUACUGCAACUUAAGUCCAAAAUCAGUACCAAUAAAUGAGACAUGGACAGCCUUAUUAUGCUGCUCUUGUUCUGUUUUCAGCAUAAAAAGCCAAUUCUGCUGUUCUUAAACUGUUUCUCAACAAGAUGGAACAUGAAGUUGUAUUCAAUGACACAUGGACAUUUCAUGAUUAUAAAAAAAUCUAUUUACUUCAGCUAACCUCAAGGAAAUAAUCUAGUAUUGUAGUCAGUGAUGCAUAGAAUAUAUUAAAUGAGAACAUAUUUUUCCAUAACAACGAAAAAGGAAUUGCUAUUAGAGCAGAGUACAUCAAACGGAAAGAUUACUCACAGUGAACACUGGAACUUGUGUGCCUUGCCUUCAAUUCUUUUCAAUUUAGAUUUGUUCAAGAAUGUGCAAUUGGUAUCAGCAACUUUGGGUUAUAAGAAUAGAGACAGCAAACAACUAUCAAAAAAAAAAAAUGUGGAACUUAGUUUGAAGAAAUAUUGUGGAUCAUAUCAAAUGCCAAAUGUUGGAUAAUCUUUUCCAAAUGUUGGAUAACAAGAAAAGGGAUGCACACAAGACCGCUGACUGAAAACAGAAAUAAUUGGACAAAUAAAGCCCAAACCACAGCUCAUCCUAAUCUUUAUGUUACUAAUGGAAGCUAAAAGCACAUAAGUCAUCAACUAUUUACAUUUUCUGAUAGAUACGGAUGCUUAAUACAUUCAUCAUGAUAUCCAGAAACAAUAAAAUUAAGCUAGUACAAAGAUAUCUAAAUGAAGAUGAUAAUAUCAUAGGCAAAAUAUGGUCCAAUGGAUUAGGAAAAUCAAGCUAAGGUCAUUUUUUUAUACUAAAUGCUUAAUUAAAAAGACAUCAUUAUAUGUUUUAUACAUGCACAAAUUGUCAUUAUUUGAGGCAUGUCUAAUAUUUAGUGGAGUGACAAAUAUACUUGAAAAUUUAUAAAAAUUAUCAAAUAAUAUGUAAGAAAUAUAGUUAUUUUUGUUGUAAUAUUAAUGCAAUAAAUUUUUAUCGUAUCAUAUCGGCAUGUUUAAAGAGGGAAAAAAAAAACUCAGAGACUCAAAAACUCCAAACUUUAAUGUAUAGCUGGCAUUUAUUUGUAGGCUCAAUUGAAGUACAGAAGUCACAAUUCCAAACAACAAACAAGCUAUCAUCACUAAUCCACCAAAUUGGAAAACAUCCUCAAUUAAAUUAACCACCGCGCCUUUCCAGCUUAAGUUUUUCCAACGCUGAUAGUCCUUCUGUUGAGGAUUGGUUAUUGUAAAUAUCUUUUAAAGUAAUUGCAGGAUAGAGCGUAGGAUUUUCUUCGGAUAGCAACUCUUUAAUUGGACCAUAUCGUCUCGAGCAACUGUUGUUCAUAAAAAAACUUCCGAUUGAAAUCCUUGAGCCUUCCUUUUUUGACAACACUCUGUGAUAGGCACUUUUGAACUUGUCAUUGGUGAUUAGCUGCAUAAACACACAAUAAAAAAAUCCACUAUAAUUAAGUUACAUGAUGGAUUAAUAAUAGUCAAAGUGAUACAUAACAUGUACCUGCCUGCAUCAUGUAACCUAAGUUUACAACUAGAGCUCCGGGAACAGGGGUAAUUACGAUCUGUAGUUUCCUAAUUUAACUCAUGUAUGCCCGAGGCUUUUGUUUACCCUAGUUUUUAGUAUAAAAAGAGGCGCCCAUCACAUAAUACGGCGGCAAGGAAUUAUCAUUAGAAAAAUUGGAGAGAAAAAGAAGAAGAAGAUCAUAAUUCAAGGGAACGGCUGCAGCAUCAUUGAAGAAUCCAGCAGAGUUAUUUGGAUUCACUUUUUGCUGUUCUCGACUUAUACCUUUCUUCUUUCUCUAACUGAUCUAAUGUAUUUCAUGAACAAUAUGUUGCUGAUUGUUUAUCUCUUUCAGAAUAUGAACUAAAUUUGCUUGUAUUUGAGUGACAAAUAAUCUAAUGGGUUCUUGACUGUUCUUAUGAGUUGCUAUGUCAUUGUUGUAGCAUUUUACUCUAGUAGCUAUUAUUAUAACUGUUAUUUUGGUUGACCACUCAUUUAAUGGUUCAAGUUAAGAUAGGACUGUAAAAGGGCAUGUCUUAGUGGAUAUUAUUAGAGUAAUACUUGAUCUUAGUUUAAGUUUCCUAUAUUAAGUUUAUCUUGAAUCCCAUAAGGACCAUACUUGAAGUUAAGAUUUGUGAUAAACUAGACAUAAGUAUUCACCUUGUAGGGUGGAGAGAAUGGAUGUUCAUAAUGUCAUGCCAUAGGUAAAAUAGCAACUGGUCAUUGCGAAGAUGUUUACGGGUAUGAGACUUCCAAUAUGCGAUAGCUGAGGAUGCAAAUUAAAUUCUACCAAGUGCUAUAGAAAUUGCUGUAGCAACUGGUGUUAACUUGAUGAAAAGCAGUCAGCCUAUAAAGAAAGUUUGAUCAUUCAACUACCUUAUUCUCAUUUGAUUCUUCGACGCAUUUUAUUUAAUUUGUUUCAUUACUGCAUUGUUUAACUUUAUUAUCUCACAAUUAUCAAUUUCACUAGUAACCAACUUUACAUUUGUUAAUUUAGGAAUCAAGUUAGAUUAUACUAUCGUGAUUGUUGUAGCAUUUCUAGUAAUAUCAAUCCAUGUGGAGACGAUCUUGAAUAUUAAUCACGUUAUUACUUGUUGUGUAUACUUGCACAUUAGCAUAAAUAGAAUUUGAUAAAAAAUACCAACAAUGAGAUAGGGGUAAACUUCAGGAUGUGUUGCCGUUUUUAAUUGUUGUGUAGAUUCUUUUGAUUCCUAUCUCUAGUGGAGAACCAGAUGUGAUUUUGUGGGACCUUUCUCCUGAUGGUAGUUUUUCUUUGAAGACAACUUCAAAUAUUGUGCAUUGGACAAUGCCAAGUGAUGAGGCUUUUUUUGUUAUUUGGCAGCGACAUAUCUUUUCUUGGAUAUCUUUUUUUCUCUAGAGGUUGUGACACAAAUUCUUGACCACAGAUGAUGCCUCAUGUUCGGGGGAUUUCUGCAUAGUUUCUUAGUAUCUUUGUAGUUGGGCUUAUGAGACUUCUAGGUAUUUUCUUUCUUGAUUGCCCUCGAUUUGCGCUAUGUUGCUUUUUUGUUCCCUCGUACUUUAUUUCUUAAUUGGUAGUGAUGUGCCCUUUCUUGGAGCCAUAUUCGAGUUCUUCUUCCUUGUUUCAUUUUGUGGCGAGUUUAGAAGGCCUGUAAUGCAUUGAAGUUUGACUCAAUGGCCUUUUUUGUUGAUGUUGUUAUUUAUCGGGCAAUGUUGGAUCUUAGGCUUGCCGAUUCUGCCUUUGGUCUUAAACCAUCCCAACUGUAAGGAGUUCUAGGUUCUCGAUUUGCAAAGUGCUUGAGAGUUGUUGUUUCAUCCAGGAGGCUGAUUCUUUUAGUUUUUUGGUUGUGGUCACCACCUGGGGUGGUGAAGCUGACUAUUGAUGGUUGCUUUAGGAGUAAUCCUAGGAUGGCUGCUUCAGAUAGUAUUUUACGUGAUGAUUAGGCUGUGGCUUUGGCUGCUUUUGGUUCCUUCCUUGGGCGCUGACUGAUCUUUCAUGCAGAAUUCAUGGCUGUUUUUGAGGGGUUAGAGUUGGUGCUUAGCUCCAUUAUUCUGUGCUUGACGUAGAGUCGGACUCAGCCAUGGUGGCUUCUUGGAUUCUUUUCUAAGGCCUUGUUCAUACAGACUAUACCUAUUCUUUGCGUCGAGUGUGUACUUUGACAUUUUCUUCUACUUCAUGGUUAGUCAUGUGCUUCGAAAUGCUACUUCUACUGCUGAUUUCUUUAGCCUACACUCUUCAAGUUCAUCGGCGUUUCUUGGGUUCUCAAGAUAUCUCUGCUGGCUUAUCUAAUAAUCUUCGUUUGAAUUGUGGGUAAUUUAACAUAUCAGGCAAUAUAAUUGCUUAUUUUUGUGUUCUAUUUUUUAUCUUGUAUUUUUCACUUUUUCAUUCUUAUGUUCUUGCAAUUGCGGUUUUGAUUUAUAUUCACCUCCUUAUAUAUUUAAUUCAUUCUAUGAUUUAUAUGAAAGAUAGGGGUCCCACCUAAUCCUACCUUUUUGGUGGUUAAAAAAAAAAAGAUUAGGAAUCAAACCUAGGUCAUCAAGGUGAAACAUCAAUCAGGUUGUAAAUUUAACAUAUGAACGUAAAAGCUUAACAAAACAUUUGAAGUUGCUUGACAGCAUAGAAAUACAAGAAAAAAGAGAUGCUAAACAACACAAAAUUUUGAUUGGGUGGGAGUAUUGUUCAUGCUAGCAUAAUAAUGAGUGCCUGAGAAUACCUAUGACUUUCUUGAUAAAUAAUACCAUCUAAAAGGUUAGGAAUCACAGAUGAUUGUCCACGUAUGAACAAAUCUGGCUCCAAAUGUGAAAUGUAUUAAGAUUUUCAAACAUUUAAAUUAAUAGUUAAUAAUUUCGGACAAAGGAUACUUGGAGACCCUAAAGUUCACUGAUUCUAUGUUAUGGCUCAUUGUCUCGCUCAACAAUUUAAUUUCUAGAUUAUUUGGCUCCUAUCUAUUAAAAGACAACACCGUUACUAAAAUUAUAAAUUAUAACAGUUAAACCUAAACCUACGUCGUUUAGCAAUUUACAAAAGAAAAAAAUAUAACAAAAGCCAAUUGUUGGAGUAGCAACGUGCCAACGAGAAAAUCUCAAGCCAUGUAAUAUCCUGUGUCAACAACUAAAGAAGAACAAACCACCACCCUCUAGGCCGUCGCUGCACUAACGCUGGGCCCGAUUUGAAUAGUUAGAAGUUGUAACAUUAAUUAGGGAUUGAGGGUAAAAUUUUGGACUUUGAUUUAAUAAAAUUUAUUUAAAUGAGUCCCAAUAGAAAUAUGAUAAUAAAUAUAUCAAUACAAUUAUAAUAUGUUUAAAAGAAAAAAUUUAUUUUCACACAACAAAAAACACAACCCUUGGAUGUGGGAUGUGUCUAAAAAAUAAUAGGGUGGAAAUAUUAUCACCCUCAAAUUAGAUAUAUAAAUGUUUAAUGUUUUACUCUUAUAAUUUUCUAUUUAUUUUUUUGAAUAUUGUUAAGAGAAAGAUAGAAGUUAAUAUAUAGACAAAUCGAGUCCCUUAUUUUAUUAUUCAUAUCCAUAAAAAGUAACCACUAUGCUAGUCCCCCGAACUUAGCAUAAGACGGUAAUUUAAAAAAAGAAAAAAAAAAGAACGAUUCUAGACACCAAAACAAAAGCAAAACAAACACAAAGCGAGACAUACAAACAAAUUUUAUGCUACUGCAUUCAAGCAGAAGCCAUCAACUGUUCACGACGAAGUUUGAGAGCAACCAAUAGUUCAUCCCGAUUAGGAAGAUUUUCUUCAAUCACAGGGACUUGCUUGAAAGUUUCAAUCCAGGCAUGCAAGCGAGGGAAUUUGUGUGAUUCAAAUAGUUUAGCGCCCACUAUAUCUUCAAUGACUUGCAACCAAUAAACAAUUGAACCAAACGCUAGGUCCACUAAGCCAAUAUUGUCUCCAUUGAAAAAUUUCUUCUCUCCCAAGCCAUGCUCUUCAACGGUUUGUAGCAUUUCCAAGGCUUCCUUCAUUGUGUUUUGUAGUUCUUGUCCAGUGCUACGAAACAUUUUCCAAACAGCAACACCCUGCCACAAAUAUUUUACAUCUGAUUUUAUCACCGACAUGAUUAAUUAAUAAUAUGUAUAUAAAAG
RNAcentral lists this long non-coding RNA (197597 nucleotides) under Citrus maxima (pomelo). RNAcentral's name for it is "long non-coding RNA (CMAX_LNC003698)". The stretch from base 166295 to 166401 matches the Rfam family "Plant small nucleolar RNA R71". Lineage: Eukaryota; Viridiplantae; Streptophyta; Magnoliopsida; Sapindales; Rutaceae. The record is from RNAcentral.